RNAcentral lists this long non-coding RNA (202225 nucleotides) under Physcomitrium patens. RNAcentral's name for it is "long non-coding RNA (PPAT_LNC013450)". The stretch from base 161178 to 161223 matches the Rfam family "Histone 3' UTR stem-loop". Lineage: Eukaryota; Viridiplantae; Streptophyta; Bryopsida; Funariales; Funariaceae. The record is from RNAcentral.
AACAGAAUUCAUUAUUCAUAUUAAGAGAGUGAAAUGUGGCCUUGCAUGAAAUACUGUUCUAGAUGUAACCAUCGCACAUCUACAAUGGUAAUAAUUUCAAGGCUACACAAAACGGUGCAAAUCUUGUGGAUUACGGUAUAACAAAAGAAGCUGCAGAAAUAUCAAUGCUACUUGCAAGGUAUUCAAACUUAGCACAGGCCUCUGCGGCACUUGGGUUUCGAAACAAAGUUGAAAGUUAGUUGUCCCUUACUUACAUCGUUAAUCGACGGAUAAAAGUAGGGCACGCUUCCGCAAACCCUGCAGCCAUGUUCCGGAAUGAAGUGUGCGAGACCCCUGAUGUUGUGUCCCCACGCACCGUCCGUGUUCUGCAGGAAGGCGCAAAAACCGUCAUAGCAAGCGAUGUGCUGUCCGUUUUGGUACCAGCGGUUGGGGUCGAUAUUGUUGAUGUACGAUACCAGGAUGCUGGCUUCGUUUCCGCGGCCUUCAGUGCAAAUAAAGCUGCCUCGGCAAUUGAUCCCCAGCGCACUUGCGGUGCUUGCGCUCAUAGCCAGGGCCGCCGCCAAGAAGAUCAUGAAGGCAGCGUUGAAGCGAUUCAUCUUCGCAGAUCGAUCCAUGACCGAAUUUGAUAUUUCCUUACGAGAGGAAGCCCCAGAUCUGCUUCAGGUAGCAAUCACUCCCCACCAAGAAGCUAAAAUCUGACUAACUGGAACUUGGAAUGUUUGCAGUUGCAAAAGAACUCUCUGAAGAGCUCACGGGCAGAGAACUGGAAUGGAAGAUCUGCAAUGGAAAUGAGGUACGUUUACUCUCAACUUGGACGUUUAAAUAGCUGACAGGUCGAGUACAGUCAACAAAGCCCUUGUCGAAAUGAAACUACAAUACUGUAGUUCUAGUCGUCAUGCCUAAGCGAUCAGUAGACGAUAACUGCAGCUAUCGCUGCUACAUGGAAGUCGAUGGUCAAAUCUAUAUCAGUCAUGUCCCCAUAGGAAAGCCUCCGAAAAGAGCUUCACGAUUUCGGACAUACAGUACGGGUUUCCUUAAACUAGUGCGACGAUUUCUGCGAUCCCUUCCACGUUGCCUAUCCUCGUCCGUGCCUGGACUCGAUUCCGAGCCUGCUAUUCCGAUCAUGCCAUCACAACCCGACGGGAUUCCCUUCCCUCCAAUCCUGAUGCUCCCCCCCCCCCCCUGCUCGAGAACACCUCGAGUACACAACCACCACAUCCAAGACGAGCGAAACGCAACAGCAAAGUCAAAAAUGAUUUUGAUGAAAAUGACAAGUUUAGGUUUUUCCCUCAUACUGUGGAAACGACUACUUAAACUCACUGGUGUAUUUCUUCAAACUUACCAAAUAAAUAAUUCCUAAAAAGUGAUCAUAGACAAAAACCAGAAACCAUUAUUCGACAACCUAAAUUGCUUGCUUUGCACAAAGAAGUGAGUUCCCUUUUGAAGUUCCAUUUCUCUUCUUACACGAAAAAAUUAUGGAUGUUAUUCUCACUAAUAAAGUUAGAAUAAAUUUGCAAUUAUUAUAGAUCUUAAUGAGUUUAUCAAUACUAUAAGAGUAAAAAUCUUAUUUCCAAUGUGAAUCAUAGAGAUAUUAUUUUUAUGCCUAUAGAAGAAGUUCAUAGUCUACAUCAAGAAGUUGUGUAGUUGAAGGAAGCAAGUAGAUCAACCUCACAACCAAAUCCAAAGAGUUUUGCCUCUACAAGUAUGAGAAGAACAAAGAUUAGUAUGUUUGAGAAGUUUGAUGGAACAAGAUCAAAAUUUCAAAGAUUUUUGUAACAAGUCAAGCUCUAUAUAAGGUUGCAUCUCUUCCAAUAUUUCAAUGGAUUUAUUAAAGUCAAAUUCAUAGGUUUAGGAUUAUUAGGAAGUGAUCUCUCUUAAUUUUUACUUUUAAUGGAAAAAGAUUUGUAAUUCUAUUAUGAUUUGAAUUCAUUCUUAGAAGUAUUUACGGCUACAUUUAGAGAAAGUGAUUGAAAAAGAGUAGUAGAGACCAAAUUCUUAUUUUUAUGGCAAAGAUCACAGUUAGUUACUAUAUAUGCUACUAAAUUCCAAAACCUUACUUGCAACAUGGACUAAAAUGAUAAAGCCCUUAUCAAUCGAUUUUAAUAUGGAUUGAAGAAUAAUAUUAAAGAUUUUUUAUUGAAAAUAUUAAAGACAAAAUCUUUAGAAUAAUUUAUUGCUUAAGCCAUUGCAUGCAAUAAUCAAUUAUUUGAAAGACAUAAAGAACAAAGACUUGAUUAGAGAGGAACAAAUCAAACAAUGGUAAUAACUCUCAAGUUUUCAAAAACUUAUUCAUCAAGGCCAAAAUCAAUACAAAUUGAUAUAGUAUGUUUUAAACUCUUCAUAGAAUAAGAAAAGAUUUGAUAAUGUGAAGAGGGAUUAUACUUACAUUGUGGAGAAGCAAAAUACAGUGCUCAAUAUUGUUCAAAGAAGUAAUGCAACCACAAAAUUAGAAGCAUGGUUGCCAAAGAAGAUGAUGUGUCAAAAAAUAAGUUUCUUCAAUUACAACGGCAAUAAUGCGGCUAAAAUCUCAUAUAAUUCCUAACAAAGGUCCUAUUCUCUCCUCAAAUCUUUUAUCUUAUUUUAUAAUAGAAGUUUAUUUAGAACCAAAAAAUUACAAAGUCUCAGCUUUGUUAGAUUCAAGAACCUUAGCCUAUUUUAUAGACAAAGACUUUGUCAAAAAACAAGAGAUAUUAUUACUCAAGAAAAUUAAAUUCAUAUAUGUAGAAGUCAUAGAUGGUUGUUUGAUAUCUUUUGAAGAUGUUAUACAUGAAAUCAUUUAAUUAGAUGUAUCAAUUAAAGAUUAUAAUAACAUAAUUAUAUUUUAUGCAAUAAGAACUUCAUCUAAUCUAAUUAUUUUAGAAUUAUCUUGAUUGAAAAAAUAUAAUCCUCAAAUGGAUUGGAUUUUUCAUAACUUUAAUUUUUUUAAUAUUUUAAUCCAAAAUCCCAUUACUCAAGUAAAAAUAUAUAAGUCUAAUAUAUCCAAAUUCUUACUACUAGGUGGAAGAACUUUCAUGCAUGUUAUAAAAAAAGGGUCAUCUUUUGCAAUAAAUGCCAUGCCUAUUUUUGAUGGUAGAAAGAUGUCAAGUAAUAUUCCUAGGUAGUAUCAAGAUUUCUAAGAUGUUUUUGAAAAGAAGAAUGUAGAUAUUCUUCUAAAGCAUCAUUCUUAUGAUUAUUCCAUUGAUCUUCACAAAGUAGCUCAACUACCUUUUGGACCAAUCUAUAGCCUAUUACAAAAUGAGUUGGCUGCAUUCAAAGAGUAUAUUAAUUAAAAUUGGUUAAGAAUUUUACAUGUCAUUUUAAAAUUCCAAUUAGGGCUCCUAUCUUAUUUGUGAAGGAAAAAGAUGGAUCUUUGAGGAUGUGUGUCGACUAUCAAAGAUUCAAAAAAAUCACUAUCAAGAAUAAAUAUCCUCUAUCUUUGAUUUUAAAAUUUCUUGAUCAAUUCAAUCAAAUAAAGAUCUAUAGAAAAAUAGAUCUACAACGAACAUAUAAUUUGGUAUGCAUUAAAAAAAAUGAAUGAAAAACUAUAUUUUAAACUAGGAAUGGGCAUUUUGAAUAUAAUGUUAUACCUUUUGGACUCACAAAUGCAUCAAUUGAUUUUUAACAUCUAAUAAAUAAUAUCUUUUGUGAGUUUUUUUUAUGAUUUUUUUAUUUGUUAUUUGGAUGACAUCUUAAUCUACUUAAAGAAUAUAAAAGAAUAUGAAGUUCACAUUUUUUGUGUUUUACAAAAACUUAGAGAUAGAGGAUUAUAUGCCAAAAUAAAUAAGUGUGUAUUCUAUACUACUUAAGUUGACUUCGUAGGAUACAUCAUUUCUAAAAAAAUACUAAUAAUAGAUUUAAAAAAGAUCUAGACUAUCAUAGAUUGAAAGAUUUCAAGAACAAUAAGAGAUGUACAAUUCUUUUUAGAUUUUUUUAAUUACUAUUGGAUCUUCAUCAAGAAUUUUUCUCAAAUUGUAGCUCUACCUACAUGUUUGAUAUAUAAAGACAAACUUUAGUGGAGUAAAGAAGUCAAAAAAUUAUUUGAUGCUUUAAAAAAGAAGUUUACUUUUGUACCAAUCUUAUAUUAUGUUGACUUUUUCAAGGUAUUUUUUUAUAAAAAUGGAUAGAUCAAACUGUGCCUUAGAUGAAGUAUUAUUUCAAAUAGGAGUAGAUGACAAACUUUAUCAAGUAGCUUUUCAUUCCAAAAACUUUUAUGUAGCCGAGAUUAAUUAUGAGAUCUAUAAUAAAGAGCUCCUUGCAAUUGUCAAUUCAUUUUAAGAAUGGUAUUAUUAUUUAGAAGACACCUCGAAUCAAGUUACUUUAUAUACAAAUCAUAAGAAACUCAAGUAUUUCAUAUUGGCACGUAUUUUAAUACGAUGCCAAACUCAUUGUAGUAUGUCUUUAUAAAAAUUUGAUUUCAAGAUAACUUAUCAAUUUAAAAAAUAAUAUGGUUUGUUACAUGCUCUUUUUAGAUAUUCUUAUCUUAUAUCAAAAGAAAGAGAUGUAUUUUUUGAUUAACAAAGAAUGGUUCUCUUAAAGCUAGAGCAAUUUCAUCAUUGAGUAAUAAAAUCAAUAUUGAAUGUUGAUUCAAUCUUUGUUGAGCAAAUUCAAUCAAGCAUGUCUUUUAAUCCUCUUGUCGAUGAUUUUAAGAGUAAUUCCUCUAAAUCUCAUGAUAUUUCUAAAUUCAAUUUCAAAAAUGAUCUACUCUAUUUUGAGGGAUGAUUAUACAUUCAAAAAGAUAAAGCACAAUUAGGUGUCUUUUAAACUCAUCAUAAUUUUUCAGUAGUUGAAAAUUUUGAAUAUAAUAAGACUUUACAGCUAAUAUUGAAAGAUUUUUGGUAGGAUCAAAUGUGGAAGGCAGUCAAAGACUUUGUGAAAUUAUAUAAUCUUUAUUUAAGAUUUAAAACUCCUUGCCAUCAAUCUUAUAGACUUCUUUAGCCAUUACCUAUUUCAAAACAAUCAUAUGUAUAUAUAUAUUUUUUUUCUAUAAAUUCUAUUAUGGAUCAAGUUUGUAUGAUUCUAUAUUUGUAUUAGUAGAUUAUUUUAACAAGAUGGAUUAUUUGUAUCAUAUUAAAAAUCUAUCUUAUAUGAAGAAAUAACUAAGUUUUUUCUCAACAACAUCUAUCACUAUCAUAGUGUCGUAUUGUAACACGACUAUAUGAUGAAAAUAUAAAUGAAAAAGAUUGUAUUAAUAUUUAGCCAUCUUGGAUGUUAGAAACAGUGGCCAAUUCCAGUGCCAAUAUUCAGGGGCCAGUUAAUGUCACCCCAUUGCAAGCUAUACCACUGUACGUGACAUCAACAAUAUGUUCUAUUGCCGUCAUCGAAUCAAGUAUCUUUCGUACUAAUGGAACAAUCAGGAUCAUUUUCUAACCCUACAUGGAACAAGCCUAAUAGGUAUAUAUCGGUGGAGACACCCAGUAUGCCUAAUGAAGGUGCAAGAAGACCACUUCGUUGUUUUUGUUGUAGACAGAUUGGUCAUUAUGCUAAUGAAUGUCCCAAUUCCAGAGCCAAUGACGAUUACGCACUGGUGUAUGGGAAUUACAAGUAGUCGGGGCAUACUUAUUAGUAAUGUAAUGCUCCGUUCAAUUUCAAUAAUCGGGAUCAGCAGAUCCAAAGCCAAGAAAAAAAUUGAAGAAAUAAAUCGAGGCCCUCAAGAUUCUCUAAUAAAUUGAGUGGAAUGUGUCCAAGCUAUUCUUACCAAGAGUCGGCAAAAGGAAAAAAGAUCAAUUCAACAUUUGGGUGAGCUUGAUGCGAAUGGCCAAUUUGACCCAAUUACAAGGACAUCCAAUCCAGUUCCUAUUACGGGCCUCUUAUCCAAUAUGAGACCUGACUCAGUUGGGCAACCCAAUGAGGUCCCGAUUACAAAGGCUUUGGUUCUAUUUCAAGUUGUUCUAUUGUCUAUGCCAUUUUGGAGAAACGUCCUUCCCGUGGAAAGAUCCUCUUAGAGGUGGGAAUUCCAUAGAAGCGCGGUCUGUUGUUCCAAUUUCGAGUCGAGGGCAAAAGAAUAGGAGAUUUGGGAUCAGAGAGCGAGCUUCAAGCUUCUUCCAAAGGUGUAAGACUGAGUUUCAUAGGGUUUGGGAGGACUUUGUAAUCGUUGUUCAAAGUCAGUGUUUGUAUUGGUGAUUUGGAUUUUUUGCAAUAAAGUUAGGGCAAGUACUCUUGACUAUUUUUUGAAAUUGGAGAAACAUCUGCAGUUGAAAUUUUUGAGAUAUUUAGAUGGUUGAGUAUGCCAAGUGCAUGCAAAAUUUUGUAAUAAUGUAACGGUAUGGAUAGAGGAUAUUUGAUCAUUAGUAUAAAGAGAUAUCAGAAGUUGGCAAAUUGGGCUGUUUAGGGUUUUUGCAAUAUCUAGAGAUCUACUAAGUGGAAUAAGGUGAAUUUUGGCAUAAUAAGUUGAGGACUUAAAGACAGAGCUGUAUACAAAGUUUGAAUGAGAAUUAACAAUUGGAGAAGGAGAAAUUGUAAUUCAAAGUUUGUCAUCAACUUUCUAGGCACUGGUCAAGGGACAUCAAUGUGGAUUUAUGGCGUUUUCUUGCAAUCUGUAAGUUAGAUUGGAUUGAAACUUCUUGAACAUUUAGAAGAUUUAUAAAGACACUAGUAGUAGAAGUUUUACAACAAUCUAAUGGUCAGAUUGAGAAUUAUAGCUUGCCAAAGUUCACUGUCUAGGAUUAGGGUUUAAAAAUUAAAAAAUUAAAAAUUAAAAAUUAAAAAAAAUAAUAUUAAUAAAAAAAUAAAAUAAAACUAACAAAUUAACAAAAGAAUUUGUGCUUAUAAUAGCUUGAAGUCAUUAAAAAUAGUAUUUCUAAGCACUUUGUAUUGGGAUUAAGCAUUUAUAUUGAAAUCCGAAAUAGUUUGUAUUUAGAUGGUUGAAAUCCACUAGACUACUUGGAUAUUUACAAAACAUUGUUUUAUCUUCCACAGCCAGAUAUCCGGUGCAUUCUCAAGUAAGAUAGCACUUAAUAUGAUAAUGAAUUGACUAAAGAUAUUAUAUUAGAUAGGAGAAUUCAAUUUAAAUAAAGAUUUUGAAGAAUUAUUUUUAAGAUUUUAAAGAUAGAAAGCUCUCUUUGGCUUUUUAUUUUCAAAUUGAUGGACAAAUAGAAUAGAUGAAUCAAGUUUUGGAGUAGUACUUGAGGUGUACCAUCAAAUAUCAUCAAGAUGAUUGGACAACUCUUUUAUUAUUGGUAGAGUUUACAUAUUAUAAUUUGGUAUAUUCUUACAUUUAAUAAUUUUUUUUAUAUUAAUUAUAGUUAUCAUCUACAACUUGAUAGUUUUGACUUUUCAAAAGUUGAUAAUCUUGUGACAAAAAAUUUCACAAAUCAUUUCUCAAAGCAAUAUGCAACAAUAAAAAUACAAUUAAAAGGAGCUCAAAAAUAACAAAAGACUAAUGCAGAUGCCUAUUACAAGGAACUACCACAAUUCAAUAUAGAUGAUAAGAUAUGAUUAGUUUGUUACAAUAUUAAGACUAUUUAUUUUUAUGAUAAGAUAGACUAUUAUAAGCUUGAACUUUUUCUAUUUAUAAAUAAGUCAAUCUUAUUGCUUAUCAACUACAUCUAUUAGAAUCUAUCAAGAUCUAUCUCAUAUUUCACAUGUCUCUUCUUCAGCCAUAUAAGACAAUGAAUAUUUCUAGAAGAAGACAAAUAUCACCUCUUUCUAUAGAAGUGUCAUGAAUAUACAUAGAUAUUCUAGUAAUUAAUUAUAUAAUUAGAUAGGAAUAGAUAAAAGUAAAUAAAAGUAGAUUAAUUUCAUAAGACCUUUUAGAAAAGCUUUUUAGAAGCUUCAUAGAUUUUGCUUGACUUUAUAUGUGUUUAUAGCUGAUUGUUACAUUAGAAACUUAGUCAAUAAGUUAAUUAUGUGUAGAUAACUUACAGAACAAGUUAAUUAUGUGAUGCACAUAUAGAAAACUUACCUUUUAAAUUAAGACACGUGUCUUGCAAAGCCAACAUAUUUUGGAGGUCCUAUAAGAUAUCACCAUGUAGUUCCUAGUUAAAAAUAUACAUAGAGGUAAGAAUAAAGCCUUUUUCACUCUUGUCAAUGCUUUUCUAGUUCUUAGUCUUAUUUCAAGAUUUUUUAGUCUUCUUGUUUUUAGCAAUAGCCAUUCUAGUUCAAUAUUCUAUUACCUUUGAUUGACUUUCUAAUUCCUUUCAAUGAUAUAAGAGUAUAUUGAGGAUUUUCUUUCUUUGAGAUUCAUGUCUUUGAUAAUUUGACGAAAGUAGUACCAUAUUAUUUUUAUCUUAUUUAAGAAGUAAGUAGAUUAUUCUACUUCUAUUGUUGUAUUUUGAAGGUUGUAGACUAUCUACUUUUAAACAAAAAAUCUUGUUUUUUAAAAAUGAUCUUUUCCUUAAAAAGAAUAAAUUAUUCUUCUUUAUAAAAAAAUUUUAUUAGAGGUUGCAGAUUAGCUUCAUCUAAUUUAACUUUUUGAAUUUGUUUGAGUUGUUUAUAGAAUGAAAGCAUAGACAUACGCAUGUAAGCCAAUAAUUAUAUAUAUAAAUAGAUAGAAGUAAAUAGAAUUAUAUAAAAAUAAAUUAAUUCUAUAAUAUUUGCUAUGGAAGCUUCCUAAAAACUUCAUAGACAUUGCUUUGACUUUAUAGGUGUCUUUAAUUGACUUUUUGGAUUAGAAACGUGGUCAAAAAAUUAGCCAUGUACCACACAUGUUCUUAGCUUGAAGACCAAGCUAACUAUGUGGUCCACAUGUAAAAAAACUUGCCUUGUAAUGCAAAACAUGUGUCCUACAAAGUUAGUACCUAUUGGAGGUCCUAUAGAACAUCGCCACAUAGCCUCUAGUUAAAUAGUAUUUAUACAGAGAAGAGUGAAGCCCUCUUCACUCUUGUCAACUCCUUUCUUCUUUCUAGUUUAGUUUCAAGGGUCUGUAAUUUUUUUAUCUUUUGGCAAUAGCCAUUCCAGUUUCUUUUUUAAUUUACAUAUUGAAUUAUUUCUAUUUUGUCAUCUUUCUUUGAGAGAAGUCUCACUUUUUUAUUUAUUUUUAUCAAGUUCUUAUCCUUGACAAAUUGACAAGAGUACACUUACAAUAUCAGAGCUUUGUCUAAUCUUGAUUAAGAGUGGAUUAUCCCUUUUUCUUGAUAAGACAUAAUCAUAUUAGAAGUUGUAGAUUACCCUCUUCUAAACUAAUAUUGUCCUUAGUAUUUUCUUUGUUCUCAAGUCCUCUCUUCUAUUUGUCUUGAGCGAUAUUAGACAUCUUUUUUUUAAGUAUUAUCAUAGUAGAACUUGCUGAAAUGAAGAGUGCAAUGGCACAAAUGCAAGAGCAAUUGAGGGGAUUAAUGCUUGCGAUGCAUCAACUCAAUUUACCACCAUAAAGAACAACAAGAUUGGUAGGAAGUGAAGAUAUAUAUAUGAUUGGAGUUGCUUCAACAUCUGUACUAAAUCAUAUCCAUUUUCUUAUGGUGGGACAUCCUUCCAGUAUUAGAGAACCUAGAAUUGUCCUACCCAAGAAGUUUCAUGGCACCAGAUCAAAGUUUAGAGGAUUUAUCAAUCAAAUAUAAUUUUGGAUUGAACUUCAAUCCCAAAGCUAUCCAACUCUAGGAUCGUAAGUUAGAUUCAUUGGUACGCUUCUUUCAAGUUUAGAAUUAUCAAAGUUUUCAUCUUUUCUUGGACAAUGAGAUCCAAUAUUGGAUAAUCUAGAGGCUUUUUUGAUAGAAUUUCAAACCAAAUAUAGAAAAUAUGAUGCAAUUUGUGUUGCAACCAACAAGAUAUGUAUUUUGCGACAAUGCAAUCAAUCAAUAACGUUGUACACUUCAGAGUUUUGACAACUUGUAACUGAUAUUAAGUGGGAUGAUGCUGCACUUGUUAUCUAAUUUCUCUAUGGAUUACAAUAUGAGGUAAAAAAAUUAAUGCUCAACUUACUUAAUCCUCAAACAUUAAGUCAAGCAAUUGACUUUGCUAUGAAGUGCAACAAUUAUCUUUUUGAAUUCCAAUCUGAGAACCGUAUAAGUGGACCUCAACGUUACUAUAAUUCAAUGGCAAUACCAAUAUCUCUUCAACACAUACAUUCAGAAGUAGAAGAUAUGCAAAUUGGUGUGGUAUGUUUCAAACCUCUUACUGAGCAAGAAAAGACUCAUCAUCAUCAAAAAAGAUUGUACUUAUAUUAUGGAAAACCUAAGCACAUUACUCAACAUUGCUUAAAGAAGCAACGCAACCAUAAAAUAAGGAAUAUGGCGAUCAAAAAAGAUAGCAUGUCGAAAAAUGAAGUUAUCUAAUUUGAAUAGAGAUCGUGCGGCUCGAACCUUGUACAACGCCUAGUGAAGGUCCUAUUCUCUCUUCAAAAUCCUUUCCAUGUUUUACAAUAAAUGUUAUUCUAGGACCUAAACAUCACAAAGCCUCUGUCUUGCUAGAUUCACGAGCCUCAGUAUGUUUCUUAGAUGAAGAAUUUGCUAAAAGACAUAGCAUACUUUUAGUGAAGAAAACUAAACUUGUUCAUGUAGAAGUCAUAGAUGGUCGUCUGUUGUCUUCAAGAGAUGUUAUUCAUGAAACCCUUCCUAUAGAAGUAAUAACUAAUGGUUAUAGUAGCUUUGUAAUAUUUAAUAUCAUUAGAUCUCCUUCUAAUCCAAUCAUUUUAGAUUUAUCAUGGCUAAAAAAAUAUAACCCUAAAAUAGAUUGGACUUCUUGUAGUCUUGACUUUUUUGAAAAUAUAACUAAGAGCGUAAUUAAUCAAGUAGAAAUUUAUAAGUCUAAUAUAAUUAAACCUCUAUUUCUUGGUGCAAGAGCUUUCUUGCAUGUUGCAAAAGAAGGAUCACCUUAUGUCAUUUAUGCCGCACUUGUUUCUACUAGUGGAAAGACUUUAAGUCACAUUCCAAGCCAAUAUCAAGAUUUUUAAGAUGUAUUUGAAAAGAAAAAUAUGGAUACUCUUUUGGAAUAUCGUUCCUAUGAUUGCUCAAUUGACCUUCAAGAAAAAAUACAAUUGCCAUUUGGACCAAUCUACAAUUUAUCUCAAAUGAGUUGGUUGAACUCAAGGAGUAUAUUGAAGAAAAUCUAGCCAAGAACUUCAUACGCCAUUCCAAAUCAGCAAGAGCUCUAAUUUUAUUUGUGAAGAAAAAAGAUGGAUCAUUGCGGAUGUGUGUCGAUUAUCGAUGACUCAAAAAAAUCACCAUCAAGAACAAGUACCCACUAUCUUUGAUAUAUGGACUUCUUGAUUAGUUCAAUCAAGCUAAGAUCUAUACAAAAAUAGAUCUACGAGGAGCAUAUAAUCUGGUAUACAUCAAAGAAGGAGAAGAAUGGAAGACUACGUUUUGAACAAGGUAUGGACAUUUCAAAUAUAAUGUCAUGCCUUUUGGACUUACAAAUGCACCAGCAGCAUUCCAACAUCUAAUGAAUGAUGUCUUUUGAGAGUUUUUAGAUGAUUUUAUUAUUUAUUACCUAAACAACAAUUUAAUCUAUUCUAAGAAUAUAGAAGAAUAUGAACUUCAUGUUUGUCAUGUGUUACAAAUACUAAAAGAUGCGGGACUCUAUGCCAAGAUAGAAAAGUAUAUAUUUCACACUACUCAAGUCGACUUCUUAGGAUACAUCAUUUCAAAUGAUGGACUUAUGAUGGAUCUUAAGAAAGUUCAAACUAUUGUAGAUUGAAAGAUCCCAAAAACGGUAAGAGAUGUCCAAUGAUUUUUAGAAUUUGCCAACUACUAUCAGAUCUUCAUCAAAGACUUCUCUCAAGUUGUAACUCUACUUAUACAUUUGACUUGUAAAGACAAACUUCAAUGGAAUUAAGAAGUGGAAGUAGUAUUUGAAGCUUUGAAGACAACCUUUGUUUCUAUACCAAUCUUGUAUUGCAUUGAUUUUUCUAAGCCAUUUUUUAUGAAAACAAAUGCAUCAGACUUUGCUUUGGGUACCAGUUUACACCCACACAGCUUUUUGACAUGCUACUGUCUAAUUUGAAGUCUAUUGAGGAGAAGAGCUUAGAGACUUCAAUUAUAGAUUGUAUGAUCUGUAUGCUUAUCUAUUUUAUAGAGCUAUAGAGGCGAACAUACUUGGAUGUUGCCCAGGUGGCAAGUCACUAUCCCUUGAGAUUUUUGCAUGAAACUACUGCAUCGGCCUUGGCGUAGAAGAUCUACAAGACGAAUUUGCUAGAUAUCGAGCCAAUCAAUGUGGCAUUUCUUUAUAUCGGUCAUGCUAGUAUGCAGGUGUGCAUUGCUCCGUUUAAGAAGGAGCAGCUGAAGAUUUUAGGUCAUGCAUUCGAGAGGACUCUUGACAGUCAUGACUUUGAUGAAGUUUUGUUUAAAUAUUUUGCUACCAAGUUCAAAACAGAAUAUAAGAUAGAUGUACCUUCGAACGCACGUGCUAGUUCAAGACUUUGAGCAGCAUGCAAGAAAGUAAAAAAAAAAAAAAAUUGAGUGCCAAUCUCAUUGUCCCACUGAAUAUUGAGUAUUUGAUGGAUGAGAAGGAUGUGAAGGGAUUCAUUAAACAUGAUGAAUUUGAGGAAUUGGCCAAAUCUAUUUUGGAGAAGGUGAGAGGUCUUUGCGAGAGAGCGCUUGAUUCAUCAAAAUUAAGCAUAAAUAAGAUUUUUGCUAUGGAAGUAGUCGGAUAUGGAUCUCGUGUGAUUGCUAUUUUGAAAGUCGUAAACUUUGUGUUUGGCAAUGAACCAAGCCACACCAUGAAUGCUAGCAAGUACAUUGCUUACAGUCAUACAUUUCAAUGUGCAAUGUUGAGUCUCACCUUUUGCGUUCAUAAUUUUGAUGUUCAAGAUUUAUUUCCUUUUAUAAUAGGACUUUACUAGAAGAGACUAGUCCCAGCGACAAAAGACAAAGAUGUGGUUUCAUCCAAUAGUAUUGUAUUUGUGAAAGGCAACCCUAUUCCUAGUACGAAAUUAUUAAAUUUUUACAUGUCGAGUACAUUCUCAAUUGAUGUAUUCUAUGGUGAGAUUGGCAAAUUACCUACAAGCAUAAGUCCCACAAUUGCCACAUUUACCAUUGAUCCAUUCACUCCUACUAUGGCAAAGAGGACCAAGAUCAAAGUUAGAAUCAGGCUUGAUUUGCAUGGAAUUGUCUCAUUAGAAGCCGCUACCAUAAUUGAAGAAGAGGUUGAAAUCCUGGUCACAAAGAAUGAAGUAUUGAAGGAGGGGUUUGGUGAGAAAGUGUCAUCUCCCAUUGAUACCAAGCUCGAAGAUGUAACCACAGCCAAUGCAAAUAAUAAUUCUAUGGAGGAUAAUGCUAAAAUGGUAACUAAGACACCAAAAUUAGAAAUUGAGAAGAAUAAGUCAAAGUUUAUAGAUGUAUAUGUGUAUGAAGUCAUCCACGAUGGUCUUUCACAACCGGAAUUGAUUAAAGCCAUCGAGAAAGAGAAUGAGAUGGAAUUUCAAGACCGCAUUAUGGAGGAAACAAAGGAGAGCAAGAGCGUUGUGGAGGCUUACGUAUACAACAUGAGAAAUAAGUUGUGCAACAAAUUCCAAGAUUUUCUAACAGAUUAUAAACGUGAAGAAAUGUUGGUUAGGUAAAAGUAUAGUUGUUGAUGUAGUUAUGCACUUUUUGUUAAGUGCAUUCAUAGUCUUAAUCUUAGAGAUUGUUAUACACUUUAGAAUGUUGUUUUAGAACACUAGUGAUGUGUUUCUUUGCUGACCCACCUCAUUCAUACACUAAGAUUAAACUUUCAUGUGUUUAAAUUCUUAAUAGAUCUUUUAUAAUGAAAAGAAGUGUUAUAAGACAUAAGAGGUGAUAAAAGAGUAGCAAAGCAUGCAAGAGAGGUUUAGAUAGUAUAUAAGACUUGUGAGAAGUCUUAUAAGUGAAGUUGAGAGUUAUCAAAGAGUGAAAUCACUAAUUUACUAAUAAAGAGGGCAUUUUGGGAUUCUAAAAACUGAACAUCUUUUUCUUGAUUUUUAGAGUUUUAUAUUCUCUUUUCUUGAUUUUUUUUGAUACACCCCUUCUUUAGACAUGGCUUCAAGUGAGGGUGAGGAUUUGAAAGUGAUUGAGAAGUUUAGAGGUGACAACUUCUACCAUUGGAAGAAGAAAAUGGAGCUUUUAUUGGCUUCAUUGGAUCUUUGAGACAUUGUUGAUGAAAGUAAAGAGCCUCCUAUCAAUGAUGUUGAUGUCAAGGCAAAGUAUGAGUACAAAUGACGUGAAAUAAAGGCUUUUGGCAUGAUUGCAACAAAUCUUGAUGAUGCCAAUUGUUCACAUGUAAUUGCUUGCAAAGAACCAGCAAAAAUAUAGAAAACUCUUUGCAACAUCUAUGAGAGUAGAAACCUUGUCAAUAUUCUAUAGACAAGAAGAAAGUUCUUAAAGAUAAAGAUGGAAGUGUCAAGGACAUGAAUCUCGAAGAAAGAGAAUCCUGAAUACACUCUUCUAUCACUAAAGACAAUUAGAAAGUCACUCAAAAGGUGAUGUAAUAUUAAUUAGAAUGGCUAUUGUCAAAAAUAAGAACACUAGAAAGACUUGAAAUAAGACUAAGACUAGAAAGGCAUUGAUAAGACUGAAGGAGACUUCACUCUUGCUUCUAUAUAUAUAAUCUAACUAAGAGCUACGUGGCGAUGUCCUAUAGGACCUCCAACAUGUGUUGACUUUGCUAGCCACAUGUCUUAUUUUGCAAGGCAAGUUAUCUAUGUAUGCGCCACAUAGUUGGCUUUUUCCACAAGCUAUUACAUAAAAAUAACUUGUUCUACAAGCUACUAAUAUAUGAUUAGUUUUUUGGCCAAAUUUCUAACCUACAAAUACAUCUUAAGUCAAAAUGGCAUCUAUGAAGCUUCUAGGAAGCUUUUUUAGAAGACUUUAUGAAAUUAUUCUAUAUUUAUCUACUUCUACUUAAUCAUAUAAGUAACUAUUGAGGUAAAUGUAUAUGUCCAUUGUCGUAAUACAUGAAGUCUUGCUUGAGAAUGCUUCAGGCACUUGGUUGUGGAAGGUAGAAUAGAAAUUAUAAUAACAAAAUCUUAACUUUAAUAGAAUAUUAACUAAAUUCUAAUUAGACCAUAAUAAUGCUAAGCAAGAUUUAAUCAAAUUCAAAGAAAACUCAAAGAAUUUCAAAGAAACAAUAAGAAAUCUUAAAGAAAUAUUAAAGUGAUCACAAAUAUAUCUCAAAUAUAUCACAAUUCAAUCUUAAUUUAAUCCGAGUUAAAAUCCUAUUGGACUUUAUUCAAAAUUUAGGCCAAAAAUAAUUAAAUCUUAAACCCUAAUAAAAUGCUUAUAAAAUCCUAAUCCUAAAUCAAACCCUAAACUAUAAACCAAAUUCUAAUCAAACCUUAACCAAAUCCUAAACCAAACUCUAACUAAUCCCUAAACAAAUCCUAAAUCAAAUCCUAACUAAAUCUUAAACCCUAAAUCAAAUCCUAAAUCUUAAACCAAAUCCUAAUCCAAUCCUAAAUCAAAAUCUAAUCAAUCCUUAAAUAAAUCCUAAAUCAAAUCCUAAACUCUAAAUCAAACUCUAACUAAAUCAAAAAUCCUAAACUAAAUCCUAAAUCCUAAACCAAAUCCUAACCAAAUCCUAAAUCCUUAACCAAAUCUUAACCAAAUCCUAAACCCUAAACCAAAUCCUAAUCAAAUCUUAAAUCCUAAACCAAAUCCUAAAUCAAAUCCUAAAUCCUAAACCAAAUUCUAACAAAUCCUUAAACAAACCCUAAAUCAAACUCUAACCAAUCCCUAAAUAAAUCCUAAAUCAAAUCUUAAAUCCUAAAUCAAAUCCUAACUAAAUCUUAAAUCCUAAACCAAAUCCUAAAUCAAACUCUAAAUCCUAAAUCAAAUCCUAACCCAAUCCUAAACCAAAUUCUAAAUAAUCCCUAAAUAAAUCCUAAAUCAAAUCCUAAAUAAACCUUAAAUCCUAAACCAAAUCCUAAUCUAAAUCUAAACCAAAUUCUAACCAAUCUCUAAAUAAAUCCUAAACCAAAUUCUAAAUCCUAAAUCAAAUCCUAACUUAAUCUUAAAUCCUAAAUCAAAUCCUAAAUCCUAAACCAAACCCUAAUCAAAUCCUAAAUGAAAUCCUAACCAAACUCUAAAUCCUAAACGAAACCCUAACAAAAUCCUAAAUCCUAAACCAAACCCUAACUAAAUCCUAAACGAAAUCCAUACCAAACUCUAAACCCUAAACCAAAUCUUAACCAAAUCCUAAUAAUUUCUACAAAAGAUUCAAACCUCAAUAACUAAUGAAUGAAAUGUUGAUCUUAAUUCAAAAUUUGCAAACUUCUUAAAAACUAAGUUAAAAAUAAGAAAUUUUUUUUUGAAAGGAUCAAAAUUACCAAAUAGACGAUAACCUCAAAAACGUGCUCGGAUAUUGGUCAACCUCCUUCUUCAACCUUGAUGCCAAUCUUCCAGUGCCAAUAUCUCUCUUUUUCAUAGUUCGAUUGAUCUCAAAAUUCUCUUAUACAUAGAAAAAUAAGUCUAAUAUCUUCUUACAUAAAUUUAACUUCAAUCCAAUUAGUAGAAUGCAAGAAAUUUUAAAAACUCUCACUAGACCUAAAAUUCUAUUGUCUGAGACCUUGACAUUUUAAACCUCAAUAAUCCUCAAAUCAACUAUUAAAUCGAGCUCAAAUUUAUCAAACAUAUUGAACACAAUUAUAACCAUAAACCUACAAAAUUUCACCUGUAUAUCUAUUACAAAACUCUUGAAAUUGUCCCAAAAUAUAAACCCUAUUUUAUUUCACAAAACCCAAGUCAUCUGAAACAAACCUUGGCUUUGCAAAGCUCUUACAAAGUCAAUACAGAUCCAAAUCACCUAAAACUAAUGCUCAUAGAAAUCUCAUCUAAACUUCUAUCUAAGUCCAUUCUCUGAUCUACCAAAGAGUCUUGGAGUCGUCAUCGAGACUCAAUUUUGUGCCUCAGGGUCUGUAUUCGAUCCUAGUUCAUAACUAACCCUCUCUGGGUAUGAAUAUCUAGUUUUUUAAUGUAAUUUUUACUAGAAUUUACUCUUAACUUCCUCCUAAAGAUUUCUAUAUCAUUUAUUUUUCCAAUCUAUCUUAUUUUGCCUUAUUUUUAGCCUUACAAUGUAAGUAGAAGCUAUUUUUCUAAAAGGGCAGCAUUACUACUAAAAGUUUUACUACCUUCCUAUCUUUAUCCAUAUUUUUCUACUUUUUCUUUUAACUUGGCUCUUCUAUAAUAAGAUCCAUAUUAUCAUCUUUCACCAUAUAGUCAUGUUACAACACUACAUUAUGAUAUUAUCCCUCCUUCUAGAGACAAGUUCCACGACGAGCGAACUUCAUAUGUUGAAGAACUUCAAGUUGCGGCAAAUUAUAUUUGCUACAUACUCCGAUCUUUGCUCUCUUUGAAGAUGGCUGAUAGGUCCUCUCAACCAUCUAUAGUUUCUUAUACCAAGGCAAGAAGACCACCCUAUUAUUUGAUCAUUGUUGAAGCCUUCAUAACUUCCUUCAAAUGAAACAAUUAGAACACCAUCAAGAGUUGCUCUUACCUCUAAUAAAAUCACUAAACAUUGAGAGUCUCUUCUAAGAUUGUGAUAUCAAACACAUUAUAUCUUGCCAUCUAUUCAAGGAAAGAUAUGUCAUUCUUGAGGAUCUUCAUCUCGAUUUUGUCGUCUUAAAAGUUGUGAGAAUUGCAAUGUCUCAUUUGAUAAGUCCGCAAAUGAAAGCUCUUGAGUUGAAUCUACUGAUUGUUGGUAUUCCAUCUCAUCAUAAAUACAUAGAAGCUACAAUAAAAGAUAGAAGAUAUAAUGUUAUUUUCUUUUGAUCUUGUUUCUUUUAUAGCAAAGAUUUUUUAUUCUUCAUCUUGGUUUUGAUGGAUGUCGUUGAUAAAAGACUUCAAUUUUCUUUGCUGCAUUUACAAGAUUAUUUGAUGGCUCCCAUGUAUAUUCAUUAAUAUCAUAUUUGCAUCAAUGAAGAAGAUAUUCCAACCUAUUUAGGUGCCACCUUGAAUCUAAGACUUCUUCCACCUCAAACUCUUGAUUAUUAUCCACUUUUAUAGGAGGAGGUGGUAUUUGUCUUCUUUUCAAGAUAUUCACUAUCUUGUACAGCUCUAGAAGAGACAUGUGAAAUACAGGAUGGAUCUUUAUAGAUUUUAUAGAUGUAAUUGAUAGGCAACAGGAUUGAUUUGUUCACAAAUAGAAAAAGGUCCCAACCUACAAUAAUCUAAUAUUUCACAAGGACGAGCAGACUUGAUAUUACAAAGAAGUAACCAUACCUUGUCACUCAUAUUAUAUUGUAGUUGCUCCUUGUGAUACACACCCAAGUUGGUCUUUUGUAAUUCUAGAACUUCCUCGAAUUAUAUCUUCAUUUUCAUAUGUAGCUCUGACAAGCGAUUUGCUAAAUCUUCCGUCGCAUGAUCAUCAACUUUUCAAAAGUCAAAAGUAUCAAGACAUUGCAUGGUGUGAUUUGCUAUCUGGGAAUACACUGGGUAUCUAGCUAUAGAGAGUGUAGCUUAAACCUUUAUAUGAAUCUUAUCUCAGCCUCCCAAAACUCCUUUAUUUUGCAUAAAACUCAAAAUAUAACAAGAUCCCUUCAAAACAUAUUUUUUCCGAGAAGGGUUUUUUUCUUCUCAAAUUUUAGAAUUUCAUAACUCUUGAUCUAGCCAUUCAAUUUGUCUCAAAUUUAUAGAAUAGGUAGAAUAAACUCUUAAAUUUUAUCACAAAAAAAUCCAACCACAAAUUCACUCUCGAUCUUUUGAUAUCUAAGAAAUCCUAGCAGACGCUCUAAACCCUAAUUUACAAGCACCAGAGAACUAUUCUCUUAAUAUCUCAAGAAUCCAAUACUCAAAUGUCAUCAAACUUAUGUAAAAAGUUUACUAACAUAAAUGUACACAUUUUCUGAAAUUUUGAGCCAAAAUCUUGUCAAAUUGCUCAAGAUAUAGCUCAAGACACAACCACUAGUAAAUCGGGUCACUUACUACCCUUAGAUUUCAUGCACUAACUUCAAAAUCCAAUAACUCCUUUAUGCUUACAAGGAAUCCAGCAAAAAAUAUGCAAAAAGUGUAGCCACAAAAGUUUUCUCUCUAAUUGCAAUUGUCGAUCCUCAAUUGCUAUCUGUACGCGUGCGUUAUGUCAAAAAGAGUGACAGUAGCUCUCAAUCAACACCUUAACUUUGAGCACUUAUAUCUCCUUCACAUAAACUCCAAAUCAUACAAAAUUUGUACCAAAACCAUAGCCAAAAAUCUAAACUUGCUGAUUCUAGCCUUAAAAGCUCGAAUGGCUCCGAAAAACUAACCUUAAUCUCUAAUAUAGCCUCAGGCAAUCUCCUCAAAGUCCAUUGGUCAUGAUUUUUGACCAAUAGGAAUGGAGAUUUUCAUCAUCCAUCUCCAUUCAUUUAUAUUGGUGCCCUAAUUACUCCCUUUGCUACCAAAAUCCUUCUUCAAUCCUUUUUCUUAUAAGAUUUAUAAAAUUUAUGUUCUAAAUACCAAAUAAAAGAACCAAAAUAAGUUUUCAAAGGUUACUAAUGUCUAACAAAGGUGACUCUAAAUAUUUAGAAGUUACUAUCAACCAAAACCAAUCUUAAAAAAUACUAUCAAAAGAAAAUUAAAAUUAUACAAAUUUUAUAGUAAGCUUUUUAAAAAAAACCUCUUUUCAAGGUAAUAAUCAAAUUAUAUUCUAAAACCAACUAAAAUCUACUAACAUAGCUCUCACCGUGUUACUUAAUAAAUUAUAUGUUAAGUACAUAAUUUCAUUAUUUUCAUAUAGUAGCUGAACUACAACACGAAAACGUUGGAAAUACAUGAGAUUUUCACUCUUAGAGUUCAUGAAGAUCUGCUAUGGUUACUAAUCUAUUCACAUUUUCGUUGAAAGUAGCAUCCAUAAUCUUUCCUUCCAUAGACAACUCAAACAAAUUCAAAAGUUAAAUUAGAGGAAGGUAAUCCACAACUUCUAAAAUCAAAUUCCACAAAGAAAUAAUCCGUUCUCUUUAAGAAAAAGAUCACUGUUAGAAAAGAAGAUUUUUUGUUUAAAGGUGGAUAGUCUACAAUCUUCAAAAUACAACAAUAGAAGUGCGGUAAUCCACUCACUUUUAAAAUAAGACAGAAACAAUAUGUUAGGAGUCUUGUCAAAUUGUCAAGGAUAUGAAUCUCAAAGAAAGAGAAUCCUAAAUACACUCUUCUAUCACUAAAGACAAUUAAAAAGUCACUUAAAAAGUGAUGUAAUAUUAACUAGAAUGGCUAUUGCCAAAAACAAGAAGACUAGAAAGUCUUGAAACAAGACUAAGACUAGAAAGGCAUUGACAAGAGUGAAGAAGGCUUCACUCUUAUCUCUAUAUAUACUAUCUAACUAAGAGCUAUGUGGUGAUGUCCUAUAGGACCUCCAACAUGUGUUGACUUUGCUAGCCACAUGUCUUAUCUUGCAAGUCAAGUUAUCUAUGUAUGUGCCAUGUAGUUGGCUUGUUCCACAAGGUAAUAUAUGGAGAUAACUUGUUCGAUAAGCUACUAAUACAAGAUUAGUUUUUUGGCCAAGUUUCUAAUCUAUAAACACAUCUAAAGUCAAAAUUACAUCUAUGAAGCCUCUAGAAAGCUUUUCUAAAAGACUAUAUGAAAUUAUUCUAUAUUUACCUACUUCUACUUAAUUAUAUAAGUAACUAUUGAAGUAAAUGUAUAUAUCCAUGAUAGGAAGAAAGAUAUGUCCUCAAGUCAAGGACAAGAACUCGAUGAAAAACAAUUCAGACAAGUGAGCCUUCACUCAAAGAGAGGUAAAUAAACAAAUAUAUAUAUUGAAAGAGAAACUGGAAUGGCUAUUGCCAAAAGACAAGAAAACUAGAGACCCUUGAAACUAGACUAGAAGCAAGAAAGGAGUUGACAAGAGUGAAGAGAGCUUCACUCUUGCCUCUAUAUAUACUAUCUAACUAGAAGCCACGUGGCGAUAUUCUAUAAGACCUCUAAUAUGUGUUGACUUUCUAGGCCACAUGUCUUUGCUUGCAAGGCAAGUUUUCUAUGAGUGGACUACGUAGUUAGCUUGUCCUUCAAGCUACCAACAUGUGUGGCACAUGGCUAACUUGUUGACCAAGUUUCUAACCUAAAAGUCAACUAUGGACUCCUAUAAGGUCAAAGUAGCAUCUAUGAAGCUUCUAGGAAGCCUCUCUAGAAGAUAUUGCACAAUUAACCUACUUUUAUCUACUUUUACAUACUUUUAUCGACUCUUGUAGGUAAUUAUAUGUAUAUCCGUGACAUUACCCCUCUUCUAGGGACGAGUUCCACGAGGAGCGGUGAUUAUAUGUUGAGAAAGUCUAAUAUGCAGCGAAUUGUAUUUGCUACAUACUCUGAUCUCUGUUCUCUUCGAAGGUAGUUGAUGGGUCCUCUUAGCCAUCGAUAGUGUCCCAUUCCAGGGCGAGAAGACCACCCUGUUAUUUGAUCAUUAUUGAGGCCUUCAUAACUUCCUUCAAAUAAUACAUUUGAAACACCAUCAGCAGUCGUUCCUAUCUCCAGUAAUAUCACCAAACAUCGAGAAUCUCUUCCAAGGUCGUGAUACCAAACGCGUUGUAUCUCACCAUCUAUUCGAGGAAGAACAUGUCGUUCUUGAGGGUCUUCAUCUCGGUUGCGUCAUCUUGAAGGUUGUGACAAUCACAAUGUUUCAUCCGGUAAGUCAGCAAACGAAGGUUCUUGAGUUGAAUCCGUUGGUUAUUGGCUCUCCAUCUAAUUAGCGUCACAAAUGUAAAGAAGUUACAAGCAAGGAUAGAAAAUUGAAUGUUAUCUUGCCUCAAUCUUGUCUCUUUUAUAAGAGAGAUUUUCAUCUUGAUUUUGAUAGAUGUCGUUGAUAAAAAACUUUGACUUUAGCUGAUGCAUUUGCUAGAUUCCUGGAUGGCUCCCAUGUGCGUUCACUAAUAUCAUAUCCGCGCUAAUGAACAAGAUAUUCCAGCUUAUUUUGGUGCCGCCUCGAGUCUAAUAUCUCUUCCACCUCAAAUUCUUCAUUAUUAUCUACUUCUAUAGGAGGCGGUGGCAUUUGUCUUCUUCCUUGUAUAUCCACUGUCUUAUAUGGUUCAAAAAAAGACACGUGGAAUACAGGAUGGAUCUUCAUUGACUCCAGUAGAUGUAACCGAUAUGCAACUGGAUUGAUCUGUUUAGAAACAGAAAAGGGGCCAAGCCUACGAUAGUCCAACUUGUCACAAGAUCGAGUAGUCUUGAUAUUGUGACGAAGUAGCCAUACCUUAUCACCCACGUUGAGUUGUGGUUGCUCCUUACGAUAUAGAUCUGCGUUUAUCUUUGGUCGUUCUUGAGCUUCCUUCAAUUACAUCUUCAUUAUUGUAUGUAACUCUGACAACCGAUUUGCCAUAUCUUCUGCUGCAGGAUUAUCAACUUUUGAAAAAUCAAAAGUAUCAAGUCGUGGAUGAUAGCCAUAAUUGGCAAAAAAAGGUGUUUGUUGCAUGGAAGAAUGUACCAUAUUAUUAUAAGCAAACUCUGCCAAUGGCUGAAGGGUUGUCCAAUCAUCUUGUUGAUAGUUGAUAGUACACCUUAAAUAUUGCUCCAAGACUUGGUUUACGCGCUCUGUUUGUCCAUCAGUUUGAGGAUGGAAAGUCGAAGAUAGCUUUAUGUCCACUUUUAAAAUCUUGAAAAGGGUUCUCCAGAAUCUUGACACAAAUUGAGUUUCCCUAUCCGAUAUGAUAUCUUUAGGUAAUCCAUGAUAGCGAUAGAUAUUAUCAAUGAAAAGCUUAGCUGUUUCUUCACCUGUGAUAGAUUUUGUACAUGGCACAAAAUGUGCCAUCUUGGUGAAACGAUCUACUAUCACAAAUAUAGAAUCAUAAGAUCUUGAGCUUGGAAGAUCUGUGAUGAAAUCCAUAGAAACAGAAGACCAUGGUUGUUCUGGUAUAGGUAAUGGCUGAAGAAGUCCAUAAGGUCGAUGACGAGGAAUUUUUGAUCUUGAACAAAUAUCACAUGAUUGUACAAAGUCUUUGACAAACUUCCACAUUUGUGGCCACCAAAAAUCUCUUAUUAUGAGUUCCAAAGUCUUAUUAUAUCCAAAGUGCCCUGCUGCUGGAAAGUCAUGAUGUGCUUGAAGAACACGUAAACGUGCUUCUCCUUCUGGAACAUAUAGGCGUCCUUCAAAAUAUAAUAGAUUAUUCUUGAACUCGAACUUAGAAGGAUCAUGAGACUUGGAAAAAUUAUUCUCGAUAUCAUAAACAAGAGGGUCUGAGGACAUACUGGACUGGAUUUGCUUGAGAAAAGUUGAAUCAACAGUCAAUGUUGAUUUCAUUGCUCGGAGAUGAAAUUGCUCCGGUUUCAAGAGGACCGUUCUUUGUUGCUCAAAAGCUGCAUCUCCUUCUUUUGGUGCAAAAUAAGAACGUCUAGAUAGGGCAUCGGACAAACCUUAUUGUUUUCCUAGCCGAUAAGUGAUAGUGAACUCAAAUCUUGACAAAGACAUACUCCAACGAGCUUGACGACGAUUCAAUAUGCGUGUUGACAUGAAAUACUCGAGGUUCUUGUGAUCUGUAUACACAGUGACUGGAUUAGAAGCACCUUCUAGAUAAUGACGCCAUUCUUGAAAGGAAUCCACGAUCGCAAGAAGUUCUUUAUCGUGGAUCUCAUAAUUGAUCUCGGCUGCUGAGAAUUUUUUUGAAUGAAAAGCUAUUGGAUGAAGUUUGUCAUCUGAUCCCAUUUGUGAUAAAACUGCACCGAAGGCAAAAUCUGAUGCAUCUGUUUCCAUAAAAAAUGCCUUGGAAAAGUCAACACGAUAUAAGACUGGUGCAAAGACAAACGAUGUCUUCAAGGCUUCAAAUGCUGCUUUUGCUUCUUGAUUCCAUUGGAAUUUAUCUCUACUAGUCAAGCGUGUAAGUGGAGCUGCAACUCGUGAGAAAUCUUUGAUGAAGAUCCGAUAGUAAUUGGUAAAUCUCAAGAAACAUUGGACAUCUCUUACUGUCCUUGGAAUCUUCCAAUCCAUGAUUGUUUGGACUUUCUUAGAAUCCAUCAUGAGACCAUCAUUUGAAAUGAUAUAUCCUAAAAAGUCAACUUGAGUAGUGUGAAAUAUACACUUUUUUAUCUUGGCGUACAAUCCUGCAUCUCUAAGUUUUUGUAAUACUUGACGAACAUGUAUUUCAUGUUCUUCCAUGUUCUUAGAAUAGAUCAAGAUAUCGUCUAGAUAGCAGACGACAAAAUUGUCUAAGAAUUCACGAAAUACAUCAUUCAUGAGAUGUUGAAAAGCAGCUGGUGCAUUCGUGAGUCCAAAGGGCAUGACAUUAUAUUCGAAAUGUCCAUACCUGGUUCGAAACGCAGUCUUCCAUUCAUCUCCUUCUUUGAUCUGUACUAGAUUAUAUGCUCCUCUUAGAUCUAUUUUUGUAUAGAUCUUAGCUUGAUUCAACUGGUCAAGGAGUCCUGAUAUCAAAGGUAAUGGAUACUUGUUCUUGAUUGUGAUCUUGUUGAGUCCUCGAUAAUCAACACACAUUCGUAAAGAUCCAUCUUUUUUCUUUACGAAUAGAAUUGGAGCUCUUGCUGGAGAUUUUGAAUGGCGUAUGAAAUUCUUCGCUAAAUUCUCGUCAAUAUAUGUCUUGAUUUCAGCCAUCUCAUCUUGCCAUAAACUGUAAAUUGGUCCAAAUGGUGGCUGAGUUCCUUCUUUGAGGUCGAUUGAACAAUCAUAUGGGCAAUGCUCAGGAAGAAUAUCUGCAUUCUUUUUCUCAAAAACGUCUUGAUACUCCUGAUAUUGACUUGGAAUGCCACUUGAAGUCUUUACGUUUUCAAAAAUAGGUGCAGCAUAAAUAGCAAAAGUUGAUCCUUCUUUUGCUGCGUGUAUAAAUGCUUUUGCACCUAUCAGUACGGGUUUUACUAUAUUAGACUUAUAAUUUUUUACUUGCUUAGUAGAACUAUUAAUAACGCUCUGGGAAAAGUCAAGUUUACGCGAAUUCCAAUGUAUUCGAGGGUUAUAUUUUUCUAGCCAGGAUAAACCUAAAAUAACUGGAUUGGAUGGGGAUUUAAUUAUGUUAAAAACUAUGUAGCUAUCAUGACCGUCUAUUGUUACUUUUAUAGGAUGAGUUUCAUGAGUGACAUCUCCAGAAGACAAGGGACGACCAUCUAUGACUUCUACAUGUACUGGUUUAGGUUUCUGUACAAAAGGUAUUUUACGACUUUUAACAAAUUGUUCAUCUAAAAAACAUGUUGAGGCUCCCGAAUCUAAUAAAGCAGAGGCUUUGUAAUUCUUAGGUCCUAAAUAUAAGUCUAUUAUAAAACAAGGAGAGGGUUCUGAGGAGAGGAUAGGACCUUUAUUAGGAAUUGUACAUGUUCCAGCUGCAUGGUCCCUAUUGUAGCUGGACGAAUCCGUUUUCCGACAUGUUGUCUUCUUUGACCGUCGUACCCCUCAUUUUAUAGUUGCGUCAUUUCUUUGGACAAUGUUGAGCAGUGUGCUUAGGUUCUCCGCAAUAUAAAUAUAAUCCUUCUUGACGACGACGAAUCUUUUCUUGCUCAGUUAGGGGUUUAAAACGUACCGCAUCAAUUUGCAUGUCUUCUACUUCCGAAUGUACGUUUGGCAAAGAUGUUGAUGUUGCCAUUGAGUAAUAACGUUGAGGUUCCCGUGAAUGAUUCUCGGAUCAAAAUUCGAAAAGUCGAUUAUCACAUUUUACUGCAAAAUCGAUUGCUUGACUCAAAGUUUGAGGAUCAGGUAAGUUGAGCAUCAAUUUCUUUACUUCGUAUUGUAAUCCAUAAAGAAAUUGACUGAUGAGUGCAGCAUUAUCCCACUUGAUGUCAAUGGCAAGUCAUCAAAAUUAUGAAGCAUACACUAUUACUGAGCGAUUUCCUUGUCGCAGAAUUUGGAUCUUAUUUGUUGCAACACGAGUUGCAUCGUGUUCAACAUACAUAGAUCGAAACUCCACCAAAAAAGCUUCCAAAUUGUCCAAUAUUAGAUUUUGUUGUUCAAAAAAAGACGAAAACUACAAUAAUGCAGAAUCAGAAAGUAGAGUGUCAAUAAACUUGACUUGUGAUCCUGGAGUUGGAUAGCUUUGCGGUUGAAGUUCAAUUGCCAAUUGUACUUGAUUGAUGAAUCCUCGAAACUUUGAUCUCGUACCAUCAAAUUUCUCGGGUAAGGUAAUUCUUGGUUCUCUAGUACUUACAGGGUGUUGUACAAUUGGAGAAGGAACGUGAUUUGUUGCAGAUGUUGAAGCAGCUCCGAUCAUCUCUAUAUCCCCACUUUUUGCUAUUCUUGUUCUUUCGUGUGUUGGUGAAUUGAGUUGAUGCAUCGCAAGCAUUAACUCCCUCAUUUGCUCUUGCAUUUGUGCCAUUACACUCUUCAUUUCAACAAGCUCUGCCAUAAUGACUCUAAGAAGAAAAAUUUGUUUGAUACUGCUCAAGACAAAAGAAAAGAAAGACUUGAUAACAAAGAAGAUACUAAGAACAAUAUCAGUUUAGAAGUGGGUAAUCCGCAAACUUCUAAUACGCUUAUGUCUUGUCAAGAGAAAGGGGUAAUCCACUCUUACUCAAGAAAAACAAAGCUCUGAUAUUGUAAGUGUACUCUUGUCAAUCUGUCAAGGACAAGAACUCGAUGAAAAACAAUUCAAACAAGUGAACCUUCACUCAAAGAGAGGUAAAUAAACAAAUAUAUAUAUUGAAAGAGAAACUGGAAUGGCUAUUGCCAAAAGACAAGAAAACUAGAGACCCUUGAAACUAGACUAGAAGCAAGAAAGGAGUUGACAAGAGUGAAGAGAGCUUCACUCUUGCCUCUAUAUAUACUAUCUAACUAGAAGCCACGUGGCGAUAUUCUAUAAGACCUCUAAUAUGUGUUGACUUUCUAGGCCACAUGUCUUUGCUUGCAAGGCAAGUUUUCUAUGAGUGGACUACGUAGUUAGCUUGUCCUUCAAGCUACCAACAUGUGUGGCACAUGGCUAACUUGUUGACCAAGUUUCUAACCUAAAAGUCAACUAUGGACUCCUAUAAGGUCAAAGUAGCAUCUAUGAAGCUUCUAAGAAGCUUUUCUAAAAGAUAUUGCAUAAUUAACCUACUUUUAUCUACUUUUACAUACUUUUAUCGACUCUUGUAGGUAAUUAUAUGUAUAUCCGUGACACCUCAUGGCUCAUGUCAAGAAGGUAAAAGUACUUGCAAAUAAACUACUACAUAUUGAUAUACUAAUUGAUGAUAUAAAAAAUUGUGUUGACAUUGCUCAUAAACCUUCCUAAGUCUUACAAUUACUUCAUUGUGCCAUUUGAGUCUAUCAACAUGAAGGAACUUACCAUGAAUUAUGUCACAUCAAGACUUAUAUAUGAAAUAAUGAAGAGGAAAGAAAAGGAGCUUCAAAGUGAUGAUUCAACACUAUUCUCAAGACAAGGCAAAGGUAGCUUUCUACACCAAUAUGAUAAUUCAAAAAAAAACAUAAAGAAUUACUAUAUUUAUACAAAACUAUGUCAUUUUGCUAAAAAUUGCUAUAAGGCCAAGAGAAGAAAUAGAAAAAAUGCAAACAAUGCUAGUGAUAAUUUUGGUGGAAAUGAUUAUGCUUUUAUAGCAAGUAAAGGAGCCUCCAUAGUUGCCAUGUCUAAGUGGAUUAUAGAUUCGGAUGCUAUUAAAGCACAUGAUACCAUACAAAUAUUCAUUUGAUACUUAUGAAUCAAUUUCAGCAAUAAAAAUAUGAUUGAGAGAUAAUGGCAUGGUGCAAGCUAUUAAAAUUGGCUCUAUUAUAGUGGAGAUUGUGGUGAAGGACCAAAUCAAGAGGAUCACAUUGAAGGAAGUCUUAUAUAUACCAAAGAAGAAGAAGAACCUUCUUUCAGUGAGCAAACUUGUAUCACAUGGUUAUAAAGUUCAAUUUGACAUAGAUGGAUGUUUUGUAAAGACAUUGAGUAGACAACAUGUUACGAAAGGCCUUAGAGAUAGCAACCUCUACUUCAUCAAUUGUAAGAAAGUGAAUGGAAUUGAAGUGGCAGCAUAUGUUGAUUUUCCACAAAAUCAAGAUAAGUUAGGCAUUUGGCAUCAAUGACUUGCUCAUUUAAAUGCCAAAAGCAUGAAAGAGCUCCAAUCUAUGGUAAAUGGUUUGGAUCUUGGUCAAUUCAGCCAUAAUGCUAUGAUAUUUGCUUGUGAAGUUUGUAUCUAAGACAAAUAACAAAGGGCUUCAUUUCCAAGUGGAAUCGCAAUAUGUUCAAGCAAAUUAUUGAAAAUAGUUCAUUCUGAUAUUUGUCGACUAAUGAAGAUACUAUCAAUUGGAGGAGCAAGGUACUUUGUCAUAUUUAUUCAUGAUUUUUUAAGAAAGAUGUGGCUAUACAUCAUUAAAGCAAAGAAUGAGUGUUUUUCAAGGUUUAAAGAAUUCAAGGCACUUGUGGAGAAGCAAUAUGAGUGUAAGAUGAAAGUGUUACACAUGAAUAAUAGAGGUGAAUAUAUAUCAAAGCAUUUUGAUGAAUUUUUAAAAAAUCAAUGCAUUACAAGAGAAAUCUCUAUUCCUUACACUCUAUAACAAAAUGGAGUUGUUGAAAGAGAAAAUCACACCAUUGUAGAGAUAGCAAGGAGUAUGUUUCAUGCACAAAACCUUGGACAUGAAUAUUUCACACAAGUUGUGGUCAAUAUAGUGUAUACAAAGAAUAGAUGUCGAAUAAGUGCAUUCACAUCAAUGACUCUAUAAGAAGCUUGUAGUCGCAAGAAACCUUGUAUUUCACACAUGAAGAUCUUUGAAUGCAUUACUUAUGCAAAGAAACUAGAUUGUAUGAGGUCCAAACUUGAUGCAAAAGGAACAAAAUGUAUAUUUUUUGGAUAUUGUGAAGGUAUCAAAGCAUAUAUGCUCAUGUGUUUAGAAACCAAGAAAAUCAUUAAAAAGUCGUGAUGUAGAAUUUUUGGCACAUAAGAGUGCUUAUGAGCACUUGGAAAUGUAUCCAAGUAAGAAUAAUGGUAUGUUUGUGGAUACAUCUUUAAAUCUAGCAAUGAAAGAAGAAAAAGAUGAUGAUAGUGAAGAUGGUGGAAUCUCAAAUCAAGAUGAAGAAUCAAAGAAGGUAGAUCAUGAGGCACCUCCAAUUGCUAAAACCAACAAUAAAGACAAUCAAGAUGUUGAAGAUGAUCAUGGAGAUAAGGAGUACCAACCUUAAAGUGUGAAGAGUCAAAUUUUAAGAGAAAAGAAGUUUGCAAGUGCUAUUGGAGUGCAUGAAGGUGAAUCUUCAUCAAGUGAAAUGAGAUAUCCUUUAAGAAAUCUAAAACAACUUAGUGCAUAGUGGAAGAAUCACAUCUUUCCUCAAAUAAGUGAAGAACAUGCCAAUGUUGUACUCCUUAUUGAUCCAUUGAAUUUUUGUGAUGCAAUGAAGUCCAUGGAUGCUAUGAAGUGGAAGAAUAUCAUGGAAGAAGAAUAAAAAUCAUUCCUAAAAAAUAAAACAUGGGAAUUGACUCAACUUCCAUCAAAUCGAUCAUUAAUUGGUUGUAAGUAGGUGUUUAGAACCAAAAGAGAUGCAAUGGAUAAUAUUGUGAGAUACAAUACUAGAUUGAUUGUUAAAGGAUAUUCACAAGUUGCUGGAAUUGAUUUCAAUGAGAAAUUUGCUCUUGUGGCCAAAUUUACCACCAUUAGAACCAUUGUGGCAAUUAAGGCAACAAUGAAUUUGGAGAUGCAUCAAUUAGAUGUGAAGAUGGCCUUCUUGAAUAGAAAGUUGGAAGAAGAUAUCUACAUGGAUCAACCUCAAGGAUUUAUUGAAAAUGGCAAACAAUGCCUUAUUUGUAAGUUGAAGAAAUCCUUGUUUGGGCUCAAGCAGUCUCCAAGGACAUGGUACCAAUGUAUUGAUACAUUCUUUUUGAAUGAAGGAUUUAUAAGGAAUAAAGCUGAUUAUUCUUUGUAUGUGAUGCAAUCAAAUGAGUUCAUAUUGAUUGUCAUCCUCUAUGUUAAUGAUUUGAUCAUCUCAACCAAUGCUAUAAAAAUGAUGGAUUGGUUGAGGACAAAGUUAGAAAAAGAAUAUGAGAUGAGUGAUUUGGAAAAGCUUCACUAUUAUUUAGGAGUGGAAUUUGUGAGAGAUCAUACUAAGAAGACCAUUAUAAUGAGCCAAAGUAAGUACAUUAAAGAAGAGUUGAAAUGAUUCAAUAUGAAGGAGUGUAAGCCUAUUAGAACACCUUUGGAGGCCAAUUUGAAGUUGAUGAAGCUCACGGAAGAAGAGUUUGCUGAAAUUGAAAGACAAGUGCAAGGUGUUCCAUACAAGGUAAUAGUGGGCUCACUAAUGUAUGCAAUAGUUGGCACAAAGGUGGAUCUUGCAUAUGCGGUAAGUGUUGUGAGCCAAUACAUGUAAAAGGUUAGACCAAUCCAUUGAGCAACCAUCAAAAGGAUCAUGAGGUACUUAGAAGGUACUUUGAACUUUAAAUUAUGUCUUAGAAGUAAUAAUAUUACUAUGCAUGGUUAUUAUGAUGCAGAUUGGACUAGAGAUGCAAAUGAUAGAAGGUCAAAAAUGGGAUAUAUAUUUUUUCUUGGAGUGAGGGCAAUUUUAUGGAAUUACAAAAGAUAACCAACAAUUACAAGGUCAACAAUGGAAGGGGAGUACAUGGCAGCAAGCCAUAGUACAAUGGAGGCAAUAUGGCUAAGACAACUUUUGGAGGACAUUGGAGUAGUACAAAUAGAAGCAACUCCAAUGAAGUGUAGCAAUCAAGGAUGUCUUACUUUUGUAAAGAAUCCAAAGCAUCAUUCAAGCACAUUGAUAUUCAACAUCACUUUACAUAAGAGAAGAUUGAAAUGGGAAUAAUUGAUAUGAAGCAUUGAGCAAUAAAAGACAUGUUUGCUGAUUUGUUUAUAAAGGCAUUAGUAAAUGAUAGACAUCACAUGUUGAGAAAGGCUUUAGGAUUGAAAGCCCCUUUAGCAAUAGCAAAGUGGGAGUGUUGAAGUAAAUAAGUAAAAAUAGAAUAAAUUACGUAGUAAAAGGUAUUAUCUUAAGUAAGUUAUUAAUAAUUAAAAGGUUGACUCUUAGUGUAUAGAAAGAGCAUCCUAUAGAUAUAAGAUGAGAUCAAGGACCAAGAAUCAAAGUUAAGAGGAUAAAAUAUGAAUUAGGGGAUAUCCAAAGACUAGUUAAAAGUAAUUAGUGUUUGGCAUAGGAUAUCCUUAUGGUUAGUAAGAUGGCAAAAGAUCCAAGGACCAUAGAAUACCAUCAAGGUAUAUUAGAUGCCAAUGGAUCUUAGGACCAAGGAUUAUGUGUGUAAAAGUUAAAGAGUGGAAGUUGUCUUAUAGGGCAGCAACCACAACCUAUAAAUAAUGGGUGUUGGAAGUGAGAGAUAUCUUACUCCAUACUCUCUUUGUGUCCAAUCUUGCUGAUGAUAUGUAUUGUGAUUUUAAAGUUCUAUUUCUUCAACAAUCUUAAGGUGUUAAUUGAAUACAUUAUUAUUUUUGCUCUUUCUUGUCUUCACAUAGUAUAGGAGCUUUGUCUCUCCAAACAUAUGCUUCAUACAUCAUAACUCUAAAAUAAGAUUGAUAAUAUUAUUAUAAAUUCAACUGAUGUUCUAGAGCUAGUUGAUUUAGAAAUUAUACAUAUCGAGCUACUUGAUUUUGGUAUUUUAAAGGUUGAAGUGAAAAACACUCCACAAGUAUAUACAAGUAUACACAAGAGGAAGAACUUUAGAAAUAAAGGUUUAUAUUUAUAAUUAGAGAGAUUAAUCCUACUACAUAAUUGAUAGUUGAUGAAAAAUAAAUUGAUUUAUUGCAUCAAAUUGUUAAUAAGGUAUGUAAUACCUUUAAAUUAUUACUUUAAGUUGUUUAAAAUAUUACCAUAAAACUAAAUAUUUUGAUAUUUUUUAUUUUCUUUUAUGUAAGAUCAAUAUUCAUCUAAUUUGGAAUCUUUAACCAAAAAAAUUGAGAUGAAGUUAAAGUAAGUUAAAAAUAAAGUUUAUAUUUAUUAUAGCUGAUUUAUUUAUUUUUUAAAUGGAUGAAAGUAAAAAUGGUAAAUGGUAUUGCAAUAUUAUUUUCAUUCUAAAAUUCCAAUUAUAUAUGAAUAUUUAAAUUAAGAUUGUAUGCUUAAUAUGUCUUGUUGAUUCAUACUGUAAAUUUAUGGCAGCAUUAAACUGAUAGAAUUGGAUGAGUUUAAAACAAACAUGAGCCAAAGCAACGUGGUAAUGAUAUUUUUUUUUGCUUGGUUGUUAUAAACAUCAACUAUUAGAUGACAUAAUCGAUUGUAAUUGUUCGGAUAUGCAUAGUUUUAAAUACAAUACAAAAAAUAAUAAGUAUUUAAGGAAGUUCACUAUUGGAUAUGCAUGUUUACAAAAGAAUUUUUAUAAUUGAUAUUAGAAGUAUUUUAAAUUUGUUGAUUUAAGCCAAAAUAUUUAUAUGGAUAUUAUAUUAAUUAAGUAUAUAGAAGUAUUUUAAAUUUGUUGAUUUAAGCCAAAAUAUUUAUAUGGAUAUUAUAUUAAUUUAUUAUAUAGAUAGAUAUGGACAUAUAUAUAUAUAUAUAUAUAUAUAUGUAUAUUUGAAACUCAAAGUGCUUAUUAAACCUAGAAUUUUAAUAUGAAUACUUGUAAUAAUUUAUUCAUAUAUAUAUAUAUAUAUAUAUAUAUAUGACAUUGAUUCUUUUUCAAAGAAAAAAUAAGAAUAAUAAUAAAAUAAUAAAAUAAACAAUGAUUUUUCAUUCUUAAAAAAAAUAGAUUUUAAAAAAACAAAAAACAAAAUAAAAAUAAAAAAACAAAAAAACAAAUUGUCUUAGUUUCGUCUAGACAGGCAGUUGCCUUGAGUCUUAAAUUUUCUAUAUGUCUACCUCGAUGCUGUCAUACCUUAGAUACAGAGCUGGCCAAAGCCAAGUUGGAAUCACGUGUACUCUUGAGGCAUUGAUCAGAUUGCUGUUGCAGUAUUUUUUCACUCAACCAGCACUGAAGUUGAUAGACAACACAAAUUGAGCUAGCUUACUGUUCGUGAAUAGCUUACAUCACGUUAGCUUCUGCCGAGAACAUGCAUAAGAUAGUUGACCGAGUUAGACAGAAGGUAAUCAAAGAUUCAUAUUGGAGAGGUACUGUAAAUUGCUCAUGCUACGGUAAGAAUUUCAAGUAACGAUGAGUGGCAGUCAUUACAUAGAAUGUAGAACCAACAGAAACUCGUACUUCGAUAUGGUGGAAUGAUCGUACUUGACUACAAGAGAACCUUGCCAAACAUAGUUGCCAGAAAGCUUAAAUAAUAAUGAUCAAGGCAUGAUGCAAUCACCCUUGGAAGUAAAAUUGUGAAUUAUACCUACUCAGGAAUCGGUAAGGUAUGAAAAUCUCUCAUCUCUAGCUUCCACUCUACUUGUCCAUUCUCUUCGGUAAUUGGAAGUGCUUUUACAACGUCUGCUCCAACAGCCCGUUGUCCAUCAACUUCCACUAUGAGCAUCAAAACGAGCUCUUCAUUUCUAGGAUUGUAAGGCUCCUCACCACCAGCGUCAGGAGCUAUGGGUUCAGCCAUCUCACCCUCAACAGGUAUGCUACUGACGUCGUCGCCAGUCAAACCCAAAAUCCGAGUCCGAUCCAUUCCUCGUAGGACUGGAAUGAUUGUUUGUCGGGUUACUAGAGGCACGUCUUCGAUCACCUGUCAAGAAGGACGACGACACAAGGGUGAACUGAAAAUCAUAUGUUAACAUGUAAUGUUGGAUAUGUUACAUAUUCAAUCAAGGGGUUCAUUAUGGAUGUUUACAAAUUUUGACAAGAUGACGAACGCAUGAUAAUAUACAGUCCUCUCGGCAGCAAUCCUGCUUUCCUGGAUGGAGACAUAACCACCCGCGCAAUUGAUUACUGCAGAGCGGCAACAAGGUAGUCUACCAAAGCACUCAGAAACCGUGAAAUGUUCCACACCAUAUAGCAAUGGUAUGUAUCCUUUAGACCUUCUCUAAGCUGGAUAACUGAACGUCUGAGCUUCCAUACCAUCAGCUUUCUACAAGGAUGAGGCAUCAUUGACUUUCUUUACUGCUAUUUCUACGUCUGUUGGUGCAAUACUAAGAGUGAAUUUAGAGAAAUGGCGAUGAGAAUUGCUUUAUGGUGCUAAGCCACACAAACAAGCACCCCAUGAACACAGCAGAAUCAUUCCAGUCGCAUGUGGAAUAGCCCAGGGCUUGAACAUUUUUCUAGGAAUCAGAAUAAAUGGUUGUAAGUACGGUACAUCACUCCUGGCAUUCUAAAUACAUUAGAACGCUCAUACUAACCUGAUUUGUCACAUCGACCACAGAUGUUUCAUUUGAAUCAUCCGCUGAUCCAAUAGUCUCCGGAGCCAGGGAAGGAUCACGAACAAAUGUCCGUGGAACGUACUCAGCAAUCCACGUCAAGGUUUCGUAUGCUGGGGGCGCGUCUAAGUUUUUGCUGGUCGGCCGUGAAUGACUGCUGAAACCGCUAGCAGAUCCUCUGGGCAGUGUACGCACUGUUUCUCGCACUAACACACAUCCUGAGCCGAAUCUUCCUUGAUAUCAAUUACAAGCAGAUAUUCAAUUGCACAGAAAGAGUGCUCUAAAAACAUUAUGCAAAAGAUGCUCUAAACAAUGCGGAUAACAACAUCGAAGGCACAUGAAAAUCACAAUCUACAAUUUGAGUUUGUUUAUGAAGGUUAUGAUGGCAUCCGUGCAAGACUUCAUGCAUCUCCAGGAAGCCAAAAAAUCAGAGAAGUACUUAAACAGAGGAAUCCCAAUAAAAGCAGCUCUCUCUCUCUCUCUCUCUCUCUGUGUGUGUGUGUGUGUGUGUCUUAGUACUCAUCUCCAUUGUGCACACUUUUUCAAAAAAUUACGAUUCCCUAAAUUGGGUUUUUAACCCUUGUUUGACAUACCCUUGCCAAGAUUCAACGAAGACUACACUGUUCUGCUUCAGAAAAUCUAACAAGUUAUAUUCUCGGGUUCAAAGAACAAAACCCUAAACCCUACACUGUCGAUGGCGUUCUCCAACAUGUUUCUUUUUAAUCAUUUAAGGAUUCCCUUGCAACUUCCGUAUUUCAAUGCCGCUCGAGUAGCCUUCACAUCGCCGAUUCAUGACUACCAGGCUCCAGUUACCGCUAACUACUCACAUCAAGGCUAUAGCCAACAGAAAAAAAAAUUGCACCAGGUGCAGAUGGGCGACACAAACGGCAUCACAAAUGGCAACCAGUCCGGGUGCUUACCUCUCCAAUCCUCCAUUUGCCACCGAUCGUAUCGUGCUCGCCCUCUCCCUAUCCUCGCAAUUUUUAUCAAAUGCAUCAUCCCAUACCAACAUUAACGCGUCGAAAUUCCACUGUGAGGUUCUCGCUCGCCCUCCGCCCGACGACUUGCGCUUCUCCUUCGCCUUCCCCUUCUUUUGCUUGCUGGCAGCCCAUGCCAAUCCCGGCUGCCAUGACCCUCCACUCCCUGUACUUCUUACGCCACUCACCAGCUCCGCGAAUUGCCCCAAUUCGACCCGAGAGCCUCGAAUUGAAGACCCAUAAUUGCAAACACCGCCAAUUUUCGACAACGGAGUGACCAAUCCGGCAGCCAUUUGCAUUCUUCCAAGUUUCUCCCCACAAACAAUCCUCCUACUCACCACAAUCUCUCACUCACUCGUCAUCCGUGUGAGUGAAAUCUGUAGUUCCCCAGCGAGGUUCAUAGAAAUUGGUACGGCUGGGAAAUGUCGGAUUUCUCAGAGGCGGAUUGCGAGAAACAUGAAGAACAAAAUAAUGGAUCAAUGCAGUGGCAUCGGAUUGUCGAUGCGAGUGAGAUGAUGAUCUCCUUUGUAAGAGAGAGCAAGGAAGCGCAGCACUCGAACUUCGGAUUUGAAUGGAUAAGGCCCGCCCGCCUUGGUUGUUGCGCCCCCACUUUGCAAGGGGCUUGAAGAAGCUUUGCAUCAUGCUAUAUUUUUAUAAAAUAAAAAAUAAACACACACACACAAUUGUCAAGUGAUGUGGGAAGUUGUGCUCACCCUACAGGUUUCAUUUAAUGAAAUUUCGGUGUAAACUGAUUCUUUUUCAUGUUUUGUUAAAUGUUGAAAGUAAUCUAUGUAUAUAUUGGUUUUAUAGAACUAAAAAUAAAAUAAAAACAUAAACAUAAACAAAGAAAUGUUUGUAAUGUGGAGAAAUAAUUAUAUUAGGUUGAAUUAUGCAUAUGAAUAGGGAUCUUGUAUACCAAUAACUUAAUAUAAUCAUUGUCAAUAGUAUUUAUUUAUAAAAAAAUCUCAAUGAAAAAUAUGUUAUUGAGUUAGUUAUUGGACCUUAAUUUGAUUGUAUAUAUAUAAUAAUUGUUAUCAUAGUAGAAUAACAAUGCCCUCAAUCCUUCACAUCUUCUUUUUGUUUUAUUUCUAUUAAGACUUUAUUGUAGUUCUACAAAACUUAUUUUAUUUUGAGAUAAGCUAUAAAAAUAAAUAAGACAAAAUAAUGGCAAUCUUUGUGCACAGUGCCUCCAACGUGGUUGCAAAAUCAGUCCUUAUUGAUAUAGUCAAUAGAUUAGCCAUAUGAUGGAGAGAAGUGAUGUGCACUAGGAAUAGAGAGAAAGGCUUAUUAGGUAUAUGAGAGAGAGCUCUAAACCCAUAGCGUUACUUUGUUGCUUGUUUUUGAACUAAUUGAUAUAAGUUGUUGUUUAUUGUGUUCUAGAAUAACACCUCAGAUUUCCUUUUACAAGAAUAAUAAGGCCCCCUCUCUCUCCCCUUCUUAGGCAUGACAAAAUUAUUGUUCUCCUAAUUUCAUUAAACAUGGGUAUUUUCUUCUUUUUCUCUCUCUAAUUUCUCUUAGAUCUCUAUUAUUAUUAUUGCCCUUAAUUGUAGCACACAUGCUAUAAUUGGCCGUAGCAAACUCUAUUCCUAGUCAAAUUUGCUUUUUCUAUGAUAAUCAACAAAUCCCAAGCUUAAACAAUCCACGUCUUAGGACUCUUUUUGUCAAAUCUUGUAUUAUCAUCAACAUACAUAUUUACUCCAAUAAUUAUCUAGAUAGUAGGAAUAGGUAGAAGUGAGUGAAAGUAUGUAAUUAAUAAAAUAUCUUGUGGAAAAACUUCCUAGAAGCUUUAUAGAUGUAGAUUUGACUUUAUACAUAUUUGUAGGUGAUUGUUAAGUUGAAAACUUGGUCAACAAGUUGGCCUUGUGGCACACAUAUAGGAAACUUGCCUUACAAACUAGACAUAUAUCUUGCACAUUACACACAUGUUGGAGGUCCUAUAGAACGUCACUACAUAGGUCCAAGUUAGAUAGUAUAUUUAGAGGUAAGAAUGAAGCCUUUCUCACUCUAGUCAAUGCUUUUCUUACUUCUAAUCUAGUUUUAAGAGUCUCUAGUUUUUUUAGUCUUUGGCAAUAGCCAUAUUAGCUUCUUCUUUAAGAUACAUACUUAUCCAUUUCCUUUUUGUCAUUCUUUUUUGAUAAACAUCUCACUUAUUUAUGUACAUUCUUUGAGUUCUUAUUCUAGAUAUAUAUUCUCUUAAUAUGUUAUAUUGUUGCACAUUGAGUUUAAACAUAAUAUCACAUUAUUUUCUAACAACAUUGGAUUCUUUAAACAUAUUGCAAAUAUUUUCUAUAGUGAAAUAUUUGAAAACUAGCAUUUUCCAAAACAAUAAGAUAAUAAAAUCUUUAUAUAUAUAUAUAUAUAUAUAUAUAUAUAUUUAUCCAAUACAAAGCAAAGAUCUCACUGCUAGUGAAAUUUUAAAAUGUAAAGUUAGAAGCUUACUCAAAUGAUAUACCAAAUAUUGAUUUCGUAAGAUAAUUCUUGAUAAUAUAUUAAUAUCAACUUAAAAGAAAUGUAAGAUAAUAUGUAUUUUUUCAUUUUUUUUAAUAUUUUCACAAUAACUUAUUAAUUUCUAUUUUUUUAUCCAUUAUGAUAUAAUUUUCUUUUGAUAUAUGCAAAUAUGUUAUUUUUUUGUGUCUAAAAAUACUAAAAUAAAAUAAAAUAAAAUCAUCAAGUAAACAUCAAAAGUUAUUAAGCAAGUCAAAUGCAAAGAAUGAUGAAAAGCUUAUGCACAUUGGCAUUACUUUACAAUCAAAAGAAAAAUCAAAUACUGAUGAUAAAAUCAAAUUCAAAAAGACAGCAAAAAAUUGAAGGAAUACCAUAAAUUUUAGAACAUUAACUGAAUGAUACAGUACUAAUUUUUUUCUUAAAAGAUUUAAGGCUUUUUUGUUUUUUUAUUAAAAAAAACAAUUACUUAAAAAAUCUAGAAGCUUGUAAAGAAUUAGAAGUCAAGAAUCACUUCAUAAGUUCCUAAUUAUUAUUAUUAAUUUAAACUAAAGUAACAUGUUAAAGAAAUCAUUCAAUAUUAUGAUGUACAUUAAAUUUUUAAAAUAUAUUCAUAUAAAAACUAUACAAAGAGGGUGCAUAGACAUUAUAUGCCUAUAAAGAAGUAGGCAAAAUCGGAUUAAUAUGCUAUUCCCACAUUCAAUGAAACCUUAUGUUCUAAAUAACAGGCUAUGGUAUUUUAUAAGAUAACUAUAUCAAAGACUUAAUACAUAUUGAUAAAAGUUCUCAUAAUUGGAUUUUAAAAUGUCCUAAAUAAUUAUUAUUUUUUAAAGUUGUAGUUGUAUCAAAAAAAAAAUAGUUUUAUAAUUUGAAUAGGAUUAAAUUCCACAUGAAAUUUAGCUAUUGCAAUUAUUACCUACAUAUUGACAAUUGCCUACAGACAUAUAUAGUUUAGUGGGUUAGUUUAGAGAAGUGGGUAAUUACAGGGAUGCUCAUUUCAUUCUUUUGGUAAAUGAUGUUAGCUUAGUAGAGGACUGUCGUGGGAAUUGAAGAGUGCAUCCAGCCGUCCUUGCAGAUGUGUUUUUUUUACCAAGUUAGAAGCAACUGAUUAAUCCUUGAGAGUGGAGUGGAAUCAGUAAGUUAAGGCUAGAAAAAACAUUCACCGCCUGUUGAGACAAGUUUUGAUCACAGUUAUUGCAACUUUUCAAAGGAGCAACCAGGAUGAGGAAUUUAAUGAGAAAUACAUGAAUGCCAUGGUUGAAAGAUAUUUGCUUGCUGGAGACCAGUACCCAUCUUCCAGUGUAAACCUGCAUUUUGCAAACAUUUUUCUUUCCGAGCACCGGAUACUUCAACCUUAGCCUUCUGAAACAGUGGGGUAAUACUUUAGCCAUGCUACGCUCAUCUUGCAAAGGCUUUGUUAAAUCCGUGUUGGAGAGGGUCAAAGCGUGUGUGUUCGUUCAUUCUUCUCUUGAGGAAAACCGAGACUUUUGUGUAUAUAUAUAUAUAUAUAUAUAUGCAAGUUGGUGAUAAAUUUGAUGAGAGUCGCUUCGAAUCAGUAACUGUAACACUACCAAUUAGCGGACGGCUUUUUGGGAACUUCUGAGACCACUCCUCACGCAAUCGCAAAGUCUUGUACAAAAUCCACCCUGAAUAUGCCAAGUUGGGCUUGCUGAUUGCUUUCUGCAGGUAUUGAUUUUAGUGAGAAAGGCAGGGGUGACACCAACAGCGACAUCAAAGUGGGUGAAGCGAAUUGGCAGGGGAGAGAAGUACAGCUAAACCGAGUGAGGGAAAUAAAUUUGCAAUUGGAAGAACAAAGGACCCAUUAAGAACAAGUGGGAGUGGAUAUGAACAUGACCAGACAGUCGAGAAAUGCAGCUUUUUCAAAGAAAAGAGACAGGGCAGAAAGACAAUGGCAGUGUAAACAAAAAACUUAAUAUCUUUUAUGUACUGACUGAAAGUGAUUGCAUUCAUGACACUUUUCCUUGUGUUGCAUAGCCCUUCAAAUUUACACACAAGAUUACGUAGAAUAACAUGCCAAUGAAAAAUUGUGAUGAUCCUUGUCUCUCUCUUGCUUGAGAAAAACCAUUUCACAUGUGCCAAACUAAUACAACACCGAGUUUGAUGAAGCUGAUUGGAAAACCGUUGUGGUCGAGGCUGGAAGGUUGACGAGGUGCAAAUUGGAAGCGUCAUUUUUAUUAUUAUUAUUAUUAUUUUAAUGUGGGAAGUGAAUGAGCUUCACACAAACCCACCAAAGCUGCCAAUUUAAGCUUACUGAAAAUACAACAUAAGGUUUGGGGAGUUGACAUGCAAAAGAAAAAGUGGCUGCUUCUCAAUUCUUUGAAAUUUUUUGGUAAGAAGAUAAGAGUGGUUGACUCAUGUGUAUUUAUUAUUAUUUUUAUUAUUAUUAUUUUGGAAUAACCUACUGUGAAAGUAGGCUUGGCAAAAGAGGUGAUGGUGUGCUAGUUAAAGAUUACUUUUUUCUAUCUCAUUUUAUUUUAUUUUUGUUUCUUUGUUUUACUAGUUGUGCACUUAAUUAUGAUUAGAAUUUAUAUUUUAAAUUAUAAAUUAUAAUUUGGUAUUUUAUUAGAAUUUAUCAGUGAUUAGAAUUUGAUCUUAUCUUUAAAUAUUAGAAUUAAUAUUGAAAUAUUUUAUAUAAUUUAGACUAUAAAUUUUGUUAGAAUUCAGAUUUAGUAUUUUCUUAGGAUUAGGAUUUAGAAAUUUAGAAAUUUUAUACCAAUUUCUUAGAAUUAGGAUUUAGGAUUAAGAUUUAGUGAGGAUUAGAAUUUAAGAUUAAGUUUGAUGUUUGUAAAUAUUUAAUAGAAUUUCGUAAGUUUAAUUUUUAAAAUUUAGGAUAAAAUAGUUUUUUAAAUAUAUGCUUAUAAUAGAAAUUGUUAAAAUAUAGAGUUAUGAUUUGAAAUUGACCUAAAAUUAAGUUUAGGCUUGUUACAAUUGGAUUAUAUAUAGGCUUAUAUUAAAAUAAAUGAAUGAAUUAUAAUAGAAAAAUCAAACUAAAAUUUAGGUAUUUAUAGGUAUGGUGAACCUUGUGGCAGUAAGCAUAAGAUUAGUUUAUAAUCAAAUAAGAGUUUAUAAAAGAAAUUAGUUGUAAUUUUUAUUUUUAUUAUAAAACAUCCAAAUUCUUGAUAAUAAAUUAAUCUUUAAAUAUGACAUAGUAAAGUGGACAUGUAAAAAGUUGCGACACUUGGGUUAAUUUCAAUUUUCUAAUAAAUUCAAUUGUUGUGAGUUGUCACAAAGCAGUGAGCAAGGUUGUACAAUCCAAGUAAUGAAUCUCAUGUGUAGAUGCGAAGUGCGUAAGCAGGUUCCAUUCUGCAAAUGGAAUCACAAGUUGAUAUCUGACAUCCUAUUGCCGCGAGCAGCCGAGUACUAUUGUUUAAUCACAAAGACUCUGAAAAGAGGAGAAUAGGUAGAUGCUUGUCGCCUUCGGAGAGGGUUGCAUGAGAAGUGGAAUGGUAAAUGCAGCAAGAGUGAAAAUAUUGAAAAUAGUAUGCAGAUCAAUCCGAAUACUAUCAUGGAUAGCCUUAAAAGUAAGAAUCUAAGUCAUAAGAAUAGAUUGAAAUAGAAGACCGUGGCAACUUUGAAUUGACAAGAGUAAAGUAUACGUGCAAGCUAUAUGUUGUCAAUGCCUUCUGAGAGCACCGUCCUUGCUUGACCUCGACAUUGUCGACAAAGACUAACCCUGGUACUAAACUCCACAAACAGAAGAUGGAGAAGUUGUUUCACCCUAAUAAAUAGACUAGUGAAAAAGUUCACACUUCCCAGCUUCCUCCAAAGCAAAAUUCUGCUACUGUAACUGUUUUCGAUUGCUCCUAAGUCUUUGUCAACCAAGAUUUGAUUCAGAACAGAAAAAUGUUAAAACUCCCCUGCGUAGUAACGUACAGUGAAUUGUGUGGAUAUGAGCAGUGCACUGCUAAUCAGACAAUUGGUAUGAAUGGAUUAGAUCAUGAAGUUUCUAGUCUGACCAACGCUCAAACAGUUCUUGUUGACAUUGCAAUCUUAAACUUUGUGCAUUGUUAGCACCAUUGUGAAGUCAACAUGGAACAAUGAAGUCAACCAAUCUAAAUGAGGUGCUUUGUGACGAGGACUUAUAAUCUCAGAUUGCACCCCAAAAUACUGAUUUCUAAAGAUGAAAUGACUUUGGAUUGUGUGCGCACAAACAGUGAUUGGUGCAAUGCACUAUCAAUGUGAUGGAAUCUUGUGCCUACUCCGGGUGAGAAGAGAUAUUUUCUAAAAGACACAACAUGUGACUUCACCCUGUUAAAAGUGUAUACUUUUGAUCUUAUAAUACAAUUUGCUGAUUGUGAUUCCAAAUCACUAGUUAUUAUAUGGUACUCUCUUUUUGGCAGAAUUUUUUAGAGAAAUAGGCUCUUCAUGAAUGUAUAUAUAUAUAUAUAUAUAUAUAUACAAUUGUUGCAUCAAUUGAUUAAUAGCACAUGUUGAGAGGGUUUUGGAAGAGCUUUUUCAAGUUUGGAAUAUUUUAUUAUUUGCAAUGCUCUAAUAAUUUCAAGAAAUAUUUCCAAAAUAUUCUCUUUAUUCCAUAUGUAGUUAUGAAACCAAAACGGUUUAUAAUGUGAAUAUAUACAUAUAUAUAUAUAUAUAUAUAUUUCUUGCUAUAUACUAAAAUUUAAUUAGUUCUCAAAAAAUACUUCUGAGCAGGAUGACAUCAUUCCUACUGAAGUUUACAAGUUGACUUACUUUAUAAUUUCAUGGUUGUUUAACGAGUCAACAAUUUUAACCAACUUUAUAGUAGCUAAUAUCAGAAAUGCUAACAGAACAACUGUUUUUCGGUUUCUUAUCGUUGAAACUAGUUUGCUUUCACUAGGCACAAUGGUCGCACUACCUUCAGAGCCUUUUUUUUUUGUUUCUUUUUCGCGUUUUUUUCUAAACUGUCUAUUGAUUCUCGUAUUUCUAUGCGUAGACCUGAGACAGUUCGGCGCAGUGGAGAUGCGAGAAUCUAGAUGAGCGCCGUUCCAGCGCGUUGUGCAACAAUAUCGCGGCAUCGUCAUCGUUGUCGUCGUCGGCAAAACUGAAGGCUGUAGAACAGAUCACUUCGGUUGCACGGGGAAAGGCGCAAAGCCGCCACUGUAAUUGAACCCCGAGCGCUGCGAGGACGUGGACCCCUGCGAGAACUGUCCCGAAGCAGGCUCGAAAUCAUCGGAGAAGACGUCGGUGACCGACAGUGGCGGCGCACGGCGACCGGGAUCGUAUCCCUUCGGUAGAUCCGUGGACUUUCCCCCGCCGGGCAUGAUCUGCGCCUUCGGACCCACUAGAACCUCCAGCUUCUGCAUCACCUCGUGCAUUGAAGGUCGUUCCAAGGAUGUGUCUUCCACGCAUGACAAGGCGAUGGUUAGGAAUGUCUCUAGCUCAUCCUGGGGCGUGUCCGCCAGGGCUGGGUCUAGCAUCUCCCUCACUCCCUCCAUGCCUGAUCUGUCGAUCUGGCUGCGUACCUCCCGGACGAUGUGGCCGCCGCUUGAGACCGGGGGUUUGCCCGUUAAGAUCUCCAGCAGGACGACGCCGAAGCUGUAGACGUCGCUUUUGGGGGACAUCACGCUGGUCAUGUAGUACUCCGGAUCCAGAUAGCCCUGGUGGUUCAUGCACCGUGUCGCAGAUCAGCUUUUCGCAUGAUUGGGUUACGAAGGAAAGUGAGAAGAUAACGUAGGGGCGAAAGAAAUAGUGGUCACGCACCAUGGUUCCCUUGAUGGUUGGCUUGAAUGAAUAAGUUCCCUCAUUCGGCACCAAAACGGAGAGUCCGAAAUCGGCGACCUUCGCAUUAAGUUUCUUGUCGAGCAGAAUGUUGGGCGACUUGACGUCUCUGUGAAGGAUUGGCGGAUCUGCGUUGUCGUGCAAGUAGGCCAAACCUCGGGCUGCACCCAGUGCUAUCAGAAGUCUUCUGUCCCAGUCUAAAGGUUCAAUACCCGCUUUCCGGCCUGCAUAUCAUUUACGCAUAAUUCAGAAAACGAAACCAUAACACAGUAAAACGUUUCUGGGCAUCUUCGUUCUCAUCUCUAGCACUCUAACCCGUUCACCCCUUCGACAGGACUCGUGAUUUCUUGCCGAUCCAACGUCUACAAGCAUCAAAAGAUGCUUCCAAGAAUUCAAGCUAAUUUUUGAAAAAAAUGGCAUAAAGAAAAAUUACAACGCUCGUUACAGACGUUGGACUUGUUAAUACUCACCACGAAGCGCUUCGGUCAAUGUACCAUUGGGCAUGUACUCAUACACAAGCAUUUGCUCUUCCUUCUCGCAGCAGAACCCCACAAGCCCCACCAGGUUACAGUGAUGAGCCCGUGAUAGUAGCUCUAUCUCAUUCUUGAAUUCAGUGGCACCUUGUUUGGAACCUUCUUGUGCCCUUUUCACAGCAACCAUGGCCCCUGUGCCUGCCUGAAUACCCUUGUAUACCUGUUCAACACACAUUCACCACCAAUUCCAGUGAUGAAUUUCAUCGUACCGGCACCAUAAAAACAUGUAGAAUUCAAACUAGUGAGUACACUUGCGCAGUUACACGAGCAUGCUCCACAGUUCACAAUCUACACGUAUCACGAGCUGGUAUUUAGUUGUAAACGUGACACACCUUGCCAUACCCUCCUUCACCGAGGAGGUUGUCCUCACUGAAAUUAUUUGUCAGUCUCUUCAUGUCAUCAAAGCUAAAGUAGUUGGCUCCUUUCAACCUGGGUACCGCGCCACCUUUCAUAUUAUCCCAUUUACCUGCACAUCGAACAACCCAAGUAACAUUCAAACAUUUGUCUAAUUGCAAUAUGGUGACAUAUCUAUCAUCAAAACUCACCAAGAGGGAAUUCGAAAACAUAACAAAUAUUUAGGAUGUAGAGGAUCUACCAAAAGGAUUCAACUCCCGUUCUUUCUUGACUCUGCCUUUCAUUACGCAAGCUAAGGAGACCAAAAACCCAACGAGCAGCAACAAAGAGGCAGCUCCUACGGCAAUGCCAAUAAUGGCUAUUCUCGAGAGACCCGAAGAGGCUGUCGAAAGUGGUUCUGCAUCACAUCAUAUUGAUCAGUCAGCAUCAUGACAUCAUUCACAAAGACGACUCACCAAAUCCAUGCAAAAAAAACUUGAAACCUCAAUCCACAACCCUUAACCAUAUACUCCUUGGUAUUCCAGAAGGUACCUUCAGAAUUUUGGAUAGCUUUGACGAGUUCCGGCUUGAAAGGAGGGUAAUACUUCACUUUCUGAAGAGUAAAGCUUCUCGUGAUAAAAUCCGCAGUAACACGAUCCAUGGAUUCACCAACCAGAGGAAAGAAGUACAUAUUAACCUCAACCCUCAAAAGAGAGCCAUUGAAGGACGCAUCGUGGAUCCAGAGCUGCUCAUCUUCGAAUUGCAAUGGAGGGUUCUCAUGUUGGGUGAGAUUCUUCAGCGACGUCAAUGUUUGAUUCAAGAGAGAGUCCCACAAAGACAAGUCAUUGAUAUGUGUGAAGGUGGGCGCUCGGACCUCAAGCGUUACCACAAGAGGUCUGCUACAACGACACUGCAAGGGGUUCAAAACCAACCCGGGGUCACAAAACUGGUUCCCGCAAUUGUUCACGUUGAGCAGAGGGGAAACCCAUUGCUUUUCCAUCGCAGGCUGAGUUGCGUUACACAACUUAGGAUCUGGCUUUACAAUACUAUUGGGGUCUGUGCACAAUGGAUUACCUUGCAACCUGCAGAUUCAUAAAUAAUUCAUCUGAAUAUGAAUACAAUUCAAUAUUUGCAGAACACGUUUAAAUUGUAUUGGUCAUUGUAGCUGAGAAUAACUGACAUUACAUGCGGGUUUAGAGGAAAUGCUCAGCUACCAAUACAUGCAAUAUAUAACUCACAAAAUUUCGACAUUUUUUGCUGCAGUUCGAUCAGUUGCUAAUAUGGUUACGAUUUUGUUGUUCUGGAGAGCGACAUAUCGUAACUUCCGCCCCACAGUCACUGGAAUCGUAAGGGCCCCGUCUAUUGAGUUAUUUUUAAGGUACCUGCUCAGCGAAACAUACAGCAACAAAUCAUUUUCUGGGUUGAAUUACUCAACAUGCGAUUAAAAUCCAUCUCUAAAGAUAACAGAGCGUUUUGUUGAAUGUUUUGGUAACUUACAGUCCCUGAAGUGCCGGGUAGGCUAGAAUAUCAGCAGGCAGUGGCCCAGUCAGAUUCGCAUGUUCAAAUCGUCUGUAUUCCCCAAAAAAGAAUGAAACAACCCAGAAAAACAACCUAAGAUUCAUCAUACAUGUGAACUGGCACGUAGAUGGCAGCUAUAAAAAGUUUCAAAUUUACCAAAUAGCUUGACAACAAAGGAACAGCAGGCAAAAGACCUAUAACAUCAUCUAAUUGGAAAUAAUUCAUAAAGAAAUAGCCUACUAUGGAGUUUCAAAGAGUUUGGAUGCCGCACAUUGUUUGUAUGCGACUGGCGGACGCAUUCAACCAUGAUGGAAAAAUCUGUGAAUCGAAACUGUUGUUGCUGAAAUCACUGUCAGACACAAGUUUCGAAAGUGUCAAAGCAGCGAAUUAAAAUGUCAAUGUCGCUCGACACUGACUUGAGGUGCAUGUCAAGGAAUUCGAAUAUGGCAGAGGAACACAUACACUACAAGUGAAGAUCGUAACUGUCUGUGACAACCAACUGCAUGAGAUUUAAAGAACAGUGAUAGAUAAGCUGCAUCAAGCGUAUGGUGAAGCUUACUUACACAUACUCAAGCUUGGUGAGAGCACUGAAAACUGGCACAGUCCCAGUCAGCCGAUUGUUGGACACACGGCUAACGACGAGAACAUGAAACACAAAGAAAAGAGCAUCAGCUGACCAAAUCGGUUGACAUUACCAUUAACACAUCAGGAAUACUCUUACAAAGUGGAUUUCCUCUAAAACCAUUGUAAAUCAUCACAUCAAGGUUCUUGAAACUGCCAAAUGGAAUGAGAACCUGAAUGAUGAACCUAACAGUCUCUCAGUGCAUUUGCCAACAUGAGAGGUCAUGAAUGAACACAACAUCGAGGAAAGCGAACAAAGACAGGGACAGAGAGUUGGCCAUACAUUUGAAGCAACCCUCUGGUGCCAUUUGUGAUGAUCUUGUUCAGUGAAGAGGGAAUUGGACCGGUCAGCUCAUUGUAGUGAACAUUCCUGUUGCACAUGAAACCGGGUGGAGGCCUAAUGAGACAAGUAAAAUAACAAUCUAUUCGAAAAGAUUACAUGAAGGUAACCGCACAAGCCGAGAACUAAGCGGCUAUUACUGUUUGUAAGACAAUGGCAGUGUCACAACAAAAAUGAUACCACAUCCGUUCGCAGAGCACUGUUGACAAAUCCUCUUCAUUGGUGAGUGUCAAGAUUAAAACAUCACAAACCAAAGCUAAUGCAUCAUAAAAAAAUAGCACAUAGCUUACAGGAUCUCAAGGGCGGAAAGAUUUCCAAAAGUUCCUGGAAUCGGUCCAGUGAAUUUAUUGACUUCCAGGAGCCUGCACAACCCGAAAAACGAGAUCAAUGCCUUCGUAAAUGCUUCAAUUAGGACACAAAACAGAAGAUCAUCUUGUCCUAAACUGGUGGUCAACGUGACAUAAGACUUGCUAGACCUAAUAGUACAUGUAAAAACUGCAGGGGUAGAAUGCGAAGGAAUAAGCAUGAAACAAAUCAGGAAUAUCAAUAAACUACAAAAGCUUACUCAAGCGAGGGCAGUUCAAAAUAGACAGUGUGUGUGAAGAACUCACAUGUGUAUACAUUUUGGGGCCUUCCCAAGUUCAGGUGGAAUGGGACCAGAGAAAAGGUUGUCAUUCAAAUGGCUACAAAGCAAAACACCAGCUGGUUUAUUAUGCUGCCAACAACAUGAAUACAAAUCUUGACUAUAACAAUAGCAUUCGGAGCACAUAGCAACAGCCUCAAUAAUUUGGAGCGGAAAAUCGACCGAAAUGAAAUCUGGCAAGGGAGAUGAACAUGUCUUACUAGUGUUCAAUGACUGGCCAGGUAUCAAGUCCCAUUCUCUCGCGAUUGUUAGUUGAGACAGGCAAAGGUCCCGAUAGUCGGUUGUAAGCGACGUCAAACCACUUCAAAUGCGUAAGCGCACCAAGAGAAGGUGGAAUAGAUCCUUCUAGCAUAUUGUUAUUUAGAGCGCUGAGAACCACGACCACACACUUCACUGUCCAAUUCGCACGAAAACAUACUAUUUUGGAAAGACGCUAAAGUUUUUGAAUUGUAGAACAUACAAUAAAGUUGAAGAUGCUGUAACUAUGCUAUUAAGGUCAACUGGCCAACAUCUCUUGACAUCUCUUGACAGUAAAACAGAAAGCUACACAAAACUAAUUGACAACUGUUGGAUCGGCUAAUUUGUCGUUGAAGUUUCUUUAUGUGAGGAUCAGACAUUAUAGAACCUAGCUAAAUCUAGACACAUUACAAUGAAGUUGUAGUUCGUGACCAAAGAGAGAUUGCUUGAAACUCACAGGAAGGUCAAGUUCACCAGCUUCCCCAAUGAGGAGGGGAUUUCUCCUUUGAAACUGCACUUCUGUAAACUCCUGUAAGAAUUACACAUCUAAUUAUCGAGUGAUAUGAAACACAGCAAAAUCAACGAAACACGCGAACACCAAGUACUAGAGGUACCAACACAAUAUUUUCUCUACACUUGUCUACUAUCAGAGCUAAAGCUGCAUGAGAACAUCAAAAGUUCAAUGCGUGCGUAACUUACAGAUAGAAUAGGUUGGUUAGUGAGCCUAGUUCGUCAGGUAGAGCUCCUCUCAAAUUAUCGUUGAAUGAAAUAUCCCUGCGUGCAAAACCGUUCAACAAGAUCAGCAUUUCACGAUGUAGAAACGCCCAAGCUCACUCUACUCAAGCUACAGGAGUAUUCGUGCUUCAAACCGACUGAACGGGUGCAAUUAUUGGUCCAAAGCAAGUGAAAAGCCCCAAACGUAGUAAAUUUCCAUCAGCUUCAUGACCCGUUCUUACUGCGUUAACAGCAACCACCAAAAAAAAACCCCACUUACAGAUUCUGAAGAGCUGACAGGCCGCCAAUUUCCGGAGGAAUAAUUCCAUUCAGGUCUCUGCUCACCAAAUACCUACACAAGAACGAUGUAAACAAAACAAAUCCAUUUCAAUGUUGAAAGUGAAGAAAUGCCAAGUUUGCAGAAAAGUGAAAGAAAAGUAGAUUACCAAGAUAAUAAAUAUGAGCAAGGUUGGAGUGCGCGUACAAGGAUAUCACUCGAUUGCCUUUACAAAUAACACCCUCCCAUCUAUCGACGCAAGGAUCUGGGCCGACCCACAUAUCCGUGCCUCCACCCCAAGCCAUCUUCAGAGCUUGCAGAGCCCUUACUGCACACACACAAAGCAACCAUUUCACUGAUUUCAUUUCCCCGCGCUAACGCAAAAUUCACAGAAGACAAUCGCGAGAAGAGGUGACGUUCCUUCAACACAGACUUGUUAGAACCCCGCACUGAAAUGUAACAUCCUCCUCGCACAUGUCAAUGUAGUGAACUGCAAAACCUAAGUGUCAUACCAAACAGGGGCUCGAUCGUACUACUACGAUGCUGAGGUAGCACCUCAAAGUGCAUAUAGACGCCCACGGGAUAGACUUAAACCUGGAAGAUCUGCCUCGAACACUGCAGUGUGUUCGUCUGCUGAAAUGGUUGUAAAAGUUCAUAGCUAAGAAUUCUACCCUUUUGGGCCGGGGAAAAAAAUGAAUCUCUACGCUCUAGGUGCUGGAUCGAAAGGCAACUACGACACCCAACAGUGGACAAGGAAACUUGCUUGAAGGCCUUCUGUUUGGCCAAGUUGUGGACUUGCACAGGUCACUAGACUGUUACAACAACAAACAAACAAACAAAACAAGCAAAACAAAACAAAACAAAUGAAAAGAAACAGUACUUUCUUGUCUGGCAAUCUACUGCUGACAGUGGAAUCUCUCCACAGUCCCAAAAAAUCGGAUUAGUAAGCACAUUAGCUCCUGGUUGAUUGAAGUGAUGAGCUUACAAUCAUCAAAAUUAACCGGUUCCCCCGCAGCGAGAAACCAACUUGAGUGAAAGCAACUGGCUGCAAGGGCCAGGCAGAGGCAAAGCCUCAUGCAACGAAACAAUUCCAUUGUUAUUGUUUUCCCGGCUGCUUCAGCACCUUGCAAUCUACACCCCCAGCUCCAAACCGUCACAAGAACUUAAAGCUGAUCUCACUCGUGAAAGCAAACCCACUAUGUUUUGAAUGCAUCUGUCAUAAGACUAUCGGCAGCAUGUAUCCGGCCAAACUCCAUCCUGCGAACUGCAAUUUUCAAUCGCCUUCACGUAAGCGACCAGAAUCCUGGAUCAAUGAGGUCUUCUAAGAACUUCGAUGACGAUGGACUUCCCGUGCGCAGCUUUACUGAACUACGAUGAAGGGUCUGUCCAAUGGUGCGUGUGGCACACACACUCUCAAGCUUUCAACCCACCCUUGCGCUGCAUCACCGCAGACGCCUUCUCUUCAGAGACCACAACCCUGAGGACCUGAAGAUUAACGUCAAGCUCCUGAAUCUUCGGGUAGCAGAGUACCCUCUGAAGUACCAUCUCAUGUACCGUCCAGGUAACGAUUUGCGCCGCAAAUAACCUGAAUACACACACUGACAGCAAUCAACUUGAGCUCAAGUUGAUUGCCAGCAAUCGCAUGGACCUAUAAAAGACCUCCACUAUCACCUCGACUUGUCGAAUUCUGUCAACUGGGUCCAGAUUAAAGUAAGAGGACACUGAGAACUGCACCAGAAUAGUAAAGGGCAAGAAUAGCGGGGGAGGCAUCAAACCACAUCUUCGAUGCGGUCACGGUAAAAAUGUUCUACCGACAAUUUCCAUCCCGAAGUUACAGCGCUAGAUGCAUAUCUGGACCACAUGUCAUACAGAAAGUGUUAUAAAAACGCUGUAAAAGUAUAGAAAAAGACUAAUUUAUUUCAAAAAUAGAUUGGAACACAAUACAUCCAACUGUAUCAAAGCUUGGCAGAUUCUGCAUUACAACACGUUUUUAUCAAUGGAUCUUAUCGGUAGAUUAAACAUGUAACUGAUAUAUUAGAGUGAGCUUUGUGUCAGAGGUGGACAACAAUAGGGGAAGAAUCACUAAACAUUCAUUUUAAGCAUUGAGAUCUUUUGCACUUUUACUCCAGGUUUAGAAGGGAAGAAAUGGCUACUAGUACUAAAUUUAUAAACUAGAAAUCAUAUUCAUUUUGUGCACAAGUCUUCCAGUGCAAAAGAAUGAUAACGACAAAACCAUGUGUAUUGUCAGAUUGUUAAAUUUUAUUUCGGUGCAUUAGAAGCUUAAGCAAAUCUAGUCGUGUUUGAAAUUCUGAGUAUUUUGAUCUCUUAUCUUGUAACAAAGACACGAUAACAAUUUACAAAACUAUUUAUAAUAUCCGUAAAUGAAAAUAAAUAAAUAAAUGAUGACAUUGUGGUAGAAGUAUUUCAAAACCAAGUAUUUUUUUUUUAAGAAAAUAAAAGACUAUUCAAAUGCACUUGUGGGUUCUUGUUCAAAUGAAUUUUUUGCAUAUCUAAUUAACAUCUUAGGGAAUUGAUAUAAAAAAUGAAACUUGUUACUGUUGAAAUUUAAGAAAAGAGUAGUGUGUAGGUUUUGCUCAUAAUAAUUUUAUUUUCAAAAUGUACAAUAGUGCCUUAUUUUUAAACAAUUUUUUAAAAAAUGAUGGUCCUUUGUAUUUCCUUGUUGACCACUUUGAAUGCUAAAUAUACUUCUCUCAAAAACCAACAUCUAGCAUGUAUGCUACUGAAAGCAUGUCCUGUAUAUGAAGUUCAUUUCGUUUCAUUAAGAGUGCAUAUUACAAAAGAUUGUAGUGGCAGUAUUAUUUAGAAGAGAAUCAAAAAAAAAAAAAAAAAAAAAAAAAACAACAACAACAACAACAACAACAACACUUUAAAAAAUAUUAAUUUAAUGUAAAUAGUGAUUUGACUAGUGAAGGAACAGUAAAAACAUGAAAAACGUUGAACAACAAUUCUAUCUCCUUUCAAUAUUUUUUAAACUAUAAACGACAAAGUUGCUAUCCACUACCUCCAAGAUUUGAGUAUGAUACAACUUGUCAUAGCGUAAACUAGUAAACUACUUAGACCAGGGUCAGUGAUGAAGAGCAAUGCAGCCUGCAAAGAGCUUCUGGGUCCGAAUCAUUAAUAAACCAAAAAAUACACGAAUUUCCUAAACUAAAUAACAUAAAUAAAUAUUUAUUUUUUUAUUUAUUGAAAACGAAAUACAACACUGAAAAUGAAUAUUCAAAGCCCUCUUUGUGCAAAAACUGGAAGUUGGACCAGCCUCAACCCAAGACAAACUAGCACUAGAAUCUAACAAAAAACAAUAAAGUAUAAUGGAGAAGUAUAAUGUACAUGUCACAUAUCAAAACCUUCACAUACUUACUUUAAAAAUGAUAUUAUUCAUUGUUAUGUAUCGAAGUUUUACAAAUCUCAGUUUUGGCAUUGGUGAUGAACUUGUCUUGUCAUCCUCUAUGUCAACAAAAUUCAAAAGAAACCAAAUUGUUUUUAUAGUAAUAUUCCACAAGGUUUUUUUAUUUUUUUAUUGUUUAAUGUAUGUAGUUUCCAUGAUUUUUUUUUUAAUAGUUGAAUUUUUGAAGAACUGUUUAUUUAGUCCUUGCAAAUUUAUGAAAGUUCCAGUAUUUUUAAUAUAUUGUUUGCUCAAGACAAGGGUGUAGUUGGAUGUCUCUUGGCUUUAGAAAUGUGCAAAUACAUAUUAUUAGAGCUGUACCAUUAUCAAAUAUGAAGUUUUUUCAACACAAAUAUUUUUAAGACGUCUAAGAGUUGAUAAAGUAAAUACAUAUUGCAAAAGAAAUAAAAUUGCAUAACUUAGAUUUUCAUAGAUUUAUGAUUCUUCUUUGGACUAUUAGCAAGCUGUAGUAAAAUAUUUUUCAGCAAUUCAAAAUUGCAUCGAAAAAUUUAUAUCCAUAUAACUAAGAAUUGAAAAUUGGUGUUAAUUAUGUUUGUGUUUUAAAUUUUAUUAGGUACAUAAUUUGGAUCUGCCAAUUAAAUAAAUAAAAACUAAUGUUAGAUUGUUGUAACAGAGAAGUGUCUUUUCAACUACAAUCUGUAAUAAUAUGAGAUACACAUGGUUUCUAUAAUCUUUGUUUUCCUUAGAAGAAAUUUUGCAUGAUUUUUUUUACAUUUGCUAAUAUAUACAGAUAUAAGAAUUGGAUAACUUUUAAUUUAAAAUCAAAUCAAUAUAAUUUCAUCCUAGUUCUGAAUUGUUGUUACUUUUAUUAGCACACUAUUGUUUUAUAAAAAUUUAUAAAAAAAUAAAAUCAAUAUGCCACAAAAAGAAGUAAGUACAAAUCUUUAAAAAAAUAAUUAAAUAGUGAUGAAGAAUCUAAGGUGGAAAAAGUCUUGGAUUUGGAUUUGAAGUAGUACUAAAAUAAAUCAGAAUGACUAUACUAUAUAUUGGCAUGGAUAUAAUACCAAAGAGGAAGGUAUAAGCCAUCUGAGAAUCUUGUAAUUAUAACAAAAAUAGCUUUGCAUUUUCAUUUAUAACAUCUGUAAAAAUUAAAUAAUAACUAUAAAUGAGAAUACUAAAAAGUUGAAAGAAAAAAAAAAUAACACAGAAUCAUGCAUUAAAUUUUCAUUCUAGAAUUAUUGUUCUAACUUUCUUAUAUACUUCUUGAGUCUAAAAUUUUCUUUAAAAAUUCUUCGGUAAAUUAAAAAAUCAAAAACCCAUAGAUUUUGUUUUUUUAUUUUUUCAAAAUCAUUUGUAGUACCACUUGAUGACCCACUUGUGUUGGGAAAACCUUUUCAAUUUUAAAUCGAUAAAAAAAUAUAAAUUAAAAUAUAUAGAUAUAGAUAUAUAUAUAUAUAUAUAUAUAUACUUUAAAAAGACAAUAAGAUACAAAAUAUUUUAUACCACAACAUUAACAAUUGUUUUGCACAUAUUAGCAAAAAAAUGUUAGCUUUCUCAUUCUCGAUUUAUAAAAAAUUGAUUAUAAAUACAAAGUACAGCCAAAUGUUAGAGUAUAUGUAAUAACACAAAGAUUCAACCUUCCAAAAGUACAUAUUUUACCUAAAACUUACUCAGAUAUCCCCAAAAUUAUGAAUAAAAUCUACGUCUUAUGGAGCCGUCGGUGGAAACGUAUGCACACCGUUUGGUCAGAUGCAUUGAACGGUGUGAAGAACCACGUCACUCGUGAUUCGCGGUAAGAUUCGGCAAAGAGGAGAGAGUGUCGGCGUGGUUUCUGCAGCUUUUAGCGUUGCAUCGGGAGUCGGGGUCGGAGGGAAAACUGCUUGUUUUGUGAUUCAGGGAAGCUUUGAAUCAGGAAAACUGUUUCCUUAUAUUCCUUAACAAUUUUGAAGCAAUACUUUCUCUGUUAAGCAGUUUCUAAGGGGUAAGAAGUGGUGCCAACGACAGUCCCUGGUAUUCAGUGUUCAAAGAAUCAAGCUUCACAUACUUCCCUACAUUUGUAUUUGAUUCCAAGUAACAUACGAGUAAUCGUGCAGUUCGAUAUCGGGCCCUGUUCGCAGUGGGAAUUGCGUUCAUGGGCUCGCAACUUGAAGAUGAUGGUGUUUAAGUGAUAUGUAUCCGUUGUGAAUUUGAUGAAUUCACAACAAGGAACUUGACACAUUUCUACCUGCAGCGUGUGUCAGUCGGUCGUGGACAUAUCCCCACUCAGGGGGGUGUCGGGUGGAAUCGAGUGCGUGUUGGGCUGCAGUGGUAGAUAGGCAUUGGAAUGAGCGCUGUGGGAAGUGAAUAUGGAGGGGGGAGUGUGUUGAAUCGAUUCCUACAUUUGACAAUGUCCUGCUUCUUGCAAAGCAAUUUUGGUCUUACAUUGCUAAGAAAUCGGGUGAGUUUAAAGAUUAGAACCAGAGUGAUGAGGGUGUGAUUACUGCGGAUCGAAGUUUGUAUAUGGUGUGGAUUAGAAGCACGAUGGAGGGUGGUGUGCGAUGUGGUGCAGCUAAGUGGGAUGGUUGCGGUGAUGGUGGGUGAACGAUGGAUCCACGGUACCCUUUCAUCGUAAAUGGUAAAAAAAUCUCAGUCUGCCGAUGUUAGAGCGAUUGUGCACUGUGCAUUUGUGUGAAGUAUGGAUGGAGCAUUGGUUUUCUUGUUAGUGGCGAGUGGUUUUAGUGUAGCGAAGGGACGUAUUGAAGUGAUCUGGGAGAUGUCUGUGAUGGAUGCGAUUUGUGUGUAGGAUGACAAUAAAUUCCUCACAUGGGGUGGGGAUCCAUACGCCACGAAAGGUGUUUGAGGGGCAGUAGGAUCCAUUGUCCGUUUGGAUCUGUCGAGAAUGCAUGGCAGCACAGUGAAAGUUUGGCAUGAAUAUGAUUGUUUGUCACUGGACUUGCGUGCGGUGGUGGAAGGAAUAGGCGAGGCUGGAGGAGGGAUUUGAAGCAAAUUGGGUGAAUGGUUGACGUUGGUUUUUCCGUGGUGACAGGGCCCCACAAGGAGCAGUCAAGAUUUUUUUGAGCAUUGACAGCAAAUUUCCUGCUGUUCGUCAACUCGCAAUUGAAGUGAGCAGUUGAUGGAGAGGUGCACGCAUUUAUGCGGGAAUUGUCAAUUGAAUGAAGUUGCAGACACGAUGAUGCAUUCGUACUGAAAAAUAGUGAUACGACGAGACGUCGGAUUCAACGUGGAGAUGAUAUCCUUACGUAGUUAUGCUAAUGUUGACAGGAAUGCAGUUUGUGUCGGCUGGAUGUUGUUGAUAUGGAGAAAGUGGAUGGAGGAUCGGUGACCAAGCUAGCAGAUGUUGAUGCGGGGUGGUGGCUGCUGGUGAUGUGUCUUACAUUGCGACUUGCAGUGGGAGGGUAUUUCCAUCGCGGCAGCUUGCAGUUGUUUCACGAGUAGAUGAUUGCAUUUGUAAGUGAUUGUGCUUGUUCCACGGAAUGUGUUGUCCGUGCUCUUCAUCUGAAAUGCUCGAAGGAGACGUUUGCAUACAACGCUGGCAAGAGUGAUGGGUAAUGGAAGGUUGGGAGUAAUGCGUGGUGAAGUAGGGCGUGACGAAGAUCUGUGAUAACAGCGAGCUAGUGUUCCCGUGUGGUAGUUUGAAGAUGGAUCGUAGUCUGGGCGAUUGCAGUUUUGGUAACCAGAUGUGGGAAGCGCAUGGUUUUGGUGUAGGUGAGUGGAGAAGAUCAUGAGGCAGUGAAGAGGUGCUAGAAGGUAUUGUUGUGAAGGCUGAGAAUACCUUGAGAAUUUAAUGGAAGCUGGAAAUGAGAUGCAUGAAACCACUUGGAUAUGGUUCUUCUUCUUUAUAUAAAACUGAUGAAAGUGUCACAUUGUUUGACUCUUGGGUAAAGGUGAAGGAAAACCAUAUAAACAAAACAAAAGAAAAUGAUGGCUUGUGGAUGUGGGAUUUGAUGCAGUAGGUGAUGCUGUGUCAAAGAGGUGAGGUAUGUGUGAAGGUGAAUCAGUAUUUUUUUCCCAUGAAAGAUACCAGCUGUUGAGUGACUGGGUGGAGUGUAGUGUGAGCAAAUGCUGAUGAUGUUUGAGGAUUCUGGAAACUGCAGCCUUUCUGGGUUGUGGCAAAAUCAUGUGUGAGCUUGCUGUAUCAUCUCUGUGUGUACCAUGGAACUGUAUGAGGGUGGAGGUUUGGAUGUCCAUGCAGUCUAUUGUAUGCAAUAGUAUGAUGAAGCACAUGAAUGGAGGUUGUUGUGAUACACAGUUGAGAUAAGGAACAAUUUCUAGCUCAUAAAAAGAGAAGAGAAACAAAAGGUAGAGAACAGGAAAUCUAAGGUUUAUGGUUCUUAAUAGUAUUGGUUUAGUGAGGAAAGUCUGUUUGAGUUCUGGUUCAUCCAUAAUUAGAUUACAGUUCACUGCCCCACCUAUUGUUGAGUUUACACUAAUCUGGGUGGUGAUUUAUUAGCUGUUAUCUGAAUGUGGGCAGUCAAACAUGUGAUUGUCCUGUCUAAACAAUCUGUUUAUGUAUUGCAGAAUCCUGUUUGCUCAUCUGUUGCUGUAGCCAACUCUAAAUUUGGUACAGUUUCCCUGAUGAAGUCAAAACCUGAUAGAAACUAACUUUUCACUUGUACCAAAAUAUAGUAGAGGACUGUGUUCAUAAGAUCUCACUCUAGAAACUCACAAAAUGAAUAUAGUGAGAUCUCACCAAACUUGUAUGUUUAUACAAAAAUAACUAAACAAAAUAAAGGCAGGAUUCUGAUGAGCAUCAAGUUCACAUUUAGAUGCUGGUUUUUCUUUCAUCAGAAUCUUAGAACUCAUGGGGUUUCAUCACUUUUCCAAAUCAUGAAAUAGUUUCCAGUGGGCUUCUCAUAUUAGAUGUUCAUUUCUGCAACAAUUAUCUUUCCUGCUUUUGCUGAAGAGACAUCUCAGUGCAACCUUUGUCGGCAGCCUUUUGUAGCUAGUAGGUACUUUGGGAGCCGAUAUUGUACAAUUUAUAUGACUUGUGUAAGAGAUUCACUAUGGACCAUACAUCACAAGCCAUGGCUCCACAAAGCAUGUAAUUGACUUUUUUUUCUUUGCUUGGAUCAUUACUAAUUCCAAGAAUUUGAAAUGGUAAAGAGUGCAAUCCAAGUCUAUAGUGUGUCUUUUGAAGAGCAGCUAACCAUGGCUACAGAGGCAGGCAUUGUUUUGAAAAACUCACCUUCUAAGGUCUAAUUUAGCAUCAUUUGCCCUAGUCUAUGUCAUGAAGGUGUGCUUCCUUUUUUCUUUUUAUUCCUUUUUUUUUUUUCUCUCCUCUCACAUUUUUUUUCAUUUUUCUCUUGUUUUUAUUAUUAAAACUCUAUACUACAAAUUUUAUUUGAUUAAAGUUAGGGUUGUUGGAAAAAAUGCAUUAAAAUUCAAUGUGGUACAUGAGUGAGUGAACCAAGGGAUCCUCUGGCAUCAUGGCAAGGAAUAGAGGACUCUUUUUGUUAUCAAUUACAUUGUUUUUAACAACUCAGAAGUCACAGUUUUAAAAGUUUGCAAAAAAAAAAAAAAAAAAAAAAAAACAUUAUACUGUUUCAACAUGAAUCAAUUGUCAAACACACUUGAAUGUUGGGCCCAGCCCCAAAUUCACAUCACAAUUGUCAUAAUUAUGCAAAAUCAGUUAAGCUCCCACAUACAAUACAAAAAGAAGAUUCUCCUCCUCAAGAGCACAUGAUACAUCCCCCCAUACUUCCCUUAAAUAUGCCUUAUGCUUAGACAUGCUUGCAUCCCCAUGAGGUGCAUGGAAAACAUGUUCACAAGAUGACAAAAAAGCAACCCACCAUGGAUGAAUGGAUGGAACAACAAACAAAUGCACAACAUGGGAACAGUACCACAGCCCAUUCAAUCUGAAAAUGUCCCCAACUGGUACCAGAGCCUUACCAGAACUUGGCAGUUUUAAGGCUAUCCAAGCCACUCUUCCUCAAAGAUGGAAAGCUGAUGCUGCUGCUGCUUUCCCAUUUGGAUUUAUUUUGCCAAAUUCAUCACAUGUAUUUCUCAUUUUUAACUAUGCUCAAAUUGUGGAUAGUAACCCACCCUCCAACCUCAAAACAGAAACCCUAAACCCUAAAACGUCAUAAAAACCCUAAACCCUAAAGUGUUGGAGACACUACUACUACUUCUAAGUGUUGGUUGCAAGGGAGAGGGGGGGGGGGCAACAAGGCUGGCUGAGACAGGGGAAGUGCAGAUGGUGACAGACAGAAAAGGGAGGGGGGUUGAGUUUUGUUACCCACCCACUGUGUGUCCUACCUGGAAAGAGAGACCCCCCCCACCUUCCCCCUUCAAGGUGGCUUGGCUUGCACUAGAAGGAGGAGAGAUAGAUGACCAUUGUGAUGUGUCCCUUGCUUGCCCCAGUAGUAGUAGAAGUAGUAGUAGUACACUCCCCUGGUACUACUGAUCCAGACUGAAGCCAUUACUGAGGGAGAUAGAUAGAUAGACAGACAGGGAAAGAUACUACUCACUCAGAGUGAGACAUACUCAUGCUCAGAAAGACCCUCCCUCCCUCCCUCCCUCCCUCCCUCAGUCAUUCCAGCCCCAUUUUUCUGCUACACCCAACCUUCUGUUUUUUCUCUCUUUUCUUACCCCCCUAUUUCCCCUCAUCACAUUCGACAUUCUUGAAGAAUGCCCAAUGCUAUAAAAAAAAAAUACAUAUAAAUAUUUACACAAUGUCUUCAAAGUCCAGUGCAACAUACUCACACUCACACACACACAGGAUUCACAGCAGGGUAGAUAAUCAAUCCUCUGUAGCCUGGCUGGCAAAAACUGGAGGCUGGUGAUCCAGCAGUAGUAGGACCAUUCUGAGGGUGGAACAGUUGCAGCAUCAAUUGAAUCACAUGGGCAUGUUCAGGAUAGUAUCUGAUAUACCUGGAGGAGGAGAAAAGGAAAAAAACAAAAAACAAAAAACAAAACAAAUAGCAGCAACGGAUUUUACCAUAGCUUACCAGCAGGGGCAACAGAGAGGCAGUGAGUGAGUGUUGUAAGUGUAAGUGUAGUGUAAGCUUUGUUGUGUGAUCCCAUUGAAGGGCUGUUUUUGUUUCUCUUAUAUCCUUUCACCACGAUACCAUGGGGUACAAAAGGAACGGGUAUCAAUUUAUGAAAGCAGGCUCAGCAGUACUAGAAGUGGAAUGAAUUGCAGAAUGAGAGAGUUGAGUUGUGUUGAGUUGAGGGUCAACCCUGGGGUGGUGAUGUACUUACUGGUUGGCAUCGCAUACACAGUUCCCAUAAUAAAGGUUAGCUGGGAAUGUAAAAUAAUCAAUUAAUUAAACAACAACAACAACAACAACAACUCUUCCUGAGGACUGUCCCUGUGUGAAUAGGGCACAGUGCAUAAAAAUGGACAAUACUUUCACUGAUGUUGGGUACUUUGUGCUUAACACAUCAAAGAGAAUUUGACUCAGCUUUUUUUUCUUCUUUUAUUCAAUAUAUAUAUAUAUAUAUAUAUAUGAUGAUGUCCCAUUUUGCCCUUCAGUGAUAUUGUGUAAAACACAUCCAAUACAAACAUUUGAUGCAUCAUACAUUUUUGAGAUUUUUUGUUCAUUGAUAUUCAUGGGGACUGAAAUAUUGAGGAGCUUAAGUUUGAAGCUUGGACUACUUCAUUUCUCAGGCACUCAAAUCUAAGACUGCCAAGUCCUGAUUGUGUAAAAGAACUGGAGUAUUGUUGUACCAAGCUCUCAUCCAUUCAACUCAUGUAAACAAAACAUGCAUCAAAUACAGUAUUGCUUUCUUUUAAAUAUGCAUUUUUCUUGUCCACAUUGAUGAUUGUGAGCUCCAACAAGGGCUCAAUUCAGGAGUUUGUUGUCCUACUUGUACCCACAAGCUUGGGUAGAAUGUUGGGCCUCUUUUUCAAGGACGUCAAAAUGAUGGUAGAAGUCAAUUUUGGCAUUUUAAAACACACUAUCAAGUAUCAUCAAUUUAACAUUCAGUUUUUGAGCACAUAUUGAUUUUCCAAAAAAAUUCCACCCAACUCCAAAAUAUGAAUUGACAAUUCACCUCACCACAAUGGCAAAUCAUAACCCCUCCAUUUUUGCUAAUGAUGGUUGAGGGACUUGGCAAGGAAUAAAACUUUUUGCCUUUUUUGUCUCUUUUCUUUUUCUUACACUUUUUCCACAUGUGGUUACAUUCUUAAGUAGGAGUAUCACAAUCAGCACACACAAUCAACUUGGCAGCAAAGCUCAUACAUCUUUCCACUGUAAGAAGUCUUUUCAUGAGAAUUCUGCAAUUUGCUGCCAGAGAAAGUGGGAAAAAAAAAUAUUUACAAAUGGGACAUGUAAUCUUCCCAAUAUUGUUUUUGAAGGAAAAAAGAGAAAAGAAAAAAUGACAUAAAAUCUCAAAACAUAUGCAAAUGUUUUUUGUGUUUGUAAAAAAUUAAAAUCUAUCUAUGUAUAUAUAUAGUUAGUUAGUUAGUUAGUGUGCACAUGGACCCAUGUACUAGUAGGCAUUGUUAAGGCUAUUCAAUUUUGUAUGGACAAUUCAUUUAUGCAACUUUGCAUGGUGAUGGCCCCAUGGAAAUUGAAAGUUAGGUUAUCUAAACUUGUUGGCUAACACCCAAAGCUUACAAUCUUCAUACAUGCAUCGGUUCAAGUUGUUGAAAAUUUUAAUGGUACUCAAUUUAUAUUUGGAGUAGCCAAGAGAUUUAAAUGAUUAAUAAAAAAUGAAAGUAACUUUGCAAGGAUGAAAACAACUUCUUUGAAAUUUUAGUAAAACUUAAUUUAAGCAAUGUUUGCACAAUCAGUGUUUCAGCCUUCAUGCUAUAAAAAACAGGCUCCUAAUUAUCAAAAAUUCUAAUCCAUAUGUUCUUGUAGCUCUCAAUAUCUAUUGCUUUUAGAAUUCUGAACAUGUGCUCAAUCCUAAGGGUUGUGAUUAAAUGAUAUCAUAUUGGUGAUUACCAAUACACUCCUUGAAUGAAAUUAAAUGAGAGGUUUCUAAUAAUCAAUUUAAUGCAUUUAAAAAUAACAUUUAGAGUAUUAUGUUCUAAUGUCACAUUUUACUGAAACCAGAAAGAAUACAUGUUUGGUAUUAAGAAAGAAUACAACAUUUCCUUUGAAAAAACAUACUUCUUAAUAAAUAUCAUAUUGCACAUAACUUUUGGUGCAAAAAAGUAUACAAAAUUUUAGAAUAAAUAAUCUACAUAAUAAGAAAAAUUAAGCAAAAGUCAAAUAGACAAAGAAGCCUUCUCAUUGGCCAAAAUCAAAGAAAUUAACCAACAAAAAGCCCUGCAUAACUUGCACAAAGACCUCCAGUUUAUUAUUUAUAAACAGCUGUUUGGUAACCAAUGGCAUGGGUCUCUGCUAACAAAUAACAACUCAUAAUAAGCAGAAUUCAAUAUACACAACCUGUAACAAAUCUUUGAUAUAGAAUUUGAAGGAAUAAAAAAUAGUUACUACCACAUUCUUAUUCUUAUAGGUAAAUUGUAUCCAAAUGCAAACCAACAAUUACACAAAAUUCACAAAUUCUAAUCAUCUUGAACUGAAUAGAAAAUAUGAAUGCAUGUAGUAUUUUUUGAUCUUUUGGUAUACUUACACUCACACACACACAUAACAUUUCACCAAACAAUAUCAUAGUGUAGUGGGGUGGUAAAAGAAAGGGCCACAGGGGGGAAGGGGGAAUAGCAGGCUGAGCCAUCACUUAGUCAAUCAAUUGGAGAUGUAUAGCUGACACAGCUCACUUACACACAGCCAGCCCUUGCAUUCCUCUUCAGCCAUCAACUCAUUUCCAUUUCAUUUGUCAGUGCCCAGCCCAGUGAGUGAUGCAGAUAUCCAUUGAUGAAGCAGAAGAAGAAGAAGAAGAAGAUACUCCCAAAAAAAAGAAAUUAGAGGAAGGAGAAGAUGUUGCAAUUGGGCUUGGAAUCAUCAGUGUAAUACAUUCACACCCUUAAAUGAAUGGAUACAUACACAAAAAACAAGCCUGGCUUCCAAGGAAAUCUACCACGAUCAACUUGUGAGUUUUGUAGUACCAUUUAUGUGGUGUUGAAAAAUGGAUUUUUAAAAACCAUUCAGUAAUUCAUCUUUGAUAUUAUAGGCUAUCAGUUCAUUGAUUCUAGUUUUUGGUAGUAAGAAACAAGGGACCUUCUCACACAAGAUUGGGUGUCAAAGAGCUGGAUGUAUCCCCCCCCCCAAAAAAAUACAUUACACACACACACAUAUAUAUAUAUACAUACAUACAUACAUACAUAUAUAUAUAUAUAUAUAUAUACAUACAUAAAGAAUGUUUGGAUUGAUUACUCUCAUUCAGUGGGAACAUUACAAAAAACAUGUUUGUCAUAAAAUGAUUUUGCUCUGGUUGAUCACAUGGAGUGUGUUAAAUGCAAGGGGUUAGGUUGGUACACUCCCACAACCAGAUCAUGGUCUUGUAAGUCAACUUCACAGCAGUGGAUACAAAGGAACAAACCCUAAAUUAAACCAACAAGUUAGUUUUUUUGUGGGGUUUUAUAUCAUUCCCUCAAGCCGCUUGUGUUAAAAAGACUGUAGACAGAUGAGACCAGGGUCAGUACAUCUACCUGGCAGCAACAGUUCCAGUAUUUCAUUCACCUGGUUAUAUCAUGGGACAAUUUGACAAAGAGGGCUUUAUGAAAAUGAUACCCAAAAACAGUCAAAUGGGGGCAACAUCAAUUCUAUUUAUUCAUCCACACAUAUAAAAAUGAAAGUGUUACCCCUUUAUUCCCCAGAUAGCAGAGAGAUUGUCCUGGCCCUAAUUUUCUGUGCCAUGGGUGCAACAAAGGGAAUGAAUUAGGUGGAUGUGAAUGUGAAAAGGACCUUGGCCUUUGUAUUGUUGUUGUUGCAGUAGUUGUAGAAGAAGACCUUUUCUAUUUGCUUAGCUGUGCUCUACAGUUACAACUCAUCAAUAGGGUUGUUGUUGUUGCAUGCAUGGCUGUGCAAGGGGGCUGCAGAGCUUGACUACCAAGCUUCAUCCUCUCCUCCACAAAAGCAGCCAAUUCCACAGCCCUAACUCCUCAAUAACACACAAAAAUCUCUUCACUCCUCCAUCAAGACCAUUAUGAUGGGUCCUUUGUACAAUGAGAUCAUGCCUCUGACAACAGGAUGAUCCCCAUGGCUUGUUCAUUCUCUUCAAUACCAAAGCAACAUUUAAAUAUUGCAAGAAAAAUAAACAAGUUAAAAAAAGAGAUAAAAUAAGAAGAAGAAUGGAGGGUUUUCAACAUUUCAACAUCAAUCUGUUUCCUUUCUCAAAACAUCCAGUUCUCAAACCUACACUUUUAUUUUUAUUGUUUUUUAUUUUUAUUUUUUCAUUUACACCUGCUGGAACCCCAAAUCUAAUCUUGAAGCUCAGCAAUAAAUCAUGUCAUAUGGAGGUUAGUGUGCCAGUGUAUGAUUGCUCACAGGCUUUGGCAUUUUAGGAACAAGAUGAUUGUGAAUUUGCUUAGGCCAUCCAUCCUUGUGUUUGUGGAUCAUGCUCCACAUGUGUGAGUGUGUGUGUGUGGGGCAUAAAGCAUGAUGCUUUGGAGUGGAGUAUUUAAUAUAAAAAAACAGUGAGAUUCAUGGCAGCAAAUGAGAAAUCAAAAUUCAUAAUCCUCUACCACACAUCACCAUUGGGUGCAAAGACCCACCCACAUACCAAAUCAUUUUAUCCAGCUUGUGUUGUUUGUUGUGGUGGGUGGGUGACCUUCCAAUGGCUGUGAUUCACUGAAGUCACUUCUCAGGGCAGUGAAAACUUGAUACUGAUGAGUUCAACUCUAAGUUGAGGGGUGAGUUUAAUGCAUUAAGGCGAAGGUUGGAAGGAGUAGGCGGUGAAGGAGAAGAAGAAGAAGAAGAAGAAGAAGAGUACUCUACACGACGAGAAACCGAGCUCCAGCAGGCUAGUAAUUGGGGGGGGGAGGGGAGAUAAAAAAGCGAGGAGGAGAGGAGAGGAGAGGAGAGAAGAGCAGAGCAUUAAAUGAAGGAGAGAGUGGGGGCGUGUUGUGGGCUACAGGGCCAAUAACUCCCCCCCCCCCAUUUGCAGUCCCCCUGACUACUGCGUGUCUGCAAGCUCUGCUGACAAGCCAAACAAAGCAGAGCUCACCAAUUACUAGCCUGCUGAUGCUGCUGCUGCGUCAGGAUAGGGGCUUGAUCAGGCAGUGCUGAAGAAGCUGGACUUGAGAGCAGCAGCUAACGGUCCGACCUGGUAAAGAAUCGCAGAAAAAAAGAAAAAAAGAACAGAAAAACAUGAGGAGGCACCCCCACCCUUAAGAAGCAGAAGAAGAAGAAGAAGAAGAAGAGUGAGUGAGUGAGUGAGUGAGUAAGUGGUGGCGGAGUUGUAAUUGUAACAGCAGCAGCAGCCACACCCAUCGAUCGGCAGCACCCAACCUCAUUGACGGUACCUGCACUGACGGCGCUCUCCACUAAGGGAAGAGGAAGAGCAGUAGGAAGAGAGGGGCUCUUCACAGCCAGCCUUCCUUCCUUCCCUUAAACUUUUCUAGUGCUGAGUUACACCUCCCUUUCUGCUGCUCCUGCUGCUGCACUGUCUGCAAGCCUGCCUGCCUGGCUGGCUGGAGCCUGGCCUGCUCGCCUGGAAGAGGAGGAGGGAGGAAGAGGAGAGAUCAUCGACUCCUCGAACCUCUCCUUCGCCCCUUUCCCAACGCUCACUUGCAAACGGUCUUCUCUUCUCCGCCACGCCGAUCAUUGCACAGCUCUGAUUCUCGUCAAUCAUCACUCUGUCUCUCGCUCCCACUCCAAUUGGGUCGCUCGCGUCCUCGCUUGAUUUGCUCCCAGGAUAGCACAACGGUGCCCCAUAUCUCUCUCUUCACCCGACCUUCUCAUGCAUUCCGGCAAUGCAGCGAGUGCGUCGCUGGAGCUUUCCUCGCUGUGGGUGCGUGGGUUUUCGUAGUUUGAGAGCGAUUUUGGCGUGAAUUGGCCCACAGAGGUUGUCGUUCAGUGAGGCUACGUUUCGAGGUGUUUUUACAGCGAAAAAUAUCGUUCGAAAGUUGAUGUAUUUUGAGGUAUUUGGAUAAAACGUGUUUGGUAGUGAUAAGGAAUAGAGCAUUACUUCCUCUGAAAGCUUUGAGUUGUGGCGACAAUAUGGAUAGCUGUUGCGGCGAACACAUUGAUUACUGCUCGCUUCUGUCUGUGGAAUCGUCGAGGGUUUGAGAGCUCUUCGUCUGGAACUUCUCAUUGAUCAGACACACAGCUUGCGAAGUUAACAGGUGCAAAGUUUGUAGAGCGGACGCUUUGAUCUGUACUCGAGCUUGGUAGCUUCCACUGGUGUCAAGUGAGUGGGAGAGUGUUGGCUACUCCUUGUGCAAGGUAGCCACAGUUCAUUUCGAUUGUUCCAAAUCUGGAUCUCAUCCAAAAGGACGAAGACACACAGCUCGCCGCAUGUUAUUAUCACGCGAAGCUGCUGAUCGUGACCAAGUUGCAAGGGAUUUUCAAUCCACUCACGCUCCCCUUCUGGAGCCGAUUCGCAGAACUUUGCCGCUGUGUCGCAGUCUCUAACGAGCCCUUCGACCGCCCUAGUAUUUUGAUAUCGGAAGAGUCUGAAAUAAUCUGGCACAAUCCUGGAAUUCUAUCACACUAAUCGACCCUGAAGCAUUACACGAUAAUAACACCAAUCGGUAAGUUAAAUCGCCUUUCUCAGCUUGUACCGGAAAGGCUUCAUUUCCUGCUGUUCGGUGUUUUGCGAGGUUGAGACUGACCUCCUGUCAAACUCCGGUCAACCUCGCAAGAUCAGAUUAAUUGCUUGAGGUGAUAUUUCUGAUUUGUUUCAGUAGCGUAAUUGACACAAUAAUUGCUCUGCCCCGGAAGCAUGAUCCUUAGAUUACUCCAUUCGCUCUGGUAAGCCUCUUAAUUAUCGAUGUCGUUUAACCAAACAAUCACCCGUGAAUCGUUUUCCUUCAUUGCUUCCCAAAUUGCCCCGUGGAUACCUUUCAUCAGUUAAAUGCUUUACAGCAGCUACGAUUGUACUGGUCGAAUGCUCUCUACAUGUAAGUGCUCAACUCUAUAUUAUUUCAAUGUUUGCAGUGCCCCAGUCCACACUGGUUCUGAAGGACUCAACGGGUAUCAUUGGGUGAGGAUUGUGGAAUCAGGCCUGCCAUUUUCGUAGUGGACGAAGCUGUGAGUCGAAUGGUGGACAAGAAACUGCGGCGGUGUAGCUGAACUUCUCGAAGCUCCAGACUACAAAAAAGAAGAAGCUAAAGGCUUAAUCAGGGGCAACGAAUUUGCUCACUUCUGAUCAGUUCGACCCCACGCAGUUCAACAUGGCCUCACCAAAUUACGCAGAACGUCGAAGGUCUCACCCGAAGUCACGGCGUCAAUCUGCUCUAGCGGUGGUGGUGGUGCUCGCCAUUGUGAGCGCAUCCCUUCUCCUACCCGUAGCCCACGCCCAGCUCCUGCAUCCGAUCGAUAUGCUUACGCUGCGAUCCAUCAAGGCCACCAUGAACGAUCUCCCCGGUGGAAGCUUCUUCUCCACAUGGGUCUUCGCACUGCGAAUCAACCCGUGUCAGUCCUUCGCCGGGCUGCAAUGCGUCAAGGUCGGCAGCUUCAAUCGCGUCUCGUCGCUGUCUCUCGGCCCGCCCACCGCCGGCUUACCAGGCCUCAGCGGCUCCCUUCCUCAUUCCCUCGGCGACCUCUUCUACCUCCAGACCCUAACAAUCUCAUCCGGCGCUCUCCGUGGAUCCAUUCCCGACUCCAUUGGCAACCUUCAGAACCUACGCACCUUCUCCCUGAGCCCAAAUUAUCUCUCGGGACCGAUCCCCACCUCCUUUGCAAACCUCCACAACUUGGAAACCCUCCAGAUCCGGAAGAACCUGCUGGAGGGGCAGAUCCCGCCCGGGAUCGGCAACUUAGCAUCCCUCAAAGUCCUCGUCCUCUCCGAAAAUCGUCUAUACGGCCCUGUCCCUGAAUUAUCACAAACUCCCUUAAUGCACCUCGAUGUCCGCAACAACGAUCUCUCCGGCGGACUCCCACCUCUCCCGUGCUCGCUGCAGUAUCUGUCCGUGACGAGAAACCAGCUUUCUGGACCCAUUAAUGCCGUGGAGCCUCUCACCAGUCUCUCGUAUCUAGAUCUGAGCUACAAUGAAUUCACGGGGAGUAUUCCGAGUGCGGUGUUUGAGUUCCCUCUCUCGUUUCUUUUGCUGAAUCAUAACCAGCUCCGGGGAGCAGUGAGCGUCCCCGCGGAGGUGACGAUCUCGGUCGUGGACUUGAGUCACAACAAGCUGCAAGGAACAAUUUCUCCCUACUUGGCCGGGACCCAGAGCUUGUUCCUGAACAACAAUUUGUUUGUGGGCACAGUACCGCAGGUUGGUAAUCCCCCUUCCAACAUCUUUGAUAUCAAUCAGCUCCAUGAAUACCAUGCAUGUAGUUUGUUGAAGGAUUCCGUUCCGUUCCUUUCAAGGGAGUAACGAGUGGCGAUGGAAUGUGUGAAUGCAGGACUUUGCGAAUAAAAUGCAGGAAGCAACGCUGCAAUCGCUCUACCUCCAGCACAACUAUCUGACAAACUCGGGGGCACUGGCGAACGCCGCAUUGCCUCCAAGUGUGGCCGUAUGUUUGCAAUACAACUGUUUAGUGCCUCCUCCGCAGUCGCUGUGUCCGCCCAAUGUGGACAUGCCGGUCUCAAGGCCUGAUUACCAGUGUCUCAAAGCAAGCUCUGGCUCACCGGGAGACUAGGAUCGAUCGAUACCACCUUCUUCUUCUUCAAGCCAUUGCUCUCCGACUGCUAGCUCGCCAUUUUUUUUAGUUUUUUUUAGUUUUUUUUUGUUUGUUUUUGUGUAUAGAUGGGAACAGGGUGUUGUGUGUUUUUUCUUUUCUUUUCUUUUCUUUUCUGGUAGUUUCUGCAGACUGUCGAUGCUUGGGUGAGCGCUCAGAUAUACAACAGAGCUCUCUUUCGUCAAGCAUUCGAUCGUAACUGUUCAUGUAGAAUGAUCAAUAUUCUGUACGAAAGUUUCAACCAUUCUUACGUAGCGAACGAAACUAGGAGGAAGUGAAGUCCCCAGUUAGUUGAUCAGUUUUGGUUGGUGCACACAGGCUCCGCAAUAUCACAUUGCUAGUCUCUAGAAUUUCGUAGCACAUCUUUGGAUCGAACGUGCUCAAAAUAGUAGGCAAAAACAAAACAAAACAAAACAAAAAUAUUGAGUUGGGCUGACUGGCUGACUGACUUUUGUUCCGAGGUUCUCAAUGUUUUAAGGACAUGCUCACUUCAGUGAAAUAUAUGUAGUCUGAGAUUAUCCAUUUACCAUACAACAUUUCCACUAACCACUCGAUUGCAUAACAAUAUGAAAAAUGAGAAUGUAAAAUGAAAUCCUAAUGUGUCAAUCUGACAUUGACCAUUUUUCAUGCUCAAACUUGCAUAUAUCAUUAACCGAAUCUCUGCCAUUUAUGUCUCCAACAAGUGUCGUUUGGAGUCAUUUGACGUUUGAUUGAUUGAACGGCAGUGAGAUUCAAACUAUGUAAAUGUAAUGUGAUAUUUUUAAGCUUUAAAAUUUCUGGAGUUCAAAGAGAAAAGAACAAAGAAAAAGAAAAAGAAAGAGUAAACAUCUCAGAAUGGAGGAUAUAACAUUAAGAAUCACAAAUUUACAGUUAACCUAUUCAUACUAUUUAAUGGUGUUAGUAAUUGUUUUACUUACAACUGAAAACUUUUAUUAGUUUGUUUAGUUUCUUUAUUUUGCAAAAGAAAAAGAGAACAAAUGCAAUAUUGCAAUAGUUAUUAUAAAAAAUGGAAAUCAAUGCAUGUAAAAUUGUGAAAACUGAUGGGUGAAGAAAAAAAAAAAUGUAAAUAUGUAUUUUGAUUCUUUGUUGAAACUUUUCUAUAAUGAAUAAAAUUUUAUACAUUGUAUUUCUGUUUUCAAUUCUUUUCAAUACAAAAAUAAUCCAAUUAAGAAAUAGUUGCAAAUGACUCAUUGACUAAUUUUCAAAGCUACUUCGCUUUGAAUAACCAAAUUGUCUAACUUUUCUUGCAAAUUUGGUAAUUGUUCACUCAGUUCUCCAACGAUUUUUAUCAACAUUUGUAUCUUUUGAUUUGCUUCAUUUGUGUCUUCAAUAAUGCUUUUCUUGAAAGGGAUACCUUUCCAAUUAUCAUUUUUAAAGCUUUCAUGUUUUUUGACAAGGCGUUGGUACAUGGCAGUGGUUAGAAAAAUCCUUGAUCUUGAUUUGUUCAUUUCUCUUAACCUUGUCCUGUAUUAUGUUAUCAUAUAAAAACAAGAUAAAAUUAUAAAUUUUCAAAAUAAAAAAGAAAAGAAGAAAUUAAAAAAUCAAAAUUUACUAAUACUUUCUAUUGAAAAAAAGAAAAGAAAAGUGUUAACAACAUUAAGAAUGUGUGUUUGUAUAUUGAUAUUCACUUACUUGGAAUGCUCUUGUUGUAGAAGAAGUUCACUAAGAUGUUCAUUCAAGAAUGAAAUUUUAUGAUUUAAGGUGGUUUUUUGCGUUUCAAGCCCUUUUAACCUAGAGAAAUGCAAAUUAAAUACCAAGCGUGAUUUUUCAAAUACAAAAGCUCAAAGUCAUUGUAAUAAGAUAUUUUCAAAAGAAAAUUAGAGAUUAGAUAUACUCACCUCGCAUCACAUUCCUCCACACUUUUAUUGGUAUUCUUAAUUGUUUUUUUUAAAUCUUCAACAGCUCUAACCAUGCCAGCUUCAAAUCCAGUUGGACCAUCAAUUCCUUUUUGAUUGCUCAUUGCCUAAUCCAAUGACUUUGGGUUUUAAUGUAUAUUUUUAUUUUUAAAACAUAUUUAUGAUUGAUAAUAUAUGUUUUCACAUUUGAGUGAUUGUAAUCAACUUUGAUAUAAUAUUAACAUUGAUACCUAAGUCUAAAGUCAAUAAAAACUAGUUAACAUCUUAAAAAAUUACACAAUAAAAAUUUAUGGAAAAAAGAAGAAGAAAGAACAAGAUUUUAUUUAUUUAUUUAUUUAUUUAUUUGUUAUCAUAAAUUUCAUGCAUAUUAAAGUACAUUUUAAAAAAAAUUUUAAAAAAUUAACAUUGAAUUUUUAAAAUUCUCUCUCUCUCUCUCUCUCUCUCUCUCUCUCUCUAUGUAUGUAUGUAUGUAUGUAUAUAUAUAUAUAUAUAACAGCAUAUGCACUUGAAAUCAUUUUUUCUUUGUCUAUAGGUGAUGAUUUGUUUUUGAUGGUCUAAUUUUACCCCUACUAAAUAUCCGUAUUUAGCAUAAUUUCAGUUGUAAUUAUACAGUUUUUGAAUACAUAGAAUUACAACUAAUAGAUAUGUAUACUAACAUGAAUAUAAAUAUAUAAAAUUUUAAAAAUAGGAAAAGGAGAAAGAAAAAAAAGAAACCUCCAUUUUUGAAGUAAUAACUUUACGACAAUCCACUUUGAAUUCAAGAAUUCGAAUCAGUUUUUUGCGUUUUAAUUGAAGCAUAUUGAAUUCAAAUUGCAUAUGAUCAAUUGAAUUCUUGAGUUUGGAAAGUUCUGAUGAUCCUAUAUUUGGAUCUGUAGCUUCCUGUGAUUGAAAAGCAUUGAUUGUGCAUGCAUUAAAAUGCAUUUUAAAAUAUAUUUCUUUUCAAGUUUAUUAAAGAAAAAAUCAUGAAAAAAUGGAAUAUCUUGAUGGUAUUCGUAUUUUUUGAUGAAUUGAAUUUGUGUGUCUUUCUUUUCUAUUUUCGUUAUUUAUUUAUUUAUUUAUUUUAUGUAUAUAAAUUAUGUGUCAAAACAAUCCUUAUAAAGAGGGAUUUAAAAAAAUGGUAUAUUAAAAAAAAUUUCUAAAAUUGGGUAAAGUAUUUCAUUUUUUUUCAGAUAAAAAAACCCAAAAUUUUUAAACUUAUAAUUCUGUGAAAAAUUAACUUUUAAAAAUUUAUUUCUUUAAUAUUUACAUCAUUGGAAGGUAUUAUUUUACACAUAAUGACAUUUCCAAUAAAUAUUCAAAUAUAUAAAAUUCAUUAAAAAUCUUUCAUAAUAUCAUAAAAUUAGAUAUGGUUUCAAAAAAUUAAAGAAUUGAUUUAUUUAUCAAAAACCAGCCAGAAGUCAAAAUGGUUUAUUACUUAUUUAGUUCAUAUCCUGAUUUUACCUGAAUUUGUAUUUCGUAGGAUAUUUUGUACCUCCAUAGCAUCACGUGAUGUUCCAACUCAUCUAAAUGCUUGAGAGCAUGAUCUUUUUCAACUACUAAAUCAUGAAAUUGCGAUUCAAGAUCCAUUGUUUCUUUUGCCAAGUCUUUCAAAAUCACAACGUGUUGAGUUUGCAUGUUCUUUGUAACAUCAACCAAUGAAGUCUCUAAUGUGUUGUUUUUACCAAUCAAAUCAUUCAACCUACACAAUAAAGUAAAUAUCCUCUUUUUUUACAUUUUCAUGGGGAAAACAUUAAAAUAUAGAGCGUUGUUUAAAACAUUCUUUUUUCAAUGUAAAAUCCACAGAAAAAAUUAUCUUGAAAAGGAAAAAGACAUAAAUUUGUAAUAAAUAUUAAGAAUUUAAUUAAUGCAAGAUAAAACAACUUGGAUAAACGAUACUUAUUUUUUUCUUUCAACAUGUUAAAUUGAGUAUUAUUAUUUAUAUAAUUCAAGAAAUUACAGUUUUAAUAUAUAUACAUAUAUAUAUAUAUAUAUAUACAUAUAUAUAUAUAUAUACAUAUAUAUAUAUAUAUAUACAUAUAUAUAUAUAUAUAUAUAUACAUAUAUAUAUACACAUGAACAUCCUUGUGUGGACAUGUGUAUACAAACUUGGUACCUAGCAAUUAAGUUUCGUUUUUGACCUAUCUCAACUUGAAGGUCCUUUGAAGAUUGUAUUUGUAUAUUACAUUGAGCAUCAACUCGAUAUUUCCUUUGGAUUAAAAUUCCUUGAUCAUAAAUUGCACGUUGCACUUGUUCACUUAAUGUAUUGAUAUCAUUUUGAAGACCCACAAGUGAAGUUUGCAAUGACAACCAUUGCCUUUGAGAUUCAUUCGAUUCUUUUAAAUUUUGAUUAAUUUCAAUCCUUAAGUUAUAUAUCAUAGCUUCCCAUGGUGAUGAUGCAUCCGGAUGUGACAUAUUAGCAGUCAAUUGCUCAUAUUUUUUAUUUAGACGCAUGAUCUCUUUUGUUUUUAAGUCCACUUCUCGAUCUUUUUGUUUGAUCUCUGCAUCAAAUUUAAAGAUGAUAUUAUAUUUUGCAGCAACAUCAUCAUUCACCAUUUUCAGUGCAAUGUUUAUUUCUUGAUUAUAUGCUUGAACCGCAAGGACUUCACAUCUAAUAGAAGAUAGUUCAUGGUUUAGCUUUGUGGCCAUGGAAUCUUGUUUUUUCACUAAUUUUCUUAAUUCGCUAAUAUUUGCAACUUUUGCUUCUGCUCCUUUUUCUUCAAGGAUCACUUGUUCUAAUAGUUUUGACAUUAUUUUGGUCUCCAAUUCAUUAAUUUUAUUUUUUUUUCUUAUGUAUUGUGUAUUGACUUCCUAAAUGAAGAAAAACAAAUCUUGUAUUAGUUUCCAAUUUUUUUUUAUAUGAAUUGUGAUAUGAAAUUUGCUUUAAACUCUAUAUGUAUAGAAGAAAAACUUAUACACAACAAAAUUUGAGGUGAAUAUGUGCAAAAAAAAGUAUAUUUACCUUUAUUGUAAGUUUUAGCUUUUUAAUGUCUUCAACAGCAACUUUGAUUUCAUUUUUUACUUUUUCAACCUUGAUAAGAACUUUUGCAUAUUGUUGAUUUACUUUUGUGCAUUGAUUUGUCACAUUGUUGAUAAAUUUUGCUACCUCUUUCAUACUACUAUCGAUUUUCAAGAGUCUAAAUUUGGCUCGAUCACAUAAAUUAUUCAUCUUUCCUGUAUCUUUUACGUAUCUUGAUUUUUCGAUUUUUAUUCCUACUUUCACCUCUGCUUGUUUAUCAAUCGCAUCUCUUAGAAGCUGCAAAAUACAUACCACAUGUGCAUUGCAUAUUUACUUUUCAUGCAAACUCAUUUAAGAUUUUGCAAUAUCAAAGACAUAAACCAUAACAUUUUUGAAAUUCUCUAUAUCUAUAUAUAGACAUACACACACACACACACAUACAUUAAAGUGAAAUAUGUUACAAUUAGAUGGCAGACUUAUUAACCUUCACAGCAUUAUCACAACGAGUCAAGGCUAUCAAAGUAGUCUUCCACUGAAAAGUAAGCUGUCUUUUUUCCGCAUGAAUAGAGGCCAUUUCUAUGUCAGCUUCUUUUAGAGCGAGGUUGGCAAAAAAUGAUUCUCUUUUCUGAGCUGAGAUGUAAAAUUUCUAGAAUUAUUCUCAAGAAAAAAAACAACAACCAUCCAUAAAACAUUUCAAAGACUGCACACGUGCUCAUCAACUUGUUUCUGAACUAGUGAAUGAUUUCGCAGCACAGCCAUUAAAAAGGACCAAGGAUCUUCUGUUUCAUAAUACCCACAGUUUUCAGACACAUUCUGCCAACUUAACAUGCUUGAAAAACUAUAACCAUGGUCAAAAUGAUAACAAAAACACACUCUGAUACCACGUUAAAUACAUUGAAAGAGAAAUUUAACAGUGUUCAGUUAAUGUUGUUCAUUUCAACUGCAACACAAUCACCAUGGUUGUUCAUAGAAAGAGAGCCUGACAAACCUUCAAGUUGCCCUUUGGUCAGUUCGACUUUGUUCAGGAUUUCUUGGAUCCGAGUUUGGCAGUCGUCAAUGGCCGCAUCUUGCAGCUUCUUGAGGGACUCAAUCCUGAGAGUUGCUUCUUCGGUUGCAUAUGUGGCACGCCUGUUCAAUGCAAUAUCACCUUUGAGCUUCUCACUCAAAUCUUCCAGCGACAUCAACACGUUUGUGAUGUUAUCAAGCUCUCGUCUAGUUUCAGCUGUUUUGUCUACAAUGACUUUGUGCUCUUUGGAACGCAGCGCAUGUUGCUUCUCCAUCGUGUCUAACUCUUCCCUAGCCUGCUAUACAUCAAAGCAACGUUUAGUUACAAUCCAGGGAAAUUGCAUUCUCUAAUCACCAUGCUUCUAAAGCAGCAGACGUUGAACUGUUGCUGUUCACCACUUCGACCUAUCAAGGUUAGCAUCAUGCCAACGUGGGUAAAGACUGGCGUCCCCUAACGGAGUCUAGCGUUGGAGAAAACAACUUUUUGAAAGAGUUAUUAUAGUAUUAAAAAUGCAAUGUAUAAUACAAAGUAACUCAUCAGUAUGAAGUUUAUCACAAGAAGAAAAAAAAAGAUAAAAAGAUAAAAAGAUAAAAAGAUAAAAAAAGAAAACAUAUUGACCUUUGCAUGACCUUGAGAAGCUGUGUCAAGAGCGACGGUUGUCUUCGUGAGACUGGCAUGUAGACUAGCCAGAUUGCACUGGAGGUCAUACAAUUGCACUCCAGCCUCCUCCCGAUCCUUGGUGGCUCGCAGCAGAUACCUCUUUUGCUCAUAGAUUCUAUCUUCAAUCUCAUGCUUCUUGUCCAACAACUGCUUCUUAAGUCUCUCCUGCACCUGCAGCAAGACUUUCUCGUUCCGGAGAUCCGAGCUUUCACUGGAAGAUGCCACGCUAGCCGACAUAUCCUCUUCGAGAGAGGACUCCGGAAGAGUAGCUAGGUUCGCCAUGGCGCUUCAACUCAAACAGGGGGUAAUGGAAUGAGGAGCUGGACUUCACAGAGGAUGUCUGUAGACAAAGUGAAGCAUGCGGGUUUAUUUGUUUGUAAUAGAAUUUGCUUUGUGCGUUUCGUGAAUUUAUCUCUGUUACCCAUGCCUACGCGUGUCUGAGGAUGUCUCAGCGGUUCACUUCCUCUUGCAUUGGCAGCACCUGCACAACCUAUGGAAUGAACACUGUCAAUACGACUGAGUUCAACAGGGCCAUGGUAACAGGAGGCUUCAUGGUUAAUUUUCAACUGAUUGAGUGAAAUUUGUGGAUCCGUUGCGUCUCUUUGUUCGAAAUAAAAAUGUUGUCCAUAAGAGUUUACGCCAACAGCCUCCAAAAUCACACCGUGAUUAGCUGGAUAUAAUUCAAACUGUGCAUCAAAUUCUGCUCAAGAUUUGUAUGCUUGGGAAUUACCGCUGCAAAAUUCAAGCAGCUCCGGGACAAAUUUGGUGCAAUAUAAUUGGUGGUGGGAUCUCCUCUGUGAUCCAUAAUUAGAGAAAUCUUCCAGAAGACCAAUGAAUUUCGAGCGGAUUUCUGAACUUCACUUUCCACAUAUCUUGUAAGAUCUAAUGUUAUUUAUCUUCGUGAUGAACGUCUGUUUGAUUUCGGUUUUGAAGAGCUACGUUUCAAAAAAAAAAUAACGAUUCUGGCAUUACAGAUAUUGCCAACAGGAACCGCAAGGAAACGCUCACAACAGGAAACCCAUAAUAGUUUCUUACAAGAAUCGACUUUAUCUCCAGAGAUAAAAUGCGUCACGUUCAAAGCUACUUACAGUUCUGUCAUCAAUCCACUGGAAUGGCUGCAGCAAAUGGAACCCAACUGCCACGACCAAGACUUUCUGCAAAACAGACGCUGCUUAAUCAGAAACUACAGAGGUCCAGCGACGAACACAACGCUGGGUGGGUCUCCAAAAUUGGGCGAAUUGGAACGCACAGCCUGACAUCAGCGAGGGUCUUCUUCUAGCCACCUCGGAUUUCUCAAUCCCAAGGGAUCAUAAGAAUUUCGGCAACAGCGACAAAGAAUUUCAAAGAUUCGCACAUAUUGGAUCGAGUUUCUCUACUGAUUGCGCCAAACCCUAAAUUUAGAACUAAUUUUAGAACUGGCUGGUUUGACGACGGAAAUCUUCUUCCUGUCGAAUUAGGGCACAACCAACAGCGAAGAUCGCAGGGAACCCUGUCGAAGGAAAGCGAAUUGAAAUCUAUCCGGAGCUAUGGAAAUUGGGCCAUGGGAUGCGAAGCCUGCUCCAAUCUUAUCCGUCACACAGAUACAUCCCCCUUGGCCACAACCUUUUAAUAGAAAAACCGGACCCUAGACUUGGUGUCCGGAGUUCAUCCGUCAGAUGAGUCCCAGAUCGUGCGUGUAGGCCCUGUUUGUUCAAAGUGCGGCAUCCGGGUGCUGAUUGUGUAUAGUUUAAUCUUUUGGGUUUUGCUUGUCUGUUCACCUGCAGAAAAAACUAGCUCUCACACGAUCUUGCCCAACUCGGACUCGAUUUUGCGAAAGUGCUGGUCCUUUGGCUUUCUUAUAGUGCUCUGUUCGGUUUGUGCCCGUCUUGCUGGUAGUCGUACCUCGCAAUGGGCAUGACAAUUGCCAAAUUCUAUACCCUUAUUAAUGAGGGCGCGUUUUAGUAGCUAAAUGUUGAUAUGGGGGAGCGUAGAAAGCAUCAGUCAGGGUGCUGGUUUCAGUUUUUCAUGAUUUUGGUAAUCGAAGACUGAUUCGCAAGUGCGAAAGAUUUCGUGUCCCGGCGGUCUUUCCAGUGCGUUUUCGUGUAAUCGGAUUCAAAGGAUGCUGUGAUUGAAGUCACAUUCUAUCCUCUCACACGGAUUCUCUGCUUCACGACGUCAUUCAAAGCAACUCAACGAUAUUGCAAACUAAAUCCGUCUUUGAGCACUCUGAUACAAGUGACGCUACAAAAUUCUUAUUUGUGAGCUGCUGUGACCAUCCCUCUAGUAGAGACUUAAUUGUCGAGCAAUUUUCUGUAUAGUUUUGGGUGAAAUCUCUUGUAGAUGAUCCUGUCCUUCCUUUGAUUUUCACUAUCUGUGUCCAUUGAGUUCUAUGUCUUCCAAAGCAGAAUUCCGGCGAUCGAUCUAGCAGUUUUAUCAAUUCCGUGGGCGCCUCAUUCGUCUUGUCAGUGCAGUGUCUUCAAUGGCCAGGCUUAGAUACUAUGAUCGUGUCUGUCCUGUAUGGUGGUUACAAACUGAUGCAUUAUCUGGCGUUUGUGAUGUGCAGGACACUUUUGUAGCAAGCCAUUGAUUUGCAUAGUUACCAUUUUAAAAUUAUGAUGACUUUUGUAGUCAGGAGCUAGGAACCAUUUAUCGCGGUCUCUCUCUCUCUCUCUCUCUCUCUCUCUCGUAAAAAGGUGCAUCCAGGUAUAGCUAAGAAUAAGGAUAGAUAGCAACAGCGAAUGUUUUGCAUAUUGUAAAGUAAUGUCAAGUGUACCUGCUGAUCAACAAGGAGAGGCCAGGGUGACACUGUAGGCGACAAGCUGCGAAUAUCAUAUGCUUUGAGCAUCGUUGGCUAUGGAGUCUCUGGCUUUUACCACCUUAGCGGCGACAUCCUUCAGCUCCAGGAUAUCCAAUUCACAGCCCAAAUUCUGUCCAGAAGGUUGCGUGAAGUGCAGCCCAGUGUCUUUGUCUCUUUGGUCCUCAUUUCUCUCUUCGUUAAAGAGAUCUGAAUGCUCCUCCUCAUCGACGAGUUUCAGGGAAUCACUAUUAUAUGGAGAGCAGUUCAAGGCUGUCGAGAAAGUAUGUACAGUUAGAACCAACAGAAGGAUAUCUAUGCGAAGCGCUCGAGUGGCUUUCGUGGAUCAAUGUGGCUCCGAUAAUUCCCGGGACUCGAAUGCACAUAUGACGAAUGAGCAGGAUCCCAAACGAUUGACCAAUGGUCAUGCUACAUCUAUACAAGCACCAAUGGAGGAUGUAUCAGCGCGAGGGAUGGAGUUGAACGGAAUAUCCUCGAACAGAGUCACCACCUCUUCGGUAGUUGAGAAGACCAUUGUGACAGAAAAAAAGAACGUGGACGUUGAUGAACUUUGGCUUGAAAUUAUAGCGGAAGCCCGGCUGGAAUCGGAGAAAGAGCCUGCUCUUGCCUCGUACUUCUACUCAUCGGUCAUAUCUCACAAGUAUGGGCAUUUCCGGCCUAUGUUUACUCUUGAAAUGUUCAAACAUAGGAACAGUAUUCAGGGAUUUACUUUGCGACACCUUCUGGUUAUUUGUGCAGGUCUUUGGAGCGUGCUCUGGCAUUUCAUCUCAGUAACAAGUUGAGUAACCCCACUCUCCUUAGCACCCAGCUCUUUGGUCUCAUUGUGGACAUCUUCAACAGUGAUGUGGCUAUACGACGCGCCAUAAGAGAAGAUUUGAGAGCAGUUAGGGUCAAGGAUCCUGCAUGCUCCUCGUACUGUCACUGUCUCUUGUACUUCAAAGGCUUUCUCGCAUGCCAAGCGUACAGGGUCUCACACUGGCUCUGGAACAAUGAUCGGCCGUCUCUUGCAUUCUUAAUGCAAAGCCGUGUGUCUGAGGUGUUUCACGUGGAUAUUCACCCUGCUGCCACAAUUGGUUCCGGCGUCCUCUUCGAUCAUGCCACAGGGCUGGUCGUGGGUGAGACUGCCAUCAUUGGAAGCAACGUCUCCAUUCUGCACAACGUUACUCUAGGAGGGACAGGCUUGCUCGGUGACCGGCACCCGAAGAUUGGAGACGGUGUUCUCAUUGGUGCAGGAGCCAUUCUGCUUGGUAACAUUGUGAUAGGAGAGGGCGCUAAGAUUGGCUCUGGAUCUCUUGUGCUUAUCGACGUCCCACCUCAUACUACAGCUGUGGGAAAUCCUGCACGCUUAAUUGGUGGCAAACAAAGUCCCACAAAGUUGAAGGACAUCCCCAGUGAGACAAUGGAUCACACUAUCAAAGGCUGGUCCGACUAUGUCAUCUGAAUCAAAUUAGGUCUCCACUUAAUUUUAGUUAUAUCCCCAUUAGGAUUUCUGGGAUUUGAUGCACGUUGCACGUAACGAUUGUCAUUGCGACAUGCAUUGAUUCCUCAAGGUAAUGAUCAGUUAGUCUUUUUUGUGCCAAUUUACUCGCUGCAUAUUUACUAGUGACAACUCUUAAGCUAGUUACAGAACUGGUGUUUCCUGAAUCUGUUUUUCGUUGUCGUCUUGCUUCUGUUAGGCAUGUAAAAGUUUGAAUUUUUUUCCUGUUGUUUGUGGCUGUAACGGGAUUUCAACAAAUUCUACUGACCCUGCUUCUGAUAAUCGGAGCGUUACAGGAAGUUCCUGGUAAUGGCAUUACCGAAUCCUCUUGAUCGCUCCUGGUAUUGAUUAAUUGCUGCAUGUGCUCUGUUUUGAAUAGUAGAUAGUUCAGAGCUAUUUCAUUUUUGGAGACCAGAACAGGAAAAGAAGAAUGCUCCAGAUCUCUGAAUUGGAUUGGGUGAACUAUCAUGUGACUGGAGCUUUUUCAUUCAAUUGUGGGUCACAGAAUUCCCACAACCUGGCCAGCAACUUAGAGGAACUCAGGUUAUAGCUUACUCUCUCACUAUCGGAAACCACCAUAGAUUUUCAUUCAGUUAAAGAAGCUUCUAAAGAGUUUUACGGAAAUGCCAAAGCAAAAUAAUAAUAAUAAUAAUAAUAUAUAUAUAUAUAUAUAUAUAGGGGAAUGUUAAAUAGACCUAGGCUUUUACUAAAUUGACCCACCCAUCUUAACCAUCAUGAAAAAGUAAUGCCAUCUAGAUUCGUUUUUCCACGAUUGGAUCCAAAAUCAAAGAAAACCAACCAUAUUCAUCAUGAUUACCAUAUUCUUCAUUAUGGGUAGGUCAUUUUAGUAAAAUUUGGGUCUAUUUAACAUUCUCAUAUAUAUAUAUAUAUAUAUAUAUUUACAUACAUAUAUGUGAAAGAAAAAUUUCAAAGAUACUCUUGGGUUUCAAAAUGCCACUUGAAGCUUCUUCAAUGUGAGAUUCUAUAAGGUGAAAGUUUUUAUUUUAUUUUAUUCUAUGUAUUUUGUUUUUCUUCUCUUUUUUCUUAUGAUUAGUGUAUCAAUGAGUGCACAUAGAAGCAAAAUUAAUAAUAUUACAUAUACACUUAUAUUAUAUAUACAUGGAUUUUUUUUUUCAAAAAGUUUAAUUUGUCAAAAGUCUUGUAUUCUUGUUUAUGAUUUUAUUUUAGUCUUAUUUAUUUCAUAGGUGAACAUCUAAUAAAAAUUUGUGGCCUUUUAGAAAUGAUCAAAGAUUCAUGCAACAAUUAAAAAAAAAUUAAGUAAAUAUGAAAAUAGAAUCAUUUAAAACUUCCAAUUCAAUUUUUACAUAUUUUAUUACUUUUUGCAAUCUAAUCUAAAAAAUGUAAUAUGCAAAUUAAAAUCAUGUUUAAAUAGUAAUAGAAAUCAACUAUUAUCCACAAUAUUCAAAGUUAAUACUCAAAUAUGAAUGCAAUACUUUAAUGAAAUUUGCAAGAUAAUUUUAUGAGUUCCAAGUCUAUACAAAAUUAAUACUAUGUAGCUUUGAUAUAAUUAAAUAAUAAAUAGAUCAAAUUAAAUAAUAAAAAAUUAAAAAAAUGCAUCAUAUUAUUAUAAAUAACUAAUUUCUGAGAAUUAUUAAAGCUAUUAAAUUAUUUUACAUCAUAUUAUUGUAAUAAAUCAAUAUUUUUUAAGGUAGUGCAAUAUUUAAUAUAUGUGUUAUUAUUUUUAUCUAUUAAUUUUUUUAUAAACUUUAAUAUAUCACAAAUUAUAUUGAAUAUUUUUUUCGAAAUAAAUAAUUGAUCUAUUAUUUUAUUUAAUUUUUUAAUAAUAAAAAUAUAAAAUAAUAAGGAUAUUCAAAAUAUUAAGCAUAUUUAUUUGAUAAGUUUUGAAAUCAAAAUUUAAAAAUAAAAAAUUCAAUUACAUGAAAUAAAACAAGUAAUGUUAUUUUAAUAAAAUUUGAAUUUAUAUUGACAAAUCAUCUACAAAAUUAAAAAUAUGUUACAAAAUCGACUUACAAAAUUAACUUACACAUAGAUAAAUGAAUAAAAUCUAACUAAUGAAAAUACAUUUUUAUUUUUCUUUAACCACAAAGUAAUGUUUCAAUAAAAAUUUGAAAAAAUUAUGUAAUAUCUUGAAUAUUUUUUUAAGAAUUUAAAUAAAUAAUAAAAUUUAAAAAAUAUAAAACAAAAACAAAAAAAAUCAUUGAGAAAAAAUCAAGUUUGUAGUAAUAAAAUUCUAGACUAUAUAUAUAUAUAUAUAUAAACACAAACACACAUACAUACACACACACACACACAUAUAUAUAUAUAUAUAUAUAUAUAUAUAUGUAUAUAUAUAUAUAUAUAUAUAUGUAUAUAUAUAUAUAUAUAUAUAUAUAUUGAUUUAGAAUUUAGAAAAUUUAAAUUCUUCUAAAAUAUCAUAUAUAAGAAUUUAGAAUUGGUUUUUUUUAUUAUUAUUAUUUGGUAUUAUAAAUUAUUAUUUAUUUUGAAAUUCUAUAAUGUACAUUUUACACUUUUAAUUUUGAGUUUUAAAUCCUUAUUUUUAAAUGUAGGUUUUUUAAAACCAUAAAUAUACAUCUUAAAAUAAAAAGAAUCCAGUCUUACUUUAAUAAUAUUUCAAAUUACUUUUGAUUUAAAAUUAAAAUUAAAUUAUAUCUUAUCCACUGUCAAAAAUAAAGAUAACAAGAAUUUGCUAACUUACGUAAUAGGAUGUAUUUAGACAUGUCUAAGGAUGUUUUUUCUAAAUGAUAAUGUACUUUUUUGGGUUUUUUUUAUUUUCUUUAUUUUUUUAAUAUAUAUAUAUAUAUAUAUAUAUAUAUAUAUAUUUUCUUAUUUUCUUCUAAAAUAAAAAGAAUCAACUUAAUAUAAUCAUGAUAGUAAUAAUUUAGAAAUUUUUGUUGAAACCAAGGCAUUUACUUCUUUAAGUUAAUUUUUUUGUUUAUUUAAUAAUCUUUACUUAAUAUAUUUUAAUUUAUGAAUAUAAGGUUUUUUUCAUUUACUUAGACAAAAUAUUCAAUAGAAUUUUUAGAUUGAAAUUAUAUAUAUAUAUAUAUAUAUAUAUAUAUAUAUAUAUGCGCAUAAUUAUUUACAUCCAAAUCAUAAUAUCUUUUUUUUGUUAGAAUAUAUGUGAUUGAAAAAGAACAAAAUUGAAUUGACUUUUAGAUAGAUUUUGGAGGAAAAGAUACUAACAAACAAAUAGGUUUUAAAAUUUUCAAAUAGUUGUUUAUUAACAAAUAUUUUUCACAAUAAACCUAAAUAAUUUUUUAAAGUUAUUUUUAAUUUCUAUAAACACAGAAGUGAUUUUUAUUAUGUAUUUGUUAAAUAUAUACAUUAAUUAAAGAUUUAAUUUUUAUCAUAUUAAAAUGAACAAUCAAAAAAAGAUAUAUAUAUAUAUACAAAAUAUUAAAAAGAUAAGAAAAGAAAAUCCAAAAUAAUAAAAUAAAUAAUUUAAUAACAAUUAUUAUUAUUAUUAUUAUUAUAUAAUUUUAAUUUUUAUUAUAUCUAAUUAAUUUUUUAUUUUGUAAAUAUGUUAUAUUAUUUAUAUAACUUGACACAACUUUUGGUAGUUAGAAGUCAAAGGUUAAAAAAAUAUUUUUAAUUUUUUUUUGUUUCUAAUUACACCUAUAUCAAUUUUUUUUUAAAAAUAAUCUUAUUAUUUGAAAUAUUUCACAUAAUAAUAUUUUAAACUUUUAUUUUAUUUUUUUAAAUAAUCAUAUUAAGGUUAAGAAGGAAAGACUUUGUUGAUACUAUUAGGAUAUCACUUUAUUAUAAUUAUUGAAUUGAUUCUAAAAUAAUAGUAUUUAAAUUAAGAUAUUACCUUAAAAGCUAUUAUAGCAAGACUUGAAUAAAAAUAAAAUAUGAAACAUAUAGUGUUUAGAUGUAAAUACAUUUUUAGUAAUUUUUAAAAAUUAUAAAUUAUAAAUCAUAAGCAUUAAACUAAUUAUUUAAUUUUCGUCUUAUUCUUUAUUAUUCUAUAUACAUACCUAAAACUAUAAAUCUAUAACCUAUACAAUGUUAUUUUUUUAAUAUAAUGAUGAAUUAUUAUAAAAAUAUUUAUAUGAUUAAAUUAAAAAAAUUAAAGAUCUUAAAUUAUACAUAAUUUAAAAGUAAAAUUUAUUAAAUUAGAAUUAACUUCAAUAAAGUAUUAAUAUAGAUUAAAUAAAAUAUUUAAAAAAAAAAUAUUAAAUCUAAUGUAAGAUUUAAUAAUCUAAUUAUGUAGUAUUAUUUUAUAAGCUUCAUGAUUUAAAAUUUUUAUUAUAACAUAUUUUUUUAUAAAAUUAUAUUAAUACUUUAACUAUUAUAAUGAUUAUUAGAUUAUUAUAAUUAUUAUAUAUGUAUUUGUAUCAGAAAAAAUUAUACACUUGAAAUUUAUUAACAAAUGUUAACCAUGCCAUUUAAUAAAUAUUCAAAUCUUAUUAUAUAAUUAUUUGAGGGUCAAAUCACACAAUAAAUUACAUGAAUAUAUAUAUAUAUAUAUAUAUAUUUAUAUAUAAUAUUAAGAUAUUAAAGUCUUUUAUUUUAAAAAAAUAAUUAUCAUAUAAGUUUAAUAAUAGAAAUUUGAAAAUUGAUUGUAAAUAUUUGAUAUUUUAUUUUAUGCUUAUUUUAUAAAAUCAUAGUUUUUAAACUUUAAUAUAUAUAUAUAAUUACUAGGUUUAUAAAAUAAUAUUGUAAAAACAUGCUACAAUAAGAUCUUUUCAAAUGUUAAAGCAAUAAGGCCUAAAUACAUAGAAAUGACAUGUGUUUAAUUUAUUGAUGAUAAUUGUGCCAAGUUUUUUGUUGCUUGACUUAAGUGAGGUUCAAUUGUCUUGGCAUUGGAAGCUAUUUCUUUCCAUCCAAUGUCUUUUCUUUCUUUAUUAAAGUAUCCAAUAAUAUUUAAAUAUGUAAAUCUUAACUUCAAGGAUGUAUGAUUUAGCUUACUACUUUCUUUGGACUAUUCUUUUUAAGCAUAGAUUCUAAUAUUAAGAAUCUAUUCUAUUUUUUUUUUAAUAGUACAAUUAUUUUAACUUUUUUUGUUUAAAAGGGCAAGCUUAAAUUAUCCUUCACCUAUCUUACUUAGGCCUUAGUUGUGGUAGUGGUGUCCCAAACAUAUAUAUUUAUUCCAAUAAUUACUUAUAUGAUUAAAUAGAAGUAAAUUAAAUUAGAUUAAUUUUAUAAUAUCUUCUAGAAAAGCUUUUUAGAAGCUUCAUAGAUGUGGUUUUGAAUUUACAUGUAUAUUUACUUGAUUGAUAGGUUAGAAACUUGGUCAAAAAAUUAACAAUGUGUAAUACAUAUUGGUAGCUUGUAGAACAAGCUAACUAUGUGGCGCAUAUAUAGAAAACUUGUCUUCUAAGUUAAGAUAUGUGUCUUGCAAAGUCAACACGUAUUGAAGGUCUUAUAGUAUAUUGCUAUAUAGCUUUUAAUUAGAUAAUAUAUUUAAAGGCAAGAAUGAAGCCUUCUUCACUCUUAUUAAUGCCUUGCUAGUCCUUAGUCUUGUUUUUAUACUUUUUAGUCUUCUUGUCUUUGGCAAUAGCUAUUUAAUUCAAUAUAUUAUCAUCUUUGAAUAAUUUUUUAAUUUUUUUGAAUAACACAAGUGUGUAUUGAAUUUUCUUUCUUUGAAAUUUGUAUACUUGAAAAUUUCAUAAGAGUAUUUAUUCAUUUUUUUUAUUUUGUUUUAGAAGUGAGUAAAUUACUUCACUUAUAUUGUUGUAUUUUGAAGGUUGUGGAUUAUUUAUUUUAAAAUAAAUAAUUUAAUUAGAAAAUCCUUAAAAAAAAAUAUAUAUAUUACUCUUCUUUAUAUAAAUUUUCAUUUGACAUUAAAGGUUACGGAUUACUCUCCUCUAUUUUGACUUGUGGAUUUACUAAAUUAUUUGAAAUGGAAGGAAAAGUCAUAGAUACUAUACUUGAUAGAAGUAAAAAUAGAUUUAUAACUAUUGCAGAUCUUCAUAAGCUUAUCAACACUCUUAGGAUGAAAAUUUUACGUAUCACUAAUACCAAACAUGGAAGCACUAUUCUUCUACAUAUGGAAGAAGUCUAGAGUCUAUAUGAAGAAGUUGUACAAUUGAGGAAAGUAAAUUGAAUAGCUUGAAAAUUAAAUUCAGAAAAGUCUUGCUUCUAUAAGCAUAAGAGAGGUAAAGAUUAGUAUGCUCAAGAAUUUUGAUGAAACAAGAUCAUAAUUUCAAGGAUUUUUAUUACAAAUUAAGUUCUAUUUAAGCUUGCAUCUUUUCUAAUACCAUAAUAGAUUAACUCAAGUUGAAUUCAUAGACACAUUUCUUUCUAGAGGUAUUCUUUUUUGGUUUGCACCUUUGAUAGAAAAAGAUUUAUGACUCUUUUAUGAUUUGAAUUUAUUCUUAGAAGUAUUUCUUGUGACAUGGAUUGGAAUGACAAAGUCCUUUUCAAUCAAUUAUGAUAUGAAUUGAAGGAUAACAUCAAAGAUUUAUUAUUAAUAAUAUCAAAAGUAGAUUUUUUAGAAUAAUUUAUUUUUCAAGCCAUUGCAUGCAUUAAUUAAUUAUUUAAAAGGUAUUAAAAACAAAGAUUUGAUUAGAAGAGAAGAAAUCAAGUAAUGAAGAAAACUCCUAAUCUUUUAGAAACUUAUUCAUUAAGGCCAAAAUUAAUGCAAAUUGAUACAAUAUGUUUUAAAUUUCUUACUAAGUAAAAAAAGACUCGACCUUAUUAAGGUCUAUGCUUAUAUUAUAAAAAAAACUAAGCUCAUUACUCAACAUUGUUUAAAGAAGCAAUACAAUUAGAAAAUAAAGAACAUGGUUGUGAAAGAAGAUAAUGUAUUAGAAAACAAGUUUCUUUAGCUAUAAUAGGGAUUAUUCGGCUGGAAUCAUGUGCAAUACUAAGUAAAGGUUGUAUUUUCACCUCAAAUCCUUCACCUUGUUUUAUAAUAGAUGUGUGUUUAAGACCUAAAAUUACAAAGUCUUUACAUUAUUAGAUUCAAGAGUCCCAACUUAUUUUAUAGACAAAGACUUUGUCGAAAAAUAAGAAACAUUGUUAAUGAAGAAAACUUAAUUUAUACAUGUAAAAAUCAUAAAUGAUUGUUUGUUAUAUUCUAAAGAUAUUAUCUAUGAGAAUUUAUUUUUAGAUAUAAUAAUUAAAGAUUAUAAUAGUAUAAUAAUAUUUAAUAUAAUAAGAUCUCUUUUCAACUUAUUUAUAGAUUGGAUUUUUCAUAAUCUUAAUUUUUCUUAUAAUUUAAUUCAAAAUAUUGUUGGUGAAGUAAAAAUAUCUAAGUCUUAUACAUCCAAAUCCUUAUUGGUAGAUGUGAGAGAUUCUAUUCAUGCAAUAAAAGAAAGAUCAUCUUUUGUUAUAUAUGCCACUUUUAUUUUUAAUGGUGCAAAGAUGUCAAGAGGUAUUUUUAGCUAAUAUUAAGAUUUUAAAGAUAUUUUUAAGAAGAAAAAUAUAAAUACUCUUUCAAAGCAUUGAUUUUAGGAUUAUUUAAUUGAUUUCCAAAAAAAUCUCAACUACCAUUUGUACCAAUCUAUAGCUUAUUGCAAAAUAAGUUGGCUAUACUAAAGGAGUACUAACAAAAAUAUGGCUAAGAACUUCAUAAACCAUUAAAAAUAUUUUAUAGGAACUUUUAUCUAAUUUUUGAAGAAAAAUGAUGGAUUUCUAUGGAUGUACAUUGACUAUUGAAGUUGUAGCAAGAUUGCUAUAAAAAAUAGGUAUCUCCUACAUUUGAUUUCAAGACUUUUUGAUCAAUUCAAUCAAAAAAAGAUCUAUAUAAAAAUAGAUCUAUAAGGAGUAUACAACUUGGUUUGCAUCUAAGAAGAUAAAUAGAAGACGUUAUUUUAAACCAAGUAUGGAAAUUUCAAAAAUAAUAUUAUUCAUUUUAGACUCAUAAAUGAAUCAAUUUUUUUUCAAUAUUUCAUGAAUGAUAUUUUUUGUGAAUUUCUUGAUGAUUUUGUUGUUUGCUAUUUAGACAAAAUACUAAUCUACUUUAAGAAUACAAAAAAAUAUGAACUUCAUGUUUUUUUUGUGUAGAGAAAAUUUAGAGAUACAAGAUUAUAUGCCAAGAUAGAAAAGUAUAUUUUCCAUACUACUCAAGUUAAAUUUUUAGAAUAUAUUAUUUCCAAAGAGGGAUUAAGGAUGGAUCCGAAGAAGAUCCAAAUAAUUAUAGAUUUGAAGAUUCAAAGAAUGGUAAAAGAUAUAUAAUAUCUCUUAAGCUUUGCCAAUUACUAUCAUAUCUUCACGAAGAAUUUUUUUAUAAGUUCCAGCCCUACUUACACAUUUGACUUGUAAAGAAAAACUUAACUAAAGUAAAGAAGUAAGAAAGAAUUAUUUGAUGUUUUAAAGAAAGAAUUUACUUUUGUACCAAUCUUAUAUUGAAUUGACUUCUUCAAGUCAUUUUUUAUGGAAACAAAUAUAUUAGACUUUAUCUUUGAUGAAAUGUUGUCCUAAAUGAGAGUAGAUAAUAAACUCCAUUGAGUAGUUUUCAAUUCUAGAAAAUUUUUAACAAUAGUGAACAACUACAAAAUCUAAAAUAAAGAAUUUUUUGUAAUUUUGGAUUUUUUUCAAAAAUAAUAUCAUUAUCUAGAAGGUGCUUUUAAUCAAAUUAAUAUUUUUUUAUAGCACAAUUUUUUAUUUAGGAAUAUAUUAGAUAUCUAAUUGUAGAAAAUUUAGCAUUAACUUAUUAACAAAGAUCUAAUGAAUGAUUCACUCUUAUUAUAGAAGAUAAAUAAAUAUAAAAAUAUCAAAAGAUAUUUGUUGUUCUCGUUGUGUUCAAGCUUCAAUAUACCAAAACAAUUGAACUAAUAGAAGUAGGUUCGAAUACGGGGAAAGACUGGUUAUAUGAAUUAGGUCUGUUAGUGUCACAAUUGACUGUACUCUAGCUAUCUGAAAUCAAUUAUCAAACUACAAAACACCAAGGCUUACUAUUUCCAUCUUAAUUCAACACAUAAUCCAUUCUAUGACUAUCAAUUCAACAAUACUUCCAUAUUCUUAUUAGUUCAUCUUCUACUUACUCUCUUUGAGGUUUAUAUAUAUUCAAUUACUAAUCUCUAGCUUUCUUAUUAUAUUCAAUUUCUCAAUUCAUCACACAAAAUUCAAUAUCUUCACUUAAUACAACACAAUUCGAUAAUCUCAAUUCUCAAGGUCAUAGAUUUUUUCCAAAACGGUCAGUCCAAAGUCAUAUUCCACAAUAUUCUAAUUACAGUUUCAAUAAUACUUUUCUCAAUCACAAUUCUUCAUAAUCAAAUAAUAAAAGCAAAAAAAACAAAGAGGUAGCACCAAGCUUACUUCGGCUUACGACUUUCAUAGUCUGGCCCCGAUCUCCCUUUUUUCAACCUCUUUAUCCUACCAAAAGAUGGACCAUCAGCCAGCACAUUCCAAAGGUUAUGAUCCUUUGAAUUCUUAACCAUUUGUUCCACUAAUAACCUACUAUUAUCACCUAAACUGCCUAAUCAUAAGUCUAAUUCUCAAGGUUGUCAAUAACCAACUAGUAACUUACUACAAAAUUUAUUUACAUAUUCUACAUAGCCCCACUCUUAAUUGUGCAGCACCCUCGCAAAUAUUAUUUAGCCUCAACUUAUAAAGACGUAAGAACAUUCACUUUUUCAGUCAAUGGCAUUGGCUUACCAUCCUUUGAAUUGGUGACCUCCUCCUCUGUUAAAUCUUUGUUGUUUGCUUCGGUGUUCGAUGGUUCUCCAUCCAAAUGUGCCAUCAGAUCUUCAUUCAACAAACCCAAUUUCCAUACUUGAGACUCAAGACGACAAUUUGGUUAUUGCGCUCCCCCAACAUCUUCUGCCAUUCUUCUAUCGGUUUCAAAGGUAUCUCCGAAGGUAUUGUUGCUGAAACUAGCAUACUGAUCCACAUUAAAUUAUUGGCCUCCUUCUCUAAUGCGGCUAGUUUAGUCUAUAACAUCGUAACCUCUAUUUGCAGCCGCUCUUGCUAUUCCUUCGAAUCGGUCUCCAUCCUUGCUUUCUCAAACACCAUGUUUACCAUCUUCUCCUUUUUCACCAUCCACUUCUCUUUAACCACAAAAGAAAACACGAUGCUUGUCAAGAGCACCCCUCCUACUUUUUACUAUGGUCCAAUCAAUUGGGUCGACUCCCUCUUUUUUUCCAUGAUUCGUCAUGAUGAAAUACCCUACUAACUAGGUCUGAUAACUAGUCUUUACUACCACAGUCACUAAUUCCAUCCAUAUUCCUCACACUUCUUAUCACCUUACAUUUACUAUCCUAUAAUCAUCAUUAUUUAUCUCCCCUCUCUUUUUUUAAUAGAAAAUCCAUCCCAAAUUUAUAUAUAGUAAAGUUUAAGCCAAUUGCCAUUGAUCCAUGUCAUAAAUUUAGUAUCCAUAAAAUCUUCCAAUUGUACUAAACCAUUUGGAAAUCCGUCAAUAACUCGAUAUGGCCCAUGCCAUCGAACUUGAAAUUUUCCUAGAAAAUUUUUAAAUUGACUAUCAUAAAGAAGUAUCAAAUCAUUUGGCAUAAAAGCCUUUGGUCUUAGUUUACUAUCAUAAUAAUUCUUCCUUCAUUUUUGUCUAGUUUCCAUUAUCAUUAAUGCAUUGGCUCUAAUUUCAUCCAAUUUUUUCAAUUCUUCUAAAUGGUGCCGUUGUCGUAUGGCAUGAUUUGCUAUCUGGGAAUACACUGGGUAUCUAGAUGUAGAGAGUGUAUCUUAAACCUUUAUAUGAUUCUUUUCUUAGCUUCCAAAAAACUCCUUUAUUUUUGUAUAAAACUCCAAAUAUAACAAAAUCCCUUCAAAACAUAUUUUUCCCGCGAAAGGUUUUCUCGCCCCGAACUUUAGAAAAUCAUAACUAUUGAUAGAACCGUUCAGUUUGUUUCAAAUUUACAAGAUAGGUAGAAUUUACCCUUAACUUGUACCACAAAAAAAACCAACUGCAAAUUCACUCCCGAUCUUCUGGCAUCUAAGAAACCCUAGCAGACACUCCAAACCCUAAUUUACAAGCACCCGAAACUAUUUUCCUUAUAUCUCAAAAAUCCGAACUCCAAAUGUCAUAAAACUUAUGCACAAAAUUUACUAACAUGAAAUUACACAUUCUUUGAAAUUUUGAGCCAAAAUCUCACAAAAUUGCUCAAGAUAUAGCUCAAGAGACAAACACUAGUAAAUCGGUUUACUUACUACCCUUAGAUUGCAUGUGCUGACUUCAAAAUCCAAUAACUCCUUCAUCCCAACUUGGAAUCUAGUAAGCAGUAUGUGAAAAGUAUAGCCGCAAAAGUGCUCUUUCCAGUCGCGGUCGCCGAUCCUCAAUUUCCAUCCGUACGCGUGCGUUAUGCCCAAAAGAGUGACAGUAGGUCCAAAACUAAUACCUUAACUUUGAGCGCCUAUAACUUCUUCAUAAAAACCCCAAAUGACACAAAACUCGCACCAAAACCUUAAUUAAAAACCUAAACCUUCUGAUCCUAGCCUUCAAAGUUCGAAUGGCCUCCGGAAACUAACCCUAAUCUCUAAUAUGGCCUCGGGCAGCCUCCUCAAAGCCCAUUGGUCAUGAUUUUUGACCAAUAGGAAUGGAGAUUUUUAUUUUUCAUCUCCAUUCAUCUAUAUUGGUGCCCUAAUUCCUCCCUUUGCUACCAAAAUCCUUCUUCAAUCCUUUUUCUUAUAUGAUUUACAUAAUGUAUGCUCUAAACACCAAAUAAAAGAACCAAAAAUAAAUUUUCAAAUCUCACCAAUGUCCAAUAAAGGUGACUCUAAAUAUUUAGAAGUUACUAUCAACCAAAACCAAUCUUAAAAGCCACUAUCAAAAAGAAAUUAAAGUUAUACAAAUUCUAUAGUAAUCUUUUUAAACAACCUCUUCUCAAAGUAAUAAUCAAAUUAUAUCCACAACCAACUAAAAUCUAUUAACAUGGCUCUUAACAUGUUACUUAAUAAAUUAUAUAUUAAGUACAUAAUUAUAUUAUUUUCAUAUAAUAGCCGAACCACAACACGACACCGUAAUGAAUCAUGAUCUCCCAAUCUAUUAUCUAUAGCAAUUUGUAAACUUUGGACUUCCAAUUCAAUAGGUAAUAUUGCUUCUUGGCCAUAAACCAAUUAAAAAGGGAUAGCAUUGGUAGUAACUCUAUAUGCAGUACGGUAUGCCCAUAAAGCUGCGAACAACUUAGUAUCCCAAUCUGUUCCCGCUCCUAAAACUGUUCUUAUUAAGAUUUUACAUAAAAUUCCAUUAGUCUUUUUCGUUUGUCCAUUGGCUCUAAGGUGAUACAAUAUAGUCUUACGAUGUUUUAUCUUGUAUUUAGCCAUAAGUGCUUUGAUUGUACUAUUUAUAAAAUGAGUUCUUCGAUCACUAACCAAUUCUCGUGGACAAUCAAACCGUAUAACAAUAUUUUCAUACAAAAAGUUGCUACUAUACUUGUACUAUCGGUUUUCGUAGCUACGGCUUUAGCCCAUUUUAUUACGUAAUCCAUUGCUACCAGUAUAUAGCAUUUUUGUUCAUUUCUCGAGGCUCAUGCAAUUGGUCCCACAAAAUCAAUUUCCCAUUUUUCAAAAGGCGCUUGAGCCAAAAUUGGUAUCAAUGGCAUUGUUGAAGUUCCAAUAGAUCGACCUAUUUUUUGACAUAGGUCACAAUGACAAACGAAUUAGUGGGCAUCUGCAAACAUUGUUGGCGACCAAUUACCAGUUUGUAAAGCUUUAAGAGCCGUAUUGUCCCCCGCAAAAUAUCCACCAUAACUAUCCAAGUGACAAUCUUCUAAUAUAAUACUCACUUUAGUCUGAUAAAUACAAUGUAGCAAAACUCCAUCCUUACCUUGUUUAUAUAAAGCUUCACCAAUCAUCAUAUAAGGUGCACAUUUUAAUAUUAAGCAUUGUUUAAGCUUUUCAUUAAAAUUAGGUGGGAAGGUUUGAAAUGUCAAGUAUUGAAUUAUUUCUUUAUACUCUCGAGUAAUUACAUCUACCGCAAACACUUCUGCAUCAAGUAGAGCAUCGUUAAUGGAUUUAUUAUCCAAUAUAUUGGAUAAUCAAGAUAAAUGGUCCACAUUGGAAUGUGAUUUUUUUAGUCUUACUUGAAUAGUAAAGUCAAAUUCCUGUAAGAAUAAAAUCCAUCGUGCAAUACAACCACUCAAUUGAGGCUUAUUAAUUAUAUAUUUUAAAGCAUCAUGGUCAACAUAGAAAACAAAUUUAUAAUCAAGAAGAUAAUGUCGAAACUUUUGUACGGAAUAAAUCAUCUCCAAUGCUACUCUUUCAAUUGUUAUAUAAUUUUUUUUAGCUACUACCAAUUGACGACUUGCAUAAUAAAUAGGUGAUGAAAACCUCGAUCAUCUUUCUGGCUUAGUACAGAACCAAUGACGACAUUAGAUGCAUCCACAUAAACUUGUAAUGGUUUUGUCCAACAAGGUUCCACCAAUAUUGGUGCUGAAACCAAUUUCUGUUUCAACAUUUUGAAUGCAAUUGUACAUUCUUUUGUCCAAAAUGGAUUGGUCUCAUUGAUUAGUAGUUUCUUCAAGAGAUUUACCAAGGGAAGGCAUAUAACUAUGAAUAGAUAGAUAAAUCACCGAUAAUAACUGACAUGGUCGACAAAAACUUGAACAUCCGUAAUAGUGUUUGGCUGCUUUAAUUCUACUAUAAUCUUUAUUUUAUCUGGAUCUGUAGCAAAGCCUCCCAUCAAAACUAUAUGAUCUAAUAGUUUACCAAAAGACACACCAAAUUGGUACUUUUCUAAAUUUAAAGAAAUUCCAUAUUUAGCAUAUUGAUUCAAAUAUUGACCUAGAUAUUCUAAAUGCCUGAUUCUUGUACUAAAUGUAUAGAAAUCAUCUAGAAAUAUUUCCAUUUAAAAUUGUAGAUAAUCUUGGAAUGCUUGCAUCAUUAUCCUUUGAAAUGUAGCUAGUACAUUACAAAGCCCAAACGGCAUAAUCUUAUAGGCAAAGGUCCCCCAAUCCGUAGUAAAAGUAGUUUUUAACUAAUCUUCUUUUACAAUUUUAACUUGAUUAUAACCGGAGAAUCCAUCAAGAAAUGAAUAACAUUCACGUCCAGCGACAACAUCUAAUAUACUAUCUGUGAAUGGUAAAGGAAAAUAAUCCUUGUUGGUAGUCACAUUUAAUUUGCAAAAAUCUUAACAGAUGCAAAUUUUUCCAUUCUUUUUUGGUACCAUAACAAUUGGUGAAACCUAUUCACUGAAAGGAACUGGAUAGAUAAAUCCAACCUCUAAGAGUUUAUCCAGUUCUUCUUUUACCAUAAGUGAGUAUUUUGGAUCAAGUCGAUGUUGUCUUUGGCGUACUGGUGUAGUGUUCUCCUCUAAUAUAAUUCGAUGCUCACAAAUUUGAGCUCGAAUUCCAACAAAUCUGCAUACAACCAUACAAAAAUAAUUUUAUGAAUUAAGAAAUAAUCCACCCAAAUUUCUUUCUCUUUGCCUUUUAUAUCGUCAUAAAUCUGAAUGAUUUGAGGAGCCUUUCAUGUACCCUAAUUAAUUGGUUGACAUCGUGGAAUUUGAGGAGACUCUGGAAUAAUAUUCUGCUCUAUUUUAGAAUCUUUCAUAAAAUUCGACAAAUUAGAACUUUCCAACUCCAGUUCCAUAGCACUAACAUGAUUAAUAUCCUAUCUAUUCAUCUAAUAUGCAAUCAUAUGAUCAGAAUCGUCAAUAACAUCUAGAAGAACUAAGUACUCUCUCAGUCCCCUGCACUGGUAUUUUAUUCUAGUGUACUUGACAACUUGCCCUGUAUCACCAUAAAUUGAAUCAAAUGCACCAAUUUUUUCUUUUAUAGACUCAUCUUCACAAUCCGACGUGAAUUCUAAACUGACAAAUUGAGUUUCUCCAUGAUAUUGGACAAGGUACAUUUGAAGCACAAUUUUAUCAUUACCUUUUUUAAUUGUUAAUGUACCAUAGCUCUAGUCAUUUUGAGCUUUAGCUUGAUACAACCAUGGUCGCCCCAAUAAAAUUGGGUAUGAUAAUAUAGAGCUUCGCAAUCAAAAAAGAAUAUAAUCAAUUUUAUAGGUAAUCUUUACAAUUACUAUAUCAAUACUUCGUAAAAUAUCUAUAGGUUUAACUCUACUGAAAUCAGUCAUUCUCAAAACUAUUAUAGUAGGCAAUAAGUGAUCCAAACCUAACUCCUCUAUUGUAGCAACAUUCAUAAGAUUUACAUUAGAUCCUCUGUCUACUUGCACUCCCGAUACUAACGUUCCAUCAAUUGAGACAUCAAUCGUUGAUGCACCCAGAUCGGGAUUCAAACUUACUUCUUGGAUUUCUUUAUUUCAAGAUCUGCGACGAAUUAAUGAAGAAUUCAAGAUAGUUCGACACUCAGGUGCUACCGCCAAUAAUUGCUUCAUAGAGAUCGUGGGUUGUAUGGUACCCAAAUCUUUUAGAAUAUCAUAUGGUUCUGUAUUAGUGGUAAUUUCUAAUGUCUGUUUCUUCUUUGCAGUCGUAGACACCGAUGCAUGUAAAUUGGUUUUUUCUAUAAUGGAAAUUAGUAUAGCUACUAGAACUAAAUUUGACGAAGCAUGUAAAAUUGAUUCUUUCAACAGGUAAGAUUGUUCUCCUAAUUGGGUUGAUAUUCAUUCUUUGGAAUUCAUGCCUCUGAGAGGAUCUUUCAAUGGAAAGGACGUUUCCCGAAAUUGUGUAGAGAAUAGAAUAACUUGGAAUAGAAUCGAAGCCUCCGUAAUCGGUACCUCAUUAGGGUGCACAACCAAUUCAGGUCUUAUACUGAGUAAGGAGCCCAUAUUAGGACCUGGAUUGGAUGGCCCUGUAAUUAGGUCUAAUUGACCCCUUGCUUCAAGAUCACCCAAAUGUUGAAUUGGUCCUUUCUUCUUUUGUUGACUUCUUCUAAGGAUAGCUUAGACUACUUCUACUCGAUGAACUGGUGAUUCUUGUGUCCUGUUAUUUUUUUUCUCUACAAUUUAUAUAGUUGAUUGUAUCUUCUGAUCAUGAUUAUUAAGAUUAAAUGGAACAUUGCAUUGAUAAUAAAAAUGACCCGAUUGCUUGCAAUUUCUAAAUACUGAAGCAUAUUCGUUUAUAAACCUUGGAUUAGGGCAUUUACUGAUAUAAUGACUAAUUUGUCGACACCGGUAGCAACCUAGUGGUUUUUGGCCCAUACCAUCAAGUACACUUCGAGUCUCCACUAGAAUAUAUGUAUUAGGCCAAUUCCAGGUAGCCAUAGUAAAUGAUCCUGGUUGACCAGUUGCUACAGGUCAAGAAUUGGACUACUGAAUUGGUAUAGUUUGGAGAUUACCUCCUUGAUUAUUUCCACCGUUCUACAUAUUUGUUCUAUAAACCUGAUUAUAAUUAGUAUUUUGAAAAUUCCCAAAGCCUUGAUUAGGUCGAUUUGGAUGAUUACUAUUCUAACCACACAUAUUUCCAGUCUGUACUUGAUUAAUAUGCCAUUGAGUUGGUUGUAUUAAUGUCUGGUUAUUGAACUAUUGUUGCUUUUGUAAAUACCAGCAGUUUUGGAUAGGGUGCUUUCUUCCACAAAAUGGACAUUGAAUACCCAUUUGUCUAGGUGAUGGACAUUCUGUAUCAAAAUGACCUUGUUCCUUACAAUUAUUACACCAUACAUUAGGUCUCAUAUUAAAAGGCUUAUGUCAUUUUUCCUUAUCUUUAGCCAAAUUCACGGCCAAUUCUUCCAUCUUCUUUAUUAGAUUUAAUAACAAGGCUUCAUUUGGAUCUUUAAUAGUCGCAUUUGUGAACAACUCCAGUUGUUGAUAGUUGUUGGCGAUGUAAAAUAAGACGUCCUUGUUAUUGGUGUUAUUGCUUGGAGUGGGGUAGCAUUAAUUGGUUUUUGCAACAGGACAUUCUUCACAUUGGAGGCAGCCAUUUGUGGAUAAUUAUCCAUCGACACAUUUCUCCAUUGUAUUUGUUGGCUUCUUGAACUUGGAAUCAUCAUGGCCCCCACUAUUAACAAUUGGUCAUAAUGACAUUCUUCCCACAUCUUUGCUAGUGCCAACGAUGCCUCUACCAUAGCUGGUCAAGCCUCUUUUACAAAAAAUUUUAAUUCUGGUGGAUGCAAACCAUUGAUUAAUAUCGACAACAUAAACAAAUUUGGCUUUUGAUUAUUUGACCAUUUACAAAGUAUAUCCGUGAUCCGGCCAUAAUAGGACUCUAUUGAUUCUCGCACAAACACCCUACUAUUCAUAAAACUUUCUCAAAGCCGAUCUUCAAAUCCAAUUGGUCUAAAAUGGAUUAGGAAGGCAUUCUUCAAGGCCUCUUAAUUGAGAAAUCUAUCCAGUGGUUGCCGAUUAUACCAUUCAAAAGCUAUAUCUUUUGAAGUUGCUGGUAAUGAUCUCAACCAAAUGUCUUCAGUUCUACCAUUAUUAGCCAUACAGAUUGUCAAGAAUUGAGAUAUAUGGUGAUCAAGAUCAGAGCCUAUCCAACCACUAAAAGUAGGUAAUGAUGCUACACUUGUAGUGCGGUCUCCUACUGCUCCCAUUUAUACCGCAAUUGGUACUUUUGGCACUCCUGCGGCCAUUGGUGUUAUCACUGGUUUCUUUGCUAUUUGAAUUUAAAUUUUUCUUCCUUUGGUUUUACUUGGACCUAAAGUUCUUUUUUGAAAAUCCCGUAGGAGAUUUCUUAUACGUAAUUGCUCUUUUCUUUCUUUUGCUUAUCAAUUAAUUCUUUGAUAAUCCUCUAUUUCAUGAUUAUUACUCAUAAUCUUUCAUUCUUCUUUACAAAAUCAAUACUGCCUUGAAUUAUAAUUCACAUAUUUGUAAUCCUAAAAUUAGUUCUUUUUACAUUUUCAUUCAACAUAUAAUUCCAUCUUUCAUACAAUCAAAUUCUAAUAUUUCAUAUUAUUAUCAUUUUCCUGGUAGCGGUGCCAAAAUGUUGUUCUCGUUGUGUUCAAGCUUCAAUAUACUAAAGUAAUUGAACUAAUAGAAGUGGGUUCGAAUACGAGGAAAGACUGGUUAUAUGAAUUAGGUCUGUUAGUAUCACAAUUGACUAUACUCUAGCUAUCUGAAAUCAAUUAUCAAACUACAAAACACCAAGGCUUACUACUUCCAUCUUAAUUCAACACAUAAUCCAUUCUACGACUAUCGAUUCAACAAUACUUCUAUAUUCUUAUUAGUUCAUCUUCCACUUACUCUCUUUGUGAUUUAUAUAUAUUCAAUUACUGAUCUCUAGCUUUCUUAUUAUAUUCAAUUUCUCAAUUCAUCAUACAGAAUUCAAUAUCUUCACUUAACACAACACAAUUCGAUAAUCUCAAUUCUCAAGGUCAUAUAUUUUUUCCAAAACGGUCAGUCCAAAGUCAUAUUCCACAAUAUUCUAAUCAUAGUUUCAACAAUACUUCUCUCAAUUACAAUUCUUCAUAAGCAAAUAAUAAAAGCAAAGAAAACAAAGAGAUAGCACUAAGCUUACCCGGGCUUACAACUUUCACAGUUUGGCCCCGAUCUCCCUUUUUUCAACCUCUUUAUCCUACUAAAAGAUGGACCAUGGACCAGCAGAUUCCAAAGGUUAUGAACCUUUGAAUUCUUAACCAUUUGUUCCACUAACAAUCUAUUAUUAUGACCUAAACUGCCUAACCAUAAGUCUAAUUCUCAAGGUUGUCAAUAAUGAACUAAUAAUUUACUACAAAAUUUAUUUACAUAUUCUACAAUAUUCUACUAAUAAAACCUUUUAUAUUUAAUAAGAUUUAUAUGUAAGGCUUUUUAGAACAUCUAAAAAUUUCUUAAUAUCUUUUUCAAUACUAAAUCAAAUCUUAUCAUUUCUUGAUAAAUUAGAUCUUCAAUAAUUCCAAAAAAAAUCCAUAAUCUCUUUUCAAAAAUUUAUCUUUAUAUUUUAAUUUUAUUAUAGCUUCAUACCUCUAUAUUAAAAAUAUUUAUAAAGACUUGUUUCUAUAAAAAUCCCUUUACUUUGUAUAAAAUCUUCAAAUUGUAGCAAAUCCUUUUAAGCCAUUUUUUUCCUAUAAAAGAUUUUUUUUCUUCAAAUUUUAAAAUUUCUUAUCUUUAGAUCCAAUUUUUUAGUUUUUUUUUUCUAAUUUUUUAGAUAAUAUAGUAUUUAUCAUUAAGCUUUACUACCAAAAAAAUAAAUUGUAAAUCUAUCAUAAAUUGUCUAAUAUCUUAGAAAUCCUAAUAGAUAUUCUAAAUCCUAAUUUAUAAGCAUAUGAGUACUAUUUUCUUCAUAUCUAAAAAAUCUAAAAUUCAAAUAUCACAAAAUUUGGUGUGUAGCUUUAAAACGUAGUAAUACUCACUUGUAAAAAAUUUUAGCCUGAUAUUUUAGCCAAUUUUAGCCAAUUUUAGCCAAAACUUAAAUAUCACAAAAUUUGGUAUGUAGCUUUAAAACGUAGUAAUACUCACUUAUAAAAAAAUUUAGCCUAAUAUUUUAGCCAAUUUUAGCCAAUUUUAGCCAAAACUCAAAUAUCACAAAAUUUGGUAUGUAGCUUUAAAACGUAGUAAUACUCACUUGUAAAAAAUUUUAGCCUAACAUUUGUUCAAAUGGCUGAGAUAUGGCUAGAACAAAAUCCUUCACGAAAUUGGUUUACUAACAAACCUCAAUUUAGAUGCAUUAUCUUCAAGUAGUUGUAGCUCCUUCAAAUCAACUCCAAAUCUUUCACUAUUUAUAUGCAAAAUAUAGUCUUUUAAAUAAAAUUUUUAAUUAUACAAUAUAAUCAUUAAAAGUCCUUUAUAUGCAUGCUCUAUGUCUCAAAGAGUGACAAUAGGUAUAAAAUCAAUACUUUGACUUUAAGCACCUAUAUUUCCUUCACAAAAAUUCUAAAUCAAACAAAUUUUUUACUAAAUCUUUAUCUAAAAUCCUAAACUUGACAACUUUAACCUUUGAGGUUCAAAUGUUCUUAAAAGAAUAAUCCUAAUCUCUAAUAAGGCCUUCAAUAGCCUCCUUAAAGUCCAUUGGGCAUGACUUUUGGUUAAUAGAAAUAGAAGUUUUCAUCUUCCAUUUCCAUUCAUCCAUAUGAUUGGCCUAACUAUCUUUUUUUAUACAAAAAUCCUCCUUUAAUCUUUUUUAUAAUAAAUUUUAUAUAAUAUGUGUUUUAAACAUCAAAUAAAAGAACCAAAACAAGAUUUCAAGAGUCACCAAUGUAUAAUAAAGGUGAUUCUAAAUAUAUAAAAAUUAUUAUCAACACAAAAUCAGCCUCAAUAUUAGCCCUUUUAAACUAACUACUUUAAAGUAGCAAUCUAACUACAUUUUGUAACCAACUAAAAUCUAAUAACAUGGCUUUUAUUACAUUGUGUAAUAAAUCAUAUAUUAAAUAUAUAUGUAUAUUGUUUUUAUAUAGUAGCUGAAUUAAAAUAUAAUAUUAUAUAUACAAAUUACAAGAAUGUCAAGCACUUUAUAUGAGCAUAUAUGGUGAAUUAUUGCCAAGCUUGUUGAAGCAUGUCAUUAUCAAAAUAUUAUUUUAAGAUCACUUAUUGACUCAAAAAAUAAUAAGAUUUACUAGACAUCCUUUCUAGAUUUAUUUAUUUAUUUAUUUAUUUAUUUUUAUUUUUAUCUUGCAUCAAAAGAAAAAAAUAUAGCUUUUGAUCAAUAAAGAAUAAUUUUCUUAAAGUUAUAGAAUUUUUAUCUUUGAGCAAUGAAAUUAGCAUUGAUUGUUGAUUAGUAUUGGAUUAAAUAUCCAAAUUUGGCCCUAUUUGUCACAAACAUAUAUAAUUACUUAAAUCAAAUGAAUUAGAUAGAAGUAAAUAGACGUUUAGAAAUUUUAUAAUACCUUUUGGAGGAAUUUUUUAGAAGCUUUAUAGAUAUAGAUUUGACUUUUUAUAUUUUGAAAUUAUUAAUAGGUUAAAAAUUUGGCCAAUAAGAAGACCAUGUAUUAUACAUGUUAGCCAUUUAUAGUAAAAGUUGACUAUGUGGUGCACUUAAAAGAAACUUAUCUUACAAGUUAGAUAUGUGUUUCAAAAGUUGGACAUGUGCUAGAGGUUCUAUAAUAUGUUAUUAUAUAGCUUUUAAUUAGGUAGUAUAUAUGGAUGUAAGAAUAAAGCCUUUUUACUGUUGUCAACAUCUUUCUUGUUUUUAGUCAUAUUUUAUGAAUCUUUAUUUUUUUUAUUUUUAAAAAUAAUAAUUCUCAUUUUAAUAUUAUACUAUAUUUAUGUCAAUGUUUUCUAUUUCCAAGUGACACAAGAAUGUAUUAUUAUUUUGAUUCUUUGUGAUUCAUGCCUUUGAAAAUUUGACAAGAAUGCUAAUUUAUUAAUUUUUUUGUUUUAAAAAUCAAUAGAUCAUCUUAUAUCUUUUGUUGUAUUUUAAAGAUUGUAAACUAUUCACCUUUAAAUUAAUAUUUUAUUUUUUAAUAUUAUUUUUUUAAAAAAUAAAGUAUUUUUUUAUAAAAAAAUUUAUUUAAAAUUAGAAGUCAUAGAUUACCUUCUUCUAAUUUGAAUUUGAAUUUUUUUAAAAUUAUCUAUUAUAAAGAUAGAAAAUAUAUAUAUAUAUAUAUAUAUAUAUAUAUAUAUAUAUUAUAUUUAAUAAAAAUAAAAAUAGAUUUAUAACUAUUAUAGAUCUUCAUAAUCUUAUCAAUACUUUUAAGAUAGAAAACUAAUAUAUUACCAAUAUCAACCAUAGAGGUAUUAUUUCUAUAUCUAUUAAAAAAAUUAAUCAUGAAGUUUAAUAUCUAUGCCAAAAAAGUAUAUAAUUGAAAGAAGCAAAUAGAUCACAUUUACAAUUCAAGUAGUCUUGCUAUUAUAUGAAGGAAGCAAUGAUCAAUAUGCCAUAGAAGUUUGAUGGAAUAAUAUUAAAAUUUUAAGCUUUGCCUAGAACUACUUCUUUUUCAAUACCUUGAUAGGUAUAUUAGCACACUCUUAUAUAGAAGUACUUUCUUGAUUUGAAUUUUUUACAAAAAACUAUUAACGAUUCUUGUAUAAUUUAAAUUCAUUCUUGAAAAUAUUUACAUCUAUAUUUGAAAAAAAUAAUUAAAAAAUAAUAAUAGAGACCAAAUUUCUUUUUUUAAAAUAAGAAUUAUGUUUAGCCAUCAUAUAUGCUGUCAAAUUCUAAAAUCUUACUUGAAACAUGGAUUGAAAGGACAAAAUCCUUAUCAAUCAAUUUUAAUAUUUUUUAAAAGAUAAUAUUAAAGAUUUUUUGUUGAAAAUAUAAUUAAAAAAAAUUAUUGAAGUAAUUUAUUUCUAAAGCCAUUGCAUACAAUAAUUGACUUUUUGAAAGAUUCUAAAAAUAAAGAUUUGGUUUAAGUGAAAUAAAUCAAGUUAUAAAGUUAUUUCCUAAAUUUUUAGGAAACUUAUCCAGCUACAAUAAGAACUAUGUAAUUAGAAUCUUAUGCAACAUCUAAUAAAGGUCAAAUUCUCUCUUCAAAUCUCUUUGUCUUAUUAGAUUCGAGAGCCUCAGUUUUUUUUUUUUUUUUUUUUUUUUUUAAUAAACAAAGACUUUGACAAAAAACAUGAGACAUCUUUAAUCAAAAAAACUAAGCCUAUGCAUGUAAAAAUCAUAGAAUUUGUUUUUUGCUCUUUCUAGAAAAUAUUAUCCAUGAAAGUAUUUCUUUAAAUUUAGUGAUUAAUAGAUAUAAUAGCUUAAUAAUAUUUAAUAUUAUUAGAUCUCUCUCCAAACUAUUUAUUUUAUAUUGAUUAUGACUAAAAAAGAAUAAUCCUAAAAUAUAUUAAAUUUUUUAUAACCUUAAUUUUUUUCUUAACACAAUUCAAUCUUUUUUCAUCCAAAUAGAAAGUCAUAAGUCUAAACCAUUAUUAGUAUGUAUAAAUACUUUUAUACAUGUUACAAAAUAAGGAUCAUCUUUUAUUACUUAAGCUAUACUAAUUUUUGAUGAUGAAAAGUCUUUAAGUGGCAUUCCAAGAAAAUAUCAAGAUUAUCAAGAUAUUUUUUAGAAAAAAAGUAAAGAUAUUUUUUAAAUCAUUAUCUUCAUGAUUGUUUAAUUGAUUUUAAAAAAAGAAUUCAACCACCAUUUGAACCAACCUAUAGCUUAUCACAAAAGAAAUUGGUUGCACUUUAGAAGUACAUUGACAAAAUCUAGCUAAGAACUUUAUAUAACAUAGAAAAUUUUUAGUAUAAGCUUUCAUCUUAUUUGUGAAGAAAAAAUGACAUAAUAGAAUGAUAUAAUAAAAGAUGAUCAUUUAAGAGUUUUUAGAUAAUUUAUCAUUUUUUGUCUAAAACAUAUUUUAAUCUAUUAUAAGAAUAAUAAAGAACAUAAAUUUCAUGUUUAUUAUGUAUUACAAAACUUUAAAGAUAAAAGACUAUAUACUAAGAUGAAAAAUUAUGUAUUUUAUAUUACUCAGGUUGAAUUUUUAGAACAUAUUAUUUUAAAUAAUAGUCUUAUGAUAGAUUUUUAAAAAAUUUAAACUAUCAUGAAUUAUAAGAUUUCAAGAAUAAUAAAAAACAUCUAAUAUUUUUUGAGAUUUAUCAAUUAUUAUGACAUUUUUAUCAAAAUAUUUUUUAAAAAUUGUAGCUCUAUUUAAGUUUAAUCAAUGUUAAUUUUAUUGUUCAAAGAUGAAAUUGCUUUGGCUUUAAAAAAUUAUUUAUCAUUGAUAAAAAUAUACUUUUUAAAAUUAAAAAUUAAAAAUUUUAAAAAAAAGAUGACAAAUCUUGUUAUUUUUUUGGUCCAUAAAUGGAACUUAAAUUCAAAUUUUGACAAAAACAUGCUUCAAUAGCCUUGGUAAAAAUUUAAAAUAUGUGUUAUGAAAUAUUUAAGAUUCUUAUGAUCCAUAUACAUGAUGAUUGAACUAAGAGCGUCUUCCAAACAAUGACACCAUUCUUGAAAUGAAUCCACAAUUAGAAGAAGCUCUUUAUUAUAAAUCUUGUAGUUGGUUUCAAUUGCUAAAAACGUUUUCAAAUAAAAAGCUAUUGGAUGAGGUUUUUUAUCUUUUCUAUUUGUAAUAAUAAUGCAUCUAAGAUAAAUUUUAAUGCAUUUAUUUCUACAAAAAUUUCCUUGAAAAAGUCAAUACAAUAUAUAAUUAGUAUAAAAAUAAAAACUAACUUCAAAGCUUCAAAUAAUACUUUUGUUUGUUUAUUCUACUUAAGUUUGUCUUUACAAGUUUUUAUGAUUACAUAUUUUUAUUAGUAAAUUAUUUUACAAAGAUAGUAUAUUUUAUGAAGCAAAAGUUUUUUUUUAAAUAAUAUUUUUUAAUAUCAUGGAUUAUCAAAAGAUAUUAUAUUAGAUAAAAAAAUUUAAUUUAUAUCAAAGUUUUGAAAAAUAUUUUUAAAAAUAUUGAUAAGAUUAAUAAAGAUACAAAACAAAUAAAAAAAAUUUUGAAGUAGUAUUUGAAAUGUAUUAUCAACUACCAUUAAGAUGAAUGGACAAUUCUUUUGUCAUUGAUAGAGUUUGCUUAUAAUAACACAAUACAUUUUUCUACUCAAUAAAUACUUUUUUAUGUAAAUUAUGGUUACAGUCUACAACUUAAUAUUUUUGACUAUUCAAAUUAUCAUAAUCCUAUAGCAAAAAAAUUAUAAAUUAUAUAUUAGAGCUACAUGCAAUAAUGAAGGAAAAAUUUAAUAAAGCUAAAAAAUGACAAAAAAUCAAUAUAGUUGCCUAUUGCAAAGAAUAAUGUUAGAUCUACAUUAGUGAUAAGAUAUGAUUAUUUUAUUGUAACAUCAAGAUUAGUUACUCUUAAGAUAAGUUAGAUAAUCAUAGACUUGGAUUGUUUUUUAUUUGUGAAUAGAUUAAUCCAAUUGCAUAUUAAUAUAUUAAAAUCUAUAAAGAUCUAUUUUAUAUGGAACUUUUUUUUUGAAGCCAUAAAAGCAAUGGAUAUAUCAAAAAAAAAGAUAAAUGUCACUUCUUCUUAGAAAAAGUAAAAAUAAUUAAGAAUUUAAACUUGAAGAAGUCUUAAAAUCAAGGCAAUGCCAAAAUAGAUUAGAAUAUCUUAUACAUUGGUACUAAUAUGAUAUUUUUAUAAAUGCACAUAAAAGCUAGCUAUAAAUCUUACAAAUACAAUAAACAAAGUUAAUAUUUUUUAUCAACAACAUCCAUUGAAAUGAAAUGCAAAAUCAAGCAAUACUUUGCUAUUUAAAAAAAAAAUCAAUAAAAAUUGAAUUCUAUCUUCUAUCUUUAUAUGUGGUUUUUUAUAUAUUUGUAGUACUAAAGAGAUGGAAUAUCAGCAACUACCAAAUUCAAUAUAAAACUAUUAUUUAUUAAAUUAUCAAGCAAAAUAUUGAGAUUAUUAUAACCUUCAAGAUGACAUAAUAGAAAUGAAGACCUAUGAGCUCUCAAUUAUGCUUCAAAUAUUAAAUUUUUAUUUUUUCUUAUUUUAUUGUAAUUGAACAAGGUAGAUUAUGAUUUAUAUAAGAAAAAUAUAAUUUUGUAGGGUUUGGAAGAUUGUAAUAUUUGAUGGUACAAAUCAUAGCCUAAUUCCUUGAAUUGGGUUAAUUAGGACUAAAUUGAUAAGAUUUAGAAAAUCAAAAUAGCAAUUUAGUUAAUUAUAAUAAUUUAGAGGUUGUUAGUCAUUGCUAUAAGAGUUGAUUGGAAGCUUAUAAUUUUACCUACAAUCAUCUCACAUGAUUUAGAAGGAAUUAAACUUAUAAUUUUCUAAAAGAUUUUAGUGAAGGUUAGCAAUGGCAAUUUUGAAGUUGUCAUCCAAAUUCAACAAAUCCAAGUAGCAAAGGGGCUUUUCAAAUUAAUAAAAGUCUUUCAAAUGCAAUGGCGGCAUUAGAUUCAUUCUAUGGAGUGAAAAAAAACAAGAUCAGCACCUUCUCUACCAAAAUUUAAGUGUAGCCAUGAAGAUGUCAUUUUUGAAGGAAUUUUCAAUAAUUACUAAAAUCUUUGGAGAUAAAUAUCUUUAUAAAAAUUACAUAUGAUCAUAGAUAAAGAUAUGUGAGUAAUCGAUCUUAGUAUAAAAAGAUAUUUUAAACACAAUGGUGAAGUUAGAUUUAUCAAAAAGUAAUUUUUUGAUCACUUAUAGUAACCAUCAGCCUUGAUAACAAAAUUAGUUCUUUGAAGAAUAAAGGCCAUUGUCAUAAUGUAAUACAACUAUAUACUGAAAUUGUAAUCAAAAUUAAUUUUUUAAUUAAUAUAUAAUUAUUUUGGUUCAAUAAUAAUUCAAGGUAUCUAAAAAUGGCUUUUAUAAAAGCCUCUUAAGUUAUUUUCUUAUCUUAAUAGUUAGUAGGUUAAAGGUCAGUUACUACUUAUAUCUUCUAGGCUGUAGAAACUCUUUUACUACCUUAGAAAGACCAUAAAUUAAUAAAAUCAGGUUAGAAGAGGUAAAUAAUUAGUAUGAUUGAUACUAGAGUUAAGUUGAGGGUAGGGUUGGACUAAAAAAUCCUUAGGAUAGGUUAGAUUUUUUACCUGGGGGUCAAUUAUUUGUGAGCCAGGGUCCAAAUCAGACCUCCAGCCACUAAAACGACCGCCUAGGGCAAAAUAGGUUUUUAUUUGAAUAUUGGAGAUUAGAACUUGUUUCAAAGACAUAAGACUAGUUUUGAUAGAAUUUGUUGAAAUUGAGCAAUUGUUGUUGAAAGUCAAGGUUUGUAUUAGAAAUUUGGAAUUUAUGCAAUGAAAUUAGAGCUAGCACUCUUGGCUUGUAAAAUUGGUGUCACAUCUGUGGUUAAAAUUUUGAUAAUGCUUGGUUAAUUAGGUUUUCUAAGUGUAUGUUAAAUUUUGUGAUAAUCCAAUGGUGCAAAUAGAAGAUAUCUUGGUUUUGAUACAAGAACAUACCAAAAGUUGGUAGUUUGGGAUUGAAUAGGGUUUCUAUGAUAUCUAAAAAUCUACUAGUUAAAUCAAGGUAAUAUUUUGAUAAGUAUUGGAGGACUUAAAGAACAAGUUAUAUACCAAUUUUGAGUUGAAGUUAAUGAUUGGAGAAGGAAAAAUUACUCUUGGAACUUCUACAUCACCUUUCAAGUUGGCAGCCAAGUGACAUUAGUGUAGUUUUUUGAAGUUUUUUUCACAAUAUGUAAGUUGGAUUUGGCUGAAAUUUCUUGAUCAUAUAGAAGACUUAUAUUGCCAAUUGCAUGCAAAUUUAAUACCAACUAGACGAACAAAUUAGAAGUUACAACUUGUCAAAACUCACUAAUUAGAGUUAGGACUUUAAGAAAAAUCUAAAUUGUUUAAUUUUAAAAGUAACAAUAUAAUUGGAGUUUAUGUAUGAUUGAAGUUAAUAAAAAGAGUGUUUUUUAGUACUUUUGAAUUAAAAUUUCGAUUAUAUUCUUCUCAUAUGGAUAAAAUCUAUUAGGAUUAUUUGGAUACUAGUAAAACACAACCUUACCUUCCUUAGCUAGAUGCUUGGUGCAUUUCUUAACAAGUCAACAUAUAAAACGACACCAUAGAUUUAGAUUAGGAAUCUUAGAAAUCAAUAAUGGAGAUGUGGCUACCUCUCAUGAGCCUCUGCUUACUUGAAUAAGAAAGUUUGAUUGCCCAAAUUGUUGGUUUCUCUUUUUUUUUUUAUGAAGAACAAAGCCAUAUUAAAUUUUUGUCUCAAAUCCUAAUUUUAAUUUCAUUUGGAUUCUAGAUCUCAUUAUGAACCUUGUAAAUUUGAAGGGGCAUUGAUUUUGUGUAUGGAUGGUGCUUGUUGUAGUUUCAAAGGCACCACAUUGAAAUUAUUGGUUUCCAAACACUUCAAUAGUCAAAGGGUUUAAAAGGCCUCAGAUUUUCUUCAAUCAGUCUAUGGUUUUUAAAAUUUUGAAGUGAAUUUUUUUAAGCACAUAACUCUUGUUUUUUUUUUUUUUUUUUUUUUUUUUUUAGCUUUCCAACGAGCUAAGGCUUGCUUGAUUUGGAUUUAGAACAAAGUUUUGGUGAAUUGUUGAGUGUGAGGGGGUCAGCUUCCUUGGCAGUUUGGUUUACUCAAUUUUGGAAAGAGAAUCCUUAGUGCCUUAAAAUUGGAUUAUUCUAAAAAAUUUAGAAAAAUAAGGCUUUUAAGCUGAGCUUCCAAUUGAAGUAGUUUUAUAGAAAUUGAAGUUGAUUUAAAGUUUUGGUGAAUUUCCAAGUGAAAGGAGAUAGGAUGUAGGGGCAGUUCCAAUUACUCAAUAUUUUUCAUAGCUACAAAGAUUUUUAAAGGAAAAACUUCUUCAAGUUAGAUUUUCAAUCAAGUAAGAAUCAUUAGAUUUAGAGCUCAUCCAAAUUUUUGGAAAAUUUUGGAAUAGAAAGAGGUUUGUUGCCCUCAAGUGGAGCAUGGUUGAAGUUAGUUCUCUCUAUCUUUACCUUGUUUUUUUUCUUUUUAUUCUUCAUCUUCCAACUUUUAACCUUAUUUUAACUCAAAUUUUAACUUCUAACUUUCAACUAUUAAAUUUAUUUUAAUUUUUCUUAUUUUUAUUUUACUUUUAGUUUUUUUAAUCUUUUAUAUACAUGAUAACUUUUAUAUAUUAAAAUAAACCAAUAAAUUAUUAUUAUCAUAAUAUAUAUAUAUAUAUAUAUAUAUAUUAAAAUAAAUAAAUUAAUUAAUUUAAUUUAAUUUUUUAAUAAAUAAUAAUAAUAAUAAUAAUAAUAAUAAUAAUAAAAUAUCAAUUAACAUUGAUAACUAUUGUUUGAAAGGUAAUAAGUUAAAUUGAUUUACAAACACCUAAAAUUAAAUUAAUUUAGAAAUUGUACAAUUGAAAGUUUUCCAUUCUACCUCUUGAACCUAUUGUAUAGCAUUAGUUUCAUAUAGUGGUGGAAUUUGGGCUCACAAGACCCUCAUGUAUAACAUAUAUUUCUUUAAAUAAAUAGUAAAAUAGAACAUAUUUUAUAUAAAAACUUUGAAAGAAAUUUCUAAUAUUAAGUGAUAUUAUUAGAAAUAAAAACCACUUUUAUGGUAUUUUAAAUAUUUCAUUUAAAAGAAAUUAUAAAGGUCUUAUUAAUGAUAAAAUAUCAUGGUGAUCUUCUUACCUUGAUAUGAAGUAUUAUUGAUGGCUUAGAGGACCUAUCAACCACCUUCAAAAAGAACAAAGAUUAGAGUAUGUAGUAAAGACAAUUUGUUACAUUUCUUUAAUAUAAAAUUAUUUUUUGUUGUGAAAUUUGUCUUUAUAAUAGUGGUAAUGUUAUAGACAUACAUAUUUAUUUAGAUUAAAAGAAUAAAAUAGUAAUAAGUAAAGGUAAAUAUAUUUUAUAAUCUCUUAUAAAAAAGUUCUUCAAAGCUUCAUAGAUGCAGAUUGACUUUAUACAUGUUUGUAGGUAAUUGAUAGAUUAAAAACUAAGCCAAUAAUUUGGCCAUGUAUUACACAUGUUAGUGAUUAGUGGUACAAGUUGGCUCUAUGUUGCACGUAUUUAAAACUUGUGAUACAAGUUGGCCUUAUGGUGCAUAUGUAAGAAACUUGUUUUACAAAUUAGAUAUGUAUCUUGUAAAUUAGACAUGUAUUAGAGAUCUAAUAGAACAUUAUUAAAUAACUUUUGAUUAGAUAGGGUAUAUAGAAGCAAUAAUAAAGCCUUCUUUACUAUUAUUAAUAUAUUUUUUAUAUUUAAUCUUAUUUCAAGAUUUUUUAAUUAUUUAUAUUUAUUAAUAGCCAUUUUAAUUUAAUUUUAUAUCAUUUUUGAAUGAAUAUUUACUUUUAUUAAGUGAUAUAAGAGUGUAUUAAUCCUUUGAUUCUUUGAAAAUCAUAUGCUUGUUAAUACAUCUUGUAUCUCUUAAAAAAUUAGGAUUUAAUUAAAAAUUGAUGAAAAUUUCCUUAAAGUUUGUGAAAGAUUAUUUAAGAAUUUAUUUGGAAUUAAUUAGACUAUUAUAAGAUAUAUUUAGAUUUUUUAAAGAUUAAUAGAAUAUAUUUAGGAUAAUUAAAAGCUUACUUAUAUUGUUUAAGAUUUCUAAAUGGUAUUUCUAAACACCUUAUGUAUUAUUUUAGGUAAUAAAUCUAACUUUAAAGUAAGAUCAAAUCCUUCUACAAUUAGAUGUUUAGUACAUUCUUAAGUCCAUUUUUACAUAACAAGACACUAUUUUUGUUUUAGAUUUGAUUUUGGGUCACUUCUUGCAAGGCAUUCAAAUAAAUAAGGACUUUUCAAAGAUACUAUAUCUUGAAAAAAAACAUUAAGCAUAAAAAAUUUGAGAAAAAUAAAACCUACCAAUUGAAAAAGAAAAUUUCUAAUUUUUUGGAUAUUGGCCAUUUUUUUUCUUUUGUCUUGAUCUUAAUCUUCUAACAAGAAUUAGUCUUUGUUGAAUCGUUUAAUUGCUUUUCAAACUUAAAAAAUUGUGGAAACUCAAUUUUAAUAUGUUCUUAUAAGCUAAUUCUUCAAUUAAACCAAUGGAAUUGUUUUGGAUCACAAAAAAUCUUAAUAACCCUAGAAAAUAUAUAUUCAAGAUGCUAAUCUAAUUAAAUUCCAAUACCUCUCAAUAAAAUUUUUUAAUUGACCUUAAAUUUAUAAAACAUAUUUAAGACAAGUAUAAUUUCAAAACUACAAAAUCUCACAAAUCCAUUCACUAUAAUAUCUACAAAUUUCUCAAAUAUGUAAUUUUUUUUUUUUUUUUUUUUAAAUCCAAAAUCAUAUAAAUCAUUUUUGACUUUGAAAAGCUCUUAGAAACUCAAUAUUAAUCUAAAUUAUUUGAAACUAAAAUUAAAAUAAUUCUUCUAAAUUUUUUUUUUCUAAUCUUGCUCUUUAAUUAGCAAAAGAAUCUUAAAAUUGCCAUAGAUACAUAGUUUUGUACUUUGGACUUUGAUUUUGAUGUUAGUUCAGAAUAAGUCUUUUUUGAAUAUCAAUUCUUGAUUUCUUAAAGUAAAUUUUACUACAAAUAACUCUUAACUCAUUAUAGAGAUUCUUUUAUAGUUUAUUUUUUUAGUCUACUAUAUUUUACUUUAUUUAUAGAUAUAAAAAGUAAAUAGAAGUUUUUUUUAAUAAAAAAUAAUAUUAACAUUAAAUAUUUUUACUAUCUCUCUAUCUUUUACUUAUGUUUUGCUAUCAUAUUUUUCAAUUAGAUUAUUUUAUGAUAAAAUCCAUAUUUUUAUCUUUUAUUAUAUAGUUAUAUUAUAAUAUAUUAUUAAAAUAGACUAUAAGCCAAUUAGAAUAGUAUAAUCAAUAAUCAAUUUAGAAAGCAUGGUUAAAAAAAAUUAUUUCUAUUCUUUUUUCUUUUCUUAAGAAAUAUUUCUAACAAAAAAUCCAAAUGGGUGUUAGGGACAUAGUCCUUAGAACCUUCUAGAGACAAGUUUCUAGAACCUUCUAGAGACAAGCUUCUAGAACCUUCUAGAAGCAAGUCUCUGGAACCUUCUAGAAGCUUCUUAGUUAGUAGAAGAUGUUAGGCACAUAGUCCUUAGAACCUUCUAGAGAUAAGUUUCUAGAACCUUCUAGAAGCAAGUCUCUGGAACCUUCUAGAAGCUUCCUAGUUGGUAGAAGUUGCUUGAGAAGCUUUCUAAAUAGGAGUAUAUAUUGGAAUCGAAGCUAAAGAGUUCUUCAGUCUCGACAACACAUCUUUUGGAGCUCUAGCUCACCUCUCUGGUGUUGUUCUUGUAUUCAUCUGAUUAAUCUAGUUCUUGCCAGUUCUUCUUGAACUUCUUGAUAGAUAUCAAGUCUGUAUUCUGUGUCCGUGACAGUUUGUCGAGACUUCACUCACCUCAGAUAUGAGAGCUAGUUUCUUCUUUGUUAGAGUGUGGAUUACCCCUCUGCUUAGAAGUGUACUAGCACUUUAGAGGUUGCGGAUUACUCUCCUCUAAACUGAUACUUCUUUUGUUACAAUAUUGGAGUCUUAUUCUUCUUGGAGAGAGUGGAUUACUCCUUUUCUUCAAGCUCUUAAGGCAUUUUAGAGGUUGCGGAGUACCCUCCUCUAAACCAAUAUUGUCUUCUUGUAGAGUCAUUUCUGUCCUUCUCUUAGAAUGGUCAAAGGCCAAGACAUUAGUAUGACGGAAAGUUCAGAGUCCAAGUUAGAUACUAUCAUGAAUGCCCUCGCUACGUUAUCGCAAAGAACUGCAGAGAUUGAAGGAGUCGUGGCAAGGCUUCAUAAUGAUGGAGCAUCUGGGAUGGCACAAUCUAGGUUGCACCAGCCUCAAACUUCUACACUUGGAGAAGCAACUUUAUCUCAGGUUCGACAAGCACCGUUGGUUCUACAACAUAAAAAACCCCGAGUUAGCCUUUCGGACAAGUUCGAUGGUACACGUUCUAAAUUUCGAGGAUUCGUCAACCAAAUCAGGUUAAUAACAAUUUUACAGCCCGAACGCUAUCCAACGGAGGAGUCACGUGUUGGGCUUGUUGAAACCUUACUUACAUGACAAGCUCUAUCAUGGUUUGCUCCUUUAUUUGAGAAACGAUCAUCCAUACUAAAUAUCUUUGAAACCUUUUUGGAGGCAUUUGCGGAAGCAUUUGGUGAACACGACAAGGUUCAAUGGGCUAUAACAAAGAUCCGAUCACUACGACAAGGGGUGCGUUCUACAUCAGUCUAUGCAUCGAACUUCAGGCAAUUAGCAUGCGACAUCAAUUGGGACGAAGAAGCGUUGAUGAGUCAAUUCUAUUGGGGUUUAAGGGACGAUGUGAAGGAUUUGCUGUUAACUCUUCCUGAUCCGCAAACGCUCAACGAAACUAUUAGCCAAGCUGUGAAGUGCGAUAACCGCCUAUUCCAACGUCGCCAAGACCAACGUUCAAGACAACAUAUGGUUUGCCACACCACAACUAUGUCGGCAAGCAGCGUGAAUUCACAUUCAGAGGUAGAAGACAUGCAAAUUGAUGCGGUACGUGUCAAAUCUCUUACUCUAGAAGAAAAAAAGCGGCAUAUGGAGGAAGGUCUAUGCUUGUAUUGCGGUGAAGAAGGCCACAAAGUUGGAAACUGCCCCAAGAAGCAAAAUCGACGUAUUAUCAAGACUAGGGGCGCGUUUAUUCAGGAAAACGAGGAUGCCCAACCACAAUAGGAACCGUGCAGUUAGACAGUGAAAUAUCGCAACAACAACCAGGUUCCUUUCUUUCCGCUCAACUUGCCCUUUGUUUUACAAUCCCUUUGCUUAUUGGCCCUCAGAAACUGAGAACCUUAGCAUUAUUAGAUUAAGGAGCAUCUGCUUGUUUCUUAGACGAAGAAUUUGCAAAGCGUCAUAAGAUCCCUUUAGUACAAAAAUCCCAACCUAUUCACGUUGAGGUCAUAGAUGGACGACCUUUAUUGUCUGGUAGUGUCACCCAUGAAUCAGAACCUAUAGAAGUGAUGUUUAAGGACCAUAGUAGUCAUAUUAUUUUCAAUAUUAUUAGAACGCCAUCAAAUCAUGUUAUUCUUGGUCUUUCUUGGUUGGAAAAGCAUAACCCAUCCAUAGAUUGGAAGUUGCGGAAGAUGACCUUUCCUACAAAACCACCCAAGAGCAAGCCUAGUAGAAAACCCCGAAUAGAGAAAUCCUUAUUUAUUGGAGCAAGAGCGUUUAUAAGAUUGUCUAAGGGAGGCACACUGUUUCUCAUUUAUGCGGCUCCAACUACCGGGGAGAAGAUCUAGACAACAAGUAUACCGGAGCAAUAUAAGGAUUUUAAAGACGUGUUUCAAAAGAAAAAUGCCGACAUGCUACCGGAAUACAGACCAUAUGAUUGUGCCAUAGACUUAUAGGAAGGAGCACAACCGCCUUUUGGCCCAAUCUACAAUCUAUCGCAGAUGGAGUUGGCAGAGUUGCGCAAGUACAUCGACGAGAAUCUAGCCAAGAACUUCAUCCGUCAUUCAAAAUCGUCAACUGGAGCACCCAUCUUAUUUGUGAAGAAGAAAGAUGGCUCAUUGCGGAUGUGCGUGGACUAUCGAGGCCUCAACAAGGUAACAAAGAAGAAUCGUUACCCGUUACCCUUGAUUUUUGGUCUCUUAGAAUAACUUGGACGUGCAAGGAUCUUUACAAAAAUUGAUAUAAGGAGAGCUUACAACCUCGUACGAAUCAAGGAAGGAGAUGAGUGGAAGACAGCGUUUCAUACAAGGUAUGGCCAUUUUGAAUAUAAUGUCAUGCCCUUUGGUCUUAUCAAUGUUCCAACGGUCUUUCAACAUAUGAUGAAUGACAUUUUCCGAGAGUACCUUGAAAAUUUUGUUGUCAUCUAUUUGGAUGAUAUUUUGAUAUUCUCCAAACAUGAGGAAGAGCAUGAAAAACACGUUCGUUUGGUAUUGGAGAAACUACGCGAGUGAGGAAUAUAUGCCAAGUUGGAGAAGUGUUUAUUUCACUAAAUAGAGAUGGAGUUUCUGGGGUUCGUUGCGACUAUGGAAGGCUUGAAGAUGGACCCCAAGAAGGUGGAAGCAAUCGUGUCUUGGGAGGUUCCGAAGACGGUUAGAGACGUACAAUGCUUUCUUGGUUUUGCCAACUUUUAUCGAAUCUUUAUCAAGAAUUACUCUCAAGUUGCUGCUCCUCUCACUCGGUUGACAUGCAAGGAUAAGCUGGAAUGGGGACCUCUAGCAGAGAAGGCGUUUCAAAACCUGAAGACCGCAUUUACUACGGCUCCAAUCUUGGUACAUCCAGACUUUACAAAGGCCUUCUAUUUAGAAACUGAUGCUUCGGAUUUUGCUUUGGGAGCUGUACUUUCACAAAUGGGAGAAGACAAGAAGCUCCAUCUGGUUGCAUUCUAUUCUCGAAAGUUCUCUGGUGCUGAAAUCAAUUAUGAGAUCUACGAUAAGGAACUUCUUGCUAUAGUGGAUUCUUUCCAAGAAUGGCAUCACUUUCUUGAAGGAGCUGCACAUCCAGUGUCCGUAUACACAGAUCACAAGAAUUUGGAGUAUUUCAUGUCGGCUCGAGUUCUAAAUCGACGUCAAGCUCGAUGGAGUAUGUUGCUAUCUAGGUUCGAUUUUAUUAUCACUUAUCGACCUGGAAAGCAGCAAAGACUAUCUAAUGCCUUAUUGAGGAGAUCGUAUCUUAUACCAAAGGCUGGAGAAGCAGCGUUUGAUCAACAAUGUACGACAUUGUUGAAGCCAGAGCAAUUUUAGCUUUGUGCUACUAUUAUGCCAAUUGAUGCUGACUUCCUGAAUCAGGUACGUGUCGUAACCAUUGAAGAUUCAGUAGCCAUUGAUAUUAAGCAGCAUACCAAUGACGACAAGUUCAAGGUGGAGAGAGAUCUUUUAUACUUUGAAGAGCGGUUAUAUAUCUCAAAACGACCAGCACGACUCCGAAUUCUUCAAUCUCGCCACGAUUUUCCAGCUGCGGGACAUUUUGGAUUCAACAAGACCUUGGAGCUUAUUUCUCGAGAUUUUUGGUGGCCCCAAAUGUGGAAGGAUGUGAAAGAUUUUGUCCUCUCCUGCGACAUCUGUUCAAGAUCCAAGAAUCCUCGGCAUCGCCCUUAUGGACUCCUACAGCCAUUGCCGAUUCCACGUCGACCAUGGUCUUCAAUUUCCAUGGACUUCAUCACGGACCUGCUAUCAUCGAACUCAUUUGCCAGCAUCUUUGUCGUGGUAGAUCGGCUUACAAAAAUGGCGCACUUUGUCCCUUGCAAGAAGACAUCAUCUAGUGAAGUCACAGCAAGGCUCUUUCUCGAUAAUAAGUAUCGAUAUCAUGGACUACCAGAUGAUAUCGUAUCAGAUCGAAGAACCCAAUUCGUAUCAAAGUUUUGGAGAUCUCUCUUUGAGAUACUGAAGGUAGAUAUCAAGCUUUCUUCAGCUUUUCAUCCUCAAACUGAUGGUCAAACGGAACGGGUGAACUAAGUCUUGGAACAAUACUUACGAUGUAGCAUCAACUAUUAGCAAGAUAAUUGGACCACAUAUCUACCGCUAGCCGAGUUUGCAUAUAACAUCACCCUCCAUGCGUCGACUCAAUACACACCAUUCUUUUCCAACUAUGGGUAUCAUCCGAAGCUUGAUUUAUUGAUUCCAUCAACAAAUAACAAUCCAGCAGCUGAAGGAUUUGCGAAACAACUAUCAAAGCUUCAAAAUAUGUUGAAGCUUCAAUUACAAUCCGCUCAAGAGUCCUACAAGGCGUCUGUCGAUAGAUUUCAGAAUCAAGCACCUACUUUCAAAAUUGGAGAUAUCUUCGACGGAAUAUGGAGACCAAGCUACCAUGUGAUAAGUUGGACUAUCGAAGAUUGGGACCAUUUAUCAUCCAAAAGCAAAUCAAUCCAGUGGCGUACCGUCUGGAAUUACCAGCUUCUAUGAAGGUACAUCCAAUCUUUCAUGUUUCUUUGUUGGAGCCUUAUCGAGAGUCAUCUUUUCUUAGAAGAAUACAAUGUCCGCCACCUAGUAUUGAGAUCGAGAACCACGAGGAAUACGAGGUUGAAAAGGUGCUGGAUUCUCGGUGAAGGUGGGGUAAGUUGGAGUAUCUUAUUCAUUGGUGCGGCUACGACAUUAAUGAGCAAACGUGGGAGCCAGCUGAAAAUCUCACCAAUGCGCCGCAAAAGGUACAGGAGUUUCAUCAACAACAUCCUCAUAAACCUAAGCCGGUUCGACAAUAGCUUCUUUCUGAAGCUUGCUCACCCAAGAAUAUAAGAAAGGGGAAGAGCACCAUCAAAAUUCGUAGUUGAUGUAGUUAUUUUCUCCAAGAUAAAAUAGAAUUUUUUCAGUAGCCAUAGUUUGGUCUUCUGAUAUGGAUAGCCAAGAGAUAGAUACUAUGCUAGUCAGAUUAUCUCAACCAACUAGUUCACAAAGGCGACCCCGAGAUGAAGGACCACCUGCACCACGACGACGACGGAGGAUACCAAGUAACCGAUUACUGGUGAUUGUAUUUGAGUUCGAGCCUGCUUACGAUGGUCAACCAGAAGGUAUAUUUGCAGGACAAUUUCACAAUGAAGACACGAAAGUUCAUGCUUGGUCAGAAGUUGAAGGAGUGGGCCACUACCGUUGGCUUCAAGGGCCGAUGAACCACUUACCUCGUGAACAACAAUUGGAGUUCAUAACAGAUAUUAUGCGACAGAUCUUCAUUUUCUUGCGUUGGUACUGAUUGACAACAACAUUGCUUCUCAGAGACCUCGAAGCUAAAGGAGGGGGUGAUAUUAGAGACAUAGUCCUUAGAACCUUCUAGAGACAAGUUUCUAGAACCUUCUAGAGACAAGCUUCUAGAACCUUCUAGAAGCAAGUCUCUGGAACCUUCUAGAAGCUUCUUAGUUGGUAGAAGAUGUUAGGGACAUAGUCCUUAGAACCUUCUAGAGAUAAGUUUCUAGAACCUUCUAGAAGCAAGUCUCUGGAACCUUCUAGAAGCUUCCUAGUUGGUAGAAGUUGCUUGAGAAGCUUCCUAAAUAGGAGUAUAUAUUGGAAUCGAGGAUAAAGAGUUCUUCAUUCUCGACAACACAUCUCUUGGAGCUCUAGCUCACCUCUUUGGUGUUGUUCUUGUAUUCAUCUGAUUAAUCUAGUUCUUGCCAGUUCUUCUUGAACUUCUUGGUAGAUAUCAAGUCUGUAUUCUGUGUCCGUGACAAUGGGAGGUUAUUAGCAUUAAACUUUGACACGAAUUAGUUGUUAAAUUUCUCAUUAUCAACAUCAUUUUACUUAAUUAUUUUCUAUAUUAAAUAAAAUAAUAAUUGGUUUAUCUAAUUUAUUGGCAAAUCCAAUUUCUUUAUAGAUAUGGCAAUCUCAAAUCACCACAACAUGCCAAUUGGAUCUAAUGUAAUAGAAAUCCAAAUUUGACUCAACUAUCAAAUAGUAGUACAAAGAUAUGAUAACUCUUGUUUGGUAAUUUGACAAUAGCACAAUAUUAAUUGAAUAAUCAUUCAACUCCAUCUCAUUAAUUCAAUGUACUCCAAUUAUUGUUUUUCUUAGAUUUGAUACACUCACUACUUCCAUCCUAAUGUAAUCUCCCAAAAUAAAGCAAACAUUUAAAGUCAUAACUAAAAAAGAAUAAGAAGAUAUUCGUUCCAACUAACAUUCAAUGGUGACAUCUCCUUGAUUUGAAUGUGUUUCCUAUUGGAUUUCAAUUGCCUUUAUAAGAUAUUUGGUUUCAACUACUAACUAAAUUUUAACAAUCUAUUUGGUAUUCUAUGCUAGUCUAAUAACCUACUAGUAACAUUUCUAAAAGCUAAUUAUCCAACUUAAGAAUACAAAAUAUCAAAAAUUAAAAAUUUCAACUUAUUAACUAAAUUUUAGAUUGUUAAAGAUAUCUAUUCUAUUUAUUUUGUUAUUUUUCCUAUGUAGCUUAAUUCUUCUAAUUCUAUUAAUUUAGCCUAGUUUCCUCAACUAUCUAUAUUAGUAACUACUAUGAUUCUAAUAUAAAAAUCAUAUUAUUACAAACCUUGUUCUUAAUUUUUACUUCAAACAUUAUAUUUAUUAAACAAACCAAAAUCUAUUGUUUGUUGAUUUUUUCUUAUUUAAUUAAUGGAUUUAAUUAUUUUUUUUGAAUCAAAAUUAUCAAAAAAAAAUCAGGUUAACGUAAUUUAAAUAUUCACAGUAUAUUUUAUAAUUUCAAACAAAAAUAAAGUUUGAGUAAAAAUGGAUUGUUUUCAUAAAACAGACUGUACUUAGUAAUUGAAACUCUUCAAACAAUAUUUUUCCACAGAAUAUUUAUUGAGAUGCAUCAAAAUAUAUAUAUAUAUAUAUAUAUAUGAAAUAAUUACAUGCAUACUCACUUCAAAUCUAAAAAAAUAAACUAUGUCAUUAUUGAGUAUUAGAAACUUUGCAUGUCUAAGAUAAGUAUCAAAGUCUAUUUUCACAAAUAAAAAAUAAUGAAAAUCAUUUAAAACAAAGUAACUUAGAUAUAUAUAUAUAUAUAUAUAUAUUUAUAUCAUUGCAUGCAAGUAGAGAUGCUUAAACCUUGCAUUUAAUAUAAUAAUGAUAGAAAUAUCUAUAUAAUAUUUUUACAAUUUUUUACUAUAUGAUUGUUAAAUAAAAACAGCAUUUUUAUUUUAAAUAUUAAAAUUAGCAUGCGUGUAUGUGUGUGUAUUUAUAUCUAUAUAUAUAUAUAUAUAUGAAAGUAAGACCAUAAGUUGUAUUAUAAUAAAUGUUUCAUAUCACAAGCUUCUAAAUCAGCAAACUAAAUUGUGUAUUUAUGUAAAUAUGUAUCUAUGUAUGAAUGCAAGUACAUUGACUCAUUCUUUACAACCCAAUGAAAUCACACUUCAGAGUAACACUGCAAAACCAUGAGAGAUUUGUUAAAUCCUCAUAAGAACAAGCACGAAAUGGAAGUUGCAAUUUAUCAAAUAAAAAGAGAAUAAGAAUCAAAAAUAAUUUUUUUCACAAACUACAAAUAAAUAAAUAAAUAAAUAAAUGAAGCACUCCAUCACAUAUGUAGAAAGAUGCUCAUACUUGUUGGGAAAAAGGAAUGAAUCUCUCACAACAUCUAGAUUACACCCAUUUAAUUUUUACCCUCUUCUGGCAUUUACGACAUUCAGGACAAAAGAGAAUCCCUAUCUAUAAUAUUUCAUUUUGGAUAUACGUACAGUAACUCCUCUUCAGUAUACAUACAGAGUAGAAUACACAAAUCAGAGUACGAUUAUGUGAUAGCAUGCAUUUGGCAGCAUCUGAGCCAGACGUUUUGGAUGGGGGGGGGAUAUCUGAUGGACUGGGUUAUCCUGUUGAGGGCCACAAAGCCAUUCUGGAGUUGUGGGCUUGACAACAUACACAUUGUCUAAUUUUAUUAUUCCCAUUAAUAGAAAGACUUAAAGACACACUAUGGACCACAGUGCUGUAAUCACAUGUAUUUAUUAUCCUCAAAACUAGUCCUCUUCAUUGCACAUAACUAGGUUCCCUAAAUCCCCAUUUUCCUAAUUCAAAUAUUAUACCUGUUCUACCAUUUUCUUUACACGUAUGAGUAUUUUAUUUUAUUUAUUUUAUUUUUUGACAUUUUAAAUAGGGUUGAAUUUUGGAUUUACUUUAUCCUAGAAUUAGCUACUUCUUAUGCUAAAUUGACAGAUAUAUAUAUAUAUAUAUAUAUAUAUGUUUAGCAGAAUUGGAAGUUUUAUGAAGGUUUUUGUUCUAUGUUUCCAUUGAUUGUGUUUACUCUAUAAGAUUGUUUUUCAUUUACAUGUAUUCUUGUAGGUUGAUUGAGGGUUUAUGCUCUUAAUUGCAGUAUUAAGAAAUGUAGUGUGUGUAUUUAUUAUUCUAGAUCGGCUUUAUUGAUGCAAAAAACAUUUUUCUCUUAAAUUUUUGUCAUUCUAAAUACACAAGACAGUAAGAAUUUUGUUCACGUAUUAGAACACUAAUAUGAAAUACCAUCACUAAUAUGUAAUAUUUACAAGUUGACUAUGCUAACAAAGGUUUGAUACUAAAUAUAUACAUUAAUUUUGAUUAUGUAUGAGUGCAGCAGCGAAAUUGCAUGACUGUCCAAUAUCACGUAAAAAAAUCGCCAUUUAAACCUUGUAAUAUUGUUUAAGUAUUUCUAAUAAAAUCUGAUGCACAUUUUAUUUUUUUCCUUUUUUUUAAGAAUUGUGUUUUUGUGUUAAUUGUUGUGGGUGGUAAAAAGCAACCAUACAGAUGGUGCAAAUACUUUGAGCACGAGCACUUUUGAAUAAAAGUGUUACACUGCAGAGGAAUUUUUCUGUGGUAUUUCUUUUCGAAAGUAUUUUGAAUAUUUCAAGUGGGUUAAAGGUUACAAGUUCCACAUUGUAAGUUUCAAGUUGAUAAAAAUUAGCAUCAUUGAAUAGAGUACUGUUUACUUUUCACUUAAAGUAUAAAAGUGACAGAAAAAACAAACAGUGUUGGACAUGAAGUUUUUUCCAAGUAAAGAUCAAUACUUUUUGAGUUUAUAAAAUUUUCCAGUAGGAAAUUGUUAACAAAUUCAAUAUACAAUCAACAUGGUAUAAUGUUGAUUACAAACUACCUAAUGUCUUCAGUGUCCUUUGUGCUGCAGAAAGUUGAAUAUUUCAUAAGCAGAUACGAAAUGAACUUGAGAUAAAUACAAUGAACACAUCUGUUUUUCAAAUGAAUGUUAAUUUCAUCAGUGAAUGCAGAAAAAACAACAUGAAUUGUGGAAUGAGUUUUAGAAGCAUCUAAUAUUGAUAGAAGUAAGAUUUUUGAAAUUAACAUUUGUUUGGGGCUAUCACUUAUAAUUCCAUUUACAAUAAUUUUUGAACUUUUAUAGUAAUAGAUUUUGUUUAAUUUUUAAUUUUUUUUAUUACAUUUUAAAUUUCAUUCUUUUUACCAUGGAUAUCAUUUUCGUAAAAUUUGUACUUAAUUUUAAUUACAAUCAUGAAGGAUACAAUGUUAAUGUGAGAACUUACCAUUUUAUUUUCUAAUUAUUUUCUCAAAAAAUUGAGUGUUUAUAUGAUAAAAAUUUAUUUAGAAAAAAAUAAAAUAAAAUCAAUGUGGUAUGUGGUAAUUUGAUAAGCAUUUCAUUAUUUAGAAAAAAUAAAAUAAAAUCAAUAGAAUGACAAGUGUUGUUUAUUAUUUCAUUAAAUUUUUUUCCCCAAACCCGAUUUCCCUCAUUAUACACGUAUAUAUAGAGAGAACUUCUACAAAGUCAUGAACAAUCCUUGUAAUUGGAAGUUUAUUAUUUUACAUUUCUACAACUAUUUUCAAUUAAAUAAAUAAAAUGAGAUGAAAUGUAUUAUUUAAAAAAACCUACCACAUCAUUCCUUCUCAAGAGUAGGUCCAUAUGUGCUCCCACCUGCCAAGCCUACAAACCAUAGCCUAGAGCCACCAACUUCAGUUGCAAUUUGCUCCCGAUUAGAGGGGUUAAAAACGACUCUCUAACUCUGUCAUGUGGGUGUAUGAUUAGCCUCAAUUUAGGGGAAUUUAUUCUUUCCUUCCUUCCUUUCCCCUCUUCCUCUAUCCUACCAAUUCCUCAUUUAUAGUGAAUAAUUAUCCUUUCAUUUUAUAUUUUAAAUAUUUUUUAUUGGCAUCUAUUGUAGGUUUGGGACCACACAUAGAUGCUUUUUUAGAGGCGUGCCACAACUGGACCAAAAAAACAAAGGAAUCCAUUCCCAAGGAUAAGUCUUUUGCUGGCAAGAAAACUCACUUGUUUUGUUGUCAUUUUCAUUUUAUCUCCCUAAAUAUAAGAAAAAUAAGGUCAAGGUUGAUCUGGAUACUCUUCCCACAAUAAAUAAAAAAGAAAUAAAAAAGUAAAGAAAAAAGUAGACGAAGAUCUGGGGCUUUACUUUUAGGGUUUUGGAAUGACUAAGUGAUGUCCAAGGAUGAAGGUGAGAGACCAUGCAUAGUAAAUGGACUUAACAACAAUACAUCAUCAAACUAAGCACAUGCUAUUCUAUUCAUGAAAAGAAAAGAAGCAUCUCCCAAAUGGCUCCAAUGAUAAUCCAACCUUUGAAACACACAAUACCAAUCAGGAAAAGUGCCCUCUAAAAGAUCACAUUUGACAAUCCCCGCCCAACCAAAAGGACACUUUACAUAUCUUUGAGUAAAGGGAGUCAUAGUUCUUUUAGUGAGGAGAACUCAAAUUUGGGCAUAUAGAGAUAUCUAAUCUCACAUAAAUGCAAUCCAACUUUAAAGUCGGGUUUGGAGGAAAGUUCCCAUGGGUUCUGUUCACACCUGGUCAAGCAGAGGAGGUACAGGGGUAAAACGAAAAAAGUGGGAAGGGGUGAAAAGGAAUAAUUAACGAAUCUACCUGCCUUUCUAAGGGGAAAAGCCUUUUUCUCCGGCCAGCUCUUCAACUUUUCUACCUUCUCCUUUGCUAUGGUUAGCAGUAAAUCAUCACUGGGUAAAUAGUAACUCACCACUUGCGGCGGUCGGGGCCCUCAGUCGCGCCUGGCUCUCUCUCUCGAAUUGCAAGUCAUCCUCUUCGUCGUUGCGAUGCUCUCUCUCUCUCUCACUCUCACUCACUCACUCAAUCUAUCCAGUUUUCUAUUUCGCUUGUGAGGAUUGGCCUCCCGAUCCGCACCGACCGGUUGAGAACUCGUUUUUCUGGUUCGUUUGGCACCGAAGUUCCUCAAACUGGUGAUUAAUUGCGUGCGCAAUUGGCUGGAGAAUUGUUUCGCUGUUUGCACCUCCACUCUCAGUCUAGGAUUGGACGUGAGCUUGUGUUUAGAAGUUGGUAGCUAGGAUAUUAAAGUUCGGGGGCGAUUUUCUCGUGGAUUGGUGAAGGUAUUGUAGUGGGAAACGGGAAUUGUUUCCUGCUGCCAGUGUGGUAGACUUGCUGGAGGAUUUUUGAAGUGAAUUAUCGAGUGGGAAAAUUGAUACAGAGUUGUGCAGGUAUUUCAGCCUUUCUUCGAUUUCUCUCUAACGAAAUUCGGAUAGUUUUCUUGGUUGUUAGCUUCGCAGUGUUGUAGUCUCCUUCCGUGCCUUGCUGAGAAGAAUUGCCGUCAUUCUUCCUGGGACUUAUAUUUCCCGUUGACGAACGUCACAAACACAAGAGAGUCUUUAGAUUUGUUUCGUUCUCGCUGCUGUUGUAUGUGACUAGCUCUGAAUUUUUCGCAGCUGGAGCUCACGCUCCUUGCCUUCAAACGCGUGGGAGAGGUCAGUUUGAAGAUUUUUCGAUGUUGCAGGCAUUUUGGCGUUUUAUUUAUUUUUGUUGUGUUUGGCUAUAUGGCAAACCUCGACGAAUUGUAGCCCUUGUGAAUUGUGCAAUUGUACUGGAAGUUUUAUUUUAUUCUUGUUCAAUUUAGUUUCCAUCGUUUCGAAGACUAGUUGCUGUAGUGGUUUUUUUUGUCCUCCGCUGAUUUAUGAAGUUUACAUGUCUUGGAUAAUUGCAUUUCAGGUAAACUCAGCAACAUGACUAUGCAAGUCAACUCACUUCUGCCUCAGGGGCACAGGCUGUGUGCAGAGACAUUCACUAUGCAUCUUGGUCUUGGACAUCCUUCGAAGCCUUUAGUGCAGUCCCCUCUGACUCAAUGGCAUCAAGAGUUUACCCUGCAGUACAGCUCUAGGAAAUCUCACUCCAUCAAGCGUCGUCCUCAAACCGUUACUCCUUGUGCCACGGUUGAGGUAAGAUGCUUAACAUUAUACUGAUGAUUGCCUAUGUAGGAAGCAUUCCCCCCCGUCAUCAUUUUUGACAUAUACUCGGUCAUGCAUGUCGGAGUGCUCUUGUAUUUUGUAUUUUGUAUUUAUUCAUUUUUUCUGAGCUUGUCGCAUGCGCAUUUUCAAAAUCUCCCUUUAAACUGGAGUCUUCCCCUAAUGAUAAUGUGGCUGUGUACGGGUCAAAAUCCAAUGAGUACGUGUCAGCUGAUGAUUUUUCUCACCUAGAUUGUUUGCGUGUCAGCCACGGCAGUACUUCCAAGGAGAAAGGAAGUGUGCACCUCUGUUUGAGGGUGCCAGCGAGAGCUUACCGUCCGAAAGUUCUGAGUGGAGAGCAGUUCCUGACAUCUGGAAGACUGCUGCGGAGAAGUACGGUGAUCGCGUCGCCCUUGUUGAUCCGCACCGACAACCUCCUUCACAAAUCACUUACAAGCAGGUAUUCUCCCGAUCCAAAUUGAGCUCUUUAUUUUUCAUGUUACAAGUAGCUGGAAAUCUUUUGCUCCAUUUUUUACCACUGCGAAUUUUCAAGGGCGUGAUAAAAUGCCUUGCAUUGUGAGAACUCAAUUGUUCGCGCAUUGAAGAUAUUAUUCACUCUCAAUUUCGAUAUUACUUUUUUUUAAGGAACACCCAUGCUGACCCGGAGUGAGAAUUUGUCGUGAUCCGCAGCUAGAGCAAUCAAUAUUGGAUUUUGCUGAGGGACUUCGGGUUUGUGGAAUUCGUCCGGACCAGCACAUGUCACUCUUUGCUGACAAUUCUCAUCGCUGGUUGAUUUCAGACCAAGGUUUGCACUUUUUACAUUUGAAUAAGAACUUUGAAGGGGAACCGAAUUAAUUUGGUAUACUAAUGUUACCAAAUCAUGUUUUCUUGUGAUUUCCCGAAUUAGUUAGAGACUAGGAAUUCAGAGGUAUAAGGUGCUCAAGUAACAUUCAACACUAGUCGAGAACUAAUACUUAGACACCACUGUAAAGGGAAGUUGACAUUUCCCAUUCAUUGGUUAGGAGCCGUGUGCUAACUAUCAUGAACCUUAGAUUGUGGAUUGAAGGUUUAGACUCUGGUUGACAUUUAUGCAUAAACAGCUCUAUGGGGUUUUGAAAUAGAAUUUCUAUUUUACAGGAAUUAUGGCUGCGGGGGCUGUUGCUGCGGUGAGAGGGUCGCGAUCUUCAACCGAUGAAUUGUAUCACAUUGUCACUCAUUCUGACAGGUAAGUAAGACUCGAAAAUACAGUAAUUUUUACUCUUAAUUGCUCUCGCAAGAAAUCAAGUAGAUAAUGUGAAUUAAAGGUUAUGAACGGCACAGCCGUUACAACACUAAGCAAUUAACUUAGCCCCUAUCGUUUUGCUCGCCUCAUCUGUUCUGUGCAUCAAUCAUACUUUGACUGAAUUUCGAUAAUUUAUUAUUGUCGCAUUAAUGCCGAGUGUAAUAGUAGUAAUACUUCCAGGAUUCUGGUUGCUGAUGGUUACUAGUACAUCAAGAGUCUGGACAUUUGAUACUGUAGUUGAACCUGAUCUUGAACCUAUGAUAUCGCAGUGUCGCAUUGGUCGUUGACAACCUUGAGAUUUACAACAAAAUUGCGGAUCGUUUGAAGGGAAACACUGUGAUUAAGUUCGUAAUUGUGCUUUGGACUUCUAAAGACACAUUGAAAGACCUUAAAGAUGGAAGUGAAGUUCCAUUCUAUUCAUUUGAUGAGCUUAUGGCUUCGGGAAGAACAAGUCGGCAAGCUUUGGCCGCUGUCGCUAGCUCAGGUGUCCACAUCACGACCGCUCUUUUCAGUCUUUCUUAUUCGUAUCGCAACGGUGCAUGCUUUUAGCUAGUCCUUUCAUUACCUGGUCCUAAGCUAGCAUUUUCAUUUGAACUGUAUUUACUUCGUAUGUCCUGGCUUGAAGAGCAGCUGGUUGUAACUUUGUUAAUGGAGUUUCUUGAAAGGUAUUGUUUACUGGUUAUAAGUAUGUGCGAAUUCAACCAAAGAACAUCAAUCAGUACUAGAACCACUGAGAUGUGAAUGCACGUAUCUGAUUCCAUCGAGGCCAUCAGUUUUCGGCAUCGUGUAAUUACAUUCUUGCUUCAUUCAAAGAAAAGAAAAAAAUGAUAUUUUACGAAAUUAUGUUAGGCGCAUUUUGCUUCUCCUCGACAUUUUCAAGAGCUUGUAUGUCAUGUGUUGGCAGUUAAAUUGGUGUUGGUUUACACAAAUUUCGAAUGUCUCCUAUAUUGCGUUACUUGUAGAAGGAGCAUUCUUACCACUCUUAAACUCCAUGAAGAGCCUUCAUAGAAUGGAAGAGAUGGAAUGUUCAUGAACUCUCAUUAAGCUUAAUAUGAUAGUCGUUGACUACUGAAGUAAUUAACUUGAUUUGUGUCAGGUGAGAGGGUGCAGUGCGAUGUUAUUCACCCUGAUGAUGUGGCGACAUUGGUAUACACAAGUGGCACGACCGGGAACCCUAAGGGUGUUAUGCUUACGCAUGCCAAUCUUCUCCAUCAGGUCCUCUCAUCUUCCUUACCUGUGCUCGAAAAACUGAUUGUGGCAAUUAAAACAAUUACCUGGGAGUGGCUGAAAUACUCGAGAGGGUUAGAACUUGAUGUAUACUCCUGUGAGCUUUAUUUUCUGAAGCAUGUUGGUUAUCGGUCAUUGAUCAACGAAGAAUCUUGGCUGGUCUCUAUGGAGGAUGAAUAUUAGUACCGACAUAGCCAGCCACUGUUUUUGUGAUUUCUUCUCUUGCUACAGCGACAUUAUUUGCGAGGGACCUUUUAAAUGUUCAUUGUCAAGGUAUUUGGCUUCUUGGACAGAUAGUACACUUGGGGUCGGUUGUGCAACCAGGACCGGGCGACCGCUUCCUAAGUUUGUUGCCACCGUGGCACAUGUACGAACGCUCUGCUGAGUACUUCGCUCUAUCUCGUGGCGUUAGUCAAGUGUAUACAAGUGUAAAGACCUUGAAGGUACAGCUUUUACUCAACCUGCUCUUGGGGUUGCUAUUUCAUUUUUUUGUAGUUUCUGUUUUCUGCCAUCUGUCCCAUACCAGAGAGUUUGACGUGUGAUUUUUUAAGUAUCAGCGUAUAUUCUUAACAAGAAAAGUAGGUGAGAAGUGACGUUCAGCAAUGUUUUAUGUUCAAGGGUUUACAUACGUUAUUUUGAUCUUCCUUUGUCUUGCAGGAGGACUUGGCACGGUACCCACCAGAUUAUUUUGUUGCUGUUCCACUGGUGUUUGACAUUCUGUACAGGUACUCAUUGAAAUCGUUUGUUUAUGUUUCAUUAGUAACAACUUGAUAUGUUGGAACCUUAUACUAUACCUGGUCUUAGACUACUUUCUGCAUACAAUAGAAGUACUCUUGUAUGUGAUAAAUUUGUGAUUUGCAAGUUCCUUAUAGUAUCUCUCAUGUGAUGCAUGUCAAUUGAGCAUUAAGUGUGCAUUGACGUAAUUAAGUUCAUGAUUUGGAUGCAGUGGAGUUCAGAAACAAAUAGCUGCAGGCUCCAAGUUCCGAAAGCAAAUCGCGCUUACUCUCUUGAGCCUCAGUCUCAAGUUUGUCGACAUCAAGCGGAAACAAGAGGUUAUUUACAUUUCUUUUGUUCGAUACUAUGAGUGAAUUGUAUAGAUUUCACCAUCUAAUAAUCUGGAUGCAGGCCUAAAUUCUGAGCAAGUGCUAAUUAACUUCUCAGAGUGCGGUGCUAAAGUUUCGUGGAUAGUAUGGGGCAUCGCAGGUUUAUGUUUCUGGGCAGAAUGUAGAACAGAUUCGUAAUUUUGAAUGCUGAACCGGUUUCUUUCGUUCCAAUCGAAGUUUCGUUAUCAAAACAUGCCGUGUAGUGAUAGAAACAUGUGUUGCAGAUUAUUAUCUACGUGUUAAUAACGAUCUGUUUGACAUUUGUAUUAGCAUGUGUUUUGGGUUUACAUCUAUUGUCUUACUAAAUUACAUAUUGUCGUUAACAAUUUGAGAAAAUCUGCCAUCUUGCUAAUCUUCUUAUUGUUCUAAUUAUGAUCAUUGUUUUGAUGAGGAUAGGGUCGAGAUGUCACAAAAGGGAGAGAAUCAUUCAGUCCAGUGGCGGCAGCCAAGGUCUGGGCAAUCGCGACAAUUGGUGCACUACUGCUGCUGCCAUUUCACCUACUGGCUCAAAAGCUUGUGUACUCUAAAAUUCUUGCUUCAAUUGGAAUUAAGAAGGUGUGUUUGAGAGAACUCUGAGUAUGCGCUGUCAUUUGCUUUGACAUGUGUAUGUAAAGGGCUAAUUGGUGACGUGUGAACUUUAGCAUUUCUCUGAUUAUUUUGAUUGAAUUUUUUUCUCAUACUUAUACUGAUCAUUUCCGUCACCCUUACGUAAAGGAAGAAUGACAAGCAUGAUCUUUCAUUGUCCUUCGCAGUUUGGCUUGUUUGCAACCUAGUGCCUGAUCAUUAGAGGGUACAGUCAAUCUCAACUACAUUCAUUCCCCUAAUUUAAGUCACUGGCUAUGUUUUGCAGGCAGCAAUCAGUGGAGGCGGUAGCCUUCCCCCUUAUGUGGAUAGAUUUUUUGAGGUAUGUUGGUUGUACCUACUGGCCUCCAUUCUGACCUUGCAAGUCUUGAAUAUCAACUAUUAUCAUUAUUAUUACUAUUAUUUAGCAAUGUUGAUAAUUGAGAUUACUCUUUGUGUUGUCUAAUGUCUCGAAGAGCUUGACACGUUCCUGCAAGUGAAGUGCAGUAGUCAUGUUAAAAGGGAAAAUUAGGUGAGUUGGAGCAGUUAGUUUUUUGAAUUUUUUUUUAAAAGUAAUUAUGUCGGUAACUUGAUCACUUCCAGGCCAUUGGUAUCCGGGUUUUGAACGGUUACGGUCUUACAGAGACAUCUCCAGUUGUUUCUUGUCGGCUACCAUCAAAUAAUGUGAGUUUCACCAUUUUCGUUUUUUAUUCCAGGGUAUUGAAAUAUGUGCGUAGUCACUAACAAUUUAGCUUAAAGGACAAAUUUUCUGGUGAAGUGAAGCUGACACAUAUAACUCCGGUGCAGGUCUUAGGUACAGUUGGAGGGCCCAUACCCGAAACAGAAAUCAAAGUCGUUGAUCCUAACUCUGGUAACAUCGUUCCUCCUGGCAUCAAAGGUUCAGUCAAAAUCCGUGGUCCUCAAGUCAUGAAAGGUUACUAUAAGGUUUGUUUCUACACGACAGCUGCCUUUCAUAUGUAGAUUUUAAUCUAGAGUUGGUUGAAUAGACCUUCUUGCCUUCACUCUUGAUCCAAGAAAGUUGACAGGGUUUGCAAAAAUCAUAAAAAUAUCUCAUGUCUUUGCUUUCUCUUUGCGAAUGGAUGUUGAGGUGUUGUCUCUGGUUGAAAUUGACAUAUUUAUAUGUUGGACCGCUGAGAUAUUUUUGUUUGUUGGAAGUCCACUUAAGUUUGAGUUUGUAUACCUAAAUUAUGUGCUCUUGAUUAGAUAAUUCAAUUUGAUUAUAUUCUUUUAAACUGGUGCUUUUUGAGGGUUUCUCCACUCUAUAGAGAAGACUGUAAACAUUUGCAGGUCGUUUCACCUUCCCUGACAUGGUUUUUUGACUUAUCACCAAUAUGUCUUAUACAUGGUACAGAAUCCCGCAGCAACCAGUAAAGCCAUAGACUCCGAUGGGUGGUUUGAGACAGGCGAUCUGGGGUGGAAAGUUCCAUCUUCACCAGUAGGGCCAGCACGGAUGUGUGGGGGUCUUCUGGUCUUAGACGGCCGUGCUAAAGACACUAUUGUUCUAUCAACGGGUGUGCAUUUUCUCACUUAAGCCUCUUUCAAGCAGACUUCUGUUGAAUGAUUUAUUGUCUAACAUGAUGUAUGUACUUGCGAACUCUUGUGUACUUGUAUACUUGGAAGUAGAUGCCUAGGAUGCUUUCUGCUGCGUACAAUUUGGUUUGUUUUGCGAGUUAAUGAUUAGAUGGGCACCUGAGUAAAUGUUGCGUAACUUCGAAUGCGGAUGGGUUGAUGUGUAAAGGUGAGAACGUUGAACCGCAAGAAAUUGAAGAGGCAAUCAUGCAGAGCAAGCUUAUACAGAAUGUUAUGCUUGUGGGGCAAGACAAGCGGAGGUUAGGGGCGCUCAUAGUGGGCAACAAGGAGGAGCUAGAAGCUGCGGUAAAAGAAUAUAAGCUCGCUAAGGGUGAUUCUUCAAAGCCUAUCAAGAGUGACAGGACGAAUGUGAUUCGCCGAGAAAUCAAUCGGCUGUAAGUUUUUGCAUGGCCGUUAUCUUGAUGGCAGUUUUCAAUUUACAGAGUUUUUUUGGCAGGUAAGAGUUUCUUAUCUUCUAUAUGCUCUGAGUGCAUAAGAGGUGCUCCUCGCUCUGCUUUGUAUUUACACGUUUCUUGUGUUGUACAGUUUGGCAAAUUCCUCCUGGCCUGUAGGUCCAUUUGCUCUCAUUGAAGAAAGUUUUACGGUAUGAUUCAAUCCCAAGUUGUUUUUUGUGCCUGAAUCGAUGUGAUAUUUUUUAAGGGAUUAAAUAGUGUAAGAAAUUUAAUUAAUUGAAAUUUAAGCUUUUGUUAUUAGUGUGCUUUAGGAACUAGUGUUUACACUGUUUUGUGUAUUCACGCACAAAGUGUAAAUAUGUUUACCACGCAGAUCGAAAAUGGGUUGAUGACGCCAACAAUGAAAGUGCGGCGAGAAGUGGUCUACGAGCGCUACAAGGAUGAAAUAGACGGACUCUUCAAUGCUAACAAAGAUAUAUAACCUUCUCAUUUUUAUCCUCUUUAGUAGCUGGAAUCUGCUCUAUUUGAUGACAUCUGUGGUGUAACUCACGAAAUCAUGCUCUGUACAUUAUUAGUUGUCAUGUUCAUUGUCUACGAGUAAUAUCAGGCGUAGGUGUGCAGUAUGUCUUAGCCUUCUUGUGGCUUUAACCACAACUGGAUGAUAGUGCAUUGUAAAUGGUUGCACGAAGCCCAAAGGCUUAAUCUUGUCACAUACAUUCUAAUGCUUCGAUACAAACCUGCUCAAUGUGAUCAGCUUAGCUGUACCUUCCGACGCAGUUCCUGAAUUUAUCGUCCUCUUCAAUUGUGAACGAUUCUACGAAGAAUUUCAGGAAAUCAUAGUUGGAGUGUUUUGCAUUCUAAAAACCGUAUUAUGAGAAUCAAUGGGUAAACCUCAAAAGUAUGUAAUAAGAUUAUAUACAAUCUUUUACACAUAGUAAAAGCUUGAUAUGUGUGUGGGUUCGUUUGUUAUUUAUUUUUUACUUGUUGCAUUGAUUUUAUUUUUCUAGAAACAAUAGAUUUUAAUGUUGAUCAUAUAUUUAUUUAAUGUUCAAAUUAUUUGUAUGUAUUAUAUACAAAUGCGGUUUUUUUAGAUUGGAAAUUUUAGUACUAUUUUUAAGUAUCAAUUAUUCAAAUAAUUUAUUAUCAUAAAAAAAAAUGUAAUUUAACAAAUGAAAGUAUAUUAUUGUUUAAAAAAAUAGUGCAAUAAUUUUUUUUCCUUUCAAAUAACUUAAAAAAAUAUUAAAAAAUAAUUAAUGCUUUUAGUAAGAAAUAAAAUAAAAAGUAUACAAAAAAAUAUUAUAGUUUAUGUUAAGUAUAUUUAUUUUUAAUAAAGGUUUAAAUUUAUUUAAUUUAUAAGUAACUUUUUUUGCUUAAUUAAUGAGACAAAUGUUAAAACAAAUAUAUUUAGAUAAUCUGAUUUAAUAGUUUUUUUUUAAUACAAGAUACACCAAAUCCAACCUAUAAAAUGCCAAAAUUGGUAGCAUUUAGAUUUACAUUAGAUAUUUUAGUCUACAAACCAAUUCAUGAUCAAUAAAGCUUUACAACAUUUUUUUAUGUACUUGGAUUAUAAAGAAGUCUAAUUUCAAUUGGUUUGCUGACAGAUAACAAAUGUGCCAUGGUAUUCAUACAUAAAUAAUUUUUUAUUCUAAACAAUAUCCAAGACAUAAAAACAUUGGCCUUAGAAGACAUAGAAGUAAAUAGCAGCUUAUAUAAUAUUGAUGAUCACAACAAUUUGAUGGACUUAGUACACAUAGAUUUUAUCAGAGAAGACUUAUAUACAUGGCACAAGCAAUUUGGCCACCUAUACAAUACAAGAUUAUAUCUGUCAAAAACACAAGAAAUUAUAAGAAUUCUAUUAUUCUCUUCUACAAAUUAUACAUGUCACAACUAUCUAUUAAAGAAACACUACCAAAGAAGUUUUUUUAAGGCAUCAAAAUAUUAGGCAAUUGAAGUACUUCAAGCAAUCUUCUCUGACUUGGUUGGUUUGAUGAGAUGUUAGUCACUAAGUGGUUUUAGAUACUAUAUUGCUUUUAUGGAUAAUUAAUCUAAAAAAAACUGAAUUUAUUUUAUGCAAUAAAAAAAUUAAAAGAAUUUUAAUUUAGAAUAGAAAUCAAAACAAAAAAAUAAGAUUAGCUACCUUAAAACAAAUAAAGGUGGAAAAUAUUUCUCUACUGCAUUCACUUAUUACUUGAUGAUUCAUGGAAUAAGAUAAAAAUUCAAUAUGGCUCAAAUCCUAUUUACAAGAUAUAUGUUUAACUUACAAGAUAAGUUUCCUAUAUGUGUACUACAUAAUUACCUUAUUCUACAAACUACUAACAUGUGCAACAUGUGGCUAACUUGUUAGUCAAGUUUCUAACCUAUCAAUCACCUAUAGACAUGUAUAAAGAUGAAAACAAGUCUAUGAAGCUUCUAAGAUACUUUUCUACAAGAUAUUAUGAAAUUAAUCUACUUUUAUUUACUUCUAUCGAUUCAUAUUACCUAAAUAACUAUUAGAAUAAAUAUGUCUAUGUCAUUAUUCUCCCUUUUAGAAAUAAGUUCCACGAGUAGUAGUAAUCACAUGUUGAAGUCUAAGAUGUAACAAAUUGUAUUCGCCACAUACUUUCAUUUUUAUUUCCUUCAAAUGUAGUUGAUAGGUCAUCUCAACUAUUCAUAAUGUCCCAUUUCAAGCAAGAAGACUAUCCUAUUAUUUGUUUAUUCUUGAAGUCUUCAUAACUUCUUUUAAAUAAAAUAUUGAUUAUACCAUCAAAAGUCAUUCUUAUCUCAAUAAAAUCACCAAAUAUCAAGAGCCACUUCCAAGGUUGUAAUAUCAAACACAUUGUAUCUUGCUAUCUAUUUGAGGAAGAAUAUGUCAUUAUUAAGGGUCACCAUUUCAAUUACAUUGUCUUGAAAGCUAUAACAAUUAUAAUGUCUCAUCUGGUAAGUCAAUAAAUAAUGGCUCUUGAGUUGAGUCUAUCAAUUGUAGAUUUUCUAUCUUGUUGGUAUUGUUAAAAUACAAAGAACUCACAAAAAAGAAUAGAAGAUAUAAUGUAAUUUUUAUUGAACAUCUUAUUUUUUAUAGUAAGAAAUUGCUUAAUUUUUCAUCUUGAUUUUAAUGGAUGCCAUUGAUAAAAAAAAUUAAUCUUUAAUAGUACAUUUAUAAGAUUUUUGGCUUGCUUCUAUAUGCAUUCAUUAUUUUAUAUCCAUGGCAAUUAUGAAGAUAUUCCAAUCUAUUUUGGUAUUGCCUUGAAUCUAAACUUUCUUCUAUCUCAAACUGUUGAUAAUUAUCCACUUUUAUUGGAAGCGGUGGCAUUUGUCUUCUUUUUAAGAUAUUUACUAUCUUAUAUGGCUUUAGAAGAGAUAUGUAAAAUAUGAGAUAAAUCUUCAUUGACUUUGGUAGAUAUAAUUGAUAAGUAACUAGAUUAAUUUAUUUAAAAAUAGAAAAUGGUCUAAGGUUACAAUAAUCCAAUUGGUCACAAGGACAAAUAGUCUUGAUAUUGCAAUGAAGUAACCAAAGCUUGUCAUCUAUGUUGAAAUAUGGUUGUUCCUUGCGAUAGGCAUUUGCAUUGAGUUUUUGUAGUUUUUGAGUUUCUUUUAACUAUACCUUUAUUAUUGUAUGUAACUCUAACAAAUAAUUUGUCACAACUUCCACCAUAAAAUUAUUAACCUUUGAAAAGAAAAAGGUAUCUAAUUGUGGAUGGAAACCAUAAUUGACAAAAAAAGUUAUUUUUUAAAUAGAAGAAUGUACCAAAUUAUUAUAUAUAAACUCUGCUAAUGGUAAAAAAAUUGUCCAAUUAUCUUGAUAUUAAUUGAUGGUAUAUUUCAAAUAUUACUCAAAAACUUGAUUUAUCUAUUCUAUUUAUUCAUCAAUUUAAAGAUAAAAGAUUAAAGAUAAUUUUAUAUCCACCUUCAAUAUCUUAAAAAAUAUUUUCUAAAAUCUUGAUGCAAAUUGUGUCUUUCUAUCCAAUAUAAUAUCUAUACUAAUUGUAACGAGGCAUGGAUAAGAUAAUUGUACUAUUGACAUAUAGAAAUAGAUAAUUGGAGCUAUUUUUGAGAAGUUUUUAGAAUUAAAGCCAGGUUGGUGGUCAAUAUGGGGCCGACCAUGGAAUAUCUUAGAAGAAUUAAAGGUGGUUAUCUAGAUAGGGCCUAUCUCUAGAAUCUUCUAGAAGGAUAGUUAUUUUGGUGGAGUAUACCAUUAAAGAUAUUCUAGAAAGUUCUAGAAUAAUUGAAAAAAUUAUAAAUAGGACUAACUGACGCCAUUUGAAGGAUUUGGCCAAGUAUUGCUUUGGUUCUUUUCUUUUAGUAAAGUUUGGUUUGUAUUUUUUUAUUUUAUUCUAUUUCCUUCUGCUUUAUUUUAUCUUUUAUAUUUUAUUCUAUUUAAUUUUAUUCAAUUUUAUUUUGGUUUGUUUUAUUCUAUUUUAUGAUGGAAUAUAUAUUGCUAUAUAUUGGAAUGAUUUUAGAUCUUUAAGAGAAUUUAAUCUCGUUUCAUUGAUAUCAGAGUGAGAUUUAAUCUGUUCUUUGGUAGUAUGUUAAUAGCCACCAUGUAAUUAGAGGUUAAUUCUUGUGGUCAUACCAGUUAUUAUUUUGGGACUAUCACAAGUUACUUUUAAGAAAUCAAUUGGAAAGAUAGAAGGUAUUAUAAUGGCAAAGUUUGGUAAGAAAAUAGUAAUAUGGAAGAUAUAGUGGAGCCAUCCUGGAUGGUAGCUUAGGUGCAACAUCUUCUAGACUAGAUAACUACUUUGCAAUGACAAAUAGAAGCUUUUAGGAUAGGAAAGUUGACAUUUUCUAGGCUAAAAUUAAAUAAGUUCGAAACAUAUUCUAAAACUUCAACACAAGAAGACAUAUGCCAAUGGCUUUUGUGAGCUCUUACAAAUCAUGUCAAUAUAACUGAGCAUGCAAUGCAACAUCUUUUGGAUUAUUACAGCCAAUUCCACUAUCUAUGGCAUGUUGGGAGCAAAUGACAAUAGACUUCAUUACGUAUUUGUGACAAACGUCUUAUAAUCACACCAUAAUUGUUGACUUUGUGGAUGGAUUGUCAAAAAAACUUCAGUUGGCUACAAUGUAAUUUGAUAUUGAUGUGUUAGUACUUGCAUGGAUCUUCUUUGAUAAUGUCUUUAAUCACCAUGGAUUAUCUUAUGUCAUUAUUUCAAAUCAAGAUCCAUGCUUUAUGGGGAGUUUUUGGUAGGCCUUGUUUAAAUUACUUGGUAUACAACUUUUUAUGUCCAUAGCCUUCUAUCUUUAAACAUAUGGAUAAAUAAAACAUGCAAAUCAAACCUUAGAAAUUAUGCUAUGGAAAUUUAUAGCGAUUCACCAUAAUUACUAAGAUGAAUAUUUGACACCCUUAUCGAGAGCGAGGCCAUCAAAUUAGAGGUUGUCCAAAUAUCAAAGUACAAGUAUCAGCAAUCAAGGUGGAUUCACAGUCUCAAAAUUCACUAAGCCAAUAAUGAGUUAGAGCAAAAAAAACAGGGCUCUCCAAUAAAGUCGCCAAUGCCGUGCUGUAAUUACUUAUAGUAUGUAAAAAUUAGUUAGAAUAUAUAAUAUGUUCAUAACUCUUGGUAUAUGUUAGAAUUGCUAAUAGAUUAAUUUAAAUAAAUUGACUAUAAGAAACUUUAUUUUGAGUUUUAUUUAUUUUUAUUAUAGUAUUUAAAAAAAUAUAAGACCUAAAUGUUUAAUAUGAAGUCUUAAGAGGAGAUUAGAGCUUAAAGAUGAAAAUCUAAACUAGUAGGAGGCAUAUUGGAAGAGAUGAAAACAAGGCAUGGUUAGAUGAAGGCAAGGAAUAGGAAUCUUCAUUCCUAUUAGUUGAAGGCUGUAUCCAAUGGACUUCAAGGAGGGUUCCUGAGGCCUUAUUAGGGAUUAGGAUUUUUCUUCAGAGAGCAUUCAAGCAAUUGAAGCUAAAGUCAAUAAGUUUAGAUUUUUGGAUACAAAUUGGAUAUAAAUUUUGAGUGAUCUAAAGUUUUUAUGAAGGAGUUAUUGGCACUCAAAGUUAAGGUAUUAAUUUCAUAUCUACUAUCACUCUUUGGGACAUAACAUACGUUUAUAAAGAAAAACAAAGGAUCAAUGACUAAAAUUAGAGAGAGCACAUUUUUAACUACACUUUUUAUAUACCAUUUGAUGAAUUUGGAGUUUAUAUGAAGAAGUUAUAGAGAGUUGAAGUUAGCGCAUUCAAAUCAAAAGCAAUAAAUAAGUGAUUUUAUUCAUAAUAAUGGUUGGAGCCAUAUCUUAAGUUUCUAGAUAAAUUUUUAGCUCAAACUUUUUGGACAAGGUAGAUUAUUGAGUUAAAAAUCUAUACAUAUAAAUUUUGUGGCAUUUAAAUGCUUGAUUUGUGAGAUAUGAAGAAAAUUAUACAUAGGUGUAUAAAAACUAGGGUUUGAAGCUAUUGUUAGGAUUUCGAUGAAAUCUUAAGAUCCGCAAUAAAUUUGUAGUUGAAAUUUGUUAUAAUAGUUGUUAGAAUUAUAUUAAUACUUUAUGUAAAUUUUGAGUAUAUUUGAACAAUUAGAUUGAAAGAUAUGAGUUUUUGAAGUUUGAGAAUAAUACCUCAUAAGGAUAUAUAAGGAUUUAGAGUUUUUUUUUAUCAUAUUUUGGAUAUUUUUGGGAACCUAAGACUUAUAUAUUUGGUGUAAUUACUCUUAAAAGUAUUAUACAUAUAUUUAAACUUGGUCUUUUUUUAUUUCAAGACUUGAUUGAGCAAUUAGUGGGAGCUUGGAAUCCAAUGUUUUUUUGAGGCUUAACUCUCUCUACCUUGACACCGGAGGCUAAUAUUGGGGUAGCUAUUGUCUCUAAGAGACAAAUGGCAUAGCCUUAGACAACUAUAAAAAGAGUCAACUGGUGCAUCUAAAAAGACUAUUAAGGGGACAACCAUGUCGAGUGCUUGUAGAUUGUGGCUCUACAAAAAAUUACAUCUCAAUUGAAAUUGCCAACUAAUUUAGAAUUAAAACUAAAGAAAUCAAGGAAGGAAGUAUGUACCUUGCAGAUGAUCAAGACAACAUAUUGAGUGAGACGUAUAGAGAAGAAAUCUUGAGAUUGAUAGACACCUACAUCUUAAGAGAGAGAUUCAAGUUGACAAAGCUAAGGUAUGAUGUUAUCCAUGGUAUACUAUGGCUAGAGAUGGAAAAUAAGAAAGUUGAUUGGGUAGCAAGGACAAUCUCUUUUAAAGAUGGAGGAUGCAAAGUGAUUCUUUGGACCUUUACAUCAAGUGAAGAGGAAAGAUAGCCUACAACCAAAGACUUAUUCUAGAGACGACCUUUAUAAAGAAGUAACUAUAGCAUUAGCAAUCGGUAUAUAUGGUGGUUUCAAAAUUCAUGUCAAUGGUAGAAAAGACAAUCAAAGGAAUAGAAUGGGCAAAACAACUCAUAUAAGAAUAUCAUGAUGUCUUUUCAACUGAUCUACCUAGUUGCAUACCUCUUGAUUGAGGUGCUUCCUUUAAAAUACAACUAUUGCCUAAAAUCAAACCAGCAAGUUAACUAAUUUAUUACAUAGUACUAAAAGAACUUGAAGAGUUGUAGAAGACAUUGGACAAAUUUUUAGAAAAAUACCUCAUUCAAAAAAAAUACAUCAUCAUAGAGAGCACCUAUAUUCUUUGUACCUAAGAAAGAUGGUGGAUUUUGCCUUUGUAUUGACUAUCAAUGUCUUAAUAAGUAAACUGUUAAAAAUGCAUAUCUACUUCUAGAUGUGAAUGAUUUUCUUAACCAACUUUGAAGUGCAACGAUCUUUAGUAAAUUAGAUCUUUGAAGCGGCUAUUGGCAAAUACCUAUUACAAGAGAAGAUGUAGAAAAGAUGGCAUUUUGUACGCGCUAUGGAUAUUUUGAAUGGCUGGUUUUAUACUUUGGCCUUACCAAUGCUAUACUCUCUUGUAUGGGUUACAUGAACAGAUUGUUUUUAGACUUUUUGGACAAGUAUGUAGUUGUCUUCAUUGAUAAUAUCCUCGUAUAUAAUAAAAUCCUUGAAGAACAUAAACAAUACCUACAAUAUUAUAAUAUGUAAAGUGUUACUUGAGAAUGCCCUAGGCACUUGGCUGUGGAAGGUAGAAUAGAAAUUAUAAUAACAAAAUCCUAAUUCUAAUAGAAUACUAAAUAAACUUUAAUAAAACCUUAAAAAUUUUAAAUAAGCUUUAAUCAAAUUAAAAAAGAAACCUUAAAGAAAUUACAAAAGAAACAAUAAAAAAUCUAAAAGGGGUUGAAAGAUAAUCUACAAUAAAUCUUAAAAGAAUUCUUAAGAAGCUCUAAAAAGUAUUAAAAUAAUUACAAUAUAUCUUAAAUAAAUCUCAACUAAGUUCUAAUUUAACCCUAGUUGAAAUCCUAAUAAACUUCAAUCAAAUCCUAGAUAAAUCUUAAAUCCCAAAUAAAAUCAUAAUUAAAUUUUAAAUCCUAAACUAAAUCCUAGACAAAUCUUAAUCAAAUCUUAAAUCCUAAAUCAAAUCCUAACCAAAUCUUAAAUCUUAAACCAAAUCCUAAACCAAACUCUAAACAUACCUUAACUAAGUCUUAAAUCCUAAAUAAAAUCCUAAUCAAAUUCUAAAUCUUAAACCAAAUCCUAACCAAUCCUAAAUCUUAAAUCAAAUUCUACACAAAUUCUAAUUAAAUCCUAAAUCCUAAACCAAAUCCUAAUCAAACUUAAAAUCCUAAAUUGAUUCUUAACCAAAUCCUAAUCAAACUCAAAAUCCUAAAUUCUAAAUUAUAUCCUAUCAAAGAUAAGAACUUGAUAAAAAUAAAUAAAUAAGUGAGACUUUUUUCAAAAAAAGAUGAAAAAAUAGAAAUGACUAUAUAUGUAUAUUAAAAAAGAAAUUAGAAUGGCUAUUUCUAAAAGACAAGAAAAACUAAAGAUCCUUGAAACUAAACUAGAAGCAAGAAAAGACUUGACAAGAGUGAAGAGAGCUUUACUCUUGUCUCUAUAUAUAUUAUCUAAGUAAGAGCUACAUGACAAUGUUCUAUAGGACCUCCAAUAUAUGUUGACUUUAUAGGACACAUGCCUUGACUUACAAGGUAAUUUUUUCUACAUGUGGGCUACAUAAUUAGCUUGGUCUUUAAGCUAAUAACAUAUGUGGCACAUGGCCAACUUGUUCACCACGUUUAUAAUCCAAAAAAUCAAUUAAAGACACCUAUAAAGUCAAAGCAACGUCUAUGAAGCUUCUAAGAAGCUUUCAUAGAAGAUAUUAUAGAAUUGACUUAUUUUUACUUACUUUUACUUACUUCUAUCUAUUUAUAUAUGUAAUUACUAGCUUACAUGCAUAUGUCUGUGACAUUAUCUCCGGUAGUUUAGAACCUUAAUAUCUUAUAAUUAAACUGUUGAUCUUAUUUAAAAUUUUUUAUACCUCUUAAUUUCUUAGUUACAAAGAAGUACAAUAAAUUUGAUGAAAAUCGCACUUAUCAAAUAGAAUCUUCGGCAUAAGAAUCAAUGCUUAUAAAAACUCUAUCAAGUUUGCUAUCAAAUCCCACUCUUCAAUCUCUAAAAGAAUCCUAGAGUCAUUAUAGGUGUAUAGUUUUGUGCCUUGGAAUUUGAUUUCGACCUAGGUUGACAACAGCUCCUCUCUGGUUUUCAAUUCUUGGCUUCUUGAGGUAAAUUUUACAAAAAUCUAUUCUUAAUUCCUUCCUACACAUGCUUAUAUUACUUAAUUUUCUAAUUUACUUUAUUUUGCCUUAUUUAUGGCUCUAUAAAAUAAAUAGAAGCUUAUUUUGUAAAAAGUAAUAUUAUUAAUUUUUAGUUUUACUACCCUUUUGUCUAUUAUCUAUAUUUCUAAGAUAAAUAUUUUGAAUUAAGAUCUUCUAUAAUAUAAUAUUUUCUACAUUCUUUCAUCUAUUAGCUAUAUUAUAUGACAACAUCCACCCUUCCUUGUAUCUGUGCAUCCUUCGGCAUAAGCAAAUGAUUCUUCAAAAUAUUGAUGUAGAAUGCUCUUUAUCUUAUUCAAAUUCUUGAUCUUCAAUUUGCUUUUCUACUCCCAUUUCAAUAUCUUGUAUUGGAUUUUAUUCUUCAUCAAAAAAAAUAUCUUCAUAUCUUUAUUUAAAUAACUUCAUUUGUUUGUCUGCUAUAGGUAUCUUCAAUUCUGUACCAUCAAGUUCUUAUAAUAAGUAUGUUUCAUUAUUAUAUGCCUUUUUGAUAAUAUAAGGUCCAAACUACCUCUUUGAAAACUUCUUUGUUGUGCUAUGUUGAUUAUCUAAGCUACUAUCAUAAACUAAUAACCAAUCACCAUCUUUAAUUGCCUUAGGUUGUAAUCAAUGUUUUUUUUAAUCAAAUCUUUCUUUAUUCUUUUUCCUUGCUUCUUUCAAUCUCUCUAUUGCCACUUUAAUAUCAUUAGGUCUUCUUUCUAAUUGUUGAAUCUGUAAUGCUAAAGGCUCUUCUCUAUUGAGAUCAUUCUUCUAAAGUAAUACACUCCGUGUAGAUACUUUAUCUUUUAUUGGCAUUAUUGAUUUUUGUUCAUAUAUUAAUUCAGAAGAUAUAUAACCUGUUAUUGAACUAUGAAUUGUACGAUAUAUCCAUAGUAUAAAUGGUAGUAGUUUAGGCCAUUCAUGUGCUUUGCUAUUGUAUGCAUUUAUUAAUGCCUUAACAAUAGGUGAAUGUCCAUGCUCACUUUUAGCAUUAUCUUUUGGAUUAUAUGUUGUUGUUAAAGAAAUUUUAAUUCCUAUUCUAUUAAAGAAUUCUUAUGCUUCCUUCACAUCCAAUUUAUGCCUAUCUACUAUAAUUUUUUUAAUACAACCAAAGUAAUAAAUAACAUCUUUUAAUAGAAUUUGACAUAUAUAUUUAAUAUUCUUUGUUUUUAAUCCUUGUCCUUCAACUAUAUUUGAUAAAUCUUCUUGUGCAAGUACCAAAUAUUUUAUUUGUCUAAGUCCCAUAGGCAUUUCCACUAAAUCCACCACCCAUUUAUAAUAUAAAGUCAAAAGAUAUGUUAGGUGUAAUCCAUCUUGAUGUCAAAUAUUUGAAUAUACUUGGCAAGUAUCACAAGAUCCUACAAAUUUUUCUACAUCUUUGUAUAUACCCUUCUACCAAUAUUUUUCUCUCAACUUUAUAAAUUUUGUUCAAAUACGUCAAUGCCCUAUUCAUAAACUUUCAUAAAAUUCUUUAAUAAUCUUUUGUUGAGCUUCUAAACCACAUAUCAUUCUUUUUGGUACUUCUCCUCUCCUCUUUAGAUGCUUCGAUAAAUAUCCAUAAUGUAAAAAAUAUCCAUAGGCUUUCUUACGAAUUUUCUUGAAUUCUUGAUCCAUCUAACUUUCUUGUCACUUUAAUGUGCUUAAAUACUCCUCAACAUCUUUCCAUUCACCUUCAUGUAAAUCUCUUAAAAAUAUUUUCAAUGGUAUAUUCAAACAUAUACUUUUUUCCUUUGAUAAUGCAUUAAUAUAAAAUUUUGUACCUACAUCAUCUUUCAAAUAAAUCAUCUCUUUUUUAUCAUAAUACCUUGCUCUUAAUAAGAUAUCUGCAAUUGAAUUUUCUUUCCCUACAAUGUAUUUAAAUUUUGAAUUUAUAGAUUUGAUAUAUGCUAUCUACUUUAAUAUAAGAAUAUUAGGAGUUGAAUAACUUGUAAUUAUGCCUAAUAAAGAUAGAUAAUCUAUUUUUAUAACUAUUGAUGUCCCAAUGAAGUACUCUUUUUUAUUUUUCAUAGCUAUUACUAUAUUCCAUAAUUCUUUUUUGAUCUGCAUAUAUGUCCUUUAUCUAGCAUUCAAAACCUUUGCUCCAAAUCUUAUUACAUAUUUAUUCUUUUAUUGAUUAUCUUAUCCAAUUAUCCAACCUAUUCCAAUUGGACUUGCAUCAACUGUUAUUACCAUCGAUCUUCCACUUUCAUAAUUUACUUUCAAAGUUAGAAGUAAAAAAAGAAUUUCUUUCAAUUUUUCUAUAGCUUUUUUUUCAUUCUUUUUUCAUUGAAUUUUUUGAUUAUUUCUUAACAACUCAUAGAAUAGGUUUACUAUAUGUGCAAAAUGAGGUAUCCAUAUAUGAUAGAAAAUAUAUGCUUCUAAAAAUCUUUUUUUACUUUUGUUGUAUUUAUACAUUCUUUUAUUUUUUUUUAAUAAUAUCAACAUUUUCCAUACUUGGCUUAUAUCCACAUAAUCCACAUAUGUGUUCUACCACUAAAACUUUUUUUAUUUCAAAUAUUGAUUUUGCUCCAGAUAAGAUUAAAUGAACUUCUUCUAAUCUUUUCAAAAUCUUCUUAUAAUAAUUAAUAUGAUUUGCUACAAAUUUUCUACAUCUUUUUGAAUCCAAAGUCUCACCUUUUUUUUCUUCUUCACAUUCUUUAAUUAAUACAUCAUCUAAGAAAGGCAUUGUUGUUCUUAGAAUAAAAUUUCUUAAUACCUUAUGCAUUCUAAUCAUUAUGUGUUCCAUAGAAUUUGUAGCUCUUUGUAGUAAUAUACAUAUUCUAACCAAUCUUAAUGGUAUCUUUAUAGUUGUUAAAUCUCUAUUUUAUAUUGCCAAUUGAAAUUGAUCAUAUCCUAAAUAAAGAUCACCUAUUGAAUAGAUUUCUCUUCCAGCAAAUGCUUUUAUAAAUUCAUCUACAAUCAGACUUGGAUCCAUAUUUCUAAUAGUUUCUUUAUUCACAAGUUACAUACCUUAUAUAAAUCUCAUUAUUUCAUUUUUUUUUGGCAUUAUAAAUCAUUGAUUAGAAUAAGGUACCAUAUAUGGUUCCAAAAUUCUCAUUUUUAUCUUUUCAUUGAGUAAAUCUAUUAAUUUAGAUAAAUGUAUUCUUAGUACUAGAAUUGGUUGUAAAUUCUAUGGUUCAUGAGGAAUAGUAAAAAUAAUCAUAGGUGCUACAAUACUUGGAUCAACACACCCAAUUUCAUGUGCUUCAAAUACAAAAGCCUUUCUAUGACAUGAAAGCAUAUUCUUAAAAUAUUUUUCUUCAUAUUUUAUCAAAAAUUCAUUACAUCCAACAUUUAAUCCAUCUAAUGUAGCAUCUAUAAAUUCAUGACUUAUCUUCCUCAGAUCUCUUAAAUUUGGUUGUAUAGAUGCUUCACUUAUCUUUUCUUCACAAUCUGAUGGUAGUGGCAAAACCACUGAUUUGACUUUUUUUGCUACUAAUUUAUACUUAGUUUCAACAUGUACCUCUUGGUAACUUAAAACUUCUAUAAAUCUUUGAAUUUUAUUAUAAAAUUCUUUAGCAUAUAAAUUAAUAAUUCUAUUCUCUCCUUGUAACAUAUAUUAUAAUAAAUAAUAUAAUUCUUCUAUAAUAUCUAUAAAACGUACUGCUUCAAAUGCUCUUGAAAUAAAUUUAUUUUCAAUCAAUUCUCUAUUUUCUUUUAAGUUUUGCUCAAUAUUUUUAAUAUAAUAUUUUUUCAUCUUUUUCAUCUUGUUAAGUCUUAAAUGACAAUAUACAAUCUUAUGCUAUUCUAAUAAGUUCAGUAGAUAAUAUCUCUUCUUCUAAACUAAGCAGAAGCAUUUCUCUCUCUAAUCCAUUGCAAUCCCUCUUUACAAUGGUGUAUGGUAAAAACCUUCAAGGUCUUCAAAUUUCUCAUUUGAUAAAGGCUUCUUUCUCAACUUAUCAUGAUUUUUUUCAUGAUUAGUACAAAUAAUUAAUAAUUGAAGUACUUUCAUUUCAUCUUAGCUUCUUAUUCUUGCAUAGGCUGAAUCAUCAUCUAUUAUCUUUGUUUCUAUUUGUGUGGCAAUAAUAUAUGAUUAUCUCAACAUAAUAGGAUAUGUAGACAUAUCUUACAUAAAGAAAUUUUGUUCAUGAAUAACAUCUCCUAUCAUCAUCUUAAUAUUUAUAUAAACUCCAUACAAAUCUUCUUUUGAAUUAUUUGCUAUUCUUAUCAUCUAUCCAUGUUCAAUAUUAAUAGGCCACUUUUUCUUGUUAUAUAAUUUUUUUAUAUCAAAUUGAUUUCAAAACCAUGAUCAAUCAAUGUUACAACUAGUUCUUUUAAAUUUCUCAAUUUUAUCAAAGUUUUCAUAAUAGUCCUUGUCCAAUGACUUCUAGUAUAAUGACUAGAAGCUUGAAUGACAUCGUUUCUUUCUAUAAAUCUUACUUGUAAGACAUCUCCAAAAUUUUACAUUUCAUCUUCUUCAUCUUCAUUACUUUUUGAUGCUCUUGUUUCUUAUAUAUUUGAUGUCAUAGUAUCUCAUAGAUUGUUAUUUUUUCUUUAUUAUAUCAAUAAUAACUUCAUGAAAUUCACGCUUUGCAAUUCCUAGAAUUUCACUAAUUGUGAAUUCAAUCUUUUUCUUUAAAAUCCGCUCUUCCAAUACCUUCUUCAAGUCUAUAGCAACUUCAAUAUUUCAUUGUAAUUUAUAAGCAAGAGACUUUACUUUUUCUUUUCUAAUUUUUCUUUAUUUUUUGUAGAAAUAUUCUCUAUUAUCUCUUCAUGUAUAGGAUUCUUUUGUUGUCGAGUUUUUUUCUCUUCUUAUAGUUCAUUUUAAAGACCCUUCAUUAUUUUCAUCCCUCCUUUUCUUUUCUUCUAUUAAUGCUUCAUAUUCACUCCUUGCAAUAUGAACAUGUAUAGAUAAUCAAUGUAGUAGAUCAUUCCACUUAAUAAUUUGUCAAAUGUUAUUACCAAUACGUUCCAAAUCAUCUCCAAUAAAUUUUUUCUUUUCAGCAUAAGUCAUUGCACUUGUCCACAAAGAAUUAGAUUCUUAUGAAAAUUCAAGAUUUAUAUUUAAAUAUUUAUUAGGAUUUGCUUCUACCCAAUAUAUUAAUGCUUCAUUGCUUGAAAUUAUAUGCACUUUAAAAACAUCUCCCAUAGAUACCUUCAUUUUUCUUUUAUCAAAAUUUGUCUCUAAUUUUAUUCUACUUUCUUUUAAAUGUAUUAUAUCAUCUUUAAAAAAAAAAAUCACUUUAUGAUGCACCUCUAUAAAAUUUUCACAUUUCCUUCUUGAGUAAUCUAUGCUAUUACACCAGAUGCACCUAUGCACUACACCUUCUAUUGGCUUUAAUCUUUGUCUUCUUGAUAUUCUUGAUGAUUGGUCCUUCUCUUAAAGUUUUUUAAAUUUUAUUUAUAAAUCUCUCAUCCCACAUGUGAUUUCAUUGAUGCCUAUUUCUUCUUUCUUUGAUGUAGCCAUUGAAGGUUGAAUUAAAGAUGUUGAGUAGAUAUUAGAUAUUUUUAUAUUAGAUGCUUAUAAUGGUCUUUGAAUACUCACCUUAUUUUUUAUUUUUUUUUCUUUUUUGCCAACAAUCUUACUAUCUCUUCCACUUCCUUCUAUUUUGUUGUCAAUCCUUCAUCUUUUUUUUUUAUCUUCAAGUAAGAUUUCUAACUUCUCUUGCAACUUUCCAUCAUCUACUUAAAAAAAGAGCUCUACUUUAUCUGGAUUCAAUAAUUGUCUUUUUUUUUAUAAAGAAGAAUAUUUCUUUUGAAACUUCUUUAAUAAUUUUGUUGCUAGAAGAUCCUUCUUUGGCCUUUCAACCCAUUCAAAAAAUAAUUUCUUUAUAAUCUGAUCAAUAUCUCAUCCUUCAAUGCUUAAAAUAAUUUUUUUCCAUGAACCUCUAAAAUAUCUUAUAAUAGAUCCUACAUGAUUUCUUAUCUGUAGUGUAGUAGCCAAUUCAAAUAAUUGCACCAUCUCUCUUUCUGGAACAUGCUUCAACUCUACUUCUUUUACAUAGCACCUUAAAUAUUUAGUAAUGUCUUUUCCUUCAAAUUGAUUAAUUUUAUUUAUAACCACUUCUAAUUCUUUAUUUGUUAUAUCUUCUUUGUACUCUUUAACUUAUUGCUAUUGCAUGAUUAAGGCAAAAGUAUCAAACAUGCUUAUAGAAUUGGAAUCAAAAUACAUACCUUGUUCUCCACUAAUAGCUCUACUUGUAGCUCUAGUCAAAGUACCAUCCAUAGCCCCUCCUUCAACUCUCUUCUCUUCCUUCUCCAUAAUUCAAAUAAUCCAAGGAAUUUUUUUUAAAUACCUUUUACUUCAAGCUUUUCAUGUCGAAUUCACCAAAUAUAUCAUAAUACAUGAAGUAUUACUUGAGAGUGUACUGAGCACUUGGCUGUAGAAGGUAAAAUAGAAAUUAUAAUAUUAAAAUCUUAAUUCAAAUAAAAUAUUAAAUAAACUCUAAUUAAACCUUAAGAAUGCUAAAUAAGAUUUAAUCAAAUUAAAAAAAAAAAAAAAACCUUAAAGAAAUUAUAAAAGAAAUAAUAAAAAAUCUUAAAAGGAUUAAAAGAUAAUCUAUAAUAAACCUUAAAAGAAUCUUUAAGAAGUUGUGGUUAUUGUUUUACUUAUUCUACAAAUUUCUUUUUAAAAUAAAUCCACUCCAAUGGAAUUGCUUGCCUCCAAUUCCUAUUUGACACCACCUUUUGUAUCCAAUGCUCAUACCAUGCAAUGUAUUUGCAAAAUGUACUUCAAUAAAGCAUUCUUAAGAUAUAUGCUUUCUGGUAGUUGGCCCUAUAGAAAUGCCAAUUGAUUGAUAUCUAACAAAAUCUAGACUUCAUUCUCUUCAUUCUCUGCCAAAUUAAUCGAAGCCAAUUCUGGUGCAACUUUUGGAACUAUCUCUUGUACCAAUAUAUGACUAGAUUCCUCAAUUUUGUGUACUACAUUCCUUGAAUUGAUAGUCAGUGCUAAUAAAUUUUAUUCACCUUGUUGAGGCACUAGCAAGGAUACAUUUCUCUCUGCUACUGGCAUUGCUUGACUCAAUGUAGAUGCAAUCAUAGCAUACACAUAAUUAGAACAGAGCAACGCUGUAAACUUUCUUAUUUUUUGCUUGGCUCCCAUUUCCACAUGAAUAUAAGUUGCUACAUAAGCUACCUAAUUGAAUACCAUCCUGUCAAGCAUCCCUAUUGCUGCAAACAUUAAUUGUCUUGGCAUAUACAAGUUAUGUUGAUAUAACCCUAAAUGCCUCAAUAUGAAGCACAUCCAUUCCAUGAGCUCUGGUAUAAUUGCCUUAGCUGUCUACCAACCUUAAUUCUUCUCAAAUGAUGACAUUCUACCUUUGAAAAAUACUCUUGGAUUGAAAUCGCUUAAGUCUAUCACCUCUAGUGCAAACUCUCUAAUUGGAAGAUACAACACCUUUUCUAGGAUCUUCUCAUCAAUAUCAAUAAUGUACCCUUAUACCAUGCUCCAUCUAUCCUCUACGUUAUAAUUCGCGAUGUAUUCUUCUACUAAUGCUACAUUAAUUGAUGCCAAGCUAUCUAGCCUUCUUAAAAAAUUGAAAUAUUUAUACAUUUCAAAAAUCUCGUAUUCUUCUUGGCGUCCAACAGAUCUUCAAUUUUAUAGGCUCCAAAUUAGUAAUGAUUACUAUGGAUGAUGGUUCCAAAUUGUAUUUAGCUUUCACAUUUUGGCCACUUUCUUCUAUGUCCAUUGUCAUAUUACGUGUUGUUUUGCUCAGGAAUGCACUGGGCACCUAGCUGUGGAACAAGAAAUUGUGUUUCACAAGUAGCCAAGAAAUCCUAAUAGGUUUCAUCCAUACGAGAAGAAUAUAAUCUGAAUUUCAAUUCAAAAGUACUUAAAACACUCUUCUUAGUAGUCUUAACUAUACAUAAAUCCCAAAUACCUUAUUACUUUCAUAUUUAAGCAAUUUAGAUUUUUCUUGUAAAUCCCAAUUCUAAUCAGUGAGCUUUAACAAGCUAUAACAUCCAAUUCGACCGUCCACUUGAUGUGGAAUUUUGCAUGCAAUUGUCAAUAUAAGUCUUCUAUAUGCUCAAGAAUUUUUAGUCCAAUCCAACUUAAAAAUUAUGAGAAAACCUCCAAAAAUUGUAUUGAUGUCACUCGGCUAUCAACUUGAAAAGUGAAGUAAAAAUUCCAGCAAUGAUUUAUCCCUUUUCAAUUAUUAACUUUGUCUCAAAAUUGAUGUGUAGCUUGAUCUUCAAGUCCUUCAACAUCAUGCCAAUUUUCACCUUAAUCCAACUAAUAGAUCUUUAGAUAUCAUAGAAAUCCUACCCAACCUCAAACUGCCACCUUCCAAAAUCCUCUUGUGCUAAAAACUAGAUAUCUCUAAACCAUCCCGUUAGAUUAUCACAAAAUUUUGUAUACACUUAGUACACUCAAUAAUCUAAAUAGUACCAAGUUUUCAACCAUAGAUGUUACACCAAUUGCACGAAAUAGCCAAAAUUAUUAGUCCUAAUUAUAUUAUAUAAAACCCAAAUCAUUGAUACAAACCCUGACUUUGAACAACAAUUGCUAAGUCUUCCAAAACCCUUUCAAAAAAAUUCUUAUGUAUUUGGAAAGAACUUCAAGAUAGCUCUAAAAUCUUAACCUUUGAUCUUUGAAUGAUCCCCUAUUUUGUCCUAGGCCGUCAUUUUGGUGGCUAGAGGUUUGAUUUCAACCCUGUUUCACAAAUAGUCAAUCUCCAGGUAUCAAUCUAACCUAUUGUAGAAUAGGUAAAUAAAUUUUGUCGUAAGCUACUAGUUGGUUAUUGAAAACCUUGACAUUUAGACUUAUGGUUAGAUAGUUUAGUUGAUAAUAGUAGAUUGUUAGUGGAAUAAAUGGUUAAGAAUUCAAAGGGUCAUAACCUUUGGAAUCUGCUGGCCGAUGGAUCAUCUUUUUUGUAGGACAAAGAGGUUGAGGAAAGAGAGAUCAAAGCCAGACUGUGAGAGUCGUAAGCCAAGGUAAGCUUAGUGCUACCUCUUUAUUUUUUUUAUUUUUAUUAUUUUUUUAUGACAAAUUGUAAUUGAGAGAAGUAUUGUUGAAACUAUGAUUAGAAUAUUGUGGAAUAUGGCUUAGGACUGACCGUUUUAGAGAAGAUCUAUGACCUUGAGAAUUGAGAUUAUCGAAUUGUAUUUUGUUAAGUGAAGAUAUUUAAUUCUGUGUGAUGAAUUGAGAAACUGAAUAUAAUAAGAAAGCUAGAGAUCAGUAAUUAAAUAUAUAUAAACCGCAAAGGGAGUAAGUGGGAGAUGAAUUGAUAAGAAUAUGGAAGUAUUAUUGAAUUGAUAGUCGUAGAAUAGAUUAUGUAUUGAAUUAAGAUGGAAGUAGUAAGCCUUGGUGUUUUUUAGUUUGAUAAUUGAUUUUAGAUAGCUAGAGUACAAUCAAUUAUGACUUUAAUACAUCCAAUUCAUAUAACCAAUCUUUCCCUGUGUUCGAAUCCACCUCUAUUAGUUCAAUUGCUUUGAUAUAUCAAAGCUUGAAUGCAACGAGAACAACAUUUUGGCACCGCUGCCGGAGAAAUGAUAACAAUAUGAAAUAUUAGAAAUUGAUUGUAUGAGAAGAAUGAAAGAUUAUGAGUAAUAAUUAUGAAGGGGAGGAUUAUCAAAGAAUUAAUCGAUUAGCAAAAGAAAGACAGGAGUGAUUACGUAUAAGAAAUCUCCUACGGAAACGAAAAAAAAGAAUUAUAUGUCCAAAUAAAACCAAAGGAAGAAAAAUUCAAAUUUAGAUAGCAAGGAGACUAGUGAUAACACCAAUGGUUGCGGGAGUGCUAGAAGUAUCAAUUGCAGUACAAAUGGGAGCAGUAGGAGACCGAACUACAAGUGUGGCACUAUUAUCUACUUUUAGUGGUUGUCGAGCUUUGAUCCCAAUUACCAUAUAUCUCAAUUUUUGACAACUUACAUGGCUAAUAAUGGUAGAAUUGAAGACAUUUGGUUAAGAUGGUUGCGAGCAACUUUAAAAGAUACAGCUUUUAAAUGGUAUAAUCGACAACGAGUGGAUAGAUUUCUCAAUUGGGAGGCCUUAAGGAACGCCUUCCUAAUCCAUUUUAGACCAAUUGGAUUUGAAGAUUGGCUUUGAGAAAGUUUUAUGAAUAGCAGGAUGUUUGUGGGGGAAUCAGUAGAGUCCUAUUAUGGUCGGGUCACGAAUAUACUUUGUAAAUGGUCAAAUAAUCAAAUGCCAGAUGUGUUUAUAUUGUCAAUAUUAAUUAAUGGUUUGCAUCCACCAGAAUUAAAAAUGUUUGUAAAAGAGGCUCGACUAGCUACAAUAGAGGCAUCAUUGGCACAAGCAAAGGUGUCGGAAGAAUGUCAUUAUGACCAAUUAUUAAUAGUGGAGGCCACGAUGAUUCGAAAUUCAAGAAGCCAACAAAUACAAUCGAGAAAUGUGUCGAUGGAUAAUUAUCUACAAAUGGCUGAUUCCAACAUGAAGAAUGUUAUGUUGCAAAAAUCAAUUAAUGCUAUACCACUCCAAGCAAUAGUGUCAAUAACAAAGACACCUUAUUUUACAUCACCAAUCUAUCAGCAAUCGGAGUUGUUCACAAAUGUGACUGUUAAAGAUCCAAAUGAAGCCUUGUUAUUAAAUCUAACAAAGAAGAUGGAAGAAUUGGCUGUAAAUUUGAUUAAAGAUAAGGAAAAAUGACAUAAGCCUUGUAAUACGAGACCUAAUGUAUGGUAUAAUAAUUGUAAGAGGCAAGGUCACUUUGAUAUGGAAUGUCCAUCAUCCAGACAAACGGGUGUUCAAUGUACAUUUAUUGGAGGAAAACACCCUACCUAAAACUGCUGGCAUUUACAAAGGCAACAAUAAUUCAGUAAUCAGACCAUGAUCCCAUCGACUCAGUGAAAAGUCUAUCAAGUUCAAAUAGAAAAUACGUAUGGAUGGAAUGAAAAUCGAUCUAAUCGAAAAAAUUGAACAUUCAAUAACUUUCAAAGUUUCAAUUUUAAUCAGGGGUCUGCAUCAAACCAUCAGAACUAUGGGAAGGAGCAGUAGAGGUAUCAGCAAUAUGUUCGAUCAGCGUCAUUGAACCAAAUACCCUAUGUACAAAUGAGACAACCAGGAUCAUUUUCUAACCCUAUUUAGAACAAGCUUAGUAGGUAUAUAUUGGUGGAGACACCCACUAUGUCAGAUGGAGGUGCAAGAAGACCACUUUGCUGUUUCCGUUGCAUAUAGAUUGCUCAUUAUGCUAGUGAAUGUCCCAAUCCCAGAGCCAGUGAUAAUUAUGUGCCAGUGUGUAUGAAUUGCAAGCAGUCAAGAUAUACUUAUCAGCAAUGUAAUGCUCUGUUCAAUUUCAAUAAUCGAAACUAGCAAAUCCAAAGCCAAAGAAAAAUGGAGGACAUAAAUCAAGGUCUCUAAGAUUCUCUGAUAAAUCGGAUGGAAUGUGCCCAAGCCAUUCUUAUCAGGAGUCAGAAAAAAAAGAAAGGACCAAUUCAAUAUUUGGAUAAUCCUGAAGCAAAAGGCCAAUUAGACCUAAUUAUGGCGACAUCCAAUCCAGGUCUUGAAAUGGGCCCCUUACUCAGUAUAAGACCUAAAUCGGUUGUGCACCCUAAUGAGGUACCGAUUACGGAGGCUUUGAUUCCAUCUCAAGCUAUUCCGUUGUCAUAUUACGUGCUUUCCUGCUCGAGAAUGCAUCGGACGUCUGGCUGUAGAAGGUAGUAUAGAGAUUCGCCAAUAUUCAAGCAGUUUAUCGAUUUUUGACUAUUGGAAUAUAAACAACUACAAGAAUACACCGUAAAUCUAUACGGAUGCCCUUUGACUGCUUGUCGAAGUCCUUUUUGCCCUAGCCGAUAGGUCUCUAGACGUUAUAGAGAACCCCGAACAAUCCAAACUGCUAAUCUUCGAUACCGCUUUAUACUCACGAUCUUGUAUCCACUGACUGUCUUGUUAGAUUAAUCCAAUAAAUUUCAUUCACUCCGCAUACUCAACCCUAUAGGCACCCUUUUAACUCUUCAUCACAAACAUAACUCGAUUUCACAAAACAGUCAAGAGUAAUCAAACCCACUUCAUUAAAAAUCCCGAUUCACCAUUACAACACUGACUUCAGCAACAAUUGCCUCAGUCUUCCCAAAACCCUAUGAAGAAAAAAAAAUCCAAUUCUCUGUCUUUUUUCUCCGCCCGAAGCAUGAAGCUAGCUCUCUGAUUCUUCAAAAAACUCCCCCAAAAACUUCUUCUCUCUCCUCUCAUUUCUUAACCUUAAUUUUGAAUUUCUUCAAUCCUCCGUCUUGGAUCCGGAAUUGGCUCUUGCCGUCAGAGCUUGAUCUGAAAUUGACUCUUGCUGUCAAAGCUUUCUCCUCCGUUUUUACCUUUAAGAGCUCCUUUUACCGAAAGGACGUUUCCGAAAUGACACAAAAGACGGAACAGCCUGAAACGGAAUUGGAGCCACGUAAUCGGGACCACAUUGAGUCGCCCGACCAAUUCAGGUCUCAUAUUGGCUAAGAGUCCAAUAGUAAGACCCGGAUGUUCCCGAAAUUGGAUCAAAUUGGUCUUUCACGUCAGAUUGGCUGAGGCCCGUAGUAAGACUUGGAUUUUCCCGUAAUUAGACUGCAUUGGAUUGCCCGAAUAAUUCAGGUCUCAUAUUGGGUAAGAGGACCCGGAUUAGAUUCUUGAAAUUGGAUCCAAUUGGCUCUUCGAACUAGGCUCACCCGUCGUGUGAAUUGGUCCUUUCCCUUCCUGCUGACUCCCGUUAUUGGAAUCAAACGGAGCAUUUCAGUAUGCCCCGGCUGAUUGUAAUGGGGUGACUGAACCUGGCCACUCAACAUUUGCACUGGAGUUGGUCGUUGCUCCCAAUAUUCGAGGUAACUGAACAUUAAUAAAAGUCCCCUUUCUUUAUAUUUUCACGAUAUACUCGUGUUACAACACGACACCGUUCUCUACACAGUUUUGAGAAACAUCCUUUUCAUUAAAAGAUCCUCUCCGAGGCGUGAAUUCCAAGGAACCAAUAUCAACUCAAUUGAGAGAACAAUCUUACCCGUUGAAAGAACCGAUUUUACAAGCUCCAUCAAAUUUAAUUUGAAUAGCUUUACCAAUAUAGAGAAUACCAAUAUACCUAUGUUGGUGUCUAGGACUGGGAAGAAGAAAUGGACAUUGAAAAUUACUACUAAUACAGAAUCAUAUGAUAUUCUAAAAGAUUUGGGCACCAUACAGUCCACGAUUUCUAUGAAGCAACUAUUGGCGGUAGCACCUGAGUGCCAAAUUAUCUUGAAUUCUUCAUUAAUUCAUCGUAGGUCUCGAAAUAAAGAAAUCCGAGAAGUAAGUUUGAAUCCCGAUCUGGGUGCAUCAAUGAUUGAUGUCUCAAUUGAUGGAGUAUUACUAUCAAGAGUGCAAGUAGACGGAGGAUCUAGUGUAAAUCUUAUGAAUAACACUACAAUGGAGGAGCUGGGUUUGCAUCACCUAUUCCCUACUACAGUAGUUUUGAGAAUGGCUGACUCUAGUCGAGUUAAACCUAUGGAUAUUUUAUGAAGUAUUGAUAUAGUAAUUCUGGAGAUUACCUACAAAAUUGAUUAUAUUCUUUUUCGAUUGCAAAGUUCUAUAUUGUCAUACCCAAUUUUAUUGAGGCAAGCUCGGUUGUAUCAAACUAAAGCUCGAAAUGAUUGGGGCCGUGGUACAUUGACAAUUGAGAAAUAUAAUGAUAAAAUUAUACUUUAAAUGUACCUUGUCCAAUAUCAUGGAGAAAUUCAAUUGGCCAGUUUAGAAUUCAUGUCAGAUUGUGAAGAUGAGUCUAUAGAAGAAGAAAUUGGUACACUUGACCCAAUUUAUACUGAUACAAGGUAAGUUGUUGAGUACACUAGAAUGAAAUACCAGUGUAGGGGAUCGAGAGAGUUCUUAGUUCCUCUAGAUGUUAUUGACAAUUUUGAUCAUAUGAUUGCAUAUUGGAUGAAUAGACAGGAUGUUAAUCACAUUAGUACUAUGGAACUGGAGUUAGAAAGUUCUAAUUUGUCAGAUUUUAUGAAAGAUUUUGAAAUAGAGCAGAAUAUUUUUUUAGAGACUCUUGAAAUUCCACAAUGUCAAUCAAUUAAUUUAGGUACAAGGAAGGCUCCCCAAACCAUUUAGAUUUAUGACAGUAUAAAAAGCAAGGAGAAAGAAAUUUGGGUGGAUUACUUUUUAAUACAUAAAGCUACUUUUAUAUAGUCGUAUGCAGAUUUGAAAGGAAUUCCAGCUAAAGUUUGUGAGCAUCGAAUUAUAUUAGAGGAGAAUGCUACACCAAUACGCCAAAGAUGACAUCAACUUAAUCUAAAAUACUCACUUAUAGUAAAAGAAGAACUAAAUAAACUCUUGGAGGUUGGAUUUAUCUAUCCAUUUCUUUUCAGUGAAUGGAUUUCACCAAUUAUUAUGGUACUGAAAAAGAAUGAAAAAGUUUGCAUCUGUUAAGAUUUCUACAAAUAAAAUGUGACUACCAAGAAGGAUUAUUUUCUUUUACCAUUUAUGGAUAGUAUAUUGGAUGUUGUCACUGGAUAUGAAUAAUAUUCAUUUCUUGAUGGAUUCUCUUGUUACAAUAAAGUAAAAAUUGCAAAAGAAGACCAGUUAAAAACUACUUUUAUUACGGAUUGGGGGACCUUUUGAAAAAUGGAGAAUUGAUUUUGUGGGACGAAUUGCACCAGUCUCGAGAAAUGGACAAAAAUGAUGUAUACUGGUAGCAAUAGAUUAGAUAACAAAAUAGGCUGAAGCUGUAGCUAUGAAAACCGAUAGUACAAGUACAAUAGCAACCUUUUUGUAUGAAAAUAUUAUUAUAUGGUUCAGUUGUCCACAAGAAUUGGUUAGUGAUCCAGGAACUCAUUUUAUAAAUAGUACAAUCGAAGCACUUAUGGUUAAAUACAAGAUAAAACAUCAUAAGACUACAUUGUAUCACCUUAGAGCCAAUGGAUAAACGGAAAAGACUAAUAGAAUUUUAUGUAAAAUCUUAACAAAAAUAAUUUCAGGAGUGGGAACAAAUUGGGAUACUAAAUUGUUUGCAGCUUUAUGGGCAUACCACAUUACGUAUAAAAUUACUACCAAUACUAUGCCUUUUUAAUUGGUUUAUGGCCAGAAAGUAAUAUUACCUAUUGAAUUGGAAGUCGAAAGUUUACGAAUUGCUAUAGAUAAUAGAUUGGAAGAUCAGGAUUCAUUACGGCACCAUUUGGAAGAAUUAAAAAAAUUGGAUGAAACUAAAAUCAAUGUAUUAAUGAUAAUGGAAACUACACAAAAACGAAGGAAGACUUAUUAUAAUAGUAAGCUUAGACCAAAGGCUUUUAUGCUAAAUGAUUUGGUUCUUUAUUAUGAUAGUCAAUUUAAAAAUUUUCCAGAAAAAUUUCAAGUUCGAUGACAUAGGCCAUAUCGAGUUAUUGACGGAUUUCCAAAUGGUUCAAUGUAAUUGGAAGAUUUUAUGGGUACUAAAUUUACGACACAGAUCAAUGGCAAUCGGCUUAAAAUUUACUAUACAUAAAUUCGGGACAGGUUUUUUGUUACAAAAGGAUGGAGAGUUGAUCCAAUUGAUUGGACCAUAGUUAGAAGUAGGAGGAGGGCUCUUGACAAGCAUCGUAUUUUUUUUUUGUGGUUAAGGAGAAGUGGAUGGCGGAAAAGGAGAAGAUGGCGAACAUGGUGUCUGAGAAAGCAAGAAUGGAGAUCGAUUGGAAGGAACGACAAGAGCGGCUGCAGGUUGAAGUUACGAUGUUGUAGACUAAACUAGCUGCAUUAACAAAGGAGGCCAAUAAUUUAGUGCGGACCAAUAUGCCAAUUUCAGCGACAACACCUUCAGAGAUAUACGCUGCUACGUCUUUAUAAGUUGAGGCUAAAUAAUAUUUGUGACGACGCUCUACAAUUAAGAGGGGCUAUGUAGAAUAGGUAAAUAAUAGGUAGAAUAGGUAAAUUUUGUGGUAAGUUAUUGGUUGGUUAUUGACAACCUUGAAAAUUAGACUUAUGGUUAGGCAGUUUAGUUGGUAACAGUAGGUUGUUAGUGGAAUAAAUGGUUAAGAAUUCAAAGGGUCAUAACCUUUGGAAUCCAUUGGUUGACGGAUCAUCUUUUUGGUAGGAUAAAGAGGUUGAGGAAAGAGAGAUCGGAGCUAGAUUGUGAGAGUCGUAAGCCGAGGUAAGCUUGGUACUACCUCUUUGUUUUCUCUGCUUUUAUUAUUUUCUUAUGAAGAAUUGUGAUUGAAAGAAGUAUUGUUGAAACUGUGAUUAGAAUAUUGUAGAAUAUGACUUUGGACUGACCAUUUUGGAGAAAAUCUUUGACCUUGAGAAUUGAGAUUAUCAAAUUAUAUUAUAUUAAGUAAAGAUAUUUAAUUUUGUAUAAUGAAUUGAGAAAAUGAAUAUAAUAAGAAAGCUGGAGAUCAGUAAUUAAAUAUAUAUAAACCAUAAAGAGAGUAAGUGGAAGAUGAACUGAUAAGAAUAUAAAAGUAUUGUUGAAUUGAUAGUCUUAGAAUGGAUUAUAUGUUGAAUUAAGAUGGAAGUAAUAAGCCUUGGUGUUUUGUAGUGCGAUAAUUGAUUUUACAUAGCUAAAGUAUAGUCAAUUGUUACACUAACAGAUCCAAUUCAUAUAACUAGUCUUUUCCCGUGUUCGAAUCUACCUCUAUUAGUUGAAUUACUUUGGUAUAUCGAAGCUUGAACACAACGAGAAUAACACCUAUUCUAAGGUGUUUUUAGCACAAAUCCACUUUCAAAUUAAUCCUAGUAUCAACUAUACUAAUUAUUUAUCUCUUCCAACCUGAUUUUAUUAAUUUAUGGUCUUUCUAAGAUAGUAGAAGAGUCUCUAUAACCUAAAAGGUAAAAUUACUAAUUAACCUUCAAUCUACUAACUAUUAAGAUAAGAAAAUAAUAUAAGAAGCUUUUAUGAAAGCCAUGUUUAGAUACCUCAAAUUAUAAUUGAAUUAAGAUAAUUAGAUAUUAAUUAGAAAUUCAAUUUUAAUUAUAAUUUUACUAUAUAGUUGUAUUAUAUCACGACAUCCAUCUCUUCUUAAUCUGCGCAUCCUCCGGCAUGUGCCAAAUGAACCAUAUGUCAUAAUUGGCAUCAUACCAUCUCUUCAUUUUCUUUGUUAAAUCCUUCAUUUCUAUUUUCACCGUCCUCUUCAAAAUAAUUAUCUUCUUCAAAAAUAUCAAUAUCUUCAACAUGAUCUUCUAUAUUGAUUUCUCUAUCUCGUCUUUUAAAAAUCUUCACUUGCUUCCCAACAAUAGGUAUUUUCAAUUUGGUACCAUAUAAUGAAUAUGUGGCAUUAUUAUGAACCAUUACUACGACAUAUGGUCCAAACUAACGUUUUGAAAAUUUUUGCAAAGUAUUAUGUUGAUUAUCGAAACUGCUAUCAUAAAUAAGUAUCCAAUCAUCUUUUUCAAUUACUCUAGGCCUCAAUCGAUGUUGCUUAUCAAAUUGAGGCUUAUUUCCUAACCUUGCCUUUUGUAACCUUUGUAAUGCUAAUUCCACAUCUUUCAAUCUUUGUUCAAGUUGUCAGAUUCUAAUGGCUAACAAUUCUUCUCUUGUCAAUCCAUCUUCCCAUGGUAGCAUACUCCAAGUUGGCACAUUUUUUUCAAUUGGCAUAAUUGGUUUUUGACUUGUCAUAAGUUCUACUAGCAUAUAUCCUGUCACCGAAGUAUGUGUUAUUCGAUUAGUCCAUAAUGCAUAACGUAGAAGUCAAGGCUAUUCUCUCACUCUUCUAUUGCAAGCUUUAAUUAAGGCUUUUUCAAUUGGUGGAUGCCCACGUUGACUCUUUGCAUUCCCUUCUAGAUUAUAAGCAAUAAUCAAUGAUAAUUUGAUCCCACAUCUCUUAAAAAAAUCACGAGCUUUAUGUGUAUGUAAUUCUUCUCAAUUUGCAGUGAUCUUUCUCAUACAUCCAUAGUGACAAAUAACUUCUUCAAGUAAAAAUCUGUAAAUUCCCUCUCUUGACUUUGUUCUUAAUGCCUUACCUUCUACUUGGUUUGAUAAAUCUUUACGAGCCAAAACUAAAUAUCUCAUUUGUCAUAAUCUCAUCAGUAUAAUAACCAAAUCCACAACCCAUUUAAAAUGAAUAGCCAAAGGAUAUGUCAGAUGCAAUCCAUCUCGAUGUUGUAUAUUUGAAUAUAUCUGACAAGUUACACAAGAUUCUACAAAUAAAUUUAUAUCUCAAUAUAUAUUCUUCCACCAAUAUUGUUCCUUCAUUUUAGCAAAAGUAGCCCAAAUUCCUUUAUAUCCCACCCAUAGAUUCUCAUGAAACUCCUUGAAUAGUCUUUGUUGAUCUUCUUUGGUACCUACUAUUCAUCUUGGCAUUCCAAUUCCUUUCUUUGGUCUCUUCCAUAAAAACCCUUCUUAAAGCAAAAAUCCAUAAGCCUUCUUUCUUAUUUGAUUAAAUUUUUUUGUUGACCAAUUUUCUUGUUUAAUCAAGGUAUUCAAAUAAAGACUAAUUUUUAAUAAUUCUCCUUCAUAAAGCUCUUCAAAAAACAUCUUGUCUUCCUUAUUAAGAUUUGAUACUGAAUAGAAUUUUGUUUCAACAUCAUCAAUAUCUUCAACCAUCUUGUCUUCUCUUUCAUAUACUACUCGAGAUAACAUAUCUACUACCGGAUUGUCUUUCUCCACAAUAUGCCUAAGUUCUGGAUUUAGUGAUUUGAUAUAAGUAAUCUAUCUCAACAUUGCAAUAUCUGAUGUUGUACAAUUGGUAAUUAUUCCAAGUAAAGACAAACAAUCUUUUUUAAUUAUCACCAUAGCUCCAAUUAAAUAAUUCUUUUCAGCUUUUAUAGCUGAAACAAUUCAUCAUAGUUCCAUUUUCACCUAUGAAUAUGUACAUUGGCAAGUACUUAAAAUUUUAGCUCCAAAUCGUACUACAAAUCUAUAUCCAUUUGAGUCAUCUUGACCUAUAGCCCAUCCAAUGGCAAUCGGACUAGUAUCCACAGUAAGAAUCAUUAGUCUAUUGCACUUAUAAUCAACCUUUCUUAACAUUGGACGUGAUAUCAAUAAUUUCUUCAAUUUUUACACUACUUUAACAUACUUUUAUUUCCAUUUAAAUCGAUAGCCCUUGUAUAACAGUUCAUAUAAUGGAUCCGCUAUAUGAGCAUAAUGAGGGAUUCAAAUAUGAUAAAAUAUACAUACACCUAAAAACCUACAAAUCUCUAUUAAAAAACUACAAUCCUCUUUUAUUCUCACAAUCGCAUCAACUUUAGUCGGAUCUGGUUUUCUUCCAUAAAAUCUACAUAAAUGUCCAAAAAUCACAAUCUCUUGUACUCCAAAUAUAAAUUUUGUACUUCAUAAUAUAAGAUGAAUUUGUCCAAAUUAAGUCAAUAUUUUUUUACAAUCUUAUAUAUGAUCAGCAACAUACUUGCGACAUCCCUUCUUAUCUAAAGUUUCAUCCUUGUCUUCUUCUUUGCACCCCUUUAUAGGAACAUCAUCCAAAAAAGGUAUAGUCUUCUUAGGAAUAAAAUGUCUGAAUAUCUUAUUCAUCCCAUUCAUCAUAUGCACAACUGAGUUGGUUGCGCCUUAAAGAAGAGUAUACAUUCUAACUAAUCCAAGUGGUAUUCUCAUUGUUGUCAUAUCUCUACUUCCUUCUACAAGUUAAAAUUGGUCAUAGCCCAAAUACAAAUCAUCCAUUGAAUAGAUUGCCUUUCCUACAAAUGCCUCAAUAAAUUCAUCUACUAUAGGGCCAAUUCCUACAUUUCUGAUAGUUACUGCAUUCAUUGGUUGCAUAUCUUGAAUAAAAUAUAAUGACCCAUUUUUCUUAGGCACUGUAAACCAUCGACUAGAAUAUGAUACAAAAGAAGGCUCCAAAAUCUUCAUCUUUAUCUUUUCUUUUAAUAAUUCCACUAAGCUUGGUAAAUGUGUCCUUGGUAGUGGAAUUGGCCUUAGAUUCUAAGGUACAUGUAGUACAGUGAAAAUAACCAUAGUUUGGUAACUUUCGAUGCUUUAAAAGAUUCAAUCAUACCAUAAACUUUUUUUGAAUGAAUUGAUAUAACUUUAUCAUUAUUACCUAAUCCAAUAUACACAAUCAAUUCCAAAACAUCUUCCAGUUCAUUUUCUUCAUAAAUAUCAAUAAUCUUUUUAUUAUCUUCUAAUAUUCCUAACCUAUACAAUUCUUUUUCAAUAGUACUUAAUUUCUUCAUUUUUUUUAUUUUAAAAUCAUCAAUCUUUUUAUACAUAUUGCUUCUAUUUUCAAAAAUAUUAAUAAAUCUUCUAUUAAAGGUACCUACAUCUUGUGAGAGUACCUCUCUUUUUAUACCUCUAUAAUCUCGUUUUAUAGUGGUACCUCCAAAAAAUCCUUGAAUUCUUCAACAACCCUUGGCAAUAGAUUUUCUUUCAAUUUGUCUCAAUUCUGCUCAUGAUUUGGAAGCACAGUCAAAAACUAUAUUGCCCUCCUUCCAUCCUCACUACAAAUUCAUGUGUAAGCUGAACCAUCAUCGAGUACCUUUGUUUCUAUCCGAGUUUUAAUAAUAUAUAGUUGUCUCAAAAUAAAAAGAUAAGAUAUUCCAUCUUAAAUAAAAAAAAAAUUGCUCCAUUGUAACAUCACCAAUCCAAAUUUUCACAUUUGGGCAAGCACCAUAUAACUUCCCUUGUAUAUUAUUAACUAUCCAUAUUAUCCAUCCAUGCUCUAUAUCAAUUGGCCAUCUUUGCUUCAUAUAAAGAUCCUUAGACAUAAGAUUUAUUUCUGAACCAUGGUCAAUUAAAGCAACAAUUGGCUCAUCCAUAUCUCCAAUCUUCACUAAUCCCUCUGUAGUUGCUCUAAUUCAAUACUUCUGAGUAUAAUGACUUAAAAUCUUUCUAUCUUUAUUACUUUGAUCAUCAAAAUGUAUCCUUUGAUUAUAACUCCUCCCUUCAUUUGCUAAUUGUUUGUAAUAAUUAUCAAGUACAACUUUUUCACCUUCAAAUAUAUGUGCAUCAAUAGCAUGAUUCAAUCUAUCUUCUCUCAUUAAUUACUUCUUUUGUUUCAUACUGUCAAUAAUGACAUUAUAGAAUUCUUUCUUGGCAAUUCCUAAAUUUUUUUUCAAUGUAAACUCAAUCUUAGCAUUGAACACACGUUCUUCAAGCACUCCCUUUAAAUCUAUUGCCGCUUCAAUAUCAAAGAGUAGUUUAUAAGUUGUCAAUUUAUCUUUAUCUUUUAUCUCCUUUACUUUUUCUUUCGAUAUUAUUGAAGUAUCCUUUGUGGGCAAUUCUUAUAAAGCCGCUGCACGAGCUUUAUCUCCUCGAGUUUACUUCUUAGAAGAAUUUCCUUUUCUUGAAUCAUCAAAAUUUCUUCUCUUCUUUUCUUCCAUUAAAGCUUCAUGUUGGCUUUUAGCAAUAUAUGCAUGUACUAACAAAGCUUCUAUAAGAUCCUUCCAACCUGUAGCACCAUAAAUUAUUGCAACAGUUCUCAGUAAUGCUUUCUAUCGCAUCUGUCAAGGACAAGAACUCGAUAAAAAAGAAAUACAGACAAAAGAGCAUUCACUCAAAGAAAGAUAACAAAAUAUAAAUAAACAAGUAUGUAUAUUGAAAAAAAAAUUGAAAUGGCUAUUGCCAAAAGACAAGAAAACUAGAGAUCCUUGAAACUAGACUAAAAGCAAGAAAGGAGUUGACAAGAGUGAAGAGGGCUUCACUCUUGCCUCUAUAUAUAUUAUUUAACUAGGGGCUAUGUGGUGACGUUCUAUAAGACCUCCAAUAUGUGUUGACUUUGAAGGACACAUGCCUUGACUUACAAGGUAAGUUUUUUUAUGUGUGGGCCACAUAGUUAGCUUGAUCUUCAAGCUAACAACAUGUGUGGUACAUGGCCAACUUGUUGACCACAUUUCUAAUCCAAAAAGUCAAUUAAAGACACCUAUGAAGUCAAAGCAACGUCUAUGAAGCUUCUAAAAAGCUUUCAUAUUAAAUACUAUAGAAUUAACUUAUUUUUACCUACUUUUACUUACUUCCACCUAUUUAUAUAUAUAAUUACUAGCUUACAUGAGUAUGUCUGUGACAACAUCUUCUCUUUUUACAUUGUAGAAAUAGCAAAAGACCAAAGUCCACUUGAUUGAAUAUUUCUGACAUAAUUUUGUCUGCCAUCAUUAUCCACCCUAGUUCCAUAACUUGCAGCUUCUAUUGCCACAAUUCCAUGUGUUGUUAAAUAAUCUUUAAUCAAUGCUUUUAUGCCUCCUUUACCAAAGUUGGUUUUGGAGAAGAUCACGAGUAUCUUUCAAUGCAACCUUUCCAUCUUUUCAAUAAACAAUGUCUUGUUGUACUAUCUCAUUAAAUUCACCACAAUCUUUUCGAGAAUGAGAAUCAUCAUCACAUCAAAUACAUCUUUGCACAUAUCCUUAUUUAAAAGUAGCCUUUGAACUUAUUGUAGAAGUCUUUUCUUCAAGCCUUGCAAGUUUGAUUUUAAGAUCUCGCAUCCCUCAAAUAAUCUCCUCAAGUUCCAUAUCUUCUUUCUUUGGUGUAGUCAAUGGAGGUUGGACAAAAGGCACAGUCAAUCUUAUAGUAGGCAUUGGAGUCUUUGAAACUUGUUUCACUUAUUGAGUACCAAACUCAUCCUUUCUCCUUUCUUUUUUUACAAGUAAUCCAAUAGCAUCUUCAACAGCUCUCCACUUUGUUGUCAAUCCUUCUUUUUCUUCUUUAUCUUCAAGAAGAACCUCUAACUUCUCUUGUAAUUCUUCAUUAGCAACUUGAAGAAACAAUUCAACCUUACUUGGUCUCAAUGUUAACUUUUCCAUUUUUGAUAAUUGAAAAAAUUAUCUUUCAAAUUCUCUUAAUAAUUCUAUAGCUUGCAAAUUUUUGUUAGGUUGCUCAAUCCAUUCCAAGAAUGAUUUCUUGGUAACUCGAUUAGUAUCUUCCAAAAAGUACUCAUCCUUCAAUGCAUGUAAAAAUACCUCCCAUGAACUUUCAAAUUGCUCCAUAAUAGAUCUUAUAUGCUCUCUUAUCUCUGAUACCAUAACAAAUUCAAAUAAUUGAAUCAUCUCCUUCUCAGAAACACAAUUCAAUUCCAUUUUUUGCACAUUAUAACUUAAAUAUUUGAAAAUAUUCCUCCUAUCAAAUUGAUCAACCUUGUUAACCACUACUUGUAAUGCUUUGGUUGCCAAAGCCUCUUUGUGAUCAUUACCUUAUUGCUGUUGCAUAAAUAAUAUAAAUGCUUGAAACAUUUUUGCAAACUUUGGAUCAAAGUACAUACCUUAUUCACUGGUAGAAAUCCCACUUGAAGUUGCGCUUGAAGAUCUACUUGAAGUUCCACCCAAAGCUCCAUCAAAAAGUCUAAAUUCAACCUUCUUGCCUUCUUCUGCUAUUAAUUUUAAAUAAUAAAAAUUACAAUCCAAUACCUUCUACCCCAAACUUUCAUGUUGGGUUCACCACUUAUGUUGUAUUACAUGUUUUGCUUAGGAAUGUAUUGGGCAUCUAACUGUGGAAGGUGAAAUUGUGUUUCACAAGUAGCCAAGAAAUCCUAAUAGAUUUCAUCCAUACGAGAAGAAUGUAAUCUGAAUUUCAAUUCAAAAAUGCUUAAAACACUCUUCUUAGUAGUCUUAACCAUACAUAAAUCCCAAAUACCUUAUUACUUUCAUAUUUAAGCAAUUUAGAUUUUUCUUGUAAGUUCCAAUUCUAAUCAGUGAGCUUUAACAAGCUAUAACAUCCAAUCCAACCGUCCACUUGAUAUAGAAUUUAGCAUGCAAUUGUCAAUAUAAGUCUUCUAUAUGCUCAAGAAUUUUUAGUCCAAUCCAACUUAAAAAUUAUGAGAAAACCUCCAAAAAUUGUAUUGAUGUCACUCGGCCAUCAACUUGAAAAGUGAAGUAAAAAUUCCAGCAAUGAUUUAUCCCUUUUCAAUUAUUAACUUUGUCUCAAAAUUGAUGUGUAGCUUGAUCUUCAAGUCCUUCAACAUCAUGCCAAUUUUCACCUUAAUCCAACUAAUAGAUCUUUAGAUAUCAUAGAAAUCCUACCCAACCUCAAACUGCCACCUUCCAAAAUCCUCUUGUGCUAAAAACUAGACAUCUCUAAACCACGCCGUUAGAUUAUCACAAAAUUUUGUAUACACUUAGUACACCCAAUAAUCUAAAUAGUACCAAGUUUUCAACCAUAGAUGUUACACCAAUUGCACGAAAUAGCCAAAAUUAUUAGCCCUAAUUAUAUUAUAUAAAACCCAAAUCAUUGAUACAAACCCUGACUUUGAACAACAAUUGCUAAGUCUUCCAAAACCCUCUCAAAAAAAUUCUUAUGUCUUUGAAAAGAACUUCAAGCUAGCUCUAAAAUCUUAACCUUUGAUCUUUGAAUGAUUUCCUAUUUUGCCCUAGGCCAUCAUUUUAGUAGCUAGAGGUUUGAUUUCAACCCUGUUUCACAAAUAGUCAACCCCCGGGUAUCAAUCUAACCUAUCCUAAGGUGUUUUUAGCCCAAACCUACUUUCAAAUUAACCCUAGUAUCAACUAUACUAAUUAUUACCUCUUUUAAUCUGAUUUUAUUAGUUGAUGGUCUUUCGAAGGUAAUAGAAGAGUCUCUAUAACCUAGAAGGUAAAAUUACUAACUAAGCUUCAACCUUCUAACUAUUAAGAUAAGAAAAUAACCUAAGAGGCUUUUAUAAAAGCCAUGUUUAGAUACCUCAAAUUAUAAUUGAACUAAGAUAAUUAGAUAUUAAUUAGAAAUUUAAUUUUAAUUAUAAUUUCACUAUAUAGUCGUAUUACAUCAUGACACCAUAGCUCUCUUUGCACUCUCAAUCACCAUGACGCACUCUCUUCCAAGCUCUAAUUGACAAUACUACUCUCCAAUAUUCCCGAAAUACAAGAAAUUAUAACACAAAAAAACAACAAUAGAAUGCAACACCAUAGAAUCACCAUAAAUGGGUGCCUCACUCUUAUUCUUUUAUCUAGUGAUAAUAACGAUAAUAUGUUACCCAUAUUAUCCAUUUUUUUUGCCAUCCCAUUUGACCUACAACUAAUUACAUCUCUAACUAUCCUUUCAGCCGUGUCUUUAUCCUAGUCCACAUAUACCAAUAAGUAUAGCCCUAAGAAAAAAAUUGAAAUCCGUCCCAGAUUUUAAGUAUAAUAUAGCCAUAAUUGGUCUCCAUUAAUAUGUAUAUUGAAUUGAUGGCCCAUAAAAUCUUCUAAUUGGAUUGAUCCAUUGGAUAAUCCUUUAACAACCUAAUAUGGACCAUGUUAUCGGAUUUAAAAUUUUUCUAAAAAAGUAUUAAAAUGACUAUAAUAAAGCAAGACCAAAUCAUUGGACAUAAAACUCUUAGGUUGCAGUUUACUAUUAUAAUAACUCUUUCAUUGUUUCUAGGUAGCUUCCACCGUUAAAAGUAUAAUAGUCCAAAUUUCAUCCAAUUCUUUCAAUUUCACCAACCGGUAGUACAUGGACUCUUUAUCACUCAGUCGUUCAUCAACUGCAAUCUGUAAACUAUGGACUUCUAAUUUGAUAGGUAAGAGUACUUCUUGCCAAUAAACCAAUUUGAACGGGGUGGAAUUGGUUGUCACUUUAUAUGCUAUAUGAUAUGCCUAUAAGGCUAUAAAUAAUUUGGUAUACCAAUCCGUGCUUGCCUCCAAAAUAGUCUUAGUUAAUAUCUUGUAUAAAAUAUUGUUGAUCUUUUUCGUUUGCCCAUUGGCUCUAGGAUCAUAUAGAGUUAUUUUUCUAUACUUGAUUUCAUAAAUAUCUGUCAAAGUUCUAAUUGUAGAAUUAAUGAAAUGAGUUCCUUAAUUACUAAAAAAUUCUUUAGGACAUCCAAAUCAAGUGAUAAUAUUCUUAUAUAUAAAGUGGCGACAGUGUUUGUAUUAUCAUGUCGUAUUGCAACAGCCUCUACCCAUUUGGUUACAUAGUCUGUGGCAACUAAAAUAUACCACUUUUGUCCAUAUUGCGAUGCUAGUACAAUUGGUCUAAUAAAAUCAAUUUUUUAUUUUUCAAAUAGUACUUGGGCUAAAAUUGGUACUAAUGACAUGGCAAAAGUGCGAAUUAGUUGACCAAUUCUUUAACAUGGAUCGUAGUGACAAACAUAUUAAUGUGCAUCUGAAAACAUUGUUGGCCACCAAUAUCCGACCAUUAAAGCUUUUUGAGCAAUACUAUCAUUGACAAAAUAUCCAACAUAACUAUCCAAAUGGCAACCAUCUAAUAUCGAUUGUACUUCACUUUCAAAGACACAGCAUCAUAAAAUGCCAUACUUUCCUUGCUUAUACAAAGCAUCACCAAUCAUUGUAUACAAUGCACUUUUCAAAAUUAAGUAUUUUUAAGUUUUUUGCUAAAUAUAGGUAGAAAUAUUUGAAAUAUCAAAAAUUGAAUUAUUUCACUAUACUUUGGCAAAAUCACAUCCAUAAUAAAUAAAAAAAUGUCAAAGUACAUCAGGAAUAAGUUCAUUGCAUAGGAUAUUGAACAACUGAGAUAAAUGGUCAACAUUAGUAUGGUUCUUUCCAGAUCUUACAAUAAUAGUAAAAUUAAAUUCUUAUAGUAGUAAUAUCUAUUUGGCAAUACAUCCAUUCAACUGAGGCUUAUUAAUCAUGUAUUUUAGGGUAUUAUGAUCCAUAUAAAAUACAAAUGGAUAACCUAAUAAAUAAUGCCGAAGUUUUUGAACCGAAUAUAUUAUGUCCAAAGCUUCUCAUUCAGUAGUAGUAUAAUUUUGUUUGACAACCACCAAUUGUAGACUAGCAUAAUAUAUUAGAUGAUCCAUUUUUUUUUCAUCCUUCUAACUUAACACAAAUCCAAUAGCAACAUUGGAUGCAUCAAUAUACAUAUAAAAUAGCUUUGUCCAACAAGGUGCCACUAAUACUAGGACAGAUACCAAUUUUUGUUUCAAUUCUUCAAAUGCCAUUGUACAGUCCUUGGUCCAAAUUGGACUGAUCCCAUCCGAUAGAGGUUUCUUUAAAAGAUUAGUUAGAAGUUGAUAAAGGACUGUAAACGAAUGAAUAAAUUGUUGAUAAUAAUUGAUAUGGCCGAAAAAAUUACAAACACCCAACAUUGUCUCUAGUCUUAGCAAGUUCAUUAUGUGUUGAACUUUAUGUGGAUCAGUGGAAAUACCAUGUCUAAAGACUAUGUGUUCUAAGAAUUUUUCAGACGAAAUACCAAAUUGGCAUUUAUCAAAGUUCCAUGAUAUCCUGUAUGUAGCACAUUGAUCCAAAUAUUUGUCUAGGCAUUUCAAAUGAUCCUCUUUUAUAUUAAAAGUACAAAAGUCAUCUAAAAAUAUUUUCAUAAAUAUUUGUAAAUAAUCUUGAAAUGCUUGAGUCAUCAUCCACUGAAACAUAGUUGGAAUAUUACAUAAAUCAAAUGCCAUAAUGCAAUAAGCAAAUGUUUUCCAAUCUAUAGUAAAAGUAGUCUUUAGCUGAUCUUCUUUUACAAUUUUAACUUGAUUAAAAUCAAAAAAUCCAUCUAGAAAAGAAUAACAUUCAUGCCCUACUACAGCAUCUAAUAUACUAUUUGUAAAAGGUAAUAGAAAGUAAUCUUUUUUGGUAGCCACAUUUAGUUUUUGGAAGUCCUGGCAAAUUUUGAUUUGUCAUUUUUCUUUGGCACCAUCACGAUUGAAAAAAUCCACUCACUAUUUGAUACCAGAUAAAUAAAACCAACCUUAAUAAGCUUAUUUAAUUAUUCCUUCACUAUUAAGAAAUAUUUUGGAUUAAGUUGAUGUUGUCUCUGAUGGACAAGUUUAGCAUUUUCUUCCAAAAUAAUUUGAUGCUUGCAGACUUUCGUAGGAAUACCUUUCAAAUCAGCAUAAGUCCAAGCAAAAGUGGAUUUAUGAUAAAUGAAAAAUUCUUUCCAACAUGUCAAUUCCUGAUCUUGAAUACCUUUGUAAAUUUUAAUUGUCUGAGGUUUUUAUUUGUUGCCAAGUUAAUAAUUGGAUAUAAAGAUUCAGAUGCCUUUUUUUUGUUUCAACUCCCUUGCUAGUUCUAGUCCAUUCUUGGAGUUUGACAUAAUAAAGGUACUCAAUUUUGAUUCCAGUGCAGUGAUUUGAUGUACAUUAUGUUUGAUCAUCGAAUCUGUAAUAACAUGAUCAAAAUUUUCCAUAUGUAGUGGAUAUAUCAAAUAUUCUCCAAGUCUUCCACAUUGAUACAUUAUCCCAUGGUGCUUAGCUAUUUCAAAGGAUGUUCCUUCUUUUGAUACGAUGACAUCUUUAUCAGAACUGAGGUCAUCGUCUGAUGUCAAUUCAGAUGCUGACAUUUGAGAUUCUUGAUGAUAGUGUACCAAGUACAUUUGUAACACCAUCUUGUCGCCGUCUUUUUUGAUCUUCAAAGUGCCAUGAUUCGAAUUAUACUUGGCUUUUUCUUGAUAAAGCCAUGGUUAUUUCAAUAAAUUGGAUAUGAUAAAGUUGAACGUUGUAACCAAAAAAUGAUAUGGUCUAUUUUGUAUUCAAUACUGGUAGUUAUAAUUUGAAUAUUUUACAAGAUAUUCAUGGAUUUAACGUGGCUAUGAUCUGCCAUCUGUAAUACCAAUAUUGUAGGUAUGAAAUGUGCUAAGUUCAAAGCAUCUUUUGUAUGUGCAUUCAUUAAAUUGACGUUGGAGCCACCACCCACUUAGACUCUAGAAAUCAUAAUACUGUCUAUCAAUAUGUCGAUAGUUGGUGCACUUGGAUCAGGGUUCAAAUUGACCUCAUGAACUUCUUUACUGCAUUGCCUAUACCAUAUUAACGAUGAAUUCAAUACAGAACAAUACUCCAAUGCUACUGCUAGAAGUUGCUUCAUUGAAAUAGAAGACUAAAUAGCAUCCAAAUCUUUUAGAAUGUCAUAAGGCUCUAUGUUUAAAGAAAUUUCUAAUGUCCACUUUCUUUUCAUUUGUUUCAGCUUUAUGCCUUGAGGUAAUAUAGUUUUCUUUCUUGGAUUUAGAAUUGAAACAAUUGAAAGAGCUUUCGUAAAAUGUUUGUCCAUUAGAAGAUCUUUUAAUGGAUAAGAUGUCUCUUGGAAUUAUACAAAGGAUGAAACUGGUUUAGACUGAGUCAAGACCUUGAUGAUUGGGACCUCAUUGGGUUGCGUAGGCAGACCAGGUCUCAUCAUUGAUAAGAUGUCUAUUAUAGGAACUACAUUUGACGUCUCCAUAAUUGGGUUGAAUCGAUUCUUUGCAACUAGUUCACCCAAGUGUUGAAUUGGUUUUUUGUCCUUUUGCUGGCUCCUAGUAAGUACUAUUUAGAUACAUUCCACCUAAUUUAUUGGAAAAUCUUAGAGACCUCAAUUAUUAUCUUCAAUCUUAUUUUUUAGUUAGAUUUACUGAUCAUGGUUAUUGAAAUUGAACGGAGCAUUAUAGUGCUGAUAUGUAUGCCCCGAUUGCUUAUAAUUUCCACAAACUAGAGCAUAGUCAUCACUGGCUCAAAGAUUAAGAUAUUCACUAGCUUAAUGAUUAAUUUGCCUAUAAUGGUAACAACAAAGUGGUCUUCUUCCACUUCCAUCAAGCAUAUUGGGUGUCUCUAUUGAUAUAUACUGAUUGGACUUGUUCCAAGUUGAAUUGGUAAAUGAUCCCGAUUGUCCCAUUAGUAUAGAAAAAACUGGAAUCGAUUGCGGUGAUAGAAAAUAUUAUUGAUAUCCUGGCUAUUCCUUUACAUAAUUAUGGAAGUUUGAUGUAGAACUCGAAUUAUAAUUUGGACCUUUAAAGUUAUUAAAGGCUCAAUUUUUUCUAUUUGAAUAAGUCAUGUUCCAUCCAAAUGUAUUUUUUGUUUGAACUUGAUUGACAUUCCAGUGAGUGGGUGGGAUCAUGAUCUGAUUACCAAACUAUUGUUAUUUUUUCCAAUUCAAAUAAUUAACUACCAAAUGCUUUCCUCAUUGUAACAUAGAAUGUACAUUGCACCAUCAUUUGUGGAAGAGAGGGGCAUUCUGUCACCAAAUGACCUUGGCCCUUAUAAUUACUGCACCAUACAUUGGGCCUAGUAUUGGUAGGUUUUUGCUUCUUUACUUUAUCCUUUGUCAUAUUGACUGCCAUUUUCUCUAUUUUUUUAGUCAAAUUUAAUAACAAGGUUUCAUUAAAAUCCUUCGCAGCUGAUACUAUUGACAACUUUAUCUUAGUCAACGAUUGUUGCUGAUAAAAGAAGUAUGGAGAUUACAAUGUUGCCAUGCUUGGUGGUAUAGCUUGCAAUCGUAUCGUAUUUUAAUAUGACUAUAUGAUGAAAGAUAAUAAUAUGGAUCUUAUUAUAAAAGAAUCAAGUUAAAAGAUAAAGUAAAAAAAAAUAUGGAUAAAAGAUAGGAAGGUACUAAAACUUUUAGUAGUAAUGCUGUUCUUUUAGAAAAAUAGCUUCUAUUUACUUUGUAGGACCAAAAAUAAGGCAAAAUAAGGUAGAUAGGAAAAAUAAAUGAUAUAGAUAUCUUUAGGAGGAAGUUAAGAGUAAAUUUUGGCAAAAAUUAUCUAAAAAAAUUAGAUAUUGAUACUCGAGGAAGGCCAGUUAUCAACUUGGAUCAAAAUCAGAUCCUAAGGCACAAAACCGAGUCUUGAUGACAAAUCGAGGACAUUUUUGCAAAUCAAAGAGUGGAGUUAGAAAAUAGACUUAAUAAGGUUUCAAUUAACAUUGAUUUUGGGCGAUUUGGAUUUGUAUUGACUUUGUAAGAGCUUUACAAAGUCAAGGUUUGUUUCAGAUGACUUGGAUUUUAUGAAAUAAAAUAGGUUUUAUAUUUUGGAUGAUUUCAAGAGUUUUGUAACAGAUCUACAGGUGAAAUUUUGUGGGUUAAUGGUCAUUGAAAAAGAUGGCCAACCAAUACCUGAGCACAUUUUUGAGGUAAUUGUCUAUUUGGUAAUUUCAAUCUUUUUCAAAAAUUUUAUGCUUAUUUUCAACUUAAUUUUUAAGAAAUAUGCAAAAUUCGAUUUAAGAUCAAUGGUUCAUUCAUUAGUUAUUUAGGUUUAAAUCUAUUGUAGAAAUUACUAAGGUUUGGUUAGGAUCUGAUUUAGGAUUAGGAUUUGGUUAGGGUUUGAUUUAGAGUUAGGAUUUAGUUAGGAUUUGAUUUAGAGUUUAGGAUUAGAAUUAAGAUUUGGUUAGGAUUUGAUUUAGGGUUAGGAUUUGGUUAGGAUUUAAUUUAGGAUUGGUUAGGAUUUGAUUAAGUUUUUAUUAGGAUUUGAUUAUAGAUUAGGAUUUGAUUUAGGAUUUAGGAUUUGGUUAGGUUUUGAUUUAGGAUUAGUAUUUGGUUUAGGAUUUAGGAUUUUGUUUAGGAUUUAAGGUUUGAUUAGGAUUUGAUAGGAUUUGAUUUAAGAUUUAGGAUUUUAUUUGAAUUUAUUUAGAAAUUAAGAUUUAGUUAGUUUUUGGCCUAAAGUUGAAUGAAGUCCAAUAAGAUUUCAACUAGGAUUAAAUUAAGAUUGAAUUGAAAUGUAUUUGAGAUAUGUUUGUAAUCAUUCUAAUAUUUUUUUAAGAUUUCUUAUUGUUUCUUUGGAAUGCCUUUGAGGUUUCUCUGAAUUUGAUUAAAGCUUAUUUAACAUUAUUAUUUUUCUAUUAGAAUUAGGAUUUUGUUGUUGAAAUUUCCAUUCUACCUUCUACAACCAGGUGCCUGGAGCAUUCUCAAGUAAGACUUCACAUAUUAUGACAACAGGGUGACAUAAUCUAUUCUUUGUAUAUUGGCACUUGAAUUGGCUCAUGUAUCAAACAUUCUUGAAUAACUAAUCACUACUCCUUUCCAUACUAAGAUUUGAUAACCUCCUUGAACUGGAAUCAUAGUAGCGCCAAUAAUUAAAAAUUGAUCAUAAUGGCAUUUCUCUCAAACCUUGGUUCAAUUAAGAAAUGUAGUUACUAUAUUUGGUUGAGCUUUUUUUAUAAAUAUUUUUAGUUUGGGUAGGUGUAAUCCGUUGUUUAAUAUAGAUAAUACAAAAGCCUUUGACAUUUGAUAAUUUGGCCACUCGCGGAGUAUAUCUACUACAUGGCCAUAGUACGAUUCCACUACCUCUUGAAGACUCAUUUUGCUAUUCAUUGAUCUUUUUAGAAGUCGAUCUUCAAAAUCCAUUGGACAAAAAUGGAUUAAAAAUAUAUUUUUUAAUGCUUUCCAAUUAAGAAAUUGAUCAACGAUUUAGCAGUUAUACCAUUCAAACAUCAUAUCUUUUAAGGUCAUUGAUAGCCAUUGCAACCAAAUAUCUUUAGUUUUGCCAUUAUUGGCUAUACAUGCGGUCAAGAAUUGAGACAAGUGUUGAUCUAGAUCUACACCUAAAAAGCCCUUAAAAGUACAUAAUAGAGCCAUGCUAGUUGUACAAUUAUCUACGUCACCCAUUUGAACUACUAUUCGAAUUGUUAGACCACUUGUUGUCAUUAAAGAGGAUAAUGUGCUACUUACUCUCUUAUUAAAAUUACCACUGUCUUUCCCAAUUAUCUUUUUCAAACUUUCCAACCUCUUCAUUUUUCUAUUAUUAUUCUUGAAUAAAUUAAUUGGUUGAAUUAGAGGUAAAAAUGGUAGAUUUUGAAAUAUGCUAAAUUGGCCCUUAUUGACAAGCAAUUUAUGCUAUUCUAUAGAACCAAUUUUAAUAGAAUUGAUAGUUUUUGCUAUUGAAAAGAUACUCAAUGGAGUACCUAAUUCUUUUAUAUUUCUUCCACUUAUAGUUAAUGAGCUCAAGAAAUAUGUUGGACUAUUGAUAAAAUUUUCCACAAGUUCUCUUGGCAAUUUUCUUAACAGUAUAUAUGUCUAAAAUAUUAGAGGUCGGUCAACUUUUAGAUAUCCUUGGAUAUGCCAACAGGCAUCCAACCAUGGCUUAAUCCAACUUUAUUGAUGCUUUCUUUUUAAUUUGCGUUCUUGCUCAUUUUGCAAUAAUUUUCUUGUUUGCACUCUCUCUUGUCUUUCUUUUGACUAACAUAUUUUCUUAAUUCUAAUAUUUUUAUUCUUAAUAAUUAUAAUCUUUUAUUAUAUACUGCUGAAUUUGCUUCCUAUCUCCCAUCUAACUACACAAUUCUCUUCACUUUUGAACCAAUUUCAAUUUUAUAACCUCUUUGGCCAACAUCCAAAACUACUCGUUCAGCCAUUAAUUCCUAAUACUCAAUACUAUUGUCGUUUCCUAGCAACGACGCCAAAAUAUAGUUAUCGUUUUACUUAUUCUAUAAAUUCUUUUUAAAAUAAAUCCAUAGAAGAGGUUUCGAAUACAGGAAAAGACUAUUGCAUGAGCUUACAUAUUAGGAUCACACAAUUAACCAUAAUCCGAACUAUUAAAACACCAAAAAAUACUAUAAUACUUUUUCUCAGUAAUAAUACUCCUUCAUCAAUUGAUAACAAUAAUGUGCAACCUUGUACUCUCAAAAGACCACUCAAAUCACAUAAAUUCCAUAUAACUUCACAAAUAAUAGACUUCACUCCAAUCAAUCUGAAUUCACACAAUUUUUGUAAUUACAGACUUACUCUGUUGAAACACACAUAACUCUCAAUAAACAACAAUCAUAAUCUUCUAUCUAUAAUCAAUCUUCCAAUAACUUUUCAUAUAAUUCAAUUACACAGUACUCCAAUUAUAUAAUCAAUAACUCAUAAAUCAAUCUCUGAUUUAUUCUACAAAUUCACUUCUCAGUAUUCAGAAACUAUCUAUUACUCUUCAACAACAAAGAAACAAAGAGGUAGCACCAAGCUUAUCCCGGUUCAUGACUAUCACAAUCUAGCCCUUACAAUAUCUUCUUCAACUUAUGCUUUAUUUCUGAAAUUCCAGAGUCUAACCGUUAUUCUCUACUUAACUAUUUUUUACAACUAAUUCAAUCACCCGUCCUACUUAAUUGACUAUUCUAGGAAUAAUUAAUCUACUUAAACAUUUUUUACAACUAAUUCAAUCACCCAUCCUACUAAAUUGACUAUCCUAAGAAUAAUUAAUCUACUUUAUCAAUAUCUUAUAAAAAAAAAUUUCUAUCCCUUCUAUAGAAAUUCUAAAAAAUAUAAAAAUAAUAACAAUAGAUCUUAAAUAAAUCUUAACUAAGUUCUAUUUUAAUCUUAGUUGAAAUCUAAUAGGCUUUAAUCAAAUCUUAAAUAAAUCCUAAAUCCUAAAUAAAACCAUAAUUAAAUUUUAAAUCCAAAACCAAAUCCUAAAUCCUAAAUCAAAUCCUAACCAAAUCCUACAUCCUAAAUCAAAUCCUUAAUCUUAAAUCAAAUCCUAACUAAAUCUUAAAUCUUAAAUCAAAUGUGAAACAUCAAAUUUUCUCACUUAUUAUUUUAGAAUAAAAUAUGUAUUUAUAAUACUUUAAAUUACAAUAUAUAGUGAAUAGUGUAGAAAUCCUUAAAAAAGUAGAAAAUUAGAAUGUUAGUGGUGGAAACAGAGUCUUAGUAAGUCUUGGAGGUAAUUAUCCUUGUUGAUUUAGUAUUUUUAUUUUAUUGUUGAAUAUUAAGGAUUAUUUAUUAAGGCCAAUAUUUAUAUUAGUCUCCUAUCUAUAUGUACUACUUAUAAAAACUAUAAAUAUUAGUAGUUACAAGAAACAUGAGAUGAACCUCAUGUCAUUUUAGUUAUUGAUGUAAGAAAUAAGAUUUAUAGUGGAUUUAAAUUUAUUUUUAUUAUUAUAAAAAAUCAUCAAGAUAGGAAAAUAUAUCCUUAAAUGGAUUUUAGUAUUAUAGAAAUAUUAUAAAAUUUAUUUAGAAUUUAUUUAGAAUUAUUUAGGAUUUUUUAGAGUAAUUUUAAAGAACUUGGUAAAAAUAAAUUUUACCACUUUGGGAGCCUUUAUGAAGUAAUGGAGCAAGAUUUGAAAGCCACAUAAGUUUUAUAGGGUAAUUGGGUUUCUUUGAACACCAUGGUAAGGUCAAAAUUACAAAAAUGUUGGUCCUUCUAUUAGAAAAUAUGAAGACCAACAGUUUGUGUAGUCCUUGUAUGAAUGGGAGUACACAAGUCCCAUAUGGGUUAUAGCACCUUGAAGGUAGUUAGGAGGAUAAGACUAAGGCCUAGUGGCAUCUCUUAGACAUCUUUAUAUACUACAUGUAAGCGUUGGUGAGGUUCGAAUCUUUGAUCUAUAAGCAAGUUAUUUUUGAAGUAAAAUAUUUUCACUUCACUUUUCAAUUAUUUACUUCAUAUCUUUAAAACUUUAUAACUUACUCAUAUUAAUUCGGAUUUACAUGUUUUUUAUGUCAUUGGAAAGAUGAUAAAAUAAAAUAUUUAAAAAUAUAAUUUUUACUUUUCACUUUUAUUUUAUUAGAUGAAAAAAGAGUAAACAGAUUGUGACUUGGUUUUGGAUGUUGUAAUUACUUCAUAUCAUCAAUUUCAAUUGCUUUGAGAUUGUUCUACUUUUAUUCUUAUUAUUUGCUUACUUCACUUUACAUCACCAAUUACAAGCAACUCUUAAUUGAAGUCACCUUAUAACUUAGGUUGAGGAGUGAAAAUUUAUAUUCAUACUAAAUCCUAAACUAAACCUUAGAUAAUUUUUAAUAAAUUCUUAAAUCCUAAAUAAAAUCCUAACCAAACCUGAACUCUAAAUCAAAUUCUAAUCAUUCCUAAAUCCUAAAUCAAAUUCUAUACAAAUCCUAAUUAAAUCCUAAAUCCUAAAUCAAACCCUAGCCAAAUCCUAAUCAAAAUCUAAAUCCUAAACUAAAUCCUAAGAUAGUUUUGAACCUCAAUAUCUUUUGAUUAAAUUGUUGAUAUUAUUUAAAAUUUUACAUACCUCUUAAUUUCUUAGUUACAAAUAAGUGUAAUAAAUUUGAAGACAAUUACACUUACCAAAUAGAAGAAAAAUCCUAAAAUUUGCUCAAAUGUUGGCCAGCCUUCUUCUCCAACCUUAAUGCUGAUCUACAAGUAUUAAUAUCUCCUCUUUACAUUAUUAAAUUGAUCUCAAAUUUCUUAGAUAUAUAUAAAAAUAAUUCUACUAUCGACAUAUGUAACUUAUACUUCAAUCUAAUUAAUAGAUUACAAGAAAUCUUAGAAAUCUUUAUUGAACCUAAAAUUCUACUUUCUAAGAUCCUGAUCCAUUGAAACCUCAAUAAUCCUCAAUUUAAUUGUUAGAUCAAGUUAAAAUUCUUAACACAUACUAAGUACAACUAUAACCAUUGAUCUAUAAAAUUUCACUUGUAGAUUUGUUACAAAAUUCCUAAAACUGCCCAAAAUGUCAAUCCUCUUUUAUUUUACAAAAAUCCAAGUCAUCCAAAACAAUCUUGACUUUACAAGGCUCUUAUAGAGUCAUUACAAAUUCAAAUCAUACAAAAUCAAUGCUUAUAAAAACUCUAUCAAGUUUGCUAUCAAAUCCCACUCUUCAAUCUCUAAAAGAAUCCUAGAGUCGCCAUAGGUGUAUAGUUUUGUGCCCUGGGAUUUGAUUUCGACCUAGGUUGAUAGUGGAUCCUCUCUGGAUAUCAAUUCUUGGCUUUUUGAGGUAAAUUUUUCUAAAAUCUACUCUUAAAUCCUUCUUACAUAUGUCUAUAUCAUUUAAUUUUCUAAUUUACUUUAUUUUAUAAUAUUUAUAGCCCUAUAAAAUAAAUAGAAGCUUAUUUUGUAAAAAUUAAUAUUAGUACUUUUUAGUUUUAUUACCCUUUUGACUAUUAUUUAUAUUUUUAAGAUAAUUUUUUUGAAUUAAGAUCUUUUAUAAUGUAAUAAUUUUUACAUUCUUUUAUCCAUUAAUUGUGUUUGAUUUCAGGACUUCUUGAUUAAUUCAAUCAACCAAAGAUCUAUACAAAAAUAAAUCUAGGAAGAGCAUACAACUUGGUUUGCAUCUAAGAAAAAGAUGAAUAAAAGACGUUAUUCUAAACUAAGUUUGGAUAUUUCAAAAACAAUGUCAUGCUUUUUAGAUUCAUAAAUGAAUCAAUAUUUUUUCAAUAUCUCAUGAAUGAUAUUUUUUGUAAAUUUCUUGAUGAUUUUAUUGUUUGCUAUUUAGAAAAUAUUCUAAUAUAUUAUAAGAAUAUAAAAAAAUAUAAACUUCAUGUUUAUUUUGUGUAAAGAAAAUUUAGAGAUACAAGAUUAUAUGCUAAGAUAGAAAAGUAUAUUUUCUACUUUAUUCGAAUUGACUUCUUAGAAUAUAUUAUUUCCAAAGACGGACUAAUGAUGGAUCCAAAGAAAAUCUAGAUUAUCAUAGAUUUGAAGAUUCUAAGAACAGUAAAAGAUGUGCAAUAUCUUUUAAGCUUUGCUAAUUAUUAUUAGAUCUUCAUUAAAAACUUUUUUAUUAUUAAUUCCUUCUUAUACAUACCUAUAUCAUUUAAUUUUCUAAUUUAUUUUAUUUUACCUUAUUUAUGGUCCUACAAAAUAAAUAGAAGCCUAUUUUGUAAAAAGAAAUAUUAGUAUUUUUUAAUUUUACUAUUCUUUUGACUAUUAUCUAUAUUUCUAAGAUAAUUUUCUAUAAUAUUUUGAACUAAGAUCCUUUAUAGUAUAAGAAUUUCUACAAUCUUUCACUUAUUAGUUGUACUGCAUCACAAUAAGAAGAGGUAUUGUAUUGAGUAUAAGAUAAUCGCUUCUAUUGCAAGCAAUCAAAAUAUGAACUUUGGAAGUCAAAAGUCACCUUUUUGAGGCAUGUGGUGUCUUCCAAAGGCAUGUGUAUCGAGUAAGAUAAGGUGAAAGUAAUGGAGGACUAGCCAAAUUCCAAAGAUACUUUUGAAGUUUGCUUGUUUUUAGGCCUUAUUGGAUACUAUUGCCAUUUUAUUUAGCAAUUUGCUUAUAUUGCUAUCUCAUUGAUAAACCUAUUGGAAAAGGGUGCCUUAAUUCAAUGGAAAUUGGAGUAACAAAAUACCUUUGAUAAGUUAAAAGAUGUACUCAUUAUUGCUCCAAUAUUCCAACCAUAUGAUCCUAAUUUCCUUUGUACGCUUGACAUUAAUGCUUCCAAUUUUGCUAUUGGAGCUGUCCUUCAAAAAGAUUUUAGUAGGGACCUUUAAUCUAUAGUAUAUAAAUUAUGUAAGCUUAGAAUACAAAGCACAACUACUAUGCACUUGAUUUAGACCAAUUAGCAAUUAUACAUGCUACAAAGGUGAGGCGAUAUUAUCUAUUAAAGAAUCCAAUGGUUGUUUGGAGUGACCAUUGACUCUUACUAUAUGAUUUGUAUAUGAAAAUAUGAAAUUACCGUAUCAUCGUUGGAAAGAACAAUUGUAAUUUUUUGAUAUUCAGCUUGAAUACAAGUAAGGAUAAAAACAUACUACAUCAAACAGUUUAUUACGGAGACCAAACUUGAAAGACAAAUCAGAAGAUAAGGCAGAAGUUGCUACUAUUAGUAGUAUCAUUUCACAUCUAACCAAAAAGAUAGAAUGGAAGAAAGUUAUACAAUGGAGUGCUUAUUUCAAGAUAGUUAGCAAUCGACUAAAGAUAGACAAUAUAUAAUAACAAGAUUAUACUCUUAGUAAUGGCUCACUCUAUUUCAAGAAGCAAAUUUAUAUACCUAAUAAUACUAAACUCUAGAUGGCAUACUUCAAGAGAGACAUGACAAUCCAAUAUUUGGACAUCUGAGAUAAGAAGAGACUCUAGAACAGAUCUCAAGGACAUGGUUUUGGGCAAGUUUGGAUUAUGAUGUUUGAGCCUUUGUAUGCUCCUGCAAAUCAUGUCAACAUAAUAAAGCAUGCAACAUAGUGUUUCUUGGACUAUUGUUGCCAAUUCCACUACUUACAACAGGUUAAAAGCAAGUGACUAUGGAUCUCAUUAUGUGUUUGCUAAAGAUGCUUCAUAACCAUACUGCAAUUGCUAUCUUUGUGGGUCAACUCUCAAAGCUACUUUACUUGGCUACGAUGUACUUGGAUAUUGAUGUCUCAAUGCUUGCAUGAAUCUUCUUUGAUAUCAUCUUUUGAUACUAUGGAUUACCUUGUGUCAUUGUUUUAGAUCGAGAUCCACGCUUCAUGAAAAAAUUUUGGCAAGAUUUGUUUAAACUAUUAAAUACACGACUUGUAAUAUUUACAAUCUUCUAUUCUUAAAUAAAUGGACAAAUAGAGUAUGCAAAUCAAACUUUGGAGAAUAUGCUACGGAUAUUUAUAGUGAUUUAUCAUAAUGAUUGGAAUGAAUACUUGAUACCUUUGGAGUUUACUUACAAUGAUAGUAUUUAAGCAAGUACCAAUCAUUCACAAUUAUUUUUGAAUAAUAGUCAGGAUUCCAUUACGCCAAUAAUUUUUUAUCAUUCCAUUGACAUCCAUAAUCCAAGAAUAGAGGAAUUUAUCCAAUAGCUUACAAUGGCCUUACAAGAGGCAUGGCAUUGCUUCUUUACUGCACAAAAUCAAAAAAAGUAAUAUGUGGAUUACCAUUGGCAAUACAAGACCUUUUGAGAAGGUAAUUAGGUGUUACUUUCCAAUGCCAACUUGUCACUUACUACAUCAACCCAAAUCCUUAAACUAACACCUCGAUGGCCUAGACCUUUUUUCUAUUUUCACAGUGAUUUUUAAUAUUGCAUAUUUCUUUGAGCUUCCGCCACAUAUUCAAGUCUAUCUAAUCUUCUAUGUUUUGCAACUGAAGGAAUUUCAUACUGAGCCAAAGCACUUUUUGAAUCGACAUCAACCACCACCACUACUAGUUGUAGUUGAUGUUCAAUAAGAAUAUGAAGUAGAUAGUAUUUUGGAACAUUGCUAUCUUUGUCAUGGCAGUGGACUUCUACAACUAUACUACAAAGUUCUUUAGAAAGGUUAUUCUAUUCAUGAUGCAAUGUAAAAACCUGCACAAAAUCUCACCAUUACCAAGAGACAAUUAUAAGACACCAUUGAGAACAAAAUAAGGAGGAGGAUUCACUAUAACAAGGUAUGGAUAAGUUAAUUAUAAACAUAGAUAGAACCAUGGAAGUUUUUAGAAUUGGAGUUAAGUUAGUGGACCAUAUAGGAUCUAUUAUGGAACAUUCUAGAAAGAAUUUAGGGUGGUUAUUUAAAUGAGAUCUAUCAUGGAACCUUCUAAAAAAAAAUUUAAGAUAGUUCUCUAGAUAGGGUCCACUACUUAAGAACAUUUUAGAAAGUUGAAGGUUGUAGGAUAAGAUAUAAAUAGAAUUAACCAAGGAAUUUUGGGGCAUUUCGUCAUAUAUGGCUUCAAAUCCUCUCUCUUAGUGUGAAUCCCACAAAUUGAUCAAAAUUGGUGGAUUAAUUAAAAACAUAAUUAAGUCAUUCAAUUAUAUAAAUUUUAAGAUUAAAAAGUCUUUUUAACUUUUCAAGUAUUUAUUAUAAUUUAUAAGUAUUUAUAAGUUGUAAACAUCUUAUUAAAAGAAAAGUUAUGAAAAUAGAGUCUUAAUAAGUCUUGGAGGCAAUUAUCUUAGUUAGUUUAGUACUUUUUUUAUUAUUAAAUAUUAAGAAUUAAUUAUUGAGACCAAUGUCUUUAUUGGCUUCCUAUCUACAUUUAUUACUUAUAUAAUCCUAUCAAUGAUUAGUUGGUAGUUAGAAGAAACAUAAAAAAGAACUUCAUGUCUUUUUAAUUAAUUAUAUAAAAAAUAGAAUUUUUGGUAGAUUUAAAUUAAUUUUAUUACUAUAAAAAAUCACCAAGAUAGAAAAAUAUAGUUUAAUAUGGAUAUUAGCAUUAUAAAAAUAUUAUAAGAUUUUUUAGAAUUUAUUUAGAAUUUAUUUAGGAUUUUUUAUGAAUUUUUAGAGAAAAUUUCAUGACCUUGGUAAAAUUGAGUUUUACCACCUUGAGAGCCAUUAUGAAGAAAUGAAGUAAGAUUUGAAGAAUAUACAAGUUUUUGAGACUAAUUGAGUAUUUUUAAACACCAUGGUGAAGUCAAAAAUACAAGAAAAGUAGUUUUACUAGUAGAAAAUAGAAAGACCAGCAACUAGUGUAGUCCUUGUAGGAAGAAAGGUGCACAAUUCUCAUAUGGAUUGUAGCUCCUUGGAUAUAGGUAGGAAGAUAAGACUAAGGCCUUAAGGCCUCUUUAAACAACCAAUAUAUAUUACUUGUGAGCCUUGGUGAGGCUCGAAUUCUUGAUUUCUUAAGAAAGUUAUCUUUGAGAUAAAAAUUAUUCACUUAUUUUUUUUAUUAUUUACAUUCUAUCUUUAAUCUAUCAUAAAUUACUCAUAAUAAUUUGAAAUUAUAUGAUUUUUAUAUUCUUAGAAAGAUAAAAAAAAUUACCUAUCUAAAAGCAUAAUUUUUAUUUUUUACUUUUAUUUUUUUUGGAUAAAAAUAUAAUGAAUAAAUUGUGAUUUAAUUUUGGAUGUUGUGAUUACUUGAUUUCAUUUCUUUCACUUGUAUUUUGGUUAUUUCUCUUGAUUUUUGGCAAUUUCUUACUUCACUUUAUAACACCAAUUACAAAAAACUCUUAAUUGAGGCCAUCUUGUAAUUGGAAUUGAGGAGUAAAAUUUAUACAUACACUUAGUAAAGUUUGGUUUUGCAUCAUUUUAUUCAGUUUUGUUUUGUUAUAUUUCUAUUUACUUAAUUUUUCUUUUAUGUCCUAUUCUAUUUAAUUUUAUUCAAUUAUUUUUGAUCUAUUUUAUCUUAUUUUAUGAUGAGAUUUUAUAUUGCUAUAGAAUAGAAAGAUCUUGGAUUUUUGAAAUAGUCUAGUCUUGCAUCUAUAACUAGGUAUUACUCUUCAAUGCCAACUUUUUACUUGUUAUACUAAUCCAAGUCCAUAAGCUAACACCUUAGUAGCUUGAACCUUUUUACAUUUAUGCAGUGAUUUUUAAUAUUGAGUAUUGCAUCAAACUUCUACCAUAUAUUUGAGUCCAUUCAAUCUUCCAUAUUUUGUAGCUUAAGGAGUUUCAUAUUAAACCAAGGUGCUUCUCAGACCAACAUCAAUAACCACCACUACUGAUUAUGAUUGAUGAGCAAUAAUAGCCUAAAAUAGAUAACAUUUUAGAGCAUUGCUACUUUCAUCAUGGAAAUGGACAUCCGCAACUUCAAUAUAAGGUCCUUUGAAAAGGCUAUUUCAUAUAUGAUGCAAUGUGAGAACUUGUACAAAAUCUCAUCUAUUAUAAAGGAACAUUUUGGAAGUACUAAUAAGAGCAAAACAACGACAUUCCGCAUUAGUAGAAAGAGAUUAAUUGUAGGAGGGCAUGGAUAAGAUAAUUAUAUUAUUGACGCAUAGAAAUAGGUAAUUAGAGCCGUUUUUGAAAAGUUUCUAGAAGUUUUAAGAAUUGAGGCUAGACUAGUAUCAUGGACAUACACAUGUAAGUCAAUAAUUACAUAUGUAAAUAUAUAGAAGUAAAUAAAAGUAGAUAAAAAUAAGUUAAUUCUAAAGUAUUUGGUCUCAAAGCUUCCUAGAAGCUUCAUAGAUACUACUUUGACUUUAUAGGUAUCUUUAAUUGACUUUUUGGAUUAGAAACAUAGUCAACAAGUUGGCCAUGUGCCACACAUAUUGUUAGCUUGAAGACUAAGCUAAUUAUGUGGCCUACAUGUAGAAAAACUUACCUUGUAAGUCAAGGCAUGUGUCCUACAAAGUCAAUACAUAUUAGAGGUCCUAUAGAACAUUGCCACAUAGCCCUUAGUUAGAUAAUAUAUAUAGAGACAAGAGUGAAGCCCUCUUCACUCUUGUCAACUCCUUUCUUACUUCCAGUCUAGUUUCAAGGUUUUUUAAUUUUCUUGGCUUUUAGCAAUAGCCAUUCCAGUUUCUUUCUUAAUAUAUAUAUCAAGUUAUUUCUAUUUUUUCAUCUUUCUAUGAUAGAAGUCUGACUUGUUUAUUUAUCUUUAUCAUAUUCUUGUCUUUGACAGAUUGACAAGAGUACACUAACAAUAUCAGAGCUUUGUCUAAUCUUGAUUAAGAGUGAAUUACUUCUUUUUCUUGACAAGACAUAAGCAUAUAAGAAGUUGCGGAUUACCCUCUUCUAAACUGAAAUUGUCCUUAGUAUUUUAUUUGUUCUCAAGUCCUCUCUUCUAUUUGCCUUGAGCGAUAUUAGACAUCUUCUCUUUUUUAAGUAUUAUCAUGACAGAACUUGCUGAAAUAAAGAGUUCAUUGGUACAAAUGCAAGAGCAAUUCAGGCAGUUAAUGCUUACGAUGCAUCAACUCAAUUUACCACCACAAGAAGCAACAAGAUUGGCAAGAAGUGAAGAUAUAGAAAUAAUUGGAGCUGCUUCAACAUCUGCACCAAAUUAUGUCCCUCAUCCUAUGGUGGAACGCAUUUCCAAUGUUAGAGAACCAAGAAUUACCCUAUCUGAGAAGUUUGAUGGCACCAGAUCAAAGUUUAGAGGAUUUAUCAAUCAAGUACAACUUGUGAUUGAACUUCAACCCCAAAGCUAUCUAACUCCAGGAUCGUAAGUUAGAUUCAUUGAUAUGCUUCUUUCAGGUUUAGCAUUAUCAUGGUUUUCAUCUUUUCUUGAACGAAAAGAUCCAAUAUUGGAUAAUCUAGAGACUUUUUUGGCAGAGUUUCGAUCCAUAUAUAGAGAACAUAAUGCAAUUCAUAUUACAACCAAUAAGAUCCAUAUUUUACGACAAGGCAAUUGAUCAGUAAUGAUGUAUGCUUCACAAUUUUGACAACUUGCAACUGAUAUCAAGUGGGAUAAUGCUGCAUGUAUUAGCUAAUUUCUCUACGAAUUACAAUAUGAGGUAAAAAAAUUAAUGCUCAACUUACCUGAUUCUCAAACAUUGAGUCAAGCAAUUGACUUUGCUGUGAAGUAUAACAAUCACCUUUUUGAAUUUUGAUUUGAGAAUCGUAUAAGUAGACCUCAACGCAACUAUAAUUCAAUAGCAAUACCAACAUCUCUUCAACACAUAUAUUCGGAAGUAGAGGAUAUGUAAAUUGAUGCAAUACAUUCCAAAUCUCUUACUAAGCAAAAAAAGACUCAUCGUCGUCAAGAAGGAUUGUGCUUAUGUUGUGGAGAAUCUAAGCACACUGCUCAACAUUGCCCAAAGAAGCGACACAACUAUAAAAUGAGGAGUACGGUGAUCAAAAAAGAUAGUAUGUCAAAAAACAAAUUUGUCCAACUACAAUAGGAACCGUGCGGCUAGAACCUUAUACAAUACCUAGUGAAGGUCCUAUCCUCUCCUCAGAAUCCUAUCCAUGUUUUACAAUAAAUAUUAUUCUAGGACCUAAAUAUCUCAAAGCCUCUGCCUUGCUAGAUUCAUGAGCCUCAGCAUGUUUCUUAGAUGAAAAAUUUACUAAAAGACAUAGCAUAUUUUUAGUAAAGAAAACUAAACCUAUUCAUGUAGAAGUCAUAGAUGGUUGUCUGUUAUCUUUAGGAGAUGUUAUUCAUGAAAUCCUUCCUAAAGAAAUAGCAACUAAUGUUCAUAGUAGCUUUAUAAUAUUUAAUAUCAUUAGAUCUCCUUCUAAUUCAAUCAUUUUAGAUUUAUCAUGGCUAGAAAAAUAUAACCCUAAAAUAGAUUGGACUUCUCAUAGUCUUGAAUUUUUCGAAAGUAUCACUAAGAGUGUAAUUAAUCAAGUAGAAAGUCAUAAGUCUAGUAUAAUUAAACUUAUAUUUGUAGGUGCAAGUACUUUCUUGCAUGUUGCAAAAGAAGGAUCACCUUGUGUCAUUUAUGCCACACCUGUUUCUGCUGGUGGAAAGACUUCAAGUGGCAUUCCAAGCCAAUAUCAAGAUUUUUAAGAUGUAUUUGAGAAAAAAAAAUGCACUUAUUCUUCCACAACAUUGUUCCUAUGACUGCUCAAUUGACCUUCAAGAAGGAGUACAACUGCCAUUUGGACCAAUCUACAAUUUAUCUCAAAAUGAAUUGGCUGAACUCAAGGAGUAUAUUGAAGAGAAUUUAGCUAAGAACUUCAUAUGCUAUUCCAAAUCUCUAGUAUGAGCUUCAAUUUUAUUUGUGAAAAAAAAAGAUGGAUCAUUGUGGAUAUGUGUUGAUUAUUGAAGAUUCAACAAAAUCACUAUCAAAAAUAGGUACCCACUACCUUUGAUAUCUGGACUUCUUGAUCAGUUGAAUCAAGUUAAGAUCUAUACAAAAAUAGAUCUAUGGAGAGCAUACAAUUUGGUACGCAUCAAAGAAGGAGAUGAAUGAAAGACUAUGUUUCGAAUAAGGUAUGGAUAUUUUGAAUACAACAUCAUGCCUUUUGGACUUACAAAUGCACCAGUAGCAUUCUAACAUCUAAGGAAUGAUGUCUUUUGAAAGUUUUUAGAUGAUUUUAUUAUCUGUUACCUAGACAACAUCUCAAUUUAUUCUAAGAACUCAGAAGAACAUGAACUUCAUGUUCGCUAAGUAUUACAAAAACUAAGAGAUGCAAGAUUCUAUGCCAAGAUAAAAAAGUGUAUUUCAUACUACUCAAGUCGACUUCUUAGGAUACAUCAUUUCAAAUGAUGGACUUAUGAUAGAUCCUAUGAAAGCUCAAGCUAUUAUGGAUUGGAAGAUCUCAAAAACGAUAAGAGAUGUCCAAUGCUUUUUGAGAUUUGCCAACUACUAUCGGAUCUUUAUCAAAGACUUCUCUCAAGUUGUAGCUCCACUUACAUGUUUGACUUACAAAGACAAACUUCAAUAGAUUCAAAAAGCAGAAGUAGCAUUUGAAGCUUUAAAGACAGCCUUUGUUCUUACAUCAAUUUUGUAUCGCGUUGAUUUUUCUAAGCCAUUUUUUAUGGAAACAGACGCAUCAAAUUUUGCUUUGGGUAUUGUAUUGUUACAAAUGAGAAUAGAUGAUAAACUUCACCCAAUAACUUUUUAUUCCAGAAAAUUUUCAGCAGUCGAGAUCAACUACGAGAUCUAUGACAAAGAACUUCUUAUAAUCAUGGAUUCAUUUCAAGAAUGGUGUCAUUAUCUAGAAGGUACUUUUAGCCCAAUCACAGUGUAUACAGAUUACAAGAACCUUGAAUAUUUUAUGUCAACACAUGUUUUGAAUCGUCGCCAAGCCCGUUGGAGUAUGUCUUUGUCAAGAUUCGAAUUCAAGAUCACUUAUCGACUAGAAAAAUAACAAGGUUUUUUAGAUAUACUCUCUAGACAAUCUUAUCUUACAGCAAAGAAAAGAGAUGCUGAUUUUGAUCAACAAUAGAUAAUUCUCUUAAAGCCAAAGCAUCUUCAUCUUCGAAUAAUGAAAUCAACACUAACUGUUGAUUCAACUUUCAUUAAGCAAGUUCAGCCAAGUAUGUCUUCUAAUCCUCUUAUUCGUGAUAUUAAGGAAAAUCCUUCAAAGUCUCAUGAUACUUCCAAGUUUGAAUUCAAGAAGAAUCUACUAUAUUUUGAGGGACGCCUAAAUAUUCUAGAAGGUGAAGCUCGAUUACGUGUUCUUCAAGCUCGUCAUGACUUUCCAACAGCAGGAUAUUUUGGAUACAAUAAAACUUUGGAACUAAUAUCCAAGGACUUUUGGUGGCUCCAAAUGUGGAAAGCAGUUAAAGAUUUUGUAUAAUCUUGUGAUAUUUGCUUGAGAUCAAAAACUCCUCAUCAUCGACCUUACGGACUUUUUCAACCAUUACCCAUUCCAGAACAACCAUGGUCUUCUAUUUCUAUGGAUUUCAUCAUGGAUCUUUUAAUCUCAGGUUCUUAUGACUCUAUAUUUGUGAUAGUAGAUCAUUUUAUUAAGAUGGCACAUUUUGUACUAUGUAAAAAAUCUAUUACAGGUAAAGAAACAACUUAGCUCUUUCUUAACAAUAUCUAUUGCUAUUAUGGAUUAUCCAAGGAUAUUAUAUCAGAUAGGAGAACUCAAUUUGUAUCAAGAUUUUGGCGGACUCUUUUCAAAGUCCAACUUAAAGUAAAUAUAAAACUAUCUUUGGUAUUCCAUUCUCAAACUAAUGGACAAACGGAGCAUGUUAAUCAAGUUUUGGAGCAGUAUUUAAGAUGUACCAUUAACUACCAACAAGUUGAUUGGAUAAUUUUUUUGCCAUUGGCAGAGUUUGUUUACAAUAAUAUGGUACAUUCUUCUAUAAAAUAAACACCUUUCUUUACUAAUUAUGGUUAUCAUCCACGACUUGAUAUUUUUGACUUUUUAAAAGUUGAUAAUCCUAUUGCAAAAGAUUUGGCAAUUCAUUUGUUAGAGCUACAUGCAAUGAUGAAGGCGUAGUUAAAACAAGCUCAAGAACAAUAAAAGGUCAAUGCGGAUGUCUAUCAAAAUGAACAACCACCAUUCCACAUGGGUGAUAAAGUAUGAUUACUUUGUCACAACAUCAAGACCACUUGUCCUUAUGACAAGUUGGACUAUCAAAAGCUGAGACUAUUUUCUAUUUCUAUACAAAUCAAUCUAGUUGCAUAUCAUUUACAUCUAUCGGAGUCAAUGAAAAUCCAUCCAUUAUUCCACAUAUCUCUUCUUGAACCAUUCAAGAUAAUGGACAUACCAAGAAGAAGACAAGCUCUAUCUCCUCCUAUAGAAGUAGACAAUAAUGAAGAAUUUGAAGUGGAAGAAGUCUUAGAUUCAAAGCGACGUCAAAAUAAAUUAAAAUAUCUUGUCCAUUCGUGCGGAUAUGAUAUUAGUGAAUGCAUAUGGGAGCUAGUAAAGAAUCUUGCAAAUGCAACAAAGACGGUGGAGGCUUUUCAUCGACAACAACUAUCAAAAUCAAGAUGAAAACCUUCUUUAUAAAAGAAACAAGAUCUAGACAAGAUAUCAUUCUACUUUCAAUCCUUGUUUGUAGCUUCUUUUUAGUUGUGAUGCUCAAGAGAUGGAGAAUCAACAACCAACGGAUUCGACUUAAGAGCCUUUGUUUGCUGACCUGCCAAAUGAGAUAUUACGAUUGUCUCAACCUUUAAGAUGAUGCAAUCGAGAUGAAGAUCUUUAAGAAAGACAUGUUCUUCCUCAAAUAGAUGGUGAAAUACAAUACGUACAAGUCCCUUACAAGGUCUUUUUGCCUCGGUAUGGAAUACUACCGAUAGUUGAGAGGCCCUAUCAAUUAUCUUCGAAGAGAACAAAGAUCAGAGUAUGUGGCGAAUAUAAUUCAUCAUAUCGUAGAUUUUCUCAACAUAUGAUUACCGCUCCUCAUGGAACUCGUCCCUAGAAGGGGAGGUAAUGUCACGGAUAUACACAUGUAAGCCAAUAAUUACAUGUAUAAGUAAGUAAAAGUAGGUAAAAAUAAAUUAAUUCCAUAGUAUUUGGUCUGAAAGCUUUCUAGAAGCUUCAUAGACACUCCUUUGACUUUAUAGGUGUCUUUAAUUGACUUUUUGGAUUAAAAACGUGGUCAAAAAGUUGGCCAUAUGCCACACAUGUUGUUAGCUUGAAGACCAAGCUAACUAUGUGGCCCACACAUAGAAAAACUUGCCUUGUAAGUCAAGGCAUGUAUCUUAUAAAGUCAACACAUAUUAGAGGUCCUAUAGAACAUCGCCACGUAGCUCCUAGUUAGAUAGUAUAUAUAGAGACAAGAAUGAAGCCCUCUUCACUCUUGUCAACUCCUUUCUUGCUUCCAGUCUAGUUUCAAGGGUCUCUAGUUUUCUUGGCUUUUGAUAAUAGCCAUUCCAGUUUCUUUCUUAAUAUAUAUAUAUCAAGUUAUUUCUAUUUUGUCAUCUUUCUAUGACAGAAGUCUGACUUGUUUAUUUUUCUUUAUCAUAUUCUUGUCCUCGACAACUAGUGGUUUAUGUGGGGCCUAUUAUAAAAUAUCCUAAAAGAAUUAAAGGUAAUUAUCUAAGUAGAGCCUACUUUUAAAAUCUUUUAGAAAAACGAUUGUUUUGGUGAAGCCCACGAUUAAGGACAUUCUAAAACAUUUCAGGAUAGUUGGACAAAAUAUAAACAAGACUAACUAAGGCCAUUUGGAACAUUUGAUUAGGUAUGGCUUUAAUUCCUUUUUCUUAGUAAAGUUUGAUUUGUAUUUUUUUUGUUUUAUUCUAUUUCUUUUUGAUCUAUUUUAUCUUUCAUGUUUUAUUUUGUUUGGUUUUGUUCAAUUUUUUUUGGUUCUUUUUAUCCUACUUUGUGAUGGAAUUUAUAUUUUUAUAGACAAAAAGAGUUUUAGAUCUUUAAGAGAAUUUAGUACCAUUUUAUUAGUAAUAAAUAUUAUUAAAAAAAACUUAGUUGUUUUUUUACCUAAAAUAAUUUUUAUAUAUGAUUAAAAUGUGCCAUUGUGGUGACAUGAUUUACAAUCACAAAUAUAAACUUAUAUGAACUUAAAUAUUUACAAUCACAAAUAUAAACUUAAAUAAAAUCCAUAGAAAUAAAUAACCAUAGUUAUUUUAGCAUAAGAAAUGGUUGGAGAAGUCCAUAAAGUUAAUAACAAGAAACUUUUGACCUUGUCUAAAUAUCAAAUGAUUGUAAAAAGUAUUUUUACAUUUGCAGCUACCAAAAAUCUCUAGAUAUUAAUUCCAAAAUCCUAUUGUAUCCAAAAUAUCAUGUUGCUUAAAAAUUGUGAUAAGCUUGAAGAAUAUAUAAAUGUAUUUCUCUUUUUGAAACAUACAAGUGAUCUUCAAAAUAGUGUAGAUUGUUUUUAAACUCAAAUUUGGAUGUAUCAUGAGAUAUAAAAGAGUUAUUCUUAAUAUCAUGAAUUAGAGGAUCAAAUGACAUACUUGAUUGAAUUUGCUUAAGAAAGAUUGAAUCAAUAAUCAAUGUUGACUUUAUUUCUUAAAGAUGAAAUUAUUAGGACUUUAAGACAACCAUUCUUUACUGGUUAAAAGUUACAUGUUCUUCUUUUGGUGUAAGCUAAGAAUGUUUGAGAAUUACAUUUGACAAACUUUGUGAUUUUGUAAGUCAAUAUGUGAUCUUGAAAUCUUUAUAAUAAUAUACUCUAAUAAGUUUGGCAAUGAUUGAGUACAAAUGCUAACAUGAAGUAUUCAAGGUUCUUAUAAUCUAUAUAUAUGAUGACUUAAUUGGAAGCACCUUCUAAAAAGUGAUACAAUUUUUGAAAAGAAUCUAUAAUCGUAAGAAGUUUUUUAUUAUAGAUUUUAUAGUUGAUCUCUAUUACUAAAAAUUUUAUGGAUUAAAAAGCUACUCGAUGGAGUUUCUUACCUAUUACUACUUAUGACAAUACUAGACCUAAGAUAAAAUCUAAUACAUCUAUUUCUAUAAAAAAUACCUUAAAAAAAUUGAUACAAAACAAGAUUAAUAUAGAAAUAAAUUAUUUCUUUAAAGCAUCAAAAGUUACUUUGAUUUCUUUAUUUCAUUCAAGUUUGUCUUUGUAAGUCAAACAUAUAAGUCAAACUACAACUUUAAAAAAGUUCUUAAUAAAGAUAUGAUAGUAAUUACCAAUGUUUAAAAAACAUUACACAUUGUUUAUUGUUUGUAAAAUCUUUCAAUUCAUAAUAGUUUGGAUCUUCUUUAGAACUAUCAUGAAAUCUUUGUUUGAAAUGAUAUAUGCUAAGAAGUCAACUUAAAUAGCAUAGAAUACAUACUUUUUCAUCUUAGGAUAUAAUCCUAUAUCUCUAUGUUUUUGUACUACACAUUGUUGAGUUGUCAUUUGGCUAUCAUGUGAAAAUAAUGGAUUUAUAUAUUUAAUACAUAAUAUACUAGAUAACAUGGUGAAAGCCAUAUUAAUGGAUUUUUUUUUGGUUAUAGAAUGUGGAUAGAUUAUUAGCUCAAAAAAAAAAAAAAAAAAUUAUAUAAAAGGGCUUCUAUUAGAAUUUAUAUAACUUUAUUUUCUUUUGAUGUUGACUUUGAAGUUGAUCUUAUUAGUAGUAAGUUUUAAAUAUUUAGAUUCACCUUAGUUAGAUAUUAGUAACCUUUAAAGUCUUAUUUUUUUCUUUUAUAUGGUGUUUAGAACAUAUAUUGUAUACAUCUUGUAAAAAAAAGAAUUGGAGAGAGAUUUUGGUAGCAAAAAGAGAGUUUAGGGCAUCCAUAUAGAUGAAUGGAGAUGGAUGAUAAAAAUCUCUAUUCCUAUUCGUCAAAAAUCAUGACCAAUGGACUUCAAGGAGGCUUCUUCAAGCCAUAUUAGAAAUUAGAAUUAGUCUUUUAGGGUCAUUUGAGCUUCAGAGGCUAGAAUCAAUAAUUUUAGAUUUUUGGCUAUGGUUUUGGUACAAAUUUUUUGUGAUUUGGAAUUUAUAUGAAAGAAAUAUGGACACUCAAAGUUAAGGUGUUGAUUUUGUACUUACUGUUACUCUUUUGGAUAAGGCGCACACGUACAAAAAGCAAUAGAGGAUUGUGAUUGCUCGAUUUAUUUAUUCCGAAAGAAACCUCUCAGAAUAAAUCUAUAUAAGGGGUUUCGAACAUGAAAAAUGACUAGUUGCUUAAGCGUUCACGUUAGGGUCACAUAAUCAAUUACCUCCUGAAUGUAUCGUCUUUAUUUCCAAUAUCUGAACACACAAAGAAACUAUAAUCUCCUCCUUCACCUUAUCGGUCUCUUCUUUACAACAAUUCAUUCAUACUAAUAACUGCUAUUUCUACUAAUAUAUUCACCCUCAUAAUCUCCAACUGUAAUACUAUGCCCUCACAACUUUCAGUACACAAUUACCCUUGUUCCAAUCACUGGAAUUCUUCACACAGAACUGCCAUUCACAUUACGGUGUUUCACGCAAACACAGACUCAUUCUCUCUACUGAACUACAAUCAGAUUUCAACAUUCAAUCUUUCUUCUUCUCAAAUAAUACCAAUCACAUUUCCAUUCCAUAAUUCACUUCACAAUAUUCAGAAACUUUCAAUCCUCUUAUUCAAAGAAAAUAACAAACAAAAGAAAAGAGGUAGCACCAAGCUUAUCUCGGCUCACACUAUCACAGCGAUGGUCCUUGGCUUACGACUCUCAUAGUCUGGCACCCUAAUUAACUUCUAUAACUCUUACAUACUUUCCCUUGAUUCUCUAGAAUCUAACUGUAAUUCUGUAAUUAACCACUUUUAAUAACUAAAUCACUCAUCCGUCCUCCUGAAUUUCUUAUUAUAUGGACUAUUAAUAUAUUUUACCAAUAUCUUUCAAAAACGAAUUAAUAUCUAUUCUACAUAGCCCCACUCCUAUUUAUGCAGCAUCCUCACAAAUACUCAAUUGAUACCUAUCUAAAAAUUAUCUUACAAAUUUCCACAAAAAUUGUGAUCCUUCUGACCUAUCUAAUUAAUCAAUUGCCACAGUAUCUGUUAUUGGUUCCAUCGAUUUUGGUUCCAACUGCAAAUCUUCAUCCUCCUCCAAUCCUUCUAUUGGCUCCUGCCUCAACUGAGCUGAAAGGUCUUUAUUGUACUCGCCCAGUUCACAGACUUGAGCUUCCAAUUUCAAGAUCCGGACAUCUCUCAAUUCCAAUUAUUGUUGCUACCUCAUCCAUUCUAGAAUAUCUUCAAUCGACACUUGUGACUGGCUUCUCACUAUUAACUCUUAACUGGAACUACUACUCUUGAAAACACAAGAAAUAUAAAAAAAUGGUACUCCAGCCAACUCAAAACAACACCACAGAAUGACUUUAACUGGUGCCCUACUCCUAUUCUUUUACUACUUAGUGAUAAUGACAACAUGUUACCCAUAUUGUCCGUGAAAGGUAAUGAGAAGUAAUCUUUCUUGGUGGCUACAUUUAACUUUCAAAAAUCUUGACAUAUCCUGAUUUUUCCAUUCUUCUUCCGUACUAUCACGAUUGAUGACACCCAUACACUAUACAAAACAGGAUAAAUAAAACCCAUGUCGAGAAGUUUAUCCAAUUUUUCUUUCACUAAAAGGAAAUAUUUUAGGUUAAGCCGAUGUUAUCUUUGAUGAACUGGCAUAACACCUGCUUCCAGAAUAAUCUGGUGCUCACACAUGUCAACUGGAAUCCCUUCCAAAUCCGCAUACGACCACGCAAAGGUAGAUUUGUGAUAGACAAAAAAUUGUUUUCAAGCAUCCAAUUCUGUACCUAUAAUACCGACAUAUAUUUUAAUUAGCUGUGGCAUUUUGUUGGUGCCCAGAUUAAUAGAUUGACACACAAGGUCUUCAACAACCUCUGAUUUAAUUAUCUUCUCCUGAUCUGAAUAUCUUGUAUUAUCCGACAUAUGAAAACCACCCAAAUCUGGUUCCAAUGUACUGACUCUAUUGAUUGUGGGAUUGUUCAUCCAUUUGGCAAUAGCAUGAUCUGAGUUAGUCGCAUCCUCCUGAUGCAGUAAAUAUUUGUCGGGACUUCCACAUUGGUAGACUCCUGCCUUUGCUAUUGAAGUGUUUUGUCCUACCGCAAAUUGCGGUGAACCUAUAGCAUUGUCAUCUACCUCAAUCGAUUGACUCUCAUUGUCUGAUGUAAAUUUUGAUUCUAGUAAUUGAGAUUCUCCAUGAUAUUGUACCAGGUACAUCUAUAAAACAAUCGGUUCACGACCUUUUCCAAUUGUCAAUGUGCCUCGGCUCUAAUCGUUCUUAGCUUUGGCUUGAUAAAGCCAAUGUUUGCCUAAUAAAAUGGGAUUCAAUAAUAUAGAACUCUGUAAUCAGAAUACAAUAUAAUUGAUUUUGUAUGUCAAUCCCACGAUUAUAAUGGAAAUAUUGCGUAAGAUUUCCGUUGGCUUUACCCGACUAUAAUCUACCAUUCGCAAGACCAAUGUCGUAGGUAGCAAUUGCUUUAGAUCCAAGUCCUCCAUUGUAUCCGCAUUCAUUAAAUUCACACUGGAGCCACCAUCCACUUGUAUCCCUGGAAUUAAAAUGCCAUCGAUUGAUACAUCAAUUGUUGGUGCUCCCAGAUCUGGGUUUAAGCUAACUUCAUGAAUUUUUUUAGUGCGAGAUUUUCGUCGUAUUAGCGCUGAAUUCAAUGUAGAUUGACAUUCUGGUGCUACAGCCAAAAGUUGCUUCAUUGUAAUUGAAGGCUAAAUAACAUCCAAAUCCUUCAAAAUGUCGUAGGGUUCUAUAUUGAGAGUAAUUUCCAAUGCUCUUUUGCGUUUCAUUGAUUUGAGUUUAACUCCAUGAGGUAAGAUAUUCUUCCGCCCUAGACUCGGAAUUGGAACAGCAGCUCGGGCUUCCUUGGAAUUCCUGCCUUCGAGAAGAUCUUUCAAUGGAUAGGACGUUUCUCAGAACUAUGUAGAGAUCGGAACUACUUGGAACGGAACCGAAGCCUCCAUAAUUGAGACCUCAUUGGGUUCUACUACCGAGUCAGGUCUCAUAUUGGAUACGAAGCUCGUAACUGGACCUGGAUUGGAUGGUUCCAGCAAAUUGGCACGUAAAAUUGAAUUGGAUUCCUCAGUCUGUUGAGGUCUCAAUAUUGGGAUACGUCUCAAUAUUGAUAUUGGUUUAUUUAGCCCCAUGGAUGACGCUACUUGCUUUCUUGUGAUUGGUUCAUCCACAUCCUGAAUUAGAUUCUUGUCUUUUUGUUGGCCUUUGGUAAGCACUACGUUCACCACCUUGACAUGAUGUACUGGUGCAUCUUGUUAAACAGGGCCUUUGUCCUCCGUCGGUUGGCUUGUUUGUAUUUACUCGUCUUAGUUAUUAUAAUUAAAGGGUGCAUUAUACUGCUGAUAAGUGUGACUAGACUGCUUAUAAUUUCCACAUAUUGGAACAUAGUCAUCAUUGGCCCUUGGAUUAGGAUAUUCACUUGCAUAAUGUCUGAUUUGUCUGCAACGAUAGCAAUGAAGUGGUCUCCUACCAACUCCUUCAGGGAUAUUAAGUGUCUCUACUGGUAUAUAAUGGCUAGGUCUGUUCCAUGUCGGAUGAGUAAAGGAUCCUGGUUGAUCCAUUGUUUUUGUAGACUCUGGCAUUGGCUUUAUCAUGGAUAGAUAUUGAUGGUAUGCUAGUUGAUUCAUUACCAAUCCGUGAGUAUUGGAUACACCUUCUUAGUAAAAUUCAGAGUUUAGAAAAUUAGAAUAAUUCUUGUUUUGUUUAUUCGCUCGAUUUCCAUUCCAACCAAAUCUAUUAUUCGUUUGUACUUGAUUGACAUCCCACGAAGUUGGUUGAGUCAUUAUCUGGUUACUAAGUUGUUGUUGCUUUCGUAAAUUCCAACAAUUGGUGGUAAUAUGCUUACCUCUGCAAAAGGUAUAUUGUACAGUCAUUCGGGGAGGUGAAGGACAUUCUGUUACUAAAUGACCUUGCCCCUUACAAUUACUGCACCAGACAUUGAAACGCAUAUUGGUUGAUUUAUGCUUUUUUUUCUUUAUCCUUGGCUAGAUUCAUAGCCAAUUCAUCCAUUUUUUUCAUCAAUGUUAACAGCAAUGACUCAUUGGAAUUCCUUGAUACCAAUGCAUUUGGUAAUUUCUUUAUAGGUAUUGAUUUUUGAUACGCAAAAUAAGGCACAUACGGAUGUGAUGAUGAUGGUGGUACAGCUUGCUAUGGAACGACAUCCACUAUUUCCUGUAGAAUUGUACCAUAAUCAUUCCUUCUCAGAUAACUUUCCGAUGCAUCAUUCCAAUUUGUCAUUUGAUAACCUCCUUAAGAAGGAAUCAUCGUGGCUCCAACUGUUAAGUUCUGGUCAUAGUGACAUUCUUCCCAUACUUUUGCUCGCUCAAGAGAUGAUGCAAUGGUGGCUGAUUGGGCUUCCUUUACAAACAUCUUCAAUUCAGGUGGGUAUAGUCCAUUAACCAAUAUGGACAACACAAAUGAUUUUGGUAUUUGAUUAUUUGGCCAUUUUCAAAGUAUAUCUGCUACACGACCAUAAUAUAACUGUACCGCUUCUCCUAAUACCAUUCUAUUGGUCAUUAAUUUUUCUCUAAGACGUUCUUCAAAACCAAUUGGUCAAAAAUGGACUAAAAAUGCAUUUUUCAAUGCCUCCCAAUUGAUAAAUUGUCCCACAGGUUGGCGGUUAUACCAAUCAAACAAUGUAUCUUUCAAUGUCACUAGCAGCCAUCUUAACCAAAUAUCUUCUAUUCUUCUAUUAUUGGCUAUACAUGUCAUCAAGAAUUAUGACAAAUAUUGAUCUGGAUCCGCACGUGGCAAACUCCAAAAAGUAGGUAAUGGUGCGACACUAGUCGUACGAUUGCCUACUUCACCCAUUUGUACUACAAUCAGAAUGGUUGGUCUUCCUAACGCCAUUGAAUUUCUUAUUCUACAAAAUUCCGUUUUAAAAUAAUCUCUGCUUUCCCUUAUUCUAAUUUCCGAGCUCUCAGUGCUCCUCGAUUUAUUGUUAUUUUUUGCAAAUAGUUUUAUUGAUAGAAUUGUAGGUGAAAACAUUGGAUUUUGAAAUACAAUAUAGUUAUCUUUAUUGGCGACCAAUUUGUGCCAAUCUGAAGAGCCCCUAUUGCUUGUUUCAGCGGUACCUCCUACUGAAAAAAUACCCAAUGGAGUACCAAAUUCUUCUACGCCUCCUUCUCUUUCAGUUAACGACCUCAAGAUUUCCACUGGAAUGUUAAUGAAAUUUCUUGCGAGUGUUCUUAGCAGUUUUUUUAACGGUACAUAUGACUGCAGAAUUAACAGUUUGUCCAGUUCUUGAUAUAUUCGGAUACGCCGAUAAGCUUGCAACCAUGGUUUAAUCCAAUUUUGUUGAUGCUUCUUUUUAAGAUUACGUUCUUGCUCCUCUCUAAGCAAGUUCUUUCUUUGCACUCUUCCCUGACUUUCUUUCAACUGAUUUAUUUUCCUCGAUGCAAUGCUCUCGUUCUUAUUAACCAUAAUCUUACUUCAAAUACUACUAAAAUCAUCUUUCAUUGCCAAUUUUCUCACACGUUUGGUAAUUAAUUCCUAACAUUCAAAGCUAUUAUCACUCCCUGAUAGCGGUGCCAAAAUGUGAUUACUCGUUUUACUUAUUCCGAAAGAAACCUCCCAGAAUAAAUCCGUAUAGGGAGAUUCGAACAUGGAGAAUGACUAGUUACUUAAGCAUUCAAGUUAGGGUAACACAAUCAAUUAUCUCUUGAAUGUAUCGUCUCUAUUUCCAAUAUCUGAACACACAAAGAAACUAUAAUCUCCUCCUUCACCUUAUCGGUCUCUUCUUUACAACAAUUCAUUCAUACUAAUAACUGCUAUUUCUACUAAUAUAUUCACCCUCAUAAUCUCCAACUGUAAUACUAUGCCCUCACAACUUUCAGUACACAAUUACCCUUGUUCCAAUCACUGGAAUUCUUCACACAGAACUGCCAUUCACAUUACGGUGUUUCACACAAAUACAGACUCAUUCUCUCUGCUGAACUACAAUCAGAUUUCAGCAUUCAAUCUUUCUUCUUCUCAAAUAAUAUCAAUCACAUUUCCAUUCCAUAAUUCACUUCACAAUAUUCAGAAACUUUCAAUCCUCUUAUUCAAAGAAAAUAACAAACAAAAGAAAAGAGGUAGCACUAAGCUUACCCUGGCUCACACUAUCACAGCGAUGGCCCUCGGCUUACGACUCUCACAGUCUCGCACCCUAAUUAAAUUCUACAAUUCCUAUAUAUUUUCCUCUGAUUUUCUAGAUUCUAAUCAUAAUUCUAUAAUUAAUUACUUUUAAUAACUAAAUUACUCAUCCAUCUUCCUAAAUUUUCUAUUAUAUGGAUUAUUAAUAUAUUUUACCAAUAUCUUUCAAAAACGAAUUAAUAUCUAUUCUACAAGGAUCAAUGACUAGGAUUAGAGAGAGCACUCUCUUGGCUACAGUUUUAGCAUACUAUUUGAUGGAUUUCAAGUUUGGAUGAAAGAGAUAUUGGAGGUUGAAGUCAGCACUUGCAAAUUUAAGGGUAGUAAGUGACCUGAAUUGCUAGUGGUUGUAUUUUGAGCUAUAUCUUGUACAAUUUGAUAAGAUUUUAGCUAAAACUUUCCAAGAAUGUAUAUUUUUAUGUAAUCAAACCUAUGUACAUAAGUUUUGUGGCAUUUGGAUUUUGGAUUUUUGAGAUAUGAGAAAAAUAGUUUUUGGGUGCUUGUAGAUUAGGGUUUAGAGCACUUGCUAGGAUUUCUAAGUUUCCAAAAGAUCCGUAAUAGAUUUACAAUUUAUUUUUUUGUGGUGAAGCUUAAGGAUAUAAUUUAUGUCAUAAAAAAAUUUAAAAAAAAAUAAACAAUUGGAUCAAGUGAUAUAAAUUUUUAAAAUUUAAGAUAAAAAUAUCUUUUGUGGGAAGAAAAUGUUUUAAAGAAUUUUAUUAUAUUUUGAACUUUUAUACAAAUAAAGAGAUUUUUGGAAGUUAAGACAUCAUAUAGAAGCCAAAGCUAAACUCUCUACAGCUACAUACUCCAUAUAUUCCUAGAUUACAAAUCAUGCUAUACAACAUCAUCAAAUAUAAAGUUUAUGUUCUUUUGUGUUCUUAGAGUAGAUUAGAUUUUUGUGUAAAUAAUAUACAACAAAAUCGUUAAGAAACUUUAAAAUAAUGUCAUUUAUAAAAUUUUGAAAAGUGACUAAUUCUUUCACAAAUCUAGAAGGUAUGAUAUUAUAUUCAAAAUAUCUAUACUUAGUUCAAAAAGUAGUCUUUUAUUCAUCUGCUUCUUUAAAGUAGACUAUGUAAUAUGCUCCUUGUAGAUCUAUUUUGGUAUAGAUCUUUAUUUAAUUGAAUUAGUCAAAAAGUCUUAAAAUUAAAGGUAGGAUAUAUCUAUUCUUAAUAGUGAUCUUAUUAAGUCAUUGAUAAUUUAAAUACAUCUUCAAAAAUCUAUAUUUUUUUUUACAAAUAAGAUAGAAGUUCUUAUUGGAGAUUUUGAAUAGUAUAUGAAGUUUUUAGCCAAUUUUUUUUCAACAUAUUCCUUCAAUGCAACCAACUCAUUUUGCGAAUAAGUUAUAGAUUGGUUCAAAUGACAAUUGAGCUCUUUCUUAAAGAUGAAUUGAAUAAUUAUAGGAUCAAUACUUUGAAAGAAUAUUUGUACUUUUUUUAAAAAAAUUGUCAUAGAAAUCUUCAUAUUAGCUACAAAUAUAACUCAUUAUCUUUCCACCAUAAAAAAUGGAUGUAGUAUAUAUAGCAAAAGAUAAUCUUCUUUUUGUUGCAUGCAUAAAAGCUUUUGUACCUAUUAGUAAAGAUUUGAAUGUACUAGACUUAUGUAUUUUUACUUGACUAAAAGAAUUUUGAAUAAAACUAUAAGAAAAGUCAAAGUUACAAGAAAUUCAAUCUGUUUGAGGAUUAUAUAUUUUUAACUAUGAUAAUCUUAAAAUAAUUGGAUUGGAGAGAGAUCUUAUCACAUUAAAUAUUAUUACACUAUUAUAAUCUUUAAUUGCUACAUCUAAAAGAAAAUUCUCAUAAUUAAUAUCUUUAGAAGACAAUAAAUGACUAUCUAUGACUUCUAUAUAUAUAAGUUUGGUUUCCUUCACUAAAAUUAUUUCUUCUUGUUAGACAAAGUCUUUAUUAAUAAAAUAAGUUGAAGCUCUUGAAUCUAGUAAAAUAAAGAUUUUAUAAUUUUUAGGUCUUAAAUAUAUAUCUAUUAUUAAAUAAGAUAAGAGAUCUAAAGAAAGAAUAUAACCUUUUAAUAGAUUUGUAUGUGAUUCGAGCCAUAUAAUUUCCAUUGUAGCUAGAGAAACUUUUUUUUUGAUACAUUGUCUUUUUUGGCAACCAUGCUUUUCAUUUUGUAAUUGCAUUGCUUCUUUGGACAAUGUUAAGCAAUGUACUUAUAUUCUCUAUAAUAUAAGCACAAAUCUUCUUGAUGAUAUCAAAUCUUUUUCUAUUCUAUGAGAAAUUAAAAUAUAUCAUAUCAAUUUGCAUUGGUUUUGGCCUUAAUAAAUAAGUUUAUGAAUGCUUAGAACGUAAAGUCAUUGCUUGGCUUAUUCUUCUCUAGUAAAUUUUUUGUUCUUAAUGCCUUUUAAAUAGUUGAUUGUUACAUGUAAUUACUUAAGUAAUAAAUUAUUUCAAUGAAUCUACUUUUAAAAUUAUCAAUGAUAAAUCUUUGAUGUUAUCCUUCAAUUCAUAUCAAAAUUGAUUGAUAAAAGCUUUGUCAUUUCAAUCCAUAGUGCAAGAGAGGUUUUGGAAUUUAGCAACAUAUAUGGUAGUUUAUUGUGAUCUUUCUUCUAAAGAUAAGAGAUUGAUCUCUACUAUUCUUUUUUAUUUUUAUUUUUUUUUUAAUAUGGCCAUAAAUACUUCUAUACAUGAAUUCAAAUUAUAAAUGAAUUAUGAAUCUUUUUCUAUCAAAGAUAAAAACAAAGUGAAAGCACUUCCAUAUAGAAAUGAGCCUAUAAGUUCAACUUGAGUAAAUCUAUUAGGGUAUUAAAAAAGAUACAAUCUUAGAUAGAGCUUGACUUAUUAUAAAAAUCCUCAAAAGUUUGAUUUUGUUCCAUCAAACUUCUUGAAUAUACUAAUCCUUAACUCCGUUGUGCUUGUAGAAGCAAGACUUCUUAGAUUUGGUUAUACGAUUGAUCUACUUACUUCUCUCAAUUACAUAAUUUCUUAGUAUAAUAUCAUCAACAUAUAUAUUUGUUCCAAUAAUUAUCUAUAUGAUUAGGUAGAAAUAGAUAAAUAUAGAUUAUUUUCAUGAUAUCUUCUAGAAAAGCUUUUUAGAAGAUUUAUAGAUAUAAUUUUGAUAUUACACAUAUUUAUAGUUAAUUGAUAGAUUAGAAACUUGAUCAAUAAAUUAAUUAAAUACCAUACAUAUUGAUAGCUUGUAAAACAAGCUAACUAUGUAGUACAUAUAUAAAAAACUUAUCUCAUAAGCUAAAAUAAGUAUCUUAUAAAGACAACACGUGUUGGAAGUCUUAUAAAACAUCGCCACAUAGUUUUUAGUUAGAUAGUAUAUAUGGAAGUAAGAAUGAAGCCUUCUUCACUCUUGUCAACACUUUUUUAAUCUUUCGUCUUCUUUCAAGACUUUUUAAUCUUUUUGCCUUUUGUAAUAGCUAUUCUAAUUUUAUACUAUGUCAUUUUGGAAUGUUUUUUUAGUCUUUUUGAAUAAUACAAGAGUAUAUUGACCUUUUAGUUUUUUAAUAUUCAUGUCCUUAAAAUGUAGACCUUCGACUACUUCCAUAGAUAUAAGAAUAUUUUUUUUGUGGUUAAUAUUAAUUAUGCAUAAAAUAUCCACCUUAAGAGUAUUAAUAAACUCAUGAAGAUUUGUGAUAGUUACAAAUCUAUUCUUACCAUUGCCAAGUGUAGCAUCCAUAAUUUUUUCUAUCACUUCAAAAAACUUAAUAAAUCCACAAAUCAAAUAAAAGAAGAUGAUCUCUAAAUUUUAAUGUCAAAUGAAAAUUUUUAUAAAGAAGAGUGAUCUAAUUUCUUUAAGAAAAAAACCAAGAUUUAAAAAAUAAAGAAUGUUAGUUCAAAGAAGGAUAGUCUACAAUCUUUGAAACACAAUAAUAGAAGUGGAAUAAUUCACUAACUUCUAAAUAUAAGACAAAAAUAAUGAAUUAGUAUUCUUGUUGAUUUAUUAAAAAAAAAAAAAAAAAAAAAAAAAAAAAAAAAAAAAACUCAAAGAAGAUAUGUAAACAAGUAAAAAAUGAAUCAAAGAAAGAUGACAAAAUAGAAAUAAGAAAAUAAUUUUAUUUCAUAAGAAACUUGAAUGGCUAUUUUCAAAGAUUAGAAAACUAAAAACUCUUGAAAUUAGACUAGAAGUAAGAAAAGAAUUAACUAUAGUGAAGAAGGCUUUACUCUUACCUUUAUAUAUACUAUCUACAUAAAAGCUACCUAGCAAUGUUCUAUAAGACCUCCAACACGUGUCCAAUUUACAAGAUAUAUGUCUAACUUAUAAGAUAAAUUUCUUAUAUGUGCGCCACAUAAUUAGCUUAUUUUACAACUUACUAAUAUAUGCAACAUGUGGCUGACUUGUUGGCUAAGUUUCUAACCUAUCAAUCAUCUAUAUAUAUGUAUAAAGAUAAAAACGCAUCUAUGAAGCUUUUAAAAAGCUUCUCUAUAAGAUAUUAUCAAAUUAAUUUAUUUUUAUCUAUUUCUAUCUAUUCAUAUUAACUAGAUAAUUAUUAGAAUAACUAUAUCUAUGACAUUAUCAUCUUUUUUAAAGAUAAGUUCCAUGAGUAAUAGUAAUCACAUGUUGAUGAAGGCUAAGAUGCAAGAAAUUAUAUUUGCCACAUAUUUUGAUCAUUGUUUCCUUUGAAGGUAGUUGAUAGGUCCUCUCAACCAUUAAUAAUGUCAAAUAAAGACUAGUUGAAUAAAAAAAAAAAGAAUAUAGUUUAGAUUAGAUGAAUAUCUAAAUAGCUGAAGACUUAGAUGAAUAACAAUAGAUAGUAUUAAUUUGUCCAUCAAUACUCAAUAUCAUGAAUAUAUCAUUUUUUUUUUUUUUUUUUUUUUUUUUUUUUAUCUUCUAUGACUAUUGAACAAAUAAUAUAUUCAUAUUCCAAAAAAUCACUUAUGAAUUUUUUAUAUCUACUCUUUCAACUCUUUCAAUUAGAGAUUAUUUUGAUAAUAUUAGAUUAAUUCCUAUCUGCAUUAGUAUUUCAAAAAACAAAGAAUCAAUAUUGCCAUAUGAUAAGAAUAUUGAUAAAAAUAUCUUUUUUAUACUUAUCAACAAUACAAAUUAUUAUAGCUCUUCUUGUAUAAAAAUAAUUAAAAUUUCUAUAUUUAAAUAUAAAAGUAAUUUUUUUAAUAAAAAUAUUAUAAAAGAUAUAUAUAAAUACAUUUUUUAGAUUUGAUGAAAAAUACAUUGUCAAGAAGAUAUGCAAGUUACAUCAAGCCUUGUAUAGAUUACAACAAGCACUUUAAGCUUGAAAUAGUAGAAUAGAUAGUUUUUUAAAGAAUUGGCUCUAUAAUAAAACAAAGAAGAUCCAAACUUGUACUUUACCAUAAGAAUUAAAUUAUAUAGAAUAAUCUUCAUGUACAUGGAUGAAAUUAUAGUCAUUAAAGAUAAUAUAGAUAAAAUUAUAAAAUUCAAAUAUAAAAUGAUGAGUAUAUUUAAAAUAAUAAACUUCAAAAAUACUUGAAUAUAUUUUAGAAUUAAACUAUAUUAUGAUAAGACUAUAAUAUAUUUCUACAAAAAAAUAUAUAUUUUUUGAUUUACUAUUGAAAAGAUUCAAUUUCAUGCAUUGUAAACCAUCAAAGGUAUCUAUGAAUCCAAAAAAAAAAAACUUCAAAAAGAAACUAGAACACCUAUUGUUGAAUCUAUAACUGAUUCAUAUGGUAGUAGCAAAAAAAUAUUCAUAGAUACAUAAAUAGAACUAAGUUUGGAAUAUUUUAUCUUGCUUAAGACAUAAGAAGACUAUUUACUUUUAUAAAUAUAAAUUAAAUAAGAAAUGCAGACUCUUAAAAAACUAUAUUCAAAAAAUUAUAUAAAUUAAGCUCUAUUCUAAGAACAUCAUCAAGUAAAUUAAAAUCUUUAAUUUUUUUUUUCUUCCACCAAAGAAAAAUAUUAUAUCUUCUUUAAGAUAGCUAUAAACUUAAUAUACUAUAAGAGAGUAUUGAAGGAAAUAUAAUUCAAAGAAGAUGAAUCCACUCUAUUAUUAUGCAACAAUGUAAGCAGUAUUAAAAUAAUAAAAAAAUCUUUGAUACAUCAUAGGACCAAGAAUUUCAAAAUAGAUCAAUAUUAUAUCUAAGAGAGAUAUCAAAACAAAAGUAAUGAAGUUAAAUAUAUUCUAUUUUAAUUUCAAUAAGUAGAUAUUUUUAUAAAGUUUUUGAAACCAUCAAUCUUUAUUUAAAACAUUAAAGCAAUUGAAUUAAAAAAAUUAUCAAUGGUAGUACAAAAUCCCAAAAAACUACAUUCUUUUAUUUUACAAAACUAAUAGAGAUUACAAAGUACAAGCCUUAUAACAUACUAAUAAGAAAAAAAAAUAUAUCUAAAUUAGAAUGUUAUGAAUCUUUCUACCUCUGUUUUAGUACUAAAUUUUUCAAAAGAUGCUUCUCAAAAUCCAUUUACUUGCACAUGACAUUUUGGCGAGGAUAUAUAGAUAACAACUUAGAAUUCCAACUUAGAAUCUUUUUCAAACUACAUAAAAAUCUUUACAAGAUCAAUGAGUUAUUUGACAAAGAAACUUAAAUCUUAAAGAGCCCUCUUACUAGUCUUGUGAUCUUUGCACCUCUCACUACUUCACAAGAAAUAUCUCAAGUCUUCUUUAAACUCCAACAUGAGUAAAUGAUGCCACCAACCAUGACACCAAAAUUUGUAGUAUCUCAUUGCAAAAUUUGCAACAAAGAAAGGAGAUUGUCCACAUAGCAAGAAUGAAUAGUUUAAACUUUACAUUGAAUAAAGAAAAAAUAUUAUGGUUGACGCUUACAAAUAGACAACCAUGUAUAGCUCAAUUCAAAUAUUAACACUUAUCAAUAUUAUAUCUUUCACCAAUGUUUCCAAACAAUCAAUCACUUCCAUUAAUAGCACUCUAAAUCAUAAUAUGUUAAAAUAUUCCAAUACAUAGGUCAAUUCAAAUAUUAACACUUAUCAAUAUUAUAUCUUUCACCAAUGUUUCCAGACAAUCAAUCGCUUCCAUUAAUGGCACUCUAAAUUAUAACAUGUUAAAAUAUUCCAAUACAUAGGUUAAAGAGAGGGUGUUGGCAUUAUCAAACUGUGUUUACUUCAUCACAUCUACAAAUGCUCUCAUCCAUACUUGUAUGUAGAUGAAAGCUACUGUUAAGCCUCACUCUAGUUGUAUACUGAGAGGGCCCCCAUUGUAUAUAUUGAAUCACAUUGUUAAUAAAGCCCUAUUGAUUUUGAUCAACUUUGGGUGUGUUGAGAAACACCAUCUCGUUUUAAGGUCCAGGCUCAAUGGCAGCGAGAGACAUUCACAGACGUCCUACAAAGAUCUAGUAGCGUUGUAGCUGGAAUGGUGGCUGGCGAGCAAUCGAGUAGGAAGUGUACUGCUCCGCUACGUGGGAAUUCCUUGGUGUGGCAGUUUUUUGGAAAGCUGGUCACAUUUUCAUGCGGCAAAUCAAAAUGUACAUAAUUGUAUUAAGAAAAUAUACAUAAAUAAAAACCAAAAAAAAAAUCUUUCAUUUGCAAUCUUCUUAUUGCCACUUCAAUUGUACAAUUAGAGUACAAUCUAAUUUUUGUGGUGGGCGUGGUUGGAAUAUUGCAUGCCUAUUCUGUGGUCGCAUUCGGACGAGGAUGGGGAUGAACUUGUCAUUUACAUCAACAUCACUUUCCACAGUAUGAGGGAAAAACCUAAACUUGUCAUUUACAUCAACAUCACUUUUGACUUUGUUGUUGCGUUUCUCUCGUUGUGCUCUAUUCUGGACGUCAUCUUGUUGCGUCGGUUCUCGUCUUGGUUGUGGUGGUUAUGUACUCGAGGUGUUCUCGAGCGGGGCGGGAGCAUCAGGAUUGGAGGGAAGGGAAUCCCGUCGGGUUGUGAUGGCAUGAUCGGAACAGCAGGCUCGGGAGCGAGUCCAGGCAGGGACGAGGAUAGGCAACGUGGAAGGGAUCGCAGAAAUCGUCGCACUAGUUCAAGGAGACCCGUAUUGUAUGUCCGAAAUCGUGAAGCUCGCUACGGACGCUUACCUAUGGGGACAUGACUGAUAUAGAUUUGACCACCGAUUUCCAUGUAGCAGCGAUAGCUGCAGUUAUCGUCUACUGAUCGCUUAGGCAUGACGACUACAACUACAGUAUUGUAGUUUCAUUUCGACAAGGGCUUUGUUGACUGUACUCGACCUGUCAGCUAUUUAAACGUCCAAGUUGAGAGUAAACGUACUUCAUUUCCAUUGCAGAUCUCCCAUUCCAGUUCUCUGCCCGUGAGAUCUUCAGAGAGUUCUUUUGCAACUGCAAACAUUGUAAGUUCCAGUUAGUCAGAUUUUAGCUUCUUGGUGGGGAGUGAUUGUGACCUGAAGCAGAUCUGGGGCUUCCUCUCGUAAGGAAAUAUCAAAUUCGGUCAUGGAUCGAUCUGCGAAGAUGGAUCGCUUCAACGCUGCCCUCGUGAUCUUCUUGGCGGCGGCCUUGGUUAUGAGCGCAAGCACCGCAAGUGAGCUGGGCAUCAAUUGCCGAGGCAGCUUUAUUUGCUCUGAAGGCCGCGGAAACGAAGCCAGCAUCCUGGUAUCGUACAUCAACAAUAUCGACCCCAACCGCUGGUACCAAAACGGACAGCACAUCGCUUGCUAUGACGGUUUUUGCGCCUUCCUGCAGAACACGGGCGGUGCGUGGGGAUACAACACCAGGGGUCUCGCACACUUCAUUCCGGAACAUGGCUGCAGGGUUUGCGGAAGCGUGCCCUACUUUUAUCCGUCGAUUAACGAUGUAAGUAAGGGACAACUAACUUUCAACUAUGUUUCGAAACCCAAGUGCCGCAGAGGCCUGUCCUAAGUUUGAAUACCUUGCGAGUAGCAUCGAUAUUUCUGCAGCUACUUUUGUUAUACCGUAAUCCACAAGAUUUGCACCGUUUUGUGUAGCCUUGAAAUUAUUACCAUUGUAGAUGUGCGAUGGUUACAUCUAGAACAGUAUUUCAUGCAAGGCCACAUUUCACUCUCUUAAUAUGAAUAAUGAAUUCUGUUUGGACGUUCUUCCCGGAUGCACUUUUCAAAAGCUAGAUUCUACAAUUGCUCUAUAACGUCAUGUGAACAAGCUGGAAUUGCUACAGCCAGUGAUCAAUACCUGAAAACCCCGUCACCGUGCGCACCAAC